CUAUGUUUUCACUAUGGCGCAACUCAAGAAGCAAUGGACUUAGAGCAAUAAUAAACGAACCUCAAAGCAAUGAUAAAUUUGACUAGCUAAAGGCAAGCGGGGAAAAACGAAAAGAAAUUGACGGGCAACAUAAUAUGACCACAAUAAUAUCAUAGCCCUAUGAUUUCUGGUUUUGAGAUGUGUACAUUUGUAACUUUCUUGAUAACAAUUAAUUCUUGAGAUAAUUAUCAGAGGGACAAUUGUAUGCCAUCUACCACUAUUUUUAUAACAAACUCAGUUCUUCAGAAGAAGGAUAUAGAUUCGAUAGGCUAAAGAUUUUUGAGUAUAACUUGAUCGUUGUAUCUGGAGCAUGAAACAUUACUGUUAAGGUAUACAUUAUAUAGUUUCAGGCUUUCAGCUACUCAAAUAUCAAUUAGGUUGGUCCACAUCAAUUUUUUUUUUGCAUGUGAUUUUCUUUUGAGCAAACAGAACAUGGGGAGCAUUUAGCUGUUGCAAGAAUAUCAUCUGGAGCUACAAAACAAUUUCACACUGCAGAGUUGAAUAAAAAUGUUGGGCAAAUUACAUAUAAUCCUCCUGUGGCUUUGUCUGUUGCCACAUGACCCUUCUAACAUUUUAAAAUAUCCAAUUCACCCACUAUGAUUUUAUGUAAAGCGGAAACUUGAUGGAGAAUAGCCUAUAUAAUGUCGUUAAUUGAAAUACCAUUAGUACUUUUACUUAAAUGCUAAAUCAAUCGACGAUUUAAUUACCUUAUAUAAAAGUAUAAGGGGAUUAUAUGGAUAAAUAUAAAAAUCACAGGAGGGAUAAAGUGGACAAUUAUAUAUAAGAGAAUUACAUUGAAAUUAAGACUUUAUCACACACGCUUUUAGAGCGCGUUUGGUAUAAAUGCCGUAACUAAUUGUGCAUUCCAUCAUUUUCCGCUUUACAUAUAACUAUGGGGGGUAUGUGGCUAUUUUGAAAUCUUAGGGGACCAUCUAGCAUUAUAUAAAAUCACCCUAAAAUAUAGUUAUAAGUAAUUUACCCUAAAAUGUUAGAUUCCAGGAGCAAUUAAACAACAAUCAGAACAGGGCAUCAAAAACUGCACAAGCCACUAAGAUAGUUGAUCAAGAACAAAAACUGGACUUACAGGCAUCUCGAACUGAACCUUUAACAAUAUAACCGCGCUCGAGCAGCAGCUUCACCAGCCAUGAAGCUAUGUAACCCGAAGCUCCGGUCACACACACCAUUUUCCCUUCUCCUGCUCCACUCAUUUUGUUAAUAUUUUUGUGUGUGAACCUGUCACCUGUUUGCCUUACUUCUGGACUUAAUGGAGGGAGGCAUAUAUGGUGUAUAUAUAUAUAUGGUGAAGAAGACGAAAGAUUGGAUAUGAGAUUACGUGGGAGACUAGGGAGAUCCAUAUGUAUUCUUGCAAUUUGCAUGCAUCAUCGCUGACAUACGUAUGGUAUAAUCGCGUCACAUCCCAUUUUAUCAAGGUCAAUUGAUCAGUGUAAAAUAGAAAUGAACAAUAAAUACAAUGGUAAAUUACCUUCUACACCCUAUGAUUUGAUGUUUUAUCACAUAACUCCCUAUAAUUUAAAAACCUAUAUAUGACCCUUUCGUAGUUUGGGUUAUUGUGUCACUUUAGAUUUUUCUGUUAAAACUAACGGUCAAUAGUAAAAAGUCAAAUUCAAACUACUAAAUUGACAAAUUCACCAUUUCACUACUUUUUUUUUCUUGUUUUCCUUUUCUUUCUUUCCUUUUUUUUUCUUGGAAAGAGAAGAGAUGACUUUGAAAACUUGUAUUUUGGCUUACAAAACCUUAAUUGUUUCCAAAUACAAAAGAGACAGAAGGGAAAUAAAAAUAAAUCAACAAGAAACAAAAAAUAUGGAAGGUAAAGAUAUAACAAAUAAAUAAGAAACAAAAAAACACCAAAUCUUUUUUACUAUGAAUAUCAUUAUAGGUUUUUAAACCAAAUCUUUAAUAGUAUUUUCUAGUUCUUAUUUAUCUAUUUUUUAUUUCAAUUUCUUCUUUUUGAUGUUUGGAGGAAAAAAAAACAAGUAAUGAAGGGAUAAAUUUGUCAAUUUAUUAGUUUGACUUUUUAAUAUUAACUGUUAGUUUUAACGAAAAAACUAAUAAUGACACAUUAACCCAAAUCAUGAGGGGGUUAUAUAUAGUUUUUAAACUAUGGGAGGUUAUUUGAGAAAAUAUCAAACUAUAGACGUUAAAAUGCAAUUUAGCCUAAAUCCAAAAUCAGGCGGUUGCAUAUGAAAAAAUACCAAGGUUCUUGACUUUGCUCAAUACAAUUCCAAGUCUAGAGACACAAUUUUUAAAUUCACUACCAGGAUAAACCAUUCUCCUUUUUUUUUCCAUUUUUUCGGGUUAAAAAGUACAAACUACUUGAACUAGAAACUAGUCCUGACAAAGUUUGUGGGUUUUUUGCAAGAGUUUUAGUUAAAUAUUGGUUACUUCGCCUAAUUUGCACCUAUUUUAUCAUGUAAAUUCAUGCACACUUUUAAAAAAAUAAUGCAUGCACUUAUAUUAUUGCCUUUCUUACAUUUAAAUACUUUUUUCAAUUUAAUUUUACUUUUCUGGCAAAACUAAAUCUGAAGCCCAUUUCAAGAAAUAUCCACCGAAUACCAGGUCAACAAACCGCCUUCGUAAUAAAGAACGAAAGGGACCGCAGCGGUCUUUAACACGCAGCGGUCUUUUUGCAUCUAAGAAAGCUUUUGAUUGGCUAGAAAUCCUUCUCUGAUUGAGAACUGGGAAUUGACUUGAUGAUGGCAACUCCAUUUAGAAAACUGGUCCACACCCUUGAAUGUGGUUUAAAUUUAAUAGGGAUAAUUUCAUAAACCUCCCCUGAGGUUUCUGACAUUUACACUCACCUCCCCUGUGGUUUGAACAAUUACACUAACCUCCCCUGAGGUUACUAAUCCUUUACAAAUUCAGUCCAAAUGAUUAAAAUAUUGUUUUAGAGAGUGAAAUUAGAAUUUUGUACCUGAUUUGCCCUUUGUGUUACAUAUCCAAUGAAUGACAAAGUAUUACAAAUUAAUUAAUAAUUAAUAAACUUUAAGGAGCGUAGUUUAUAGGAAAAAACGUAUUACUUAGUUAAAGUACCAGCUCUUUACGAGUAUUUUACUUUCAAACAUUUACUUUAUUACAAAUAUUUAUUCUCAAAUACAGAUUUGUAUUACUCUCAAAUAUUUAAUUUUUGUUAAAUAAAAAACCUACCAGUUUUUCUUCCGUAGAAAUAUUAAUAUAACAUUUUUUCAAUUUUAGUUAUAAAUAUUUAUGUAUUUAGUAUAAAUUAAAUGAUUCAGGAUUAAAUACUCAUAAAGAGCUAAUACUUUACUCAUGUAAUGGAUGAAAAUCAUAAAAAAUUAAUACUUUAUGGGCCAUUUCUUUUUUUAAAAAAUAUUUAAUUUAUGUUAAAUAGAUAACUUACUGAUUUUCUUUUUGCGAGAAUAUUACUGUAACACUUUUUAAUUUUUAAUUACAAACGUUAAUAUAUUUAUCAUAAAUUAAAUAUUUGAAAAUAAAAUAUCUGUAAAGAGUCGUUACUUUAAAUAGGUUAUGUGUAUUUGCCUAUAAACUAUACUCUUUAAAGUAAGGAGUAUAGUUUAUUGAUUUAGCUAGUAGAGAAUCUUUUGUAGGUGGCGGGUUAGUCCUCUUAAGAGACAAAAAUGGGUAUGCUUUUGGUAAAACGAUUAGUUUAUACGUGUAAGUACGAGCGUGCACAGAAAAGUGGUUGGAUCUAUUUAACUGUCCGCACAAUCAAUAAUCUUUGGUAAGCUUUCGACGAAACUUCAGAGAGAGAGAGAGAGAGGGGGGGACCACACUGGAUCGACGUAGUAUUAUGUAAACUAUUGGUAUAGUAGCUGUUAUGGUACUUAUGUCUAAAUGAAAUAUUUGUGCUUGAAUCUCGCACCUUCUAAAGAAGCCAGGCAAAAGGAAAAGAAACAUAUAAAUAUUAUUGUUCUUUGAAACAUUUUUAAAAAAGAUGGGUGAAAAUGAAAAAAAACUUUAAUUCCAAGACCAUUUAUUUUAUCAAUUACACUCCUUACUUAAAUUAAUAAACUACACUCCUUAACUUAAAUCAAUAAACUAUACUCUUUACUUUAAAGAGUAUAGUUUAUAGGUAAAUACACAUAACUUAUUUAAAGUACCCGCUCUUUACAGAUAUUUUAUUUUCAAAUAUUUAAUUUAUGAUAAAUAUAUUAACGUUUGUAAUUAAAAAUUAAAAAGUGUUACAGUAAUAUUCUCGCAAAAAGAAAAUCAGUAGGUUAUCUAUUUAAUAUAAAUUAAAUAUUUUUUUAAAAAAGAAAUGCCCCCAUAAAGUAUUAAUUUUUUAUGAUUUUCAUCCAUUACAUGAGUAAAGUAUUAGCUCUUUAUGAGUAUUUAAUCAUGAAUCAUUUAAUUUAUGCUAAAUACAUAAAUAUUUAUAACUAAAAUUGAAAAAGUAUUAUAUUAAUAUUUCUACGGAAUAAUAACUAGUAGGUUUUUUAUUUAAUAAAAAUUAAAUAUUUGAGAGUAAUACAAAUCUGUAUUUAAGAAUAAAUAUUUGUAAUAAAGUAAAUGUUUGAAAGUAAAAUACUCGUAAAGAGCUGGUACUUUAAAUAAGUAAUACGUUUUUGCCUAUAAACUACACUCCUUAAAGUUUAUUAAUUAUUAAUUAAUUUGUAAUACUUUGUCAUUCAUUGGAUAUGUAGCACAAAGGGUAAAUCAGGUACAAAAUUCUAAUUUCACUCUCUAAAACAAUAUUUUAAUCAUUUGGACUGAAUUUGUAAAGGAUUAGUAACCUCAGGGGAGGUUAGUGUAAUUGUUCAAACCACGGGGGAGGUGAGUGUAAAUGUCAGAAACCUCAGGGGAGGUUUCUGAAAUUAUCCCAAUUUAAUAACACCAUUUCAUCAUUUCUGACGACUGCUUCUUCUAUAUCGAUCCUAGCUCACUGCACACGCCAGUCGUGUGAAACUUGGCAAAAGAGUUACACCUCCGUCCUAAAAUUGUUUGUCGCAUUUCGAGAUCCAAUUUUUUAAAAAUAGCAGCUUGAUGAUGAUAUUUGUAGAUUUGUUUUAAAAAUUGUCAUCAAAAAUUCAAAUUUUAAAUUGAAUUUAGUAUGAAAUAUAGAUAAAGAUUGGAAUAACAUUGAAAAAAAGAGAUUAAAAGUUAUUUUGAUUUUGAUAAGAUGAUAAAUAUUUUAGAACGUUUCAAAAUAAAAAAAAAUAUAUGACAUUUUCAAUGAAACAAAAGGAUGGUGAGAAUAUAUAUAAGAUACUGAAAACUAGCAUCCAUCUGAAACAGUCAAAUCAAAGCCAACAUAUUACUUGUAGUUUGGUUAUAACCAUAUCUCAGCUUGCUGGUAGCCCAAAAAUUUAGCAAAAUGAAUUAGGAAACCAAGUGCGAUAGAGCAUAUUUCACCCAAAUAUAUUAAAAGUGAAAAAGAUUUAUUUUUAUUUAGUCAAUCUGAUUUUUUGUGUCCACAUGCCCAUAAAGCUCAAGGACCAAAAAGCCAAACAUACGAAGUGAAAAUGUGAAGAGCAAUAAUUUGAAAGCAAAUAAAAAAACGGGUAGAUGGAUAGAAAACCAUGUCGAAGGUCUCUUCUCUUUUGAGUACGUAAGUGGCAGCAAUCAAUUCCCAAAGAGUGGGCUCUGGAGUUGUUAGUUACGUUGAAAAAUCAUGAAGCAGAGUUGUUCGAGAUGUUAUCUUGGGCUAUUUGGCUUGGGAGGAACCAAAAGCUGCAUGAAGAUAAACGAGUGGACCCUUUUGAGUUUAGUUAGCUUUGCUUCGGGUGCGCUCCAAUAAUUCCAAGAAGCUAAUGUUACUCAGAAAUGUCCAUCCUUAUCAAAUCAAUCUCACUUGUGGCAACCUCCAGGCGAUGGCAAGUUAAGGUUUAAUUUUGACGGUGUGGUGUUUAAGGAAACUCAAUCUAUUGGUUUAGAUGACGGUGCGGUGUUGAUUUAUCUAGUUUAGGCCCUCCAAUUGUGGACGUCACGAGGGACUUAACUAGUUUAGAGACGUCUAGUAUUUGAGGGAUGAGUAGGAAUCACAAUAAAAUCACUCAUAUAUUAGCUAAGAUCGCAAAAUUCAUAUGUGAUCAUGUCUUUUGGUGGAGAGAUCAUCCAGAGUUUGUUGUGCCAUUUCUAAUGGCGGAUUUGUUAGAAAGUUAAUGAAAGUUCAAUACAGGUUAUGUUGAGUAAGACGUUGGAUUGAAAAUUCAAGAUUUUGAACUGAAAUUUCAAGAUUUUGAGAUGAAAAUAAAAGAUCACGCUAAACUUAAUGGAUUCAAAUCUUAAUAUGUGCAAAUGCGUUUAAUAACCAAAAUUGGACAUCUGAAUUAAUUAAGUGCUACUGAAUUUUCUAAACGAAAUUUGUUCUAAAAAAUAAGUGAUAAACUAUGCAUUUAUUACUGAAUGUGAUAUACACUUAAAUAUACUUGAUUUAAUACUUAACAAUCUAAUAAAUUAAUGGACUCAGAUUUUAGAUUUCAAUUUUAUCAAAGUAACCUAAAAAUAUAGACUAUAGAUAAAAUAACUGCAGAUAAUGAUUUAUGUUGAGUAAGCUUUCAAAGCUACGUUUCCCAAAACAAACUUUAGAUAAUCAUUCUCUAAUUUUUGCUUUCACUCUAGAAGAUGCGUACAAUAAUGGGUGUAUACAAAAAUGGAAGUUAAAUUGAUAACACUAAGCUCGCCAAUUCUCAUAAAAAAAAUGAUGACAUUGCCUGCAUUAAUUCUAGUAACGGACUGAAGACAAUAAUUAAUAGGUGACUAUAUGGUGCCUAAGGCACACAAUAAAAUGUGGACUUGGUACCAUUAUUUAUUUUUGUGAAAGGAUAAACCUAUUUUGUAAGGUGUCGCAAUUCAUCAUCAUGAAAUGAGUGGUAAUUUUAAAGCAUUAAUAGUGAAUUCACCUUCAUUUUUAACGUUCAUAUCGCAAAGCCUAUUAAAAAAUUUCCACCAGCACAAAUUCCACUUUUAAUAGGUUCGAAAAUUCACUCACAAAUUUAUCCACAAAUCCCAUUAACAAAAAAAAAAAAAGAAAAUGCAGAAAGUUAUCAACGGAACUUCUAUAGUGCGUUGACGCGCGACACGUGUUGGUUGGAGAUUACUAGAUGGGAGUGGGGUUAAUCAAAGGUGGUAUUUUAGUAUUAAGCCCAAAAACCACCGGUAACAAUGGUAUUGACCCAAUUUCUAGAGGAAUUGACCCACAUAAACUGUGAAAGAUUAUUUUCUCUGUCAUUUAAGGCAAUUUCUGAACAAGAUUUAGGCGUAUAAUAAAGAAAUUAUCAACCCCAACCCCCAAUAUUAUGCUAAUAUGCAAUUGGAAAAAAUUAAAUGAAUAUUUACUUGAAGUUAAGAAGUGGAUACCAAUCGGUAGAAAGUGUUUAUAACAUACUCCGAAAUGCCAAAGGACUUCCCAAAAAGUGGGAAGCAGGACAACAUCUGAAAUAUAGUCCAAGUUUGAAGUGCUUUAUGUCAAACAUAUUUCAAUAUAGAAAAAAAAAAAAUUACUGGUUAGCAUAUGUUUGUGCGCAGUAUUUGUUGAUUGGGAGACGGUUCUAAGGAGGCGGUUUUGCAACAAAUAAGUAAACGGGAUGUCGAUUACUUGGAGUUGUAUCUUAUGCUGGAAAAAUAAUUAGACAUGUCAGUUAAGUAAUAUUUCAAUUUAAAUAAAGUUAGUUAGGAACUAGAACUCGUAACAUGGUUGGAUAUGGUUAGUGAAUAGGAUAUGAAUGUUGGGGGAUAGAAUACAACUAGAAUUACUAAGACAAAUUAAGCGUGACACUUUGAAUUCAAAUUUUACUAACAUUGCAUAAUAACACCUUUGACUGAUAAUUUUUUUUGAUACGGAAACUGGAAAAAUUUUAUUAAGAAGAGGAUAGAUCCGUAUUAAUUGCGAAAGAAAGAAAAAAUGGUGGAGAAAAUCUCCAACUAUAAAUACCUGAAAUAGAACUAGCAUUACUAUCUAAGAAAUGAGCAGGCACAAUUAGAUUCCUAGGAAUCCAAUCAGCCUCCCAAGUAAUGAAAUUCUGUAAACUAACAAAGAUAUCAUCUAACAGCACUCCAUAAGCUGAAUCAUCGGAUUCCAUAUUUUUAAGCAUGUUGAUGAUCUUCAAAGAGUCACCCUCUAAAACAAUCUUAGAACCUUCAACUGAAGUAACGAGGAAAUUGCAGAUAUUGCAGCAUAAGUUUCAGUUACUUCAGGAGAAAAGAUACCUAAGAUUUUGUGAAAAAUACUAGCAACAAAUUUGCCCCAUUCAUUCCUCACAACAAUUCCAACUCUAAAGUUGUCGUCUUCAUAGAAUAUUGCACCAUCGAAGUUUGCACUGCACCAUCGAAGUUUGCCUUUAGAAAUCUUGCAGAGGGCUUUAUCCAAUGAAGUUGAGCAGUGGAAGAGCAUAUUGGAAUGUUUGGAAAUGUGUUUAUUUCAUGGUAUUUCUAUAAGAAAUUGAUAGAGAGGGAGAGACCAAACUGAGAGGAUCACGAUAGAACCAUCAAAUAAUGCAUCAUUUCGGUUAAACCGUAGAUUCCAAAGAAUUAUGGCUACCAAUUCCAUGUCCUGCUUUUUCAAAAGAUGAAGGCCAGACAACCGAGACGAAACUUGAUCGGUAGAGUCUAAUCUUAUCUUUAGUGUAAGAAAGCUAAGGGCCCAAGGUUAAAUUGCUACUGGACAGCACAAGAAAAGAUGAUUAACAUCAUCAAUAGGGGCCUUACAUAAAGAACAAGUAGGAUCAAAAUAGACUCCGCGACUAUUCAACUUGGAAGUUAUAGGUAGAAUGUCUUUGCAAAUUCACCACAAGAAUAUUUUAACUUUACUUGGUAUGUUGAGUUUCCACAAGCAGGGCCAAAUAUCAUCCAUAGAACCAUUACUACAUGAAGCUACAUCUUGUCAAUUUGUAGAUUAUAUUUUGAUAAGAUGAUAGGCAAUUUUCACUGUGAAGGAGCCAUUUUUAGAAUAGUGCCAAAUGAGCUUAUCUUGAUUUCGUCUAUCACCCAAUGGAAUACUCAUAAUCAACUCAAUCACAUCUAAGGAUAGCAACGGGGGCGGUGCCCGCGGGGGCUAUUGGGGCAGAGGUUGGGGCGGGGGGAAUUUUUCCCCCCAUUUAGAAACGGGGCAGGGGGCCCACCCAUUUGGAAAAAAAAGAGAGAUAUAUAUAUGUACAUAAUUAUAUAUAUAAUAGUAUUAUCAAUUAUACAUGUCUAUUAAUAAAAAUUAUUAAUUAUUUAUACUAAAUUUAUUAAUACAUUUAUAUUAAAUUCCUAACUACACUUAAUACAAUAACACUUUUUUUCUAAAAAAAACACAAUAAUAAUUUAGUGAUUGUAUUUGUAUCAAAAGUAAAAACAAUUAUUUUAGUUAUAUUUGUUUUAUCAUAUUAGAUCGUAUUCAAAUAACUUUUGUUUAAUUAUUUUUAUGAGUUUCAAUUGUGAAGUUAUAAUGAAUAAUAAUUUGGUGAUAUGUUGAUAUUUUAGUACUUGAUUACUUGCUCAAAUUUAAUUAUAAUAAAAUUAUAUAAUAAUUUUUUUAACCCCGCGGGGGAAGCGGGGCGGGGGCGGAGGACGGGACGGGGACGGGGGGGAAUUAAUAGGCAACGGGGCGGGGGUGGGGGAGGGGCCACCCCUAAUCACAUCCUGCCAAAAAAGCUCUUGAAGCAAAUCAUAUUUCCAUUUCCUGCUAUUUUCAUCAAUUAAACAAUCUAUAGUGGACAUUUCUAGUAGCACAUCAAAACGAGAUAUAAUUUUGAAAUUAGAAAGACGUGGAAUCCACCUCUCUUUCCAAAUUUUGAUAUGAUUCCCGUGUCCAUCUCACCAUCUACUACCAAAAACACCUUUGAUUGAUAAUUAAAUAGUUAAAAAAAUAUAUCUACUUAAUUUGUUUACUCAAUAGUUAUGUGAACUAAAACAUAAAAAAGAAGGUCAAUUAUUAUAUUAGUGUUAUAUUUGUAAUAUUAGUUCCCUAUAUAGUAGGUUGCCGAGUUGGGCAUAUUUAUAUUCUACCAAGUAAAUGCCCUAUCUUUUCGAAACGUGGCAAAAAAAUUGUGUUUGUUUUUUUUGGUAGAUUUCAUUCUUUUUCUUUUUUGGUAACAAUUAAUUUACUAUUCAUUUUCACUUCAUUAUUUAUAGUAAAUUUCAAUCAAUUAUCAAUUACUUACCUUAUAUGCAUUUUUAUUAAUUAUACCUUUAUUUUUUUUAAUCAACUUAUAGCUUUCCUUUUUAAUUAGGCACUCGUUAAUAUAUGUCUUAGGUGUUAAAUUUUUAGAAAUAUAAGAUGAAUUAGGGAGAGCAUAUAAAUGUAAGGGAAUUAAUUAGAAAAAUAUAUAAAUAAAAGAAAAAGUAGUAAUAGUUGCGUAUAUAUAUGGCAGGUUAGGUGGAAUGCAGGUGUGUUAACGAUUACCCAUAGGGCACCCAUUAGAAAUACUCAUCAAAAUUUGGAUUAAUUUUUUUUCCUUUCAUUGCAAUCAUUACUACCAUUUUUCCUAUCAUUUAUUACUAUACCUUCAUGUUUCUAAAUACCAAUAAAUGUAUUACUCUCUUACUUUUUAUUUGAUUGUGCUAAUUAUAGCUUUCCUUUUACUUAAUCAAUUAGUCAAUCGAUCAAUCAACCAAUGAUUUUAAUUCUCUUUUCAAUCGCACGAUCUUUCUUUUAUCCAUCAUUAGGGAGAUUUACAAUUUAGUCACAUAUUUGUUAUGUGUACAAUAAUUAUGCAAUCAUAAGCACAAACUAAUGCAAUUCUAAUAAUUUUGCAUAUAUGCAUUCAUAUUGUAUUGCAACACCUUUAAUAAUUCAUUAUAUGGUUACAAAAGCCAAAAAAAAUCUAGUAUUACCUAGACCUUAGAUAGUCCCCAAUGUAUACACUGAUACUGUAUAAAAUGAUUUUAAACCGUUAAUAUAUAUACUGAUUGCAUAUGAAGAUUCAUCCCUAAUUUAGACCUCUUAGAUAGUUUGCAUGCAUUAUAUUCCCUUUUUUUAAUUUCUUAUUUAGUUUACCUUAUUACCAUUUAUGAUUUUUUUUUAAUUUAAGCAACAUCUUCCAAUAUUUUAUCACCAUUUUAAGUUAGUUCAUUUUUAGGAGAUAGUAGUAUAAGUGUGGUAGUUUGUCCAAAUAACUUUGAAUAUGCAUAUACAACCCAAAAAUAAAAUGAUAGUUGUUUAUAUUCUUAUCACUCAACGAUGAUAGUGUUAUGUAAUUUAAAUGAUUGAGAUCUAUUGCCAUCCAAAUAUGAAUUUAAUAUGAGGGUAUGAUAACUAAAAAUGACUAUAGAAUCUCCCUAAAUACUAAAUAAUGCGAAUAGAGAUAUUCCCUCAAAAACUUGUAAAGUACUUAAUGUGUAUACGGGUAAAUUCUUGCAAUAGUGAAAGGAAAAUAUCUUACUAGCCUUGAAAUUUUGGCCCGUGUAUUGACUUUUGUUAGCUAAAUUAAACUAUCUUGGAGUGAAGACAUAAAAUCUGCGGCAAAUUUUGAGAGAGUUGUGAACAUAGCUUAUUUAGCGUACAUAUUUUUUCCCGAGUUUGAAUUCUCUCACUUACAUGACAAAAAGAAAAAACUAUCGUACAUUUAACUUCCAACUAACAAUGAUGUAUAGGUAAUAAAUUAUAUGUGAUAAGAGUAUAUUUUACGUAUUUUUAGUGUGCUUUAUUAAUUAGUUUUGGUGUGUUUUAUUUAGUUUUAUAAAUAAUUAACUAAGAUUCUAGUGAAAAUAUGCAUUUUGUGGUUAAAGUGUGAAAAUUGCAUUUCUAUUGAUUUUUAUGGUAAAAAUUUCAUAUUUUGUAGGUUUAAUGAUUCAAUCAUCAAAUGAAGUGCAUUGAGAAAAUAUUUGGAUGAUUGAAGAUGGAUUAAAAUGGUGAAAAUAAAAUAUGAAGUGUAAAAGGAAAAAUGCAAUUUGAAUCAAGAAAAGUCAGCUUUGACAACUCUGACACGUUUUGGUAUUUUAACUAUAUCUGGAGCUACACAGAUUGGAUUGAGGUGAUCUUUAUACCAUUUUGAAGCUAAGAGAUAGAUCUAAAUUUGGUAUGAAGACAUCAGAAUCUAAUUCAGCCGUUUUCAUUGUCCAAAAGUUGAAAUACCGAAAUUCAACUCAGCUGAGAAAUGCAACUUGAGAACAAAAGAAUCAAACAAAAGUCAGCUUUGGCAUCUGUUGGUAUUUUGGCUAUAUCUUGGGCUACAUACAUUGGAUUCAGAUGAUCUUUAUAUCAUUUUAAAGCUAAGAGACAGAUCUACAUUUGGUAUGAAGACAUCAAAAGUCCAAUUCGGCUGUUUUCCUGGUCAAAAUGUCAAAAUACAGAAGUAAAAGUCUGCUGCUGAGAGCUGAAAACGCGGAAUUGACCAGUCAGUGGUAUUUUUAUCAUAUAUCGGUCUAGACAGCUCUAAAUUGGAUGAUUCUUGAGGCAUUGGACAGCUAUUUCAAUGGGCUACAACUUCUAUGUUUUUCACAAGAGCUAAUUUAGCCGUCAUUAUAGAGAAAAUAACAGUUGAAGUAGCCAGAUUCUGGUCAGAAAUAGCUGCUGGUACAACCUGUUUUCUCCUUCAACAAUUUACAGCUAUGGAUGAACGUAUGACAACCAAUUAGCAGCUGUAAAAGGGAUGUUUCAAGCCUCAUUUCCUGAUUGCAUUCAUCUAUAUAUAGCCAUGGACUUGCAGGAUUCAAAAUAACUUGGGAGAAGGCUAGAGAAACUCACCAGAAAUGUAGUUUUCACUAGAGUUUCCUUGGUUCAUUAGUAUAGUAUAGGUAGAGUAGUUUAUCCAUCUUGUAUUUGUAGUUAGAUUUGGAUGAAGAUUGGAGGAGCAAAGAUGAAGAGGUCGAUCUCAUGUGACAAGGGUGAUAUCUCUUCUACUACUUUCUCUCUUGUAUUGGAUUUCAUGUUUAAUUAUAAUACAAGUUGGCUUUGUGUUUUUAUUAUGUUUAGUUAAAGUUUAUGCCUAGAGUUAUGGUUGAACUUGCUAUAUUUUGUUUGUGAGGUUUACUUGGCUAUUUGAUGAUAUUAUUUUGAGUACAUUAUUUAUCACUUUUGGUUAUCUAAUCAUGAUUAACUGGCCAUUAAUUAUGAUAAUCAUAAGGUGUUAAGUUUGCAAUGAAAAUUGGAAUUUAACACUAGUUCAAAGAAGUGAUAAGCCUAGGGAGUACACUCACGAAAGUAGAGGUGCACCUAUGUGGCUUAAGUGACUUGUUUCAUGUAAUUUCAUAGAAGAAAUGAACUUGUAAUUAAUUUCAUAACCACGAGAGUAGGUAUGGGUUAACUACAAGUAUAGUUGAUUCACUACGAAAGUUGGUUUCACAUACAUUAGGAAAUUACGCCAUAACUAGUCAAGAUAAUAGCAUUCACUUAACCGGUAAUCUCAUUUGCAAGAGUAGUAAGGAAUUCCAUAUCUCUAGGAGCUUUCUAGUGUUAUUUUCAAACAUUUUAUAUUUGUGGUAGUCUAAAUAAUAAAGGAGUUUGAAAACAUCGGUAAUUGCAUUCUUCCCUGUGGGAUCGACCCUUAAUACCCUAUACUCGCUCACGAUUCGUAUACUUGCGAUAAAUCGCGUGUGGGGUAUUUAGGAAUUUAUAAAUGUAAAACUUGAUUGGGAUGAGUUUAAUAUUAUAUGUAUACCCCGCGCACGUCAAGUUUUUGGCGCCGUUGCCGGGGAAGAUUUGGCAAUAUCGGUGUGAAGAGCAACUUUAUUAAUUUAGACAAUUUUUCUUAUUUUUGUUGUUUUUAUCUUGUGUGUUUUAUGUCAUUUUUUUUGAGUCAAUUUUUAUUAUUAUUUUUUUUUUCUGUUUUAGUUUGUGUCUUGGAAUCUAUCCUUCUUAACUAAUCUUACUUUUGAGAUUGUUUAAAAGUAAUUUUAGAUAAUGAGGAGGGUAGGUGAAUUGGGAGGACAAAGCUUGAGAAAUGAAAAAUUGGCAAUGGAUGGUUACCUAGUGCAAAACUCCUUCAACAGAGGUAACCAAGAAAUUACUGAAGGUAUGUCUUUUGAAGAUGGUUUGAAGUGCUUAAAGGCAAAAUUUGAUGCAAUUAUGUUACAAGUUCAAAUGGGCACAAUUAUGCAUGAAAUUGAGCAAGGGAGGAAUAUUAAUACUUUUAAUUCUUAUCAUAUGAUUUGUCACUUGUGUGAAGGUUAUCAUGCUACUAAUACAUGUAUGCAAGCACAAAAUGUGGGUUAUUAUGAUGAAUUAGAGCAUUACAAUCCUUGUUUUGAUCAAUAUAGUGCUAAUUGGAACAAUUCUCCUAUGGAUGGUUGGGAUAAUCAAUGUACUUAUAAUAAUUCCUCAUAUUUUUACGAUUACCAAUCUGAAUGUGUCCAAUAUGAAUCAAAACCAUCUUGGGAGUUGGCAAUUGAAAUGGUAGCUAAUGAUUCUAAACCAUCUUGGGAGUUAGCUUUAGAAAAAUUAGCUAAUGCAACUUCCGACCGUUUUGAUAGGGUUGAAGAAAGAAUAGAUGAACUGACUUCUCACUUUAGUAGAAUACAAGAGAAAUUGCACGCAUUGUGUGAAGUUAUUUCUUCUAAUGAUAUGAAAGAUGACCCUAGCAUGAAUGGUAGGAAUGUUGUAUGUGAAAAUGGAUUGCAUUUGGAUGAAAAUGAUGAAUUUCAAUUGUGUUUUAAUGAGCAAAUAUCCAUUUCACAUGAUAAUAUCUUUGGAACUAACUUUGAGCCUCAAGAGGUGAGUUUUAAUGACUCAUUUUUCACCCCUCUUGAGGAGUGCAUUGAAAGUAUAGGUUCUAAGGGUAUUGCUGCCCAAGAUCCUCUCAUGGCAUCCCCGUUGGUAAGUUCUCAAGUGGUGUAUUUUCAAGGUAAUAUUUAUGAAACACUUGGAAUAGGUAAGCCACUUCCAUCUCUCACAUCAUUAGAAUAUGUGACUUUUGCUAUAAAGUCACCUUUUAAUGAUCCACCACGACCUAAAAUGGUGGAUUAUUCGUUAACUAAACCUCCUUGAAAAAUGAGGUUCAAUAGUCGAGCCAACGACUAUAAAUAAAAGCGCUUAUUGGGAGGCAACCCAAUGUUUUGGCUAUUUAUGUUAUUUUGGUGUGAUUUUAUGUUUAAAGCAUGUGUUUGAGUUAUUUUGUUAUUUUUCAUUUGUAGGUAUUGGAAAUGGAAGCAAAAGUGACCAAAUGAGAUGAAAAAGACGAAAUUUGAUCAAGGAACUCAACCCCUCGAUUUGAAUAAUUGUUGUUUUUGAUCCGUUAAAAGGGGCUAAAAUGCAUGUUUUUAAUGUUUUACAUGUGUGCACAUUGAUAAAUUUUACAAACAAAUGAUUUAUGAUGCAUUUUGAGUGAUUGGGGUAUUAUUUGUAAAUUUUCAAAAGUUGAAUUUCUGCUAAAAUUCGCAGCAGAAAAUGCGUUUCUCAAGAAAACGCGCCUCUGAGUCGCGUGUUCACAGAAUCGCGUUUUCAAUUCUGCACCUGCAGAACAGAAACGCGCCAUUAAAACGCGACUUUAAGUCGCGUUUUGAAGGAAGUCGCGUUUUGUUGCCUGGAUCAAAGAUGAAAACGCGCCAUUGAAAACGCGACUUGAAGUCGCGUUUUCUCACAGAACCGCGUUUUCAGUACUGCAACUUUUGGGAAGAAACGCGCAUUCAAAACCGCGAGUUAAAGGCGCGUUUCUACUCACGUUUUCUGAGCAUUUUUUUUUUUGAAAGAAAAAAUGCAGGUUCCUUGGUUCUCUUUUUCUUCUUUUCCUCAUAUAUUUUCUUGUACCUUGAGUUGCUUAUUGUGUAUUUUUUAUAGGUACAUCACCAAAACAAGGGCUUGAAGUUACGGAUAGCCGUUUUGAUGUUUUAAGCCUUUGUUAUCACUUUGGUUUCUCAUUUUCCAUUCUUAGGUUUAUAUCACUAAUGGUUAUCAAAUGGAACUCAUGAAGCGAUGAAGAAAGGCGAACAACGUACCUUGAAGCUUCAUACUCAAUCACAUCAUAGGGGAGUAUUACUUUCUUUAUCUUCAUUUUCCUUUUUACACAUUGAGGACAAUGUGUAUGUUAAGUGUGGGGGGAGAAUUGAGAUUAUAUAUAUUGUAUGUGAUUGACUUAUUAGUUGCAAAUAUUGGACUUGUGUUAAAAUUUUCAAAAUUUUUCUACAAUCUUGUCCAAAAUUGCAAACUUGCCCCAAAAAGUUUCAAUUUUUUCGAUUUUAUCCAAAGGGGUAACAAGUUUCAUACCAUUAGUAGUUCAAAUUUCUUCUACAUUUGAGAUAAAUAUAUGUGAUUUGGAAACUUCUUUUCUCAUUUAACUUGGAAAUGACUAUUAUGUGAUUAUAAUUUUGCAUUUGUAGGAAAAUAUAUCUUGUGAAGUGGAGAAAAUUAUGCAUAUAUUUUUUUUGCAUAUUUGAUGAAAUUUCUUCUCUUUAUUGGAUUUUAUAAGUUAAGUGAUAAAUAUGGUCAAUAAGUGCAAUACUCUUCUCAUGAUUAUUCUUUUGAGGAAUUUAUUAUUAUCUUUGCUGUAAAAAGAAAAAAAAUGGAAAGAAAAAAAAAGAAAAAAAUCCAGUAUCAUCAAACUUCUUCAAAUGGGCUCUUUAGCUACUAACCCCUUCAAAAAUAAUUUAGGCUUACGGUUCUGUUGAUGUCGCAAUUGCAGGAGGUUCAGAAGAUAACGAAAGGCUCAUCUAAGAUUUCUUAAGGUGUUUGGCUUAUAUUGCUAGAUUUACUUAAUCUAUUUUCAUUCUUCUCCGAUGUCAUUAUUGUUAAAGUUCAAUUCAUAAGUUGGUUGUGUUAGAAAAUUGGCUUAAUUUCUUUUUAGAUAGGUUUUUGUUUUGUGCAAAAGUAACUAGUUUCCUAAUUGGUUUUAGUUACUCGGAAUAGUAGCCAAGAAAUUUCUUAUUUUGUUUAGAAUUAGAAGUUAUUUCUUAUUUUCUACAAGUCUAGGAAUUAGAAUUAAUUUCCUGUUGUUAUUUGGAUUUUUUGACCAAAUAAUAUUUUUAUAAAUAGGUGGGUUGGCAUACUAUAAAAGAGACACAUAAGGGCACACAAGGACGACAUGUAACCUUAUACAUGGGUGGUGAGAGAGAGUUCUUAGGAGAUGAGAAAUGGUAUACAAAGGUUGGACUUGAGUUCGAGUUGUAUUCUUGUAUAAGGUUUUUCUCUCAUAAUAAAUAACAAGUUUCUCUCCGUGGACGUAGGUUCAAUGGAGUCAAACUACGUUAAAUAUUGUGUGUUGUUUAUCUUUUAUACUUGUGGCUUGUUUCUCAUUAAAUUAUUGUGUACUUGAUAUCUUAAUAGUUAUUUAUUCUGCAUUUAGUUCCUAACAAAUGGUAUCAGAACUUGAUUGCGAGAUUGGGCUGCUCACAAGCACUUGGAUCCCAACAAACUGAAUAGUUGGAUCAAGAGUUUGGUUGUUCAAGGAUGGAUCCUAGUUAGCUAUUGAGAUCAAGUAGGUUGGUGACUGUUACCAAUUGAACAAUUUAAUGGGCGGUAUCCUUUUUCAAGAGUUUGGCAAAAAAGCAUUGACGGUGAAUGAUGAAAAGUCGAAAAGCAUGGAGAUACUUGACGGUGAAUCUAGGCAGAUGAUUCAAGAGUCAAGGAAAAGGUGGAAUCCAAUAUCGAUUUUGGACGUGAAUCGGUGGAGACUUUCUCACAACUUCAACGGUUGAUACUUCAUCUCGGUGAUUUUUAGAUUUCGCUUAUGUUUUUUGAGUGGUACGGCACCUGACCCAAAAAAAUAAAGAGAUUUAAUUUCUAUGCGCUAGAAGACUCUGACAGUUACGAGUCUUUUGUUUCAGGUGAAUUUUUGGAAACCACACGUGGCGAGAUAGUCUUGAGGAAGGGAAGAAGUAUGAUGAUUUUAUCACUUGGUUGCCUCAAUGAUUAAGGUUAGAGCUCAUAGAAGGAGAUUUUGGGUUGCAAGUGGUGGUGAGAAGAAAUCCUGUAAAGAAAAAUGGUGAAUUGAGGCAUCUUCUCACGAAUCAACUGGAGGUUGUACUAGGUGUAAAUACACAUAUUCAUUUGGCAAUUAAAUUAAUUUGGUAUCAGAACUGUAUUGAUUCGGGUGUGUAGUUCGGUACCAUAUUAUUUGGUAGUUGAAAGUAAAUAAUUGUUAAAAGAAAUUUUCGCCAAGAUAGAGAUUUGUUAGGAAAUUGAUUUAAUUUCUUUUCAGACAGGUUUUUGUUUUGUGUAGAAGUAACUAGUUUCCUAAUUGGUUUUAGUUACUUGAAAUAGUAGCCAAGGAAUUUCCUAUUUUGUUUAGGAUUAAAAAUUAUUUCCUAUUCUAUACAAGUCUAGAAAUUAGAAUUGGUUUCCUAUUAUUAUUUAAUUUUUUGGCCAAAUAAUAUUCUUUAUAAAUAGGUGGGUUGGCAUACUACAAAGAGACACACAAAAGCACACAAGAGACGACAUGUAGCCUUAUAUGGGUGGUGAGAGAGGAUUUUUAGGAGAUGAGAGAUGGUAUACAAAGGUUGAAUUGGGGUUCAAGUUGUGUUCUUGUAUAGAAUUUUUCUCUUAUAAUAAAGAACGAGUUUCUCUCUGUGGAUGUAGGUUCAAUGGUGGAGCCGAACCACAUUAGAAAAUAGUGUGUCAUUUAUUUUCAUGUUUGUGGCUUGUUUCUCAUUAAAUUGUAGCGUACUUGAUAUCUCAAUAGUUGUUUAUUCCAUGUUUGGAUCCUAACAGAUUGCUAAACCAAGAUUGAUGUAAUUGCGUCCUAUAAGAGAGUUUGCAAUUCAAUUGAUUAAGGGAAGAACAGAGAAAAUCCCUGAAAAUGGGAAUUAAAGGAAACAAAGGAAACCCUAAAACUAGUUUCCAAGAACAAUUCUGUCGAAGACAGAAAACAAAGAAAAUAGUAUCAAAGGCUAUAUCGUUAUUUAGGAAACAAGAAGCACUUGAAGGUGAAUGUUGCAGAAAGUAGAAGAUCCCACUACAAUUUACUAAUUCAAGGAGCUGUAAUUAAGAAAGAAAGAAGACAACUCAGAGAAUUAGGGAUUGUUAUUAAUUGAUGAAUGAGUAGGAAGAAUGUAGAUGAAGAUGAUAAUCAAUUACAAGUAAUGGAAAUCGGAAAUCCUAGAACUGCCUUCAACUUACCACCCUCCUCUCUUUUAUUCGGCUACUACACUUGUCCAAGUCAGCUAAUUCAUUACAACCAACUGACAUACAAGAAUUAUAAGGAUUUAUUCAUUAAGUCCCUAUCAUACUCGCUUUAUUACAAAAAAAAAAAAAAACCCUAUCAAUAAAACUAAGGUAACAAAUACUUCCCCCUCAGAGAAUCCUUGUCCUCAAGGAUUAAAUUCAGGAAAUUGUUGUUUAAGGUCAAACCAGAAUUCCCAGAUAGCAUCUUCAAGAAAAGAAUUGCUUCACUAUGCCAAAACUUUUGUAGCAAGAGAGUUACCACAUUUCACCAAUUUCUGAUCAAGUAUGGCUAUAGGCUCCAUUAAUAAUUAUCCCUGUGUAUUGAUUGUGUAUUGAUUGCAAAAGGAAUGUGUGAGGUAACUAGUGAGUGCCCACUUUCUUCUUUAGAAGAGAUACAUAAAAAAUAGAGUGUAUUUUUGCCAUAUUAGGCAGCUAAAGCUGAUAUGCAACAGGGUGUACUCUUUUGAUCACUUGGAAAGGUCCAAAAAACUUAGAAGCUAACUUCUGACAAGAGUGUACCUUCAAAGAGUGUUGCCUCUACAGUUGUAGUUUCACAUAUACCCAAUCUCUUGCCGAGUACUGUCUAUCAGACCUGUGUUGGUCAGCUUGUUGCUCCAUCCUAUUUUGUGCCUUAUGAAGGUUGUACUUUAAGUGAUGCAAAACUAUCUCCCUUGCUGCCAAGAUUCUAUCCACCACUUCCACUACUGAAUUCCCAAGUAGACAAGGCAUAUGCAGAGAUGGUGCAUGACCAUACACCACCUCAAAUUGGAUAACCUUAGUGGCAGCAUGAAAUUUGGUAUUGGACCAAUAUUCAGCCAAGGGUAACUAGAUAGACCACUGCUUUGGAAAAUCUCCACACAUGCACCUCAAAUAUUACUCCAAACACCUGUUUACCACCUCAGUUUGACCAUCUGACUGAGGGUGGUAGGUAGAAGAGGUAUUAAUCUGCACUUUUAGUAACUUAAAAAGUUCUUGCCAAAAAGUGCUAAUGAAGACCACAUCCUUGUCACUAACAAUGCUCUGAGACAAGCCGUGAAGUCUACAGAUCUGAUCCAGGAAUAUGUGCAAAUAUAAAUGCUGAAUAAGCAUGUGACAAUGCCAAGAAGUGUGCAUACUUACCUAACUUGUCAACCACCACCAAGAUGGCUUGUUUACCAUGUGCAUUAGGUAAACCUUCCAUAAAGUCCAUGGAAAUUCACUCCAAACCUUUUGAGGCACACGUAAAAGUCGUAAUAAACCCAAAUAAGCAGUAUUGUCAUAUUUGUUGCACUGACAGACAUCACAUGCAGCCACAUAGUUGACUAUGUCUUGAUACAUUCUUCUCUAAUAAACCACUGACUUCAACUUCUUUUAGGCAGCAUAAACUCCUGAAUGCCUCCAACAGCACUAGAAUGCCACAAGUGAAUUAUAUUAUUCUUGAAUUGGCAGUCAUUUUCUACCACUAGUCUCCCCAUCCUCCUUAACUGCUAGUUGCUCCAUGUGUAAUAAGGUGAGACCUUAGAAAGAUCAAAUUGUAAUUGAGUGAUGAAGUUCUAUAGCCUUAUAUCUAUUUGCCAUCCCUUUUUAAUCACUAUCAAAGAUCACUGUUAACAAUGAUGAUGGCAAGAGCUUCUCUUGGUUCUGCUAGUUUUCUAAAGAGAGUAUCUCUCACCAUAUUAUAUGCUUCUUUCCUGUAGUGAAGCUCAUAAUAAAAUCUUACUAGCUUAGUCAUCCAUUUCUGCUGCAUAAGAGUAGGGCUGUCAAUGGUCUGGGUCUAGACCCGGACCCGGACCGGAUCCGUCAAAUUUAUCCGGUAUGGGUAGGGAUUUAAUUCCGUUACCCGGACCCGGAUCCGGAGCCAUUUUGCCAAACAAAAAAACGGGUCGGAUACGAAAUAUAGUAUUCCGACCCGUAUUGGACCCGGAUCCGGAUAUAAAUGGAUUACUAAUUUAAAAAUAUAUAUAUUUAUUAAUAUAAUUUGAUUAGGAUGAUGUAUUUGAGUGAUCAAUAUAAUUGGACACCCGGAUCCUAAUCAAUAUAAUUUGAUUAGGAUGAUGUAUUUGAGUAAGGUUAAUUUGAUUUCUUUUCUUAUUUGAUUUUUUUUGUAUUAGUUAGAAAUUAGUUUAUAAAUAUAUGUUUUUUCUCAUUUUUGUUAGAAAUUAUAAAUUUUGUUAGUUUUUUUUCGGGUAGACCCGGAUCCGGAUCCGGGACCCGUCGGAUCUGGAUCCGGAACAUAGAGUAAAGACCAUCGGGUAAACGGGUCGGGUCCGGAUCCGAUAUAGUGUGCCGGGUCCGGGUCUGGAAUAAUGAAUUCCGGCCCGGACCCGCCCGUUGACAAGCCUACAUAAGAGUGUUCAAUCUUUGUUCCAUCAUAUAUUCAAUGCUCUAAUGGUCAUUUUUAAUGAUAACGUACCUUCCAGGUAGAUAAGGUCUCCACUUCUAUACAGCAGCAACUAUGGCCAAUAUUUGCACUUUUCCAAUAUACUAUCAUAUGCUAUUCCCCCACACACCUAAAUCUUAUAUUGUCCCCAAUGUAAAAUAAAGAAUAAAAGAAAAGUAAUGGGGAUAACGAAACUUCCUUGAUAACUGAGGGGGCCGUCGACAGCUACAGGUGAGGGGCGAAUGACUGUGGAGCUCGACGUAUGUUGAUGGUUGGUGGCGGUGGAGUUCGGAUGGAGAAGGAUGGAAGAAAGAAAGAAAGAAGAAAGAAAAAGAAGAGAGAAAGAAAGAAAGAAAAAGAAAAGGAAAAAGAAAGGAAAAGGAAGAGAAAAGAAAAGGGAAAUACGAAUGGGAAUUGCUCCAAUCCGAGCUGGUUUUUUGUACUACUACUUUGCUUCUUGUACGAAGCUUGAAGUUGCAGCAAGCGCGGAAAUUUUUUUUUUUUUACAUCUAAUUUUGAUUUUUUUCUUUUUCUUUUUCCUUUUCUGUAUUUCCUUUUCUUUUCUUUCUAAUUUUUCUGCAAAAACAAUCAAAUGAGAUGGAAUGAUUUUUUUUAAAAAAAGGUAAAAAUAUAAAUAGAGAUAAAUAAAUAAUAAUAGUUAUUAACAAAUCAUAAAAUGAUUUAUGAAAUUUUUUUGGUGUCUACAUAUAUACACAUACUAAUAAUUUUUAUAUUUAUAUAUUUUUCCUAUUUAAUCUUACCUAUAAUUCUUUCUUAUUUUAUUUACUUUUUCUAAUUAAUUUUAUAUUUUUAAAAAUAUAACAUCUAAAAAUAUAUAUUAACGAAGAGGACAUCCGUUAGACAGGUCCUAUUUUAUGUAAUAUAUAUCUCUACAUGAAAAAAACUUUUUUAAUAGGUAUCCCGUUUUUUGACAUGAAAAAUACCUUUUGACUACAUUCUGACUAGCGCCAAAAGCUAUCCACUUUUGACAUGCUGCCCAUGCAGGCCUAAUUUUUUUUAGUACUGAAUUUGUUUUGGAUACGUUAGUAUUUCUUGAAUUUUAGAAAAUGCUUCUCUUUAAUAAAUGUAAGUUCAUUUUAAUCUUGAUUCGCAAGCUUUUUCUUGAAAAUGGUUUGCCAUUUCUUAUUAGUUGUUACAGUAAAUUUAGCAUGCAUAUAUGCUUUUUGUCAAAAUUCAAUCAUUUCAAAAUCUAGAAGGGAACUUCUAAAAUACCUGCAUCCUCCUUUUUCUUUUUUCUUUUUUAUUCCCCCCCCCCCCCCCCCCCGGCUUUGUAUUCAGAAUCAGAUUGUGUUCAAUUAGUUGGAAUUUGGCUUUGGAGUUAAAAGGGAUUUCCAUUUUUUCCUAGGUAUUCCACAGCUUGCAUAACAAAAGCACAGAGGCGGAAGAAAACCCAUGAUUAAAUCAUACAACAGGCUUGUAAGAAAAUGCCCACUCUGAAAAAAUGAAAAGUUGAAUUUCCUAUUUUCAAAUUUACAUGCAAAAAAUGAAUAAUGACAUGCAAGAAAUAGUCUGCUAUUUCGCCAUGUUUCACAGUUUAUGAGAAAUAUAUUACAAAUAAAUCCACAUAAAUGGUGGGAAUAAUAACUCAAAUAUGGUGGGACAAAUAAACAUACAGGGUGACCCCUGCCAGCUGAGAUAACUAGCUGGUUUAUUUAAUUUAAUAGUUUGAAUACAAUAGUAAAUCAAUGCCAUAGCUCAGAUACUGACUAAAUUUUUCUCCCUGAAGAAUUCAACAGCAUCUUUUAGGCUGACCUCCAAAGGAGUGAAUUGAACUCCCAACCUUUUUGCCUUCUCAUUGGAGGCUCUGUAGUUUGGGCUGAUAAGGUUGGUAUUGUUUGACAUUCUGCUGUAUGCGGGACAAUACACAAUUAUGGCAAACAUAAAUAAAGCUUAGGUAAUGAAAAUGCAAAUGUAAAUUCAAAUGCUUGAAAAUCUACUGGACAAUUGCCUCAUAUCUACUGUAAAUUGUGCCUUUUUUACGAAGUUUCAAAAGACCUUUUAAAAGAUAACUUUAGUUGUGAUAUGAAUGAAAUUUAUUUUUCUCUAUAAAAAAGCCUAAAACGGAAUUUCUAUUUUGGAGACAAAGCCAAUUUGGUGAUAUAUCCUAGUCCAAAGAAGACCAUCUUCUAGAAAUCAACCUGAGAAAGAGCUCAUUUUUUAUGGAACAUGAGACCAAAAGAAAAAAAAAAGAAGGCAGAAAAUUUAGGAUUUAGUGUCCUUUAAAAGAGAGUAUAAAAAUAUGUGAUACAUUUUGGACGUAUACAAGGCCAUCAGCAAAAGCCUGCAAAGACCUAAACAAGGAAAACAAGACUUACUUAUCAGGAAAUUGGUGAGUUGGGUAAUGCUCAUGCAAAAUCUUGAUGAUCUGAGAGGCAUUUGCACAUCUUUCAACCAGACAAUAUCUUCCACUUGCAGAAGGGGUUUCAAGGGCAAGAACAUGUGCAUUGGCAACAUCUCUAACAUCAACCCAGCUACAUGUUGCCUUAGGAAAUGGUUCAACCCCUGCAUUUGGCACCUAAGAUCUUUAAACACAUUUUUUUGCAGGCUCUUCAGCAAACAUAAGUGAAACCAAUUUGGUUUGUUUGGAUUGGCAUGAUUUCAGAUAAAAUAAUUUGCUUCACAAAUUCCAAUCACCUUUUUAUCUCACAUACAGCACAUCACAAAAGUGUUACAGUAAUUAUCUCAAAUAAAUCAUCUAAAUAAACUUCUAUCCAAACAAAAUGUUGUUUGCCAUGAAAAGAGUCAAAUUUAGAGGCCAUGGCCUGCCUUCCAGAAGAAAUGUGUGGUAUGUACUACUUUGUUCUGUUUUAGUAUCAGCAAAGCCACAGAGGGGAGGGAGAUGUGAGGAAUGAACUACUUGAGACAAUUCAGAUAAUUGGUGAAUAAUAAGAAAGAUUAAUCCCAACAAUCUUCUAGUUAAUCUGUCGAGUUAUUACCUGGAAUUUCUCAGAUUUAGAGUUAGGUUUCAAAGGAUAGUUUAUUUAUUUAUGUGAGGAAUAAACAAGCUUUAGCAAGUCUGAACAACAUAAACAGUGACUACUCCUAACAAAUUUUUCCUCACAAUUACCACCCAAAAAUUUCUUUUCCUUCCUGUUAAUCACAUAGAACCUCAAUGUUGUUGAAAGGAAGAUGCACACAACGUGAAUUUCAGAUGAAAGAUUGUACUGCAAACCUUUAAAACAUCAUAAGCUGGUCAGAGUUUAUAGCUUGAUAUAUCAGUUCACAUUCUGACCUAUGUCUGUCAAUCAUGUGAUAAGCCAGCAGUGCCUUGAAAUGUUAUUAGUCAUAAGUUUUUUGUUCUACUGUAACAAAGAAAGUUGUGGUGCAUAAUAAAGCUACAAGUAACAUAGAUGGAAGAGUCAGUUAGACAAUGAUUACUAAGGUGAUUCAAUAAAUUUUGAAACAAACCCUUUAAUAGGUUGAGGAACAAAACAGCGCUCGAAUUAACAGAUGGCUGCAAGAGAGGACCAAUGACCAAUCCUGGAUGAAUUGUAAUCACGUCAAUGCCAUGCUCCUUUGCAAAUUUCCAUGCAGCAUUCUCGGCCAUGGUUUUUGAAAGUUCAUACCAAGACUAUCAACACCGAAAAAUCAGUAAAUGUUGGUAAGAUGGUAGCAGAAAGUAAUUAGAUUUGUAAACUUUAAGAAGUAACAUUAUAAAUUUCUACAAAUUUGACAAAACCAGCAACUUACAUCAGUUGAAACUAUUAUUGCUGUAGCUACAAAGCACAGAGUGAAAGCAUCCACAUUUCCCAGGACAAGCUAUGCUAUAAGUGAAUAAGUAGAUUUCUCAAGGAUCCUAGGAAUGGUGUAAACUUUCUAUAUUCAAGGAAUGAUGCAAAGCACCAGUGUCGACAUAUCCUGAUCAUCUGAUCUCUUAAUCCACAAGCUAACAGCAAAACUACAAGGGACCUUGACACUUUAACACAAAUAGCCAUAUUCAUAAUAUUAUAGCAGAAGUUCCUUUCCAACUGACCGACCAAAUAUUGCUCAUCUAGGUGUGUAUUCUCAGACAAUAGUAUAGAAUUUGAUCAUGCAAGAGAUGCAUAAUUAAGUAGGAAAACUUUCAUAUUGCUCUUUCCCCGACUAUUCCACACUACAUUAUUAAUUUUUCAUUAAAGUUAAGUUGUUACUUAGAUAGAAGGAAAGAAAUGGACUGACCAUUCUGGUUACAAAAAUAUCCUUUUUUUGCCUAUUAAAGUACCACCAAGUCAUGAAGAUCCUAACUUAAUUAUCUCCACAGCUGGGCUAACUCCUCAUAUGUGUUCCAACAACAAGUUAAAACUAAAGAAUUCCAGCAUUCCAUAUUAGAUUUUACUGGAAGAAGACAGAUAAUAUAUGUACCUUUUGCUCCUCACAGUAUGAUGGUUCGGAAAACCAACUUUCAUCAACUACCACAUCCUCCUUUAAUUCUCUGUUUUUUGAAACUGCAACCAUAGAGGAUGUUAUAACUACUCUUUUGACAGAAGAAGAAUUUGCACAUGACCGCAGCACAUUCAGUGUUCCGCUUACUGCAGGUUCCAGUAGUUCUGCCUAUGAAAUCAAACCAAGUAAAAAAGGAAGUCAUUACCAGUCAUAGGUAAGACUAUGCUUUUAACCUGCAAAAAACUUAUCAUUCUGGUAUUAUGUUUGAGAAUUUCACCACAAAUGCUGUAAACCUACAGCUUUAGUUACUUAGCUAAAGGAUGCAUAUUGUUGUCUUAUCUCCUCUUGCUGCUAAAAUAAGUUCUCAGGUCCUUUAUUGUUGUUUUUUCCCAAAUUUUUUCAGCUUUCACUGGGUGACAGGAACUUAAGACCAAUAGAGGAACAACUGAAAUAAGUCUCAGAUGUGGUCACCAAUUAAACCGUUUGCUACCAAAUAUCAACCGAUGAAAUUCUGUUCUGGCUUGAACAGGACAGACAGAAAAUAUAAAAGGUGUAGCUCCCAUGAAUCCUGCGAACAGAUUUUAGCGUGAACACAUAAUGCAUGUUGCAAUUUCUUUUAGUGUCUGUGAGUCAACCUUGUUCAUUGAAAUGACUAAAAUCAAAGUUCUACAAAGUUACUUAAAAAAAAUCCAUAAACACAAUUUGAGAAACAGACAAGGAUAGGUGUACUGCAUAAAAUUAAGGCACAAUCAUUAAUAGAAGUUAAUCAACUUACAAAUGAAGAUACAUAUAAUUUGCAGAUGCUUGAACAUAUAUUGUAGUUUCUAUAAGCUUCUUAUUCAUUCUGGUAUGGGCACGCAAAAGCCAUUGGCUCUACACUGGCUGAAUAAUUAGUUGGUCAAAGCAGGGAUUCAUUUGCUCCAGGACAAGCUUAUAGCUUGCUCUAUAACCUUACCCUGACUGACUUACCCAGGAAAAUAGUUAGUCGGACCCAAUCUACUGCCCAAUUGUGGACCAUUUGCUAUGUUUAUGGCUCUUAAUGUUUUUAUUUCACAACAUUACACCCUUUGAAUUGUUUCGCUGAAGUACCAAUUUCCAGAUCAUUUCAUAGAAACAUCAUGUAUACUGAUUAAAAAGAGACUAAAGCACAUAACACACGACAGUCUUUUUGUGAAUGACCUGCUGGAACAGAUUAGUUUUGUAUGUACCAAAUGUAAAGAAAUAUUCUUCAGGUGUUUGACCUGAUUGCUACAUUAAUCUCCUCCCUUUGGUUAAUAAAAGAAAAAGUAGAGCCAUAGAAUUGGAAACAUUUGAAUCUAACUCUCUUUUUUUUUUUGCCUUUACAGUUAUAACCUUGUCAUAAAUCACAUAUAGAGGAGUAGACUAUCACCCAAAAAAGCCAGUAAAAAUGCAACAGAGGAAGAUACUAAAAGAAGUCGUACAAUUAUAAAUCAGAAAAUAUGCUACGAUUCUCAAACUUCACUUGAUAAAUAGCAGAUUUUGUAGACAGUAGAGAUUUUUCAAUCUUGUAAAGCAAAUGUACCUCUGGAUUGCUAAAUGAAAGUUUGAUUGGAGAUGCAGUAUGGAAAACCCCUUCACAUCCCUCGACUAUUGCAUCAAACGAUCCCUCUUCCAGUAAGUUUGCCGAGUACAACUGAAGCCUUUCCUUAGCUCCAUCAAGUGAUGUCAAAUGUUGUGUCCUUUCCGGAUCAUCUGUGUCAUGAUUGUAUCAGUAGAAUGUUCAGACAGCUAUAAUCAAAACCUUGCCGCCUUGGUAAAGUGUACUAUGUUUUCACUAUGGUGAAACUCAAGAAGAAAUGGACAUAGAGUAAUAAUAAACGAAUCUCAAAGCAAUGAUAAAUUUGACUAGCUAAAGGCAAGCGGGGAAAAACGAAAAGAAAUUGACGGGCAACAUAAUAUGACCACAAUAAUAUCAUAGCCCUAUGAUUUCUGGUUUUGAGAUGCGUACAUUUGUAACUUUCUUGAUAACAAUUAAUUCUUGAGAUAAUUAUCAGAGGGACAAUUGUAUGCCAUCUACCACUAUUUUUAUAACAAACUCAGUCCUUCAGAAGAAGGAUAUAGAUUCGAUAGGCUAAAGAUUUUUUAUUAUAACUUGAUCGUUGUAUCUGGAGCAUGAAACAAUUAAGUUGGUCCACAUCAAAAAUAUAUAUAUAUAUUUUGCAUGUGAUUUUCUUUUGAGCAAACAGAACAUGGGGAGCAUUUAGCUGUUGCAAGAAUAUCAUCUGGAGCUACAAGACAAUUUCACACUGCAGAGUUGAAUAAAAAUAUUGGGCAAAUUACAUAUAAUCCUCCUGUGGCUUUGUCUGUUGCCACAUGACCCUUCUAACAUUUUAAAAUAUCCAAUUCACCCACUAUGAUUUUAUGUAAAGCGGAAACUUGAUGGAGAAUAGCCUAUAUAAUGUCGUUAAUUGAAAUACCAUUAGUACUUUUACUUAAAUGCUAAAUCAAUCGACGAUUUAAUUACCUUAUAUAAAAGUAUAAGGGGAUUAUAUGGAUAAAUAUAAAAAUCACAGGAGGGAUAAAGUGGACAAUUAUACAAACUAUAAGGGAAUUACAUUGAAAUUAAGACUUUAUUACACACGCUUUUAGAGCGCGUUUGGUAUAAAUGCCGUAAUUAAUUGUGCAUUCCAUCAUUUUCCGCUUUACAUAUAACUAUAGGGAAUUAUGUGGCUAUUUUGAAAUUUUAGAGGGACCAUCUAGCAUUAUAUAAAAUUACCCUAAAAUAUAGUUAUAAGUAAUUUACCCUAAAAUGUUAGAUUCCAGGGGCAAUUAAACAACAAUCAGAACAGGGCAUCAAAAACUGCACAAGCCACUAAGAUAGUUGAUCAAGAACAAAAACUGGAGUUACAGGCAUCUCGAACUGAACCUUUAACAGUAUAACCGCGCUCGAGCAGCAGCUUCACCAGCCAUGAAGCUAUGUAACCCGAAGCUCCGGUCACACACACCAUUUUCCCUUCUCCUGCUCCACUCAUUUUGUUAAUAUUUUUGUGUGUGAACCUGUCACCUGUUUGCCUUACUUCUGGACUUAAUGGAGGGAUGCAUAUAUGGUGUAUAUAUAGCUAUGGUGAAGAAGACGAAAGAUUGGAUAUGAGAUUACGUGGGAGACUAGGGAGAUCCAUAUGUAUUCUUGCAAUUUGCAUGCAUCAUCGCUGACAUACGUAUGGUAUAAUCGCGUCACAUCCCAUUUUAUCAAGGUCAAUUGAUCAGUGUAAAAUAGAAAUGAACAAUAAAUACAAUGGUAAAUUACCUUCUACACCCUAUGGUUUGAUGUUUUAUCACAUAACUCCCUAUGAUUUAAAAACCUAUAUUUGACCCUUUCAUAGUUUGGAUUAUUGUGUCACUUUAGAUUUUUCCGUUAAAACUAACGGUCAAUAGUAAAAAGUCAAAUUCAAACUACUAAAUUGAUAAAUUCACCAUUUCACUACUUUUUUUUUCUUGUUUUCCUUUUCUUUCUCUCCUUUUUUUUUUUUUGGAAAGAGAAGAGAUGACUUUGAAAACUUGUAUUUUGGCUUACAAAACCUUAAUUGUUUCCAAAUACAAAAGAGAUAGAAGGGAAAUAAAAAUAAAUCAACAAGAAACAAAAAAUAUGGAAGGUAAAGAUAUAACAAAUAAAUAAGAAACAAAAAAACACCAAAUCUUUUUUACUAUGAAUAUCAUUAUAGGUUUUUAAACCAAAUCUUUAAUAGUAUUUUCUAGUUCUUAUUUAUCUAUAUUUUAUUUCAAUUUCUUCUUUUUGAUGUUUGUAGGGGAAAAAAAACAAGUAAUGAAGGGAUAAAUUUGUCAAUUUAUUAGUUUGACUUUUUAAUAUUAACUGUUAGUUUUAACAAAAAAAACUAACUAUUAGGGGGUUAUGUAUAGUUUUUAAACGAUAGGGGGUUAUGUGAGAAAAUACCAAACUAUAGAGGUUAAAAGGCAAUUUAUCCUAAAUACAAAAUCAGGCGGUUGCAUAUGAAAAAAUACCAAGGUUCUUGACUUUGCUCAAUACAAUUCCAAGUCUAGAGACACAAUUUUUAAAUUCACUACCAGGAUAAACCAUUCUCCUUUUUUUUUUCGGGUUAAAAAAUACAAACUACUUGAACUAGAAACUAGUCCUGACAAAGUUUGUGGGUUUUUUGCAAGAGUUUUAGUUAAAUAUUGGUUACUUCGCCUAAUUUGCACCUAUUUUAUCACGUAAAUGCACACACACUUUUAAAAAAAUAAUGCAUGCACUUAUAUUAUUGCCUUUCGUACAUUUAAAUACUUUUUUCAAUUUAAUUUUACUUUUCUGGCAAAAUUAAAUCUGAAGCCCAUUUCAAGAAAUAUCCACCGAAUACCAGGUCAACAAAUCCCCUUCGUAAUAAAGAACGAAAAGAACCGCAGCGUUCUUAACACGCAGCGGUCUUUUUGCAUCUAAGAAAGCUUUUGAUUGGCUAGAAAUCCUUCUCUGAUUGAGAAAUGGGAAUUGACUUGAUGAUGGCAACUCCAUUUAGAAAACUGGUCCACACCCUUGAAUGUGGUUUAAAUUUAAUAACACCAUUUCAUCAUUUCUGACGACUGCUUCUUCUAUAUCGAUCCUAGCUCACUGCACACGCCAGUCGUGUGAAACUUGGCAAAAGAGUUACACCCGCCGUCCUAAAAUUGUUUGUCGCAUUUCGAAACCCAACUUUUUAAAAAUAGCAGCUUGAUGAUGAUAUUUGUAGAUUUGUCUCAAAAAUUGUCAUCAAAAAUUCAAAUUUUAAAUUGAAUUUAGUAUGAAAUAUAGAUAAAGUUAUUGGAAUAAUAUUGAAAAAAAGAGAUUAAAAGUUAUUUUGAUUUUUGAUAAGAUAAUAAAUAUUUUAGAACGUUUCAAAAUAAAAAAAAAAAUAUGACACUUUCAAUGAGACAAAAGAAUGGAGAGAAUAUAUUAUAUAAGAUACUGAAAACUAGCGUCCAUCAGAAGCAGUCAAAUCAAAGCCAACAUAUUACUUGUAGUUUGGUUUAUAACAAUAUCUCAGCUUGCUGGUAGCCCAAAAAUUUAGCAAAAUAAAUUAGGAAACCAAGUGCGAUAGAGCAUAUUUCACCCAAAUAUAUUAAAAGUGAAAAAAGAUUUAUUUUUAUUUAGUCAAUGUGAUUUUUGUGUCCGCAUGCCCAUAAAGCUUCAAGGACCAAAAAGCCAAACAUACGAAGUGAAAAUGUGAAGAGCAAUAAUUUGAAUAUAAAAAAAAAAAGCAAGUAGAUGGAUAGAAAACCAUGUCGAAGGUCUCUUCUCUCUCUUUUUUUUUUUUUUGGUUUGACCAUGCAUGGUGCAUAUGAUAUGAAGGAUAAUUGUAAAGCACCAUAUACUGCCCAAGGAAAGUAGAUUACACAGUGGGAACCAAAAAUAGAAGAAAAUAAAGCCUCAUAUGAACCGAAUCUUUCCCCUUGCUUUUUUUCUGGGAAUUUAAAGGUAUAAUGCAAGAAAUAACUCCUGGUCAUGCAAAAUUGCCAACAAAAAAUGCGUCUUUGGUUUUAAAUUCCUUAAUAACAUACUAUCCAGCAUACUAUUUAGCAUAAUAACAUACUAUCUCAGAUGCAUCCACUCCAAAUAUCCUGGCCGAGAUGGUAUAUGAGGCCAAUUUUCUAUCAAAAAUAUAGGUCGUCUGUAGCAGGUAAUGACGUUACCUCACUACAACAAAAAUGGCCUUUAGCGGCAUUUAAAGGUGUCAGUAUAGAAAAUCUAACCUGACACUUUAUCUAUCCUGACACCCAUGGCGGAUCGAGUGUUGUCCCUUCCAAUGUGGGAUAGCCUCAAAUCUUUAGCAGCAUUCAAAUGUGUCAGGCAAACCAUGCUGCUAUAUCUUUACCUCUGCCAACAAAUCUCUUUUUUUGUGAUAAUCGAAAGUGUCUGUAUAGCGUUAGGACAUCAGAGUAGGGAAUCAGUAGGAUAUCAAAUUUAUGAAGACAUCUUGAGUUGUCUUAAUAUAUGGCUUUAAGGACACGUAGCCAUGUGAAUUUACAAUGUGUUGGACGACAUGCCCAUUUGUUGUUAGUGUUUUUUCGAAGCUACAUAAUUUAUCAACCCAUAUGACAAGGGUUUAUUUUACGUAUUUUUAGUGUGUUUUAUUAGUUAAUUUUGGUUUGAUUAUUUAGUAUUAUAACUAAAAUAACUAAGGUUUUGGUAAAAAACUACAUUUUAUUUAAAAUGGCUAAACAUUGCAUUUUAUGGAUUUUUAUGGUAAAAACUUCAUAUUUUGUAGGUUUAAUGAUUCAAUCAUCAAAUGAAGGCAUUGAGAAGAUAUUUGGAUGAUUGAAGAUGGAUUAAAGUGAGGAAAAUAAAAUAUGAAGUGUAAAAGGAAGAAAUGCAAUUUGAGGACAAAAAUCAAGAAAAGUCAGCUUUGACAACUCAGACAUAUAUUUUAUUUUGACUAUAUCAGGAGCUACAAUGAUCGGAUCAAGGUGAUCUUGGUACCAUUUUGAAGUUAAGAGAUAUAUCUACAUUUGGUAUGAAGACAUCAAAGUCCAGUUCAGCCGUUUUCAUAGUCCAAAAGUUGAAAUACCGAAAUUCAACUCAGCUGUCCAAAGUGGAAAACAGAGUUCCGACCAGUGUUUAGUAUUUUGAUCAUAUCUCAGUCUACAAAGCUCCGAUUUGGAUGAUUCUUGAAGCAUUGGAAAGCUAACUCAAAGAUAUACAACUUUGAUGUUUUGCACAAAAGCCAGUUCGGCCUGCAUCAUGGAGAAAAUCGCAGUUGAAGUAAGGACAAAGUGAAAACGCGAGUGCACAAAACGCGAGUUGUAGACGCGUUUUGUAAAGGCGCGUUUUCUGGCCGAAAUUCUGCAAUUUGCUCAGUCAAUUCUCUUGUGUUCAUACCACUUUCCAGCUAUAAGUUGCAAGAGAAUUCGGUGCACAUGCUUCAGAAGACAAAAGGGCAGACAAGGUGGCUUAUUUUCAAGUCAAAAACAUUUGUUAUUGACUAUCCUAACAAAGUUGAGAUUUGGGAAUCAAAAUGUGGAAAUUGACUUGGAAAAAUGGAGCUCUUAAGCAGUUUAUAUGCAGAGACAUUUUGGGUGGUCUGAGAAGGGGGAAAUAUACGGGAGAAGCUUGAGGAGUGCAGAAAUGUAGUUCUUCCAUUUCCUUAGUGUAGGAUAGUGUAGUAAGUGUAGUUCAUCCAUUCUUGUAUAAUGGCUAGAUUAGGAUGAAAAUGGAGAUGAAGAAAGAGAAGUUGAAGCUCAAGUGACAUGGGUUAUCUCUUCUCCAACUCUUUAUCUUUUGUAUUGGAUUCUUAAAUAUAGUUAAUAUGCAAUUUCUGGAUUUUAUAUUUAAUAUGUGUCUUUAAAGUUUAUACCUUGGGUUUGGUUGAACUUUCUAUGAUUGUUAGUGUUUAUCAUUUGGCUAUUUAACUGCUAUGAUUUGAGCAAGUUAUUUAGCACUUUAACUCUUUAAAUCAUGAUUAAUAUGGUACCAUUAAUUGUGAUUAUCUAAGGUGUUAUUUCUGCAAUGAAAAUUGAGAUUUAACAUUAGUUCAAGAAGUGCUAAACAUAGGGAGUACACUCACGAAAGUAGAGGUGCACCUAUGUGGUUUUUAGUGAUUCAUUUCAUGUAAUUUCACUGAAGAAAUGAACUUGUAGCUAAUUUCAUAACCAUGAGAAUAGGUAUGGAUUAGUUAUAAGUAUAAUUGAUUCACUACGAAAGUAGGAUUCAAAUGCAUAAGGAAAUUACACCAUAAUUAGCCUAGAUGUAGUAAUUAAUGAUCCAAAUAUAGCACUUGCAUGAGUAGUUAGGGAUACCACAACCUAAGGAGCUUUUAUUUGUUAUUUUGUAUAAUUUCAGUAGGAUAAAUUUGCUAUAAUUCAUUGAUAGUCUAAAUAAUAGAGAAGCUUUAGUAAUACCGGUAAUUGUUCACUCUUCCUUGUAGGAUCGACCCGAUAUAUACCCUAAACUACUAGUUGAUCUGUAUACUUGCAGUGAACGGGUGUAAUUCGGUAUUUUUUAGCUUGCACGUAUGUAAAAUACCCGUCACCAUACACCAAAUGAAUUUUCCUUGUAGAUGAAUAUCUAAUAUGACUGAAUUCAGAAUGUAUGGGUCUGUUAAAUCUAUUGAAAAGUUUAGAGCACAGUUAAAAUAUAUGGGUCCAUUACAUACAUUAGUUUGAAUCAUAGAAAGUAAAGAAGUUUUAUAUCUUUUGAGUUUAGUAUCUCUUAAUGCUAGAUAUAUAGGAGCAUCUACUCCUAGAUGGAAUAAGGGUUUUACUGUAAUUUGUAUUAAACCUAUAUGAAUAUAUCUAUAUUAAAAUGUGGAUCCCUCCAUUGUAUAAACCUAAUGACUGUAAUCCUAAUAUUAUAUCAUGAUUUAUAUUUUUUACAAUUAUGAAAUUAUGUCUAAUACAAUAUUCAUUGUUACAUAUUGAUCCUUUUGUAAAUUUAUAUUUUACUUGUAAAUUUUCUCCAUUUGCUGCCAUUAAGGUUUCCUUUGUUCUUUCACAAUAUUUAGUAGAAAUUAUUCCUUCUUUAAUACAACUUGAAUCAGGCUCCACUUCUAUUAAAGCUCUACAUAUAUUUCUUUGAAAUCUUCUACUGUAAUAGUUACUAAAGCAUACCAUUUUUGAAAUAUCAUUUUUUCUAUGGUAUUUAAAUAUUGAAUUUCAUCUGUUGUUUUUUUUUUGGUCUUUCUGAUAUACUUAUUUCUUCUGUUUUAGAAUUGGAAGUUGAUGGUUGAUUUUCUAGUAAUGUUAUUUUUGCUUCUAUUUCUAAAUCUUUUGUUUUUAAUUCUAUGAUUUCUCUUUGUAAUUGUUUUACUUGUAUUUUAAGAUCAUUAAUUUCUGUUUGAAGAUCUUUAGUGGUUUCUUUUUUCAUUAUAUUUAUGUUUAGAUAUUUAUCUAUUAAUUUAGAAAUACUAAAAGGUUCUAUUAUUUUUGGCAUUUUGUCUUCUUGUAUAAUUAGACUUUUUAAUCUUUCUAAAUACUCUUUUUUAGCUACUGGAUCAUCAAUUUUUUCUAUUAUAUCUAAUAAAAAUUCUUUAUCUUCUUUUUUGGUUAUAACAUUUAUAUAUUUUGAAGUGUUAGAACAAUUACAAUUUUCUUCACUUUCUGUACUAGAUAUAUCAUUAUAAUAAUCAUCUUCAGAAUUUUGAUCUUUUUCAUUAUUAAUAAAUUAAUUAAUUUAUUUUUAAUUUCUUCUUCUUUUGCACAAAUCUCUGUAAUUUUUUCUUUUAAUUUACAUUUGUUUGCUUUAUGUCCUAUUUUUUCACAUUUAUAACAAACAAUUUUUCUUUUAAUAAAUUUUCUCUUCUUUUCUGGUUUAUCUUCUUUAGAUCUUUUAUACUUUAUUUUCUUAUUAUAUUUUUUAACUUUUUUGUUAUAUGCAGAUGGUGAUUUAAUUCUUUAGUAGCAAAUUCUAAAGCUCUAUUAAUUGGUUUUAUUGUUCCUUGAUAUAUAUCAUGUCCUAAAAAUCUUAUUUUUGUUUGGAAUAAUUUCAUUUUUGGUGCUGAAACAACUAAUCCAUUUUUCUUAACUACUUUUAAAAAUAUAUUUAAAUGUUUGAAAUGCUGUUCUAUUGAUUCAGAAAAUAUUAAUACAUCAUCAAUAUAAACUAUGCUAAAUGAACUAUAAGGAUUGAAAAUAUCAUUCAUUAUAUUUUGAAAUUCUGAUGGUGCAUUUUUUAAUCCGAAUGGCAUUACGUUCCAUUCAUAAUGACCAAAAGGUGUUGUGAAUGCUGUUUUAUAUCUAUCUUUUGGUGUUAUUAAUAUUUGCCAAUAUCCUGAUUUUAGUUGUUUCAGCACCAAAAAUGAAAUUAUUUCAAACAAAAAUAAGAUUUUUAGGACAUGAUAUAUAUCAAGGAACAAUAAAACCAAUUAAUAGAGCUGUAGAAUUUGCUACUAAAUUUCCAGAUGAAAUAAAAGAUAAAAAUCAAUUACAAAGGUUUUUAGGAUGUUUAAAUUAUAUAGCAGAUUUCUUUCCUAAAUUAAGACAAGAAUGCUCUAUAUUAUUUAAUAGAUUAAAAAAGAACCAUUUCCACCAGUGAUUGAACCAGAUUGGGAAUUCUCUACUGCAACUUUUUUGAAUGUGAAGAACCAUGAAUGAUUGAAUGGUCUAUACAAAAAAAGCAAAAGUCUAAUUAUACAAGAAGACAAAAUGCCAAAAAUAAUAGAACCUUUUAGUAUUUCUAAAUUAAUAGAUAAAUAUCUAAACAUAAAUAUAAUGAAAAAAGAAACCACUAAAGAUCUUCAAACAGAAAUUAAUGAUCUUAAAAUACAAGUAAAACAAUUACAAAGAGAAAUCAUAAAAUUAAAAACAAAAGAUUUAGAAAUAGAAGCAAAAAUAACAUUACUAGAAAAUCAACCCUCAACUUCCAAUUCUAAAACAGAAGAAAUAAGUAUAUCAGAAAGACCAACAGAUGAAAUUCAAUAUUUAAAUACCAUAGAAAAAAUGAUAUUUCAAAAAUGGUAUGCUCUAGUAACUAUUACAGUAGAAGAUUUCAAAGAAACAUAUGUAGCUUUAAUAGAUAGUGGAGCUGAUUCAAGUUGUAUUAAAGAAGGAAUAAUUCCUACUAAAUAUUGUGAAAGAACAAAGGAAACCUUAAUGGCAGCAAAUGGAGAAAAUUUACAAUUAAAAUAUAAAUUUACAAAAGGAUCAAUAUGUAACAAUGAAUAUUGUAUUAGACAUAAUUUCAUAAUUGUAAAAAAUAUAAAUCAUGAUAUAAUAUUAGGAACACCUUUUUUAAUUCAAAUUUACCCAUUUUCAGUUAGUCAUGAAGGAAUUUCAAUAAAUAUAAUGGGAAAAACUGUUAUCUUUAGAUUUCUAACUCCAGUAAAACAAAGAGAAUUACAGACAUUACAAACAUCCUCUAUUUACAAAACAAUAAAUAGUAUUACUAAAGUACAACAACAAAUAAAUUAUAUAAAAGAAGAAAAAUCUUAUUUAAAAAUUGAAGAACAAUUAAAAGAAAGUAAAAUGCAAAAAAGAAUUUCAGAAUUAGAAGAAUUAUUACAAAAAGAAAUUUGUGCAGAUAUUCCUAAUGCUUUUUGGGAUAGAAAACAACAUAUGAUUGAAUUACCUUACGAAACAGGUUUUAAUGAGAAAAACAUUCCUACUAAAGCAAGACCAAUACAAAUAAUUCUGAUCUAUUAGAAUUUUGUAAAAAGGAAAUAAAAACAUUAAUAGACAAAAAAUUAAUAACACCUUCAAAAUCACCUUGGAGUUGUGCUGCAUUCUAUGUAAUGAAUCAAGCUGAAAAAGAAAGAGGAGUUCCAAGAUUAGUUAUAAAUUAUAAACCAUUAAAUAAAGUAUUACAAUGGAUUAGUGAAUAAUACAAUAAAUUUAUAAAUUUAGAAUUAAUAGAGGAUACAAUAAAUUAAAGUAACCAUUUUUAUAAAUUUAAUAGAGCUCAAAUGCAAAUAAUACAAUAAAUUUAGAAGACAUUAAAAAAGUUUAUCAACAAAAUAAUUAUACAAAUCAAAUCCUUCAUACAAUUUCUCAACAUAUGGAAGUAUUAAACACAAAAAUAGAUACUAUAAAGAAACCAGAAUUAAAAUUCCCUAAUAAUAUUUCAGCACCUCAUUUUCAACCUAGAAGUUUGACAAGAGAAAAAGAACAAGAUUUAGAUUCAAAAUCAGAAGACAAAGCAUCGGCGAAUUAGUGAGAAAAAGAGAACAAAACACUCUCGUGUAAAAAUCCUUAGACAAAUCUCUCAAUCCCUCUUUCCAACUACUCUUGUAUUCAAUUACUUUUGUUUCCUUCCUUCUCCAAAUAUAAUAAAGAUCAAGGAUUCAACCAUUCAUCAAGCUUCCGUUAUCAAAGGCCACUCUAAAUUUUCAGUAAGUCCAAUUUUUAUACUAAAUUUUCUAUGAACAUUUCAAUAGAAAGUAGCCUGGGUAGAAGUGGUAUCAGAGCCACUUAUCACAUUAUCUUUACAGUGUUAUUAAGGAAAGUAGAUUACACAGUGGGAACAAAAAUAGAAGAAAAUAAAGCCUCAUAUGAACCGAAUCUUUCCCCUUGCUUUUUUUUUCUGGGAAUUUAAAGGUAUAAUGCAAGAAAUAACUCCUGGUCAUGCAAAAUUGCCAACAAAAAUGCGUCUUUGGUUUUUAAUUCCUUAAUAACAUACUAUCCAGCAUACUAUUUAGCAUAAUAACAUACUAUCUCAGAUGCAUCCACUCAAAUAUCCUGGCCGAGAUGGUAUGAGGCCAAUUUUCUAUCAAAAAUAUAGGUCUGUAGCAGGUAAUGACGUUACCUCACUACAACAAAAAUGGCCUUUAGCGGCAUUUAAAGGUGUCAGUAUAGAAAAUCUAACCUGACACUUUAUCUAUCCUGACACCCAUGGCGAGUGUUGUCCCUUCCAAUGUGGGGAUAGCCUCAAAUCUUUAGCAGCAUUCAAAUGUGUCAGGCAAACCAUGCUGCUAUAUCUUUACCUCUGCCAACAAAUCCUUUUUUUGUGAUAAUCGAAAAUGUCUAUAUAGCGUUAGGACAUCAGUAGGGAAUCAGUAGGAUAUCAAAUUUAUGAAGGCAUCUUGAGUUGUCUUAAUAUAUGGUUUUAAGGACACGUAGCCAUGUGAAUUUACAAUGUGUUGGACGACAUGCCCAUUUGUUGUUAGUGUUUUUCGAAGCUAAGCUAUGCUGACACUUUUAAUUGCCAGGAGAAUUUUCCCUGGUUUUUUUUUAUGGAAGCAACCUGCAAUUAGUCCUCCUUGCUGUACAUUCCAUCAACCAGAAUCCCAAGGGACUUGUAAAAUUAUCCCAAAGAGCAGAAUGCAUAUGGCAAUGUAAAAGAAGAAGUCGAUACUCAAAUAUAAUUCAUUGAAUUAAAAGUCGAUAACAAGUACAAACAUAGCAAAUACUAAAACGCAAACAAGUGCUAAAAGCAAGUACUAAAAUAUCAAACCAGUACCGAAAGAUUCUCAUUUACAAUAACUUAAAAGCUCUAUCGGAAGCACAAAAUAAAAGACUCCAUCCCUAAUAAGUUGAAAGAAGUAGAAGUAGCUUCCAAACUUUCCAUUUUGUUGAGAGUCCUCAGGCAUAACCACGAAGUCCCCAUCAUUCUUCAGCUGGUUCCACCUGUGCACAAAGACCAAGGGGAUCAUUAGAUCAUCAUAACUAGAACUAAAAUUCCAGAAAAUCCGCAAUGUAUUUAAGUGCAUAUCUCACCAAAUGACAAGGCCAAGCAACUGGUGCACCAAGUGCAUCUUGAAUCGUUUGUUGUAAACCAUAUGGUCUAAUCAAUUGCUCACGUGGAGUCAUUGCAACUUGUAUCUGUAUUUCACACCAGUUUGGCCCAAGAGCUUGUCCCCCGACCUCAUCCAAUGGAUUCAGACUCCGUAAAUAUCCCUUUGCCACGAUUUUUGUUGGGUCAAACAAACUUUUUAGUGAAACCAUAUUCCCUACCUAGUAAACAUCCAACAAGUACAAGAAUCAAACUCAUGCCAAAUUCCAGAUUACAAAUGCAAAAGUUUAGAAGUUGUAAAUACUUACUCAAAUAGGUCGCGUGGCUCGCGAUGGAGCAUGGCUUGACACAUUGUUAGAUGAUGAUGAAGGAUGUCUCGGGCUGUCAAUUGGAGAGCCCCUUCCAUGUUGAACUAAAACCAUUUUCUUCAAGCUGGCUAUUUCAUCAUCUUGUCGCUGAAGCCUUUCCUCCAAACGGACUAAUGUUGACUGUUGUUGAACACUUAUACGGUAGCAUGUGUUACGACUAGGAAUGUCUUCCCAUAAGUCCGUUGGAUUCACACCGUCACUAAGCAAGCGAACAUGACCAUGUUUGUCUUGCCCAACCACCUGGGCAAAUAUAUCAUCACGACCAACUGGAUCUUGCGAAUCCGAUGGAAGCUGAUUUUUCAGCUCAGUCAUUUUUUCCUACAUAAUAAAGGAAAACACUUGUUAUUGCAAAAGACUGUCUGAAAACAUCCAUGGUAGAAUUGAUAGGCUUGUGUUCUCGGAUCCUUACCAAAUUCUCAGCAACUAUGGUACUUGAUGGAGUUCCAUCGGCAUGGGUAUAAAACUUAUUGAACAUUUCUACUCUAGUAGGAGGUCUUCCCAACUGUUUGGCCUAUAAGAAAUUGAAUCGUUUUAAUUAUAGUUUUAGCAUUUAGCAUAUAAUUAAAAAACAAGCUAACAUAAUGAAACAUGUACGAGCAAAAAAAAUUAGCAACUAAAAAGUGGAUGAGGUAUCACCAAGUGGUUCCGAAGAUGAGCAAAUGACUUUUUUCCGGUUGUGUGGUUCAUCUUCUUCUCCCCUCUAGCUUUCUUGUUCCUCUCACUUAGUUUCUAAAUUUCAAAAUCAAAAGCAAGAUUACAGCAUUGAAUGAACACAACUUUAUGAAGAAUGUUGUAGCUGAUUUGUACCUUUGCUUCUUCACUUUUCCAAUAAGCCCAAAGUUUGAUCCAUUGCUCUUCCCGUACCCUUAUGUCCUUUUGAAACCGAGCUUCAGCAUUUGGCACGGCAGAAUCAAAAUAGUUAGCCUUUAAAUCUGCCUUCCAGCUUCUCCAUUUUUUGCCAAUAGAUCUUAAGGUCCAAGCUUCCAGUCCCAUAGGCAAAGCAAACCUUUCCUGAAACGUAGUUAGCAACAAGAAAAUCAACACAACUUCACAGUAAUUUUUGUACAAAGCAUACAUAAUACAAAAGCUGCCAUUACCUUUAUCACUUCUAACAUGUCCAUUUUAAGUUUCCUUGGCAUCUUAAGCCAUGUUUCAACAUCUAUUGGACAAUACAUACCAUUCCUAGCCAAACUGCCCAAGAAUUCAGAGAAAGAGUUUUUCUCACUUAUUGGGAUCCCAUUGUCAUCGAGUUUAAUCUCAAUCCGUGGAAGUUCCUUAGGCCGACCCCAAAUUUCUUUCAUAAAUAUAGGGCCUCGGGUUUUAUGAUUUACUUCACUUGAAUCAUUUGUAGUUUCUUUUCCUGUUUAAAAUAAGAAAAAGGUGCAAGUUAUGAACAUAACAAAAUGCACUUCUGGAAUUGGUUCAAAACAGUUAGUAAUACCUGCAUUGUCCGAGUUGCAUGACAUGAAGGUGGUGUCACUGGAAUGUGGACCUCGAGAAUCCUGAUUUGGACUUUCUUCAGUUGCUUCAUGCCUUGUUCCAAGUGGAGAUUGUUGAAUUGGAGAGUUCUGGCACUGCUCAUGCGACUUGGAACCUCCAUCAGCUUGUUGAGUAACUUGGUCACCUGAUUCAUGCAUUAUUCCCAAUGUAGAAUUCUGAAUUGCAGAUUGAGGUGCCCGAGCAGCUUCUCCUUGCACUUGUUCAAUUACAUUUUCAUGGCUUGUUCCAAGUGGAGGCUGCUGCCUUGUUUCAUAACAUGAGGGAGGUUGCUCAAUUGGUUCAUCUCUCAAUCCAUUUGCAGCGGCUUACAUUUUCGACCUCUACGGGCCAUACCUGCAUAAUAUUUGAGUGAAGAAAGGGACAAAUGUAAAUGUUUAAAAUUUAUUGAAGCACACUCUCUACCUAUAGUUUCUUUAACUUACAAAUGCUAUUAUAAAGAAGUACUACUUGAACAAUAAACUGGCAUGACAAGUAACAAAUGGCAUUCUGCAAGAAUAAACCAGGGGAAGACUAUGGAGCUGUCAACAGAACAGAGAAACAAAUGGAGAAUAUAUGAUUCAAUGCAGCAACUAAUUGGAAAUGAAAUGAAAGCUACAUGCUUAAGUGACUGCAAGAAUAUACAUGGGAAAUGCUUUGAUCUACAUCCUUUCAGCAUGAAAGAUAUGCAGAAUUUACUACCGCUAGACACGAAACUUUUUCCAUAUUGUUUGAGAAUGAUGCCUAUGAUCAAAAGUUGGUAUGCUUAUGCUCAAUGAGGGUGUAAGUAGAAGAGUCCACGUAAUUUUAACUUCAGUAAUGGAGCAAACUAAUAAAUGAUUGUCUUGAAUUAACGAAAUAUACUUGGCCAUGUGAUAACCAAAAAUUGCAGAGGAUAAUGUAUUCUACCAACAAAUACAAGUCUUGGUUUUGUAUGUUUAGGGUGGCAAUCGGGUCGGUUAUGAAGCUCUACUGAAUACUUUUAUUUCCAGAUUCUGACAUGGUUCUGCAUUUAUCAAGAACUUGUCUCAUCUAAACAAGAGCUCAAGCUUUACGUAGCAUUGACGAUUCCAAACCAAAUUACUUCUCUUUUUGCCAGAGCCACAUCCACAGUUAUGGGUUGACACUUAACAGUAAAUGCACAAACACUUCCAAUACAAUUGUAGCAGUACAAACAAUACAGUUGUAGAACAGGAAGGAGACGAAGAGCAUCACGGUGAAAGACUGAAAACGAGAACCCAUCACCAAAAAUAGAUGGUUGAAAUUGUACAUUCAGUUCACAGUAGCAGUCUCCAUUCGACCAGGCUCACCUAGAAAUGUGCUUCUCAGAAAUGUGCUUUUCACACCGCCACCACCCCAAAAGCUUUUCACACCACCACCACCCCCAAAGCAAACAUUCUACCUAGAAAUGUGCUUCUCAGAAACGGAGAAGGUGCUUGUCAGAGAUGGGAAUCGAAUAGCCUAAAAACUAAAUCUACCAAGCAAUGCAAGAACAUGUCUACCAUGCAAUGCAGAAUUAGACACAAAAUACUGAAAUUACCUCAAACUAUGGCUUGAAUCCCUAAUUUCUCGGUUUCCCAAGCUUUGAAGCCCUAAUCUCUGAUUUCUUCCCACCAAGCCAACACAACAGCCGAAUUAGGGAUUUGCCUGGUGCGAGCUCAACCAAGUUACCCAAAAGGGUGCGAGUUCAUGGACGGCAAUUGACUCAAAUUGGUUGUGCGAGCUUGAAAGAGAGAGAGAGGACAAAGGCAGAGGACAACGAGAGAGGGAGAAGAUGUCUGAAAUAAAGGCAGUACUAAUGACGCCAAAGUAAAUUAGUCAAGCCUCUUGAAUUUUUCAAUUUGCUGCGCUACUAAUGACAAUUUUUGUGUGUUUGGGCAAAAUUUUGUUAAAGCUAUAUAACAACUAAAAAUUUGGUUAAAGCUAUAUACAAUAUAAUAUAACAACUAAAAAUAUAAAGGCUAAAAAUCUUGUUAAAGCUAUAUAACAACUAAAAAUAUAACAAAUAAAAAUUUUGCAAGAGCUAUAUACAAUAUAAUAUAACAAUCAAAAAUUUUGUUACAGCUAUAUAACAACUAAAAAUAUAACAAAUAAAAAUUUUGUUAAAGCUAUAUACAAUGUAAUAUAAUAACUAAAAAUAUAAAAAUAAUUAAAAAUUUUGAGAAGCUAACAAAAAACAUUCUUUUAAUCAAAAUGUUUUCGGUUACUCAAUUUAUUUUAUGCUGCGAGCAAUUAUGUACGGCUUGUAGUCUAACAAGCCAUUGGAAGGAUCGAAUUAGUUUAUGAAACAAGAAAAUUAACUUGUGAAUGCAUGAACUUUCCAUUGAUAAACAUUGGGAUUAGAAUUGACUGAACAUAAACAAUGAAUAUAUAUAUAUAUAUAUUCAAUGUUUUCAAUUCCAAAGCAAUUGCCAUUGAACUUUGUGUUAAUUAGAAACUUACUAUCACUUACAAGAUCUUACUAUUGAACUUUUCAAUGAUUAACCUUAGGCUUACACUUACAACGCAUUAAUUGAACAUAAACAUAUAUAUAUAUAUAUAUAUAUAUAUAUAUAUAUAGGGUAAAAAACAAAAAGGCCCCCUGUGUUAACCUAAUACACAGAAAAGCUCCCCAUGGUUUCAAAAUAUACAACACGAUCCCUCAUGCUUUGAACUAAAUUGUAAAGGUGACGGAAUCCGUUAAACUUAACGGAAAUGGACGAAAUGACCAAAAUGCACUGAUAUAAUUAAGCAAAAGACAGCUCAAAAAAAUCAUUUGUUUCAUUCUCUAAGUAGAGAGAAUUGAGGGUUAAGGGGUAGAAUAUGCAUAUUUGAUAAAAAAUAGGCAUAAAAAUUUUUUUUAGGUUCCAAUAAGUCAUUUCCGUUAAGUUUAACGGAUUCCGUCACCUUUAUAAUUUAGUUCAAAACAUGAGGUGUCGUAUUGUAUAUUUUGAAACCAUAGGGGAUUUUUCUGUGUAUUAGGCUUACCACAGGGGGUUUUUUGUUUUUUACCCAUAUAUAUAUAUAUAUAUAUAUAUAUAUAUAUAUAUUCAUUGUUAAAAAUUCCAAAGCAAUUGCCACUGAACUUUGUGUUAAUUAGAAACUUACUAUCACUUACAAGAUCUUACUAUUGAACUUUUCAAUGAUUAACCUCAGGCUUACACUUACAACGCAUUAAUUGAACAUAAACAUAUAUAUAUAUAUAUAUAUUCAAUGUUUUCAAUUCCAAAGCAAUUGCCAUUGAACUUUGUGUUAAUUAGAAGCUUACUAUCACUUACAAGAUCUUAAUAUUGAACUUUUCAAUGAUUAACCUUAGGCUUACACUUACAACGCAUUGAUUGAAGGAUAAUCUAAAAUUGCGACUAAACCGAUUAAAUUCGAUCAAAGAUCAGUUGGACUAGAAAGCUCUAUCGGAAUUAACUUUUUGUAUUGUUAUUGGUUUAAAAAAUAAUUUUUUCAUGGUAUUAAAAAAUUAUUUAAGAAAUUUAUAGAUUAAAGUUUCAAAAUAUUUCUAUUGAUAAAAAAUUAGACCUCGGUUAUUGGGAAAAAGAAUUGGCCAUAAAAUAAUGAUUCACAAAUGUAAUAUUACAGCUUACAAUUAAUGGAAUUGCUUAUAAAAUAAUGACAAGUAUUUAUCCAGCCCAUUGGGCUCUUAAAAUAAGUAAUGGGUUCCUUGGAAAGUUGGAUAGUUUUAUGUUUGGUCUGAAAUGAUUUGCACAUUCCGUACGUUGCCAAUUGUUCUCCCCAAAUCAUAGCCUCGGUUGCCAAUUGUUCUCAUGCUAUUAAAAGAAAAAUCAUUCCAAUACCAUUUUUAUGAAUAAGACUGACGAUUACUAACCAAGACUAGAAAUCCAAAAACUGGACCAUGGGAGUAUCAAUGAAGAAAGGCCUUAAAGAGGCAAAUUAAUACACAAGUUUUAACUAAUAGCACCAACUCUUUUAUCACAUCUGUCAGAAGGCUUAACAUGACAUCGAGAGCACUAAACUCAAAAAAAAAAAAUGCAAAACCCAUCGACAAAAGGAAAUAAAGCCUAGGCCUCGCAAUUGAAACAGAGAAGAAUAAGGCCAGUAAGCUUUAAAGCUAUAAAAGAUUCUAAAUCAGAUUAUAUUGGGACAAAUCAACUUCAAUCCCAAGUCCAUUCUCACGAACCCAACUAAUUUCCUCAUUUUCAUUCUCAACAACAGGAUUGCCAACAUCACUUUGCAAAUAUGUCUCAACAUCCAUGGUUGUGCCAUGUUAUAUCCAGCUCUUGCAGUGGUAGAGAUAACCACUUGCCAAUCCUUAUCAGUUGGAUCUUCCAUAAAAAACCUGUGAUGCUUGUGAAGCAAGUAUAAAUGGCUCAACAUGAGGCCUCACGUUUGCAAAAUUGACUAAAGUAAACCCAUCAGCAUCUUGUUUCAUUCUCGAACCAUUUGAUAUCCAAUCACAUUCGAAUAACACCACCCGGCGACCUCCGUAAAUUAAUUCAAUCAUAUUUUUCAAGAUGCCGAAGUAAACUAGUUCACUCAAAACUGGAUUUUGAUCCCUUAUACUUGCAAAACUGGAUGUUGUUGCAUUGACUGUAACACCACUAUUCUGCGUUUUUCUUUUCUUCUCAACUUCUUUGGUGUGAAACCGAAAUCCAUUAACAACAUACCUGCCAUGUUGGAUUCCAACAACAUCUGGACCUUUAGUAAGGAACCUCAACUCUCUCAACACCGAAACAUUUUGAGGAAGUUCUAACUUGUCAAUCUGUAAAAAAAAAAAAAAAAAAAAAAAGAUGAAACAAUAUUUGAAGUCCUACAAUUCAAAUUGUACUUAAUAUUCAGAAUUUUACUUACAUGUUCAGCAAACCAACAUGCAAAAUUUUCACUGUGCAAGCGCUCUUUUAGAUGCUGUGGAACUUGAGGAUGUCCUUCUUCUAUCAAUCUACGAUGCUGCCUAGAAGUACAUGAGUCAAAAUUGUAAUCAUACAUUGAAUUCUACAAUAAAAUUUUAAUGCAUCAAGUUGUAGUUGAACUUACUCUAUGUAAGGUGUGACAGCAUCACAGUUAAAUAAAAUACUGAUGUGCUUUACUCAAGAUAUGAGCAUCAAAGACUGUUGGCUUGCCCCUCCCCAAAGGAUGUCCUGAUUCAGAGAAUAUAUCUAAACCAUCUUCAAUUUCCUUAUGUACUUCUUCAUUUCUGCUUGGACGAUUGAAUUUUGUCUCAACAUAGUCCGCAAGAUACAAUGAGCAAAAGUUAAUGCAUUCUUCUGCCAAGUAGCCUUGAGCAAUCGAACCUUCAGGCCUACUUUUAUUUCGAACAUAAGAUUUUAAUGUUCCUAAGUACCUAAAUUAUCAUCAUUCCAAACUCUCUAAUUAGUUCCACAAAUCAAAGAAAGCAAAAAAGGAAUAAACAUUUAAGGCAUAAUGAGAAUUACAAGCAGUACCUCUCUACAGGAUACAUCCAACGAUAAUACACCGGCCCACCUAAUUUCACUUCAAUUGCCAAAUGAACAACUAAAUGCACCAUGACAUCGAAGAAGGUUGGUGGGAAGCAUUUCUCAAGAUCGCAGAGUAUGACGGCAAUUUCACUUUCCAAACGAAACCACAUCUUGAGGACAAAUAACUUUAGAACAAAGCUGCCUGAAGUAUCUACUCAAUCGAAUCAAAGGAUAGCGCACUGAUUUUGGUAAAGUCUUUCUCAAAGCUAUAGGCAUCAAUUGCUGCAUUAGGAUAUGAUUAUCAUGACUUUUAAGCCCUGAAAUUCUUGGUGGUUUUACUCGAACGCAUCUUGAGACGUUAGCUGCAUAACCAUCUGGAACUUUCACCUUUUUUAGCACAUUGCAAAACAUAGUUUUCUGUUUUUUAUCCAUUGCAAAGGAAGAUGGAGGUAAGUACACCUUUCCAGGUUCUGUCUCAAUGGGAUGCAGCUCUUUUCUUAGUCCCAUUUCUCUCAAAUCACGGCGGGAAUUAUAAUGGUCCUUUGUUUUAUCCUCGGUGUCCAGCAAUGUCCCCAAAUGUUUUCACAAACAUUUUUCUCAAUGUGCAUGAAGUCAAGAUUGUGUCUUAAGACAUUAUCUUUCCAAUAUGGCAAGUCAAAGAAAAUACUCCUCUUUUUCCAAUUGAAAGGCAGCUUCGGAUUACCUUUCACAAGUUUUCCAAAUUUAAUUUGCAAGUCUCCCAAUUCACUCACAAUCAUAUCCCCGGUUUGCAAAGGUGGUCGCUUUCCAUGUUCUUCGGUGCCAUCAAAGAAUUGGGCUUGCUUUCUAAAUUUAUGCUUACUAUCUAAGAAUCUCCGAUGACCUAUGUAGCAAUAUUUGAAACUAUGAGUCAACCGUCGUGCAUGAGUGAACUUGUGACAAACAGGACAAGCAUAUUCACCUUUAGUGCUCCACCCAGAUAACAUUGCAUAUCCAGGGAAAUCACUAAUGGUCCACAACAGAGCCGCAUGCAGUUGAAAAUUUUCUUUUUGGGAUGCAUCAUAAGUUUGAAUGCCAAAAUCCCACAAUUCGGUCAGUUCUUUAACUAGAGGCUGUAGAUAAACAUCAAUAUUAUUCCUAGGAGAGGAUGGUCCGGGUAUUAACAAAGACAACAUGAAGUACGGUUGCUUCAUACACAUCCACAGAGGUAAGUUAUAUGGUAUUAAAACUACAGGCCAAGUACUGUGUGUAGAACUCAUGUUGUUGAAUGGAUUAAACCCGUCAGAUGCCAACCCCAAUCUAACAUUUCGACAAUCCUUAGCAAAUUCUGGAUGUAGAUGGUCAAAAGUUUGCCAAGCUGGAGAAUCAGCUGGAUGUCUCAUACAACCAUCUUUUGUACGUUUUGCCUCAUGCCAUCUCAUUUGAGAUGCAAUUUUAGAAGACAUAAAUAGUCUUUGUAAUCUAGGUUUUAAGGGAAAAUGCCGCAACACUUUUGAGGAAUUUUCCUUUUUUCCCCAGUUGGAUCAUUUUCUGAAGCAACCCACCUAAGCUCGUUACAUGUUUCGCAUGAAGUUCUUUUUUCAGCACUACCCCUAUAAAGAGAACAAUCAUUAGGACAUGCAUCAAUCUUUUCAUAACCCAGCCCCAAUGUAUUCAUCAAUUUCUCAGCCUCAUAGUAAGAAGACGGCAAAUUAGUCAUGGCCUCCGGAAAUGCUUCUCUCAACAGCUCAACAAGCAUAUUAAAAAUCUUGUUACUCAUCUUACCCAGGCAUUUUAGGUGAAGCAAACGAAUAAUGAAAGACAAUUUCGAGAAAUUUUUGCAACCAUUGUACAAAUUCUGUUGAGAAUCAUCAAUCAAUUUGUAAAAUUUUUCAGCCUCUGAAACAGGAAUGUCCCCUUCUCUAUUCAAUUCAUUUGUUCCAUGUGGUAUCCCAAAUACAUCAUGGACCAAGUCUUGCAUGUCAUUAGUCCCAUUUGAAAACCCAAUUGAUGUAUUUUCAGAAUUAGAUGUGGCUUCAUUGUAGUUUGAAAGUUCUCCAUGUGCUGUCCAAUUAUUAUAACCCUUGAUAAAUCCUACCACUUUCAAAUGAUCAUAUGCUUCCAUUUUUGUCACACAAACACCCAUGCCACAAUCUUUGCAAGGACACAAAAUCUUUCCGUCACAACUUGAUCUAGAAAAUGCGAAGUUUAGAAACAUUUGAAGUCCUGUCUCGUACUUUUCACUUGUUCUUGGAAAAUCCAUCCAUCUUUUAUCCAUACUUUUAAUAUAAAUAAAUGUCCUCCAACGAGCUUCCAAUAGCCUACUUUUUAAACUCAGGUCGUGGCUUACAAGUCCCUAAUUUCAAGUUCAAGAAUUUCUCAACAAAAAGGAAUUUAUCAAGCAGCCAGCAAAUAAAGGAAAUCAACAAAAUGCAAAAUUUCUCAACAAUCUAUAAAAACAGAAUUUGCAAGUAAGCGGAUAGAAAUUUUAUUUACCUAAUAACAGAAAAAAACCCUUCGUACCAACUCCUGCGCUCACGUCUUCGCAAAAUUCCUAAGUUCAAUCUGAAAUGUCAAUGGUUAAACAAACACAUGAGCAUGAAAACUAAAGGUGAAAUUCAAGAAUUUUACUAAAUUUUCAUCAAAGUAUACAUACAUCUUUGGUGUGUAGUGAUUAAUUUUAUAAGUCAUCUCUUUAGAAAGGCAUGCAAUUGACGGCAUAGGUAAUUGGAAAAAGAAUGACAGAAAAGUCCCCUAGCUUCUAAUCAUGCCUAUGAAGAUCCUUAUGAACAUGUCAAAAUACUUUGACCCAACUACAUCAAUGUCUCUGUCUUAUUAAUCUAAAAGUCCCCUUUUUUGGGCUCAAAAUUUGCACUAUAAUAGACUGAUCAAGUGCAGAAGACACUUAGUACAAGCGUUAUACUAUAUAUUUCAAGCAACUCACGUACUGAUUAGACAUACAAUUUAAAACAGAAAAAUGAUGUAAAGAUGCAAGUACUACAUAGAAUUUAACAUAGAAAAAAGCAAUAGUGAUAUAAGUGAUACCAUUGGGUGAAAUAUGCACUUAGCCGGAGGACCACCUUUGUGGCAAAAGCCAAAAGGCAGCAAAGGUUACCAUUGUUAUGCAAAUUUUGUGCCUCACAUUGGCGGUCCAUUAUCUGCAUCUUAAUUGUCUUUGGGCUUAUAUAGUCACGGUUUCCCAAUUCUGUCACCAGAAUAAUUUCCUGCUAGGCAUAUAUAGACCAUGGUCCUUGUUUCAUUUAUUUAUAUCGAACUUGUUGCUGAGUGUUCAUGAUUACGAUAAGCAAUGCAAUUUGGUUGAAGCUCUCUAUUCACAGUUUUGCUUAACCGUCCCCAUCCCCAAACAGAACUAGCUGCCUAAACAAACUUCAAUUACAGCUAGGUUUCAUAGAAAAAAAUGAAAAACAGGGGGAAUUGACUUUUUAUCGAACAGGUUUUGGGCAACAUACUAAUCACCCGUGGACACUUUAUUAGCUAGCCUAUGUACAAUUAUGGCAUGACGAUAGAACAAAUGUAACAUGGACAUAAAGAUCGAUCUCCUCAAAAAUACGCAAUCCAAUUGAACAAAUUUCCUCAAGUUUUCAUCUCCAUUGCAGCUAAAGAAAAAGCAUCCAACACCGAGUUGCUAUUAAUGCUACAAUUAGAUAGAUAUCAUAUUUAAAUCUUUCAACAAUCUUAAAUGAGGACAAUAUAACUCAACUAGCGACAGCUCAGGCCAAGAAUCUUUACUUCUCAGAAAAAAAUUUCCAAGUUGCAGGUAAUUUCUUGACAACGAAAUCAAACAUAAGAGCUUCAUUGUGUUUACCACUUCGAUUUUGGAACAACAUUUGCGCGCCUGAAGUAUCUUCCAGCUUUCCCAAUGUACAGCUCCGAUCUUCUAAUUUUACUCCCUGCCUGCCCUUCCAGAUGUCUUAGCCGAAGGAUUUAAAGUUGAGGUUAGAAAAGAUGAAGAUGGUUGUUUGCGGAGACAGCUUGACCAACAUUCUGGAUUGGCUGAGAUAGAUUGUAUGCGGAGAGGUGAGAGAGAUGAGAAGAAGAAAAUUUUCACCAAGUCCUUUUGCCGGCAAAAUGAAACUUCAGAGUACUUUACCAAGUGUCUGGAGCCAAAUUAAAACGAUGUCAUUUUCUGUCUUUUUUUUUCUCACAUUUUCCCAAGUGUCAUGAUAGGUAGUCUAAAGACACAUUAUUAUUUUAUAUCAUGAUAAAAUAAAAAAAUUAUAGUACAGAUUAUUGAGUUGGUUAAUAAGUGUCAUGAUACGUUUGGUAUAACGACACAAACCAACAAGUGUCCUUAUAAACAUGUCAGAAAAGGCCAUUUUUGUUGUAGUGCCUGUUGCGUUUUGAAUUUCUUAAAUAAAGGUCUUCUCUUACCCCCAAGCUAAAUUUCACACACGUUGCUCUUAUUCCUAAAUAUUUAGAGCCCAAGCAAGCAAAUAUCUCAAUUCCGUCCACUAAGUUUAUGUAAUGUAGUGUACAAAUUAGCGUCUAAAGCCAUCUCUAAUCGAGUCCGUGUUCUUUUACCGAAUAUUAUUUCUGAUCUCAAUCGGCUUUUAUUCCUGGCCAAUUAAUCACCAGUAAUGUCCUUGUUGCUUAUGAAGUCCAUCAUUAUCUUAAAUGUAAAAAUGCAGGCAAGGAGGAACUCAGGUCGAUUAAAAUGGAUACGAGCAAAGCGUAUGAUCGAGUUGAGUGGAUAUUUCUCUUAAAAAUAUUACUAGCUUUAGGUUUCAAUUCUAAAUUUAUUUUCUUAAUUUUCAAAAGUAUUUCAACAGUUUCUUAUUCUUUUUUGCUCAUCGGUUUGGGAUUUGGCCACUUAAAACCUAGUUGGGGUAUUAGACAAGGAGACCCACUUUCCGCAUAUCUAUUUAUAUUGUGUGCAGAAGCUUUUUACAUUUUAUCUCAGAAGCUAGUCUUUGUGGAAAGUUGGGAGGCAUUGCUGUUGCGCCUGGUGCUUCAUCCAUUUCUCAUUUGUUUUUUGCCAGAUGAUACUCUUUUAUUUGGAAAGCUACAGGGGAGGAGGCUUCAAAUUUUAUGCAGGUUAUCAAUCUUUAUGAAGGUGCAUCAGGCCAGCCGAUUAAUGUGGAGAAGUCAGUGGUGGUAUUUAGCAAGAAUACUCCAGAAGCUGAUUAAUUGGCAAUUGAAUGUGCUCUUCGAAUGCCGCCUGUGGAAUCACAUGAAAAGCACCUCUGGGGUUGCCUACUAUCGUUGAGAGAUCUAAAGGUGAGGUCUUUAAUUCUAUCAAACAAAGGGUUUUUAAACGGAUUAAUGGAGCAGCAGUUAUCUCGAGCAGGAGAAGAAAUUUUAUUGAAUGUCCCUUGUAAAGUUAAGCAUUAUCUCUGGAGAAUUUGCUGUGAUUUCUUGCCUACUAAAGUAAAUCUGCUCCGGAGAAGAGCUUCAGUGGAGCUCAACUGUCUGUCUUGUGGUUUUGAUAUUGAGGAUCUUAUUCAUGCAAUUUCUUUCUGGGCGUUAAGCUGCCUUAAAGGGCAAGUACGUAAGUGGCAGCAAUCAAUUCCCAAAGAGUGGGCUCUGGAGUUGUUAGUUACGUUGAAAAAUCGUGAAGCAGAGUUGUUUGAGAUGUUAUGUUGGGCUAUUUGGCUUGGGAGGAACCAAAAGCUGCAUGAAGAUAAACGAGUGGACCCUUUUGAGUUUAGUUAGCUUUGCUUCGGGUGCGCUCCAAUAAUUCCAAGAAGCUAAUGUUACUCAGAAAUGUCCAGGCGAUGGCAAGUUAAAGUUUAAUUUUGACGGUGUGGUGUUUAAGGAAACUCAAUCUAUUGGUUUAGAUGACGGUGCGGUGUUGAUUUAUCUAGUUUAGACCCUCCAAUUUUUGACAUUACGAGGGACUUAACUAGUUUAGAGAUGUCUAGUAUUUCAGGAAUGAGUAGGAAUCAUAAUAAAAUCACUCAUAUAUUAGCUAAGAUCGCAGAAUUCAUAUGUGAUCAUGUCUUUUGGUGGAGAGAUCUCCAGAGUUUGUUGUGCCAUUUCUAAUGGCGGAUUUGUUAGAAAGUUAAUGAAAGUUCAAUACAGGUUAUGUUGAGUAAGACGUUGGAUUGAAAAUUCAAGAUUUUGAACUGAAAUUUCAAGAUUUUGAGAUGAAAAUAAAAGAUCACGCUAAACUUAAUGGAUUCAAAUCUUAAUAUGUGCAAAUGCGUUUGAUAACCAAAAUUGGACAUCUGAAUUAAUUAAGUGCUACUGAAUUUUCUAAACGAAAUUUGUUCUAAAAAAUAAGUGAUAAACUAUGCAUUUAUUACUGAAUGUGAUAUACACUUAAAUAUACUUGAUUUAAUACUUAACAAUCUAAUAAAUUAAUGGACUCAGAUUUUAGAUUUCAAUUUUAUCAAAGUAACCUAAAAAUAUAGACUAUAGAUAAAAUAACUGCAGAUAAUGAUUUAUGUUGAGUAAGCUUUCAAAGCUACGUUUCCCAAAACAAACUUUAGAUAAUCAUUCUCUAAUUUUUGCUUUCACUCUAGAAGAUGCGUACAAUAAUGGGUGUAUACAAAAAUGGAAGUUAAAUUGAUAACACUAAGCUCGCCAAUUCUCAUAAAAAAAAUGAUGACAUUGCCUGCAUUAAUUCUAGUAACGGACUGAAGACAAUAAUUAAUAGGUGACUAUAUGGUGCCUAAGGCACACAAUAAAAUGUGGACUUGGUACCAUUAUUUAUUUUUGUGAAAGGAUAAACCUAUUUUGUAAGGUGUCGCAAUUCAUCAUCAUGAAAUGAGUGGUAAUUUUAAAGCAUUAAUAGUGAAUUCACCUUCAUUUUUAACGUUCAUAUCGCAAAGCCUAUUAAAAAAUUUCCACCAGCACAAAUUCCACUUUUAAUAGGUUCGAAAAUUCACUCACAAAUUUAUCCACAAAUCCCAUUAACAAAAAAAAAAAAGAAAAUGCAGAAAGUUAUCAACGGAACUUCUAUAGUGCGUUGAUGCGACACGUGUUGGUUGGAGAUUACUAGAUGGGAGUGGGGUUAAUCAAAGGUGGUAUUUUAGUAUUAAGCCCAAAAACCACCGGUAACAAUGGUAUUGACCCAAUUUCUAGAGGAAUUGACCCACAUAAACUGUGAAAGAUUAUUUUCUCUGUCAUUUAAGGCAAUUUCUGAACAAGAUUUAGGCGUAUAAUAAAGAAAUUAUCAACCCCCAACCCCCAAUAUUAUGCUAAUAUGCAAUUGGAAAAAAUUAAAUGAAUAUUUACUUGAAGUUAAGAAGUGGAUACCAAUCGUAGAAAGUGUUUAUAACAUACUCCGAAAUGCCAAAGGACUUCCCAAAAAGUGGGAAGCAGGACAACAUCUGAAAUAUAGUCCAAGUUUGAAGUGCUUUAUGUCAAACAUAUUUCAAUAUAGAAAAAAAAAAAUUACUGGUUAGCAUAUGUUUGUGCGCAGUAUUUGUUGAUUGGGAGACGGUUCUAAGGAGGCGGUUUUGCAACAAAUAAGUAAACGGGAUGUCGAUUACUUGGAGUUGUAUCUUAUGCUGGAAAAAUAAUUAGACAUGUCAGUUAAGUAAUAUUUCAAUUUAAAUAAAGUUAGUUAGGAACUAGAACUCGUAACAUGGUUGGAUAUGGUUAGUGAAUAGGAUAUGAAUGUUGGGGGAUAGAAUACAACUAGAAUUACUAAGACAAAUUAAGCGUGACACUUUGAAUUCAAAUUUUACUAACAUUGCAUAAUAACACCUUUGACUGAUAAUUUUUUUUGAUACGGAAACUGGAAAAAUUUUAUUAAGAAGAGGAUAGAUCCGUAUUAAUUGCGAAAGAAAGAAAAAAUGGUGGAGAAAAUCUCCAACUAUAAAUACCUGAAAUAGAACUAGCAUUACUAUCUAAGAAAUGAGCAGGCACAAUUAGAUUCCUAGGAAUCCAAUCAGCCUCCCAAGUAAUGAAAUUCUGUAAACUAACAAAGAUAUCAUCUAACAGCACUCCAUAAGCUGAAUCAUCGGAUUCCAUAUUUUUAAGCAUGUUGAUGAUCUUCAAAGAGUCACCCUCUAAAACAAUCUUAGAACCUUCAACUGAAGUAACGAGGAAAUUGCAGAUAUUGCAGCAUAAGUUUCAGUUACUUCAGGAGAAAAGAUACCUAAGAUUUUGUGAAAAAUACUAGCAACAAAUUUGCCCCAUUCAUUCCUCACAACAAUUCCAACUCUAAAGUUGUCGUCUUCAUAGAAUAUUGCACCAUCGAAGUUUGCACUGCACCAUCGAAGUUUGCCUUUAGAAAUCUUGCAGAGGGCUUUAUCCAAUGAAGUUGAGCAGUGGAAGAGCAUAUUGGAAUGUUUGGAAAUGUGUUUAUUUCAUGGUAUUUCUAUAAGAAAUUGAUAGAGAGGGAGAGACCAAACUGAGAGGAUCACGAUAGAACCAUCAAAUAAUGCAUCAUUUCGGUUAAACCGUAGAUUCCAAAGAAUUAUGGCUACCAAUUCCAUGUCCUGCUUUUUCAAAAGAUGAAGGCCAGACAACCGAGACGAAACUUGAUCGGUAGAGUCUAAUCUUAUCUUUAGUGUAAGAAAGCUAAGGGCCCAAGGUUGAAUUGCUACUGACAGCACAAGAAAAGAUGAUUAACAUCAUCAAUAGGGGCCUUACAUAAAGAACAAGUAGGAUCAAAAUAGACUCCGCGACUAUUCAACUUGGAAGUUAUAGGUAGAAUGUCUUUGCAAAUUCACCACAAGAAUAUUUUAACUUUACUUGGUAUGUUGAGUUUCCACAAGCAGGGCCAAAUAUCAUCCAUAGAACCAUUACUACAUGAAGCUACAUCUUGUCAAUUUGUAGAUUAUAUUUUGAUAAGAUGAUAGGCAAUUUUCACUGUGAAGGAGCCAUUUUUAGAAUAGUGCCAAAUGAGCUUAUCUUGAUUUCGUCUAUCACCCAAUGGAAUACUCAUAAUCAACUCAAUCACAUCUAAGGAUAGCAACGGGGGCGGUGCCCGGGGGGCUAUUGGGGCAGAGGUUGGGGCGGGGGGAAUUUUUCCCCCCAUUUAGAAACGGGGCAGGGGGCCCACCCAUUUGGAAAAAAAGAGAGAUAUAUAUAUGUACAUAAUUAUAUAUAUAAUAGUAUUAUCAAUUAUACAUGUCUAUUAAUAAAAAUUAUUAAUUAUUUAUACUAAAUUUAUUAAUACAUUUAUAUUAAAUUCCUAACUACACUUAAUACAAUAACACUUUUUUUCUAAAAAAAAACAAAUAAUAAUUUAGUGAUUGUAUUUGUAUCAAAAGUAAAAAUAAUUAUUUUAGUUAUAUUUGUUUUAUCAUAUUAGAUCGUAUUCAAAUAACUUUUGUUUAAUUAUUUUUAUGAGUUUCAAUUGUGAAGUUAUAAUGAAUAAUAAUUUGGUGAUGUGUUGAUAUUUUAGUACUUGAUUACUUGCUCAAAUUUAAUUAUAAUAAAAUUAUAUAAUAAUUUUUUUAACCCCGCGGGGGAAGCGGGGCGGGGGCGGAGGAGGACGGACGGGACGGGGGGAAUUAAUAGGCAACGGGGCGGGGGGGGGGAGGGGCCACCCUAAUCACAUCCUGCCAAAAAAGCUCUUGAAGCAAAUCAUAUUUCCAUUUCCUGCUAUUUUCAUCAAUUAAACAAUCUAUAGUGGAGAUUUCUAGUAGCACAUCAAAACGAGAUAUAAUUUUGAAAUUAGAAAGACGUGGAAUCCACCUCUCUUUCCAAAUUUUGAUAUGAUUCCCGUGUCCAUCUCACCAUCUACUACCAAAAACACCUUUGAUUGAUAAUUAAAUAGUUAAAAAAUAUAUCUACUUAAUUUGUUUACUCAAUAGUUAUGUGAACUAAAACAUAAAAAAGAAGGUCAAUUAUUAUAUUAGUGUUAUAUUUGUAAUAUUAGUUCCCUAUAUAGUAGGUUGCCGAGUUGGGCAUAUUUAUAUUCUACCAAGUAAAUGCCCUAUCUUUUCGAAACGUGGCAAAAAAAAUUGUGUUUGUUUUUUUGGUAGAUUUCAUUCUUUUUCUUUUUGGUAACAAUUAAUUUACUAUUCAUUUUCACUUCAUUAUUUAUAGUAAAUUUCAAUCAAUUAUCAAUUACUUACCUUAUAUGCAUUUCUAUUAAUUAUACCUUUAUUUUUUUAAUCAACUUAUAGCUUUCCUUUUUAAUUAGGCACUCGUUAAUAUAUGUCUUAGGUGUUAAAUUUUUAGAAAUAUAAGAUGAAUUAGGGAGAGCAUAUAAAUGUAAGGGAAUUAAUUAGAAAAAUAUAUAAAUAAAAGAAAAAGUAGUAAUAGUUGCGUAUAUAUGUGGCAGGUUAGGUGGAAUGCAGGUGUGUUAACGAUUACCCAUAGGGCACCCAUUAGAAAUACUCAUCAAAAUUUGGAUUAAUUUUUUUUCCUUUCAUUGCAAUCAUUACUACCAUUUUUCCUAUCAUUUAUUACUAUACCUUCAUGUUUCUAAAUACCAAUAAAUGUAUUACUCUCUUACUUUUUAUUUGAUUGUGCUAAUUAUAGCUUUCCUUUUACUUAAUCAAUUAGUCAAUCGAUCAAUCAACCCAUGAUUUUAAUUCUCUUUUCAAUCGCACGAUCUUUCUUUUAUCCAUCAUUAGGGAGAUUUACAAUUUAGUCACAUAUUUGUUAUGUGUACAAUAAUUAUGCAAUCAUAAGCACAAACUAAUGCAAUUCUAAUAAUUUUGCAUAUAUGCAUUCAUAUUGUAUUGCAACACCUUUAAUAAUUCAUUAUAUGGUUACAAAAGCCAAAAAAAAUCUAGUAUUACCUAGACCUUAGAUAGUCCCCAAUGUAUACACUGAUACUGUAUAAAUGAUUUUAAACCCGUUAAUAUAUAUACUGAUUGCAUAUGAAGAUUCAUCCCUAAUUUAGACCUCUUAGAUAGUUUGCAUGCAUUAUAUUCCCUUUUUUUAAUUUCUUAUUUAGUUUACCUUAUUACCAUUUAUGAUUUUUUUUUAAUUUAAGCAACAUCUUCCAAUAUUUUAUCACCAUUUUAAGUUAGUUCAUUUUUAGGAGAUAGUAGUAUAAGUGUGGUAGUUUGUCCAAAUAACUUUGAAUAUGCAUAUACAACCCAAAAAUAAAAUGAUAGUUGUUUAUAUUCUUAUCACUCAACGAUGAUAGUGUUAUGUAAUUUAAAUGAUUGAGAUCUAUUGCCAUCCAAAUAUAAAUUUAUAUGAGGGUAUGAUAACUAAAAAUGACUAUAGAAUCUCCCUAAAUACUAAAUAAUGCGAAUAGAGAUAUUCCCUCAAAAACUUGUAAAGUACUUAAUGUGUAUACGGGUAAAUUCUUGCAAUAGUGAAAGGAAAAUAUCUUACUAGCCUUGAAAUUUUGGCCCGUGUAUUGACUUUUGUUAGCUAAAUUAAACUAUCUUGGAGUGAAGACAUAAAAUCUGCGGCAAAUUUGAGAGAGUUGUGAACAUAGCUUAUUAGCGUACACAUUUUUUCCGAGUUUGAAUUCUCUCACUUACUUACUGACAAAAAGAAAAAACUAUCGUACAUUUAACUUCCAACUAACAAUGAUGUAUAGGUAAUAAAUUAUAUGCAUGGGAUAUUCCCAUAAAUAAAUGAAAUAUAUUUACACGACAAAGAGUAAAUUCUUAAAUUAAGAAGAAAUAAUAUUAUAGUAGCUGUCAAUUUGUUUAUAUGACUUUUUGGUUUGUCUUUACUCAUGACAACCAAUUAUGUUAUUUUGAUGUAAAAAUAUCCAAAAACGGUUGAAUACAAUGUGGGACAUUAUUAUUAUUACUCGGAUACCUCAAUAUUUAUAAAAUUGAUUAAAUUGGAAUCCAUUUGGAUUUAACAGUAUUUUGAAAAAACUAUUUUUGUUGUUCAAGUCUAUAGUAAUAAACUUUAAAAAUAACCUCAAAAAUAAUUUAAAAAUACAACAUAUCUCAAAUACAUUAAAAAAUAAUUAAAAAAUUUCCCUAAUUCUUCUUCCCCACCUACCCACUACAACCACCACCACUACCCAUCACUGUCCACUACCACCACCAUCACCCCACACCCAUGACCCUUCUUCCUCUCUCCUCUCUCUCUUCUCCCUCUCUCUCUCCUCCUCCUUUCUCUUAUUCUCCUUCUCCUUUCUCCUUCCUCCUCUGCCUUGUCUUUCCUCCCUUCUCCCUUCCCUUUCCCACCCCCUAAUCCCCCCUUCCCUCUACUGACUGUGGCCUUCUUGGUCUUGACCAGAAAGGUUGCAGCCAGAAGCCACUAGUGUUGCAACCAAGGUCACAGAUGGAGUCGCGGUUACCAUCCACGAUUGGGAGAGGUUUGAGGGUCAGAAACGAGAGGGACGGGGGAGAGAAGGAGAAGAAAGAGGAGGGAGAAGGAAGAGGAAGGGGAGAAUGAGAGGGAGAAGAGAGGGAAAAAGAGGGAGAGACAAGAGAGGAGAGAGGGGGUAACGGCGGUGAGUGGUGGUGGUGGGUGGCGUAAAAUUUUUUAAAAAUACCCCAAAAAAGUUGUAAAUUAUAAAAAUAUCCCAAAAAUGUAUUUUAAAAAGCCCUAAAAAUACCUUUAAAAAACCCCCCAAAAACAUCUAUAGUACAAGUUAUUUAUAUAUAUAUAGUUACCGUAAAGUUUUUAAAAGAUACCCCAAAAACAGUUAGUCCAAAUGGAGUCUUGAGUUUUGAGGUUAAGGUUCAAUGAUUGACCACAAUUUAGGUCAAAGUAAAACUUGGCCGAAAGUUUAGUGGGUAAAAUAUAAUUUUAAAAAUUAAUCAUCUUCCCUGAUCCUCACAGUUGCAAUGGUGAACUGUCAGCCCCUUAGGACGUGUUCCAGACGGAACGCGCGCAACCGUGGUAGAUUUCGGUCACUCAUGGUCAAGUUGGAAGGCUGAAGGUGAACUGGUUGGGAAAAACUUGGACACAUGUUUGAUGAUGUAUUCCAUGCCUAUGUAUGGGUUUGGAAAAGUUUCAGGGCUAGGAAAUGUCUCUAAAUUAGUGGGGAAAUGAGGGGUGGCUUUACUAGCGGUCCGAAAUUUUUAGCUAGGACUACUAUAGAGAGAGAUAACUAUAACUAAGCCAAGUCAAUGCCAAGGGCUGGGGUUUAUGGGUUAUUUUGGAUGGUUCCAAGCAUUUGGAGCUGUGGUGCCUAAGUUGCUAAGUGUUGGGCAAGUUGGGCACGGAACUAAGCAAAUGGCGAGAAGCUGGGUGUGCGAAACUGUGUGACCAUUGCCUGUGCGCUCCAAAGACGAACGUUGGGACUGUCUGGCAGUUGCUAGUCGUUUGCUGGAGUUGCGGACGGUUAUCAGUCAACUCAGACACGUUCUUAUCGGUUUCUGACUUCAUGUACAUUCGGGUCGGACCAACGGUUGGGUCUUGUCAACUAUAACAAUGCAUAUAAAUAAAUGGCUAGGUAGGGACUAAAGGCAGAUAGUGAGAAACACCCUUAGAUGUUCUGCACGCUAAAUGUUUGUAGAAUUGUCCUUGUAAUCUCUAUAGUGAAAUACAAGGUUGGCCGUUUGGUUGUAACUUGUGCGUGUUGUUCCUUUGUUUUUGCCUAAGUAUUCUAUGUUGAAUACUUGUAUGCAAGUGUCAGUGUAAGGGCUGACUGGAAGCGCGGCUUAUCAAUGCCAUUACAUGCUUGUUAGGCUAGUGAGCGAAGCGUAAACACCUCGUAAUAGUUUGGUAUCAAAGCACGGCUUUGAUCUAUUAGACUGUGCUUCUGUUAUGUGUUUUGUUGGUUAAUGAUGGUUGGACACAGGAAUUCUGUUGCAAUGAUUGGAAUGGUUGCAAUGUUAGGAACUUGCAUUCGAGGACUUGAUGCAGUGUCUAGGAGAUGGCCUAGAAGGCUUCAAUGUCAUAGAAGUUCUAUUGCAGACUAGAGAGAUGAUCAACACCCUGACUGCACAGAUGGAUGAAACCAGGCAGACAGUUUCUUCUGUUGGGAUGUUGAGAUGCUAAGGAAUGAAAUGACUGCGUCCCAUGCAAAGAUCGUGGCUUUACAAUCGAAGAUCAAUGUGUUAAAAAGGCAGUCGGCUCUUGUAACACACAGACCUUUCAAAAAUCUUCGAAGGGAAAGUGAAAGUCCUAGAUCCGAAACCAUACCAAGGUAGUAGGAGUUCGAAGUAUUUGGAAAACUUUUUGUGGGAUUGUCGAGUAGUACUUCAAGGCUAUUGACAUUCCUGAAGUAGAGAAGGUGUCAAUUGCAUCAAUGUGUCUUAGUGGUGAUGUAAAGUUAUGGUGGAGAACAGUGCAAUCAGACCUACCAAACCCAAGAUCGGCACUUGAGAAGUACUGAAGGAGGAAUUGAAGAAGCAAUUCCUUUCCACGAAUGUUUAAUGAAAAGUUAGAGGUGUAUUGUGAAACUUAAAGGAGAAUAAGAAAGUACAGAGUACGUUACAGAGUUCCAAGCCUUGAUGUUAGAUGUAAGGGAAAUGUCUGAGGAAGACAGACUCUACAUCUUCAUCCAUGGACUUCAACCGUGGGUACAGAUGGAGUUGCGGUGAUAAAAUGUUCAGACCGUGUCUCAAGCACUUGCUACUGUCGAGAAGUUGAUAGACUUCAAGUCCAUAGGAUCCAAAAGUGAAAAAAAAAGAAGGCAAGGAUAAGGCUAAGGGCUCGAAAGGUGGUCAAUUCUCAAAAAGAAUAAAAAGAAGCAGACAGUACAACGACCGAAACUAGCGGUGCUUCCUCUUCUAAGAAGAAGCAAACAUCCAACCCUAAAAAGGAUGGCUGCUAUACCUGUGGAAGACCACACUUAACCUGCAAUUGCCUCAAUAAGAAGGACCAGAACGUUAGUGCCUUAGUGGCAGAAGACAAUAGUGACCAGUUGGAGGUCCAGGAUGCACGGGUCAACCCCAUGUAAUUCUUGAACGCCAUCACCGAUACUAAUGUCUGUACUCUUUACAAUGGUUUGAUGUAUGUGCAGGUUACAUUGAAUGGUAACCAUAUAUUGACGAUGGUUGAAAUGGGAGCAUCAUAUAGUUCUAUGAUGGAAAAAGUGAUGAGUCGGUUCCGGUUACAGUUGAAAGACUUGGGUUUCAAAAUUGAAGGCUGUAAACUCUGAAACCAAACCAGUGCUAGGCAUGGCGACCGUAGAUUUAGAGUUGGAGCCAUGGAAGGGUUGGUGCAAUUUCAUGGCAAGUCAAAUGGAUGAUUUUGACUUGAUUCUAGACAAAGAUUUCAUAGUUGCAAAUAGGAUCUAUCCAAUUCCGCACUUGGAUGGCGUCAUGGUGAAUGAUGGCUAGAGUCCAGGCUUUGUUCUUGUAGUAAAGUUGCAGAAACAAAAGAACAAUCAACAAAAGAACAUGGUAUCAACGAUAGAGAUUGAGUCAUAUCUUCUGAGGCGGUGAAGUUGUGUAUAUUGCUGCAUUGGUGGAAACCAAACCUAACAUGUACCAGGAAGUACCUAACGCCAUGGCCCACGUUCUAGAGAAGUUUACAAUAUCAUGCCUACAAGUUUUCGAGAUAGCUUCCUCCAUCCUGUGCGUGGAACACAAGAUCGAGUAGGUUCCAAGAGCCCAACCACCUGCCCAAACUCCUUAUCGCAUGUCCCCGAUAAGUUGGCUGAGUUACGAUACCAACUUAAUGAAUUGCUAGAUAGCCAAGCGCUGAGACCGUCAAAGUAUCCGUACAGUACUCCAGUGUUAUUCCAGAAGAAGGCUGACGAAACGUGAGGUUCUGUGUAGACUAUUGUGCCUUGAAUAAGAUCACGAUAAAAAACAAGUACCCAUCCCAAAUGUGUACAACUUGUUCGACGAGCUAGUGAUGACACGAUUUUACACCAAAAUUGAUUUGCGGUCUGGGUACUGGCAAGUCUGAAUAGCCCCAGGAAAUGAGGAAAAGACGACGAUAGUGACGUGGUAUAAUUCAUUUGAAUUUCUCGUUAUGCCAUUCAGUUUGACGAAUGCACCUGCUACCUUUUGUGGACUAAUGAAUGAUGUCUUGUACGAUUUUCUUGAUAAGUUUGUCGUAGUGUACUUAGAUGAUAUUAUUGUGUAUUUGAAAUCCUUGAAGGACCAUAUAGAUCAGAGGGUAAUAUUCUGCAAGUUGAGGAAUACGAACUCUAUGUAAAGUAAGAAAAGUGUGAGUUUUACAGGGAGCAAAUCACUUUUCUUGGCCAUGUAUUGAACAAUGGUCGGAUCCAGAUGGAUCGCAGGAAGGUUGAGGCGAUUCUUGACUGGCUUGCACCCCAGAAAGUCGCAGAACUAAAGUCAUUCGUUGGUUUGGCCAACUACUACAGGCACUUCAUCUAGGGAUACUCAAAGAUGACCUACUAAAGAAGGAUAGACCGUGGCUGUGAGAUUAUGAGUGCGAAGAUGCAUUCAGAAUGCUGAAAAUAGCGGUUGCUUCUGUGCCAGUGUUGCAACUUUCAAAGCUUUUGAAGUGCAUACUGAUGCUUCAGAUCGUGCGAUUGGAGCGUACUUAUGCAGGAGAAGCACGGAUUGCAUUUGAAAGUAAAAAGCUAAAGAAUGCGAGCAAAGAUAUAGUACGCAUGAGAAAGAAAUGACAGUUGUUGUACAUUGUCUCAAGAUAUGGAAGCACUAUCUAUUAGAAACCAAGUUUGUGGUGGUGACUAAUAACAUGGACAAUACUUGCUUCAAGACACAGAGAGAGUUGACCCCGAAGCAAGCUCGUUGACAAGAGUUUCUGGCUGAAUUUGACUUUGACUGGAUUCAUAAGUUAGGAAGGGAGAAUGCAGUGGUCGACAUACUUAGUAGAAAGUAUGUCGAAGAAUACAUUGUUGUGCUUAGCACUGUUGAGACGGACUUCAGGGACAGAUCAAGUGGGAGUCCCCGAGUGACCCAGUUUAUCAAAACUUGGUGUUCGUGAAGUCAAAGUUCGUCGUUAUUGGCUGGAGGAUGACUUACUAUUUUGCCAAUAGUGGUGAAGCAUAUGUUCCAGCAGGAGGGGGACUUAGGCGACAGUUACUACGAGAGACUCACAAUGCUUCUUGGAUUGGUCAUUCUGGAGUUGAACGAAUGCGGGCAUUAUUGUCGCGUAGCUUCUAUUGGCCAAAGAUGGAAGAGGAUAUUGAAGCAUACGUGAAAACUUAUCUUGUUUGUCAACACGACAAGAUGAGAGGAAGAAGGAGCCAGGCUUGUUGCAGCCUUUGCCGAUCUCUGAUCGACCAUGGCAAUCAGUUUCUAUGGACUUCAUUUCGAGAUUCUCUAAGGUCGAUGGUAUGGCUUUUGUCUUUGUAAUUAUUGACAGAUUUUCUAAGUAUGCUGUGUUUGUUGGUGCACCAAAGGAGUGCUCGGUUGAUGUUGUCGUUGAGUUAUUUUUCAGACAUGUUAUGAUGUAUUUCAGAUUACCCAAAGAUAUCAUAAGUGACAGGGACAUGAGAUUCAUAGGUAGAUUUUGAACCGUGAUGUUCGGGUUGCUAGGUUUCGAACUGAAGUUCUCAACUGCCGCAUACUCUUAGACCGAUGGACAAACGGAGAGGAUCAAUAUCUUGCUAGAAGAAUACUUAAGGCAUUACGUGACGACAAGUUAGAAAAAUUGGCUGGAGUUGCUGGAUACUGCAUAGUUUUACUACAACCUGCACAAGUUAUUCGUAACUAAGUUGAGUCCAUUUGAGUUAAUGAACAGGCAACAACCUCUGACUUCACCUGAAGUUGCUCUUCAAGAGUUAGUUUGUUGAUGACACAACAACGCAUGAAGAAGUACGCAGACCAACAUAGAUCGGACUUAGAGUUCCAACUGACUCCCCAGAUUUGAAAAAAAGUAAAUAACAAGACAGUCCAUCGUGGGAUCAUCCCUGAGUACAAUAGACCAUUUGAGGUAAUCAAGAAGGUGGGUCAUAUAGCUUAUCGUUUGAAACCACUUGACAAACUCAAGAUCCACCUGACCUUCCAUGUGAGUUUUCUGAAACCCUUUUACCAAGACGAGAUGGAUGGAGGACGGAGGCAAGCAAAGUGUGCCUGCACAGUGAUCCGCAAGCAAUUCCAGAAUGAUGUGAAGGCUUUGCUGGAUUACAGAAUGAUGGGACAAAGAAAAAAGAAUAGAUGGACAAACUAUCUGAUCCAUUGGAACGGUGAAACAAAAUUAGAUGCUACUUGGGAACGGAUGUUACCUUGUGACAGUUUCAAGAUAAGAUUGCUGAGUACUUGAAGAACGUGCGAAAGCAAACCAAGUUGACGAGGGCGUCAACCUCUUCAGGUGGGGUGGUUUAUCAGCCCCUUAGGGUGCGGUCCAAACGAAAAGUGCACGACCGUGGCAGAUUUCGGCCGAUCAUGGUCAAGUUGGAAGGCCGAAGAUAAACGGGUCGAGAAAAGUUUGGACACAUGUUUGAUGAUGUUUUUCAUGCCUAUGUAUGGGUUUGGGAAAGUUUCAGGGAUAGGAGAUGUCUCUAAGUUAGUGGGGGAAUGAGGGGUGUCUCUACUAACGGUCCGAAGUUUUUAGCCAGGAAUACUAUAUAGAGGAAUAACUGUGACUAAACCAAGUCAAGACCAAGGGCCGGGGGCCGGGCCAAGGGUGUGGUACGACUAGACUUUGUGGGUUAUUUCAGAUGGUUCCAAGCAUUUGGAACCGUGGUGUCUAAGUUGCUAGGUGUUGGAGCAAGUUGGGCACGAAACGUAGCAAAUGGUGGGAAGUUGGGCGCGCAAAAUCGUGCGACCGUUGCCUGUGCUUGCAAAGACGAACGUUGGGACUGUCUGGCAGCUGCUAGCAGUUGUUGGAGUUGCGGAAGGUUACCAGCCAACUCAGACACGUUCUUAUCGAUUUCCUAACUCAUGUACAUUUGGGUUGGACCAAUGGUUGGGUCUUGUCAACCGUAACAAUGCCUAUAAGUAAAUGGCUAGGCAGAGACUAAGGGCAGAUACUAAGAAACAUCCUUAGAUGUUCUGCACGCCAAGUGUUUGUAGAAUUGUCCUUGUAAUCUCUAUUGUGAAAUACAAGGUUGGCCGCUUGGCUUUAACUUGUGCGUGCUGUUCCUUUGUUUUGUCUGAGUGUUCUACGUUGAAUACUUGUGCACAAGUGUGAGUGUGAGGGCUGACUGGUAGUGCGACUUACCAGUGCCAUUACGUGCAUGUUUGGCUAGCAAGAGUAAACACCUCGUAACACGAACACUGGUCGCCCAUCUUCAACCACCAUCUAACACUUCUUUUCAAGAUCAAUUCUUGCCCAACACUCAUUUUAUUCGCUUGAGUCAUGAUUAUGGCAUCACUUUUCUUCAGUUUAAACCCUUUGACGAUACAAAAAUAAGGUCACAAUUGAAAUUCUGAUUCGAAAAUUUGAAACUUUCGGGAUUGCCUCCUGCUAUGGGCUUUUCUCAAACUCGAUCAUAUGCCCAAACAAAUUCAUCAACCAACACUCACUCUGCCCUUGGGGCACCCAAUUAACCCCUUUAAAACAAUUUUGAAGACACCCGAAACUAGGGUUGGGCAAAAAUACUUGUUAAUCCAAAAAUCUGACAUAUCCGAUUCGAUUCGAUUCAACAAAUAGGGUUCCGGUGUGUAUUAUUUGAUCGGUCAAAAGAAAGUUGGAUAAUUACUUGUAUGCGGCGUUAGGUGGAGUCACCUGAUUAAGAAUCCGUGGGAUCCCGACCCUUCCCACAUAUAUAUUUUUUAUUUUUACACACAUAUUACAAAAUAAUACUUUUGGAGCUAAAUAAGUAAUUUCAUUAAACAAAAUACAUUAUAAAUAUGAAAAAUUAAAGUUUAUUUAUAAGAUUCAUUUAUAGAUGUCAUGAUUUCUUUUUUUUAAGGAAACAGUUUAAUUAAUAUAGAACAUAUAUUUGUAAAAAGGUACUAUUUAUUUGAAUUUUCAUUGAUUUUGAAUUCUUUUAAUUUUCUUUUCCCGUAUUCUCUUUGCAUGUUCAUUUUUUUAUUGAGAAAAAAUCUUUAUUAAGUUUUAGAUGAAUAUUCAAAAUACAAAAUUAAAUUACUAUAAAUUAUUUUUUAAAACAAUUAAAUGAUAACCAGCGUGAUGCAAAUAUCUGUUAACUCAACCCUACUUUAAUGGAAACCCACUCAUAUACGGGAUGGUUAAAGGUCAAAAGAUAGCUGUCUUGCAAGGUACGGGUCUAGUCAGCCAAAUGAAGCAUAGAACGAGUACUACUUGACCUGUACCUACCCCUACCCAAAACAAAUCUUAAUAAUCAUAAAAUAGCAACCUGCACUUGCAAAAUCCAAUUUUCAAUUUUCUCCUCAAAAUUUAGCAUCAAAUUUUACAAAAAUUACACAAAAACAAUCCAAUCAACAAAUAAAUACUCAAGCAUUGAAUUGACAUUAUACUGUAUUUGUGCAGCACCGAAUUGACAUUAUCUGACUUGUAUGUAUGGCAAAAUAAAGGAACUAUGAAGAGGAUGGGGAGGAGGGAGAAGGAUGCUGAGAGUAAGGGAGGAGAUGAAUCGGAAAAUUUAGAUAUUUUUUCUUUUUAUAUUUUCUAUUAACCGGAUUUAUAGGUAACUAGAGCUGUUAAUCGAACCGAGUAGCUGGCGAGCCGAGCUCGACCCGGCUCGACAAGGGCUCGGAUCGGCUCGUUUACAGAGAGAAACAAUCCGAGCUCGAGCUCUACUCAGUAUUCGUUUAAUAUAUGCUCGGCUCGUUUAAGCUCAGUAGGCUCGAAGAGUAGGGGCAUUAACAUCAUUUCAUUGUGUAUGUGGUACUCUAACCUAAGUCAUUCUCCCGUUUGUAACCAUAAUUUUUCUUUCCUCUUUUGGUCUUACCUUCUCCCGUUCCACAGCCGUAGCCACAGUCGCACGCCAGCACCCUCCAUUUUUACCACCGUCACCGAGUCACCAUUCACCAAUUCAUCCAUCAUCUCACCUCCAUCAGGACCAUCACCUAUCCGUCCACUAUCUCACCGCCAGGCGUUAUCCCUAAUUUUUUCUUUCCUCUUUCGAUCUUUCCUUUUCCCGUUCCACAGCCGCAGCCGCACCCUCCAUUCUUACCACCGUCACUGACUCACCAAUCCAUUCAUCUCACCUCCAUCACCAAUCCGUCCACCAUCUCACUGCCAUCAUUCAAUCCACUUCUCGUGAAUCCGUGAGCAGCGCCAUACGGAGCCACCUCGGUAAAGCCAGGGGCCUCUACCAUAUCCCGAUUCCUUGCAUAAUCUGGUAACCAUUUCUUCUCAAUUUUUGCAAUUUAUUUUGGUUUUAAGAGGUUGUGUGGGUUUUGGUUAAUGGUGGAUAGCCCCGUAUCCCAUAUGGCUUCCCCGUAUCCGUUGGCUUCCUGUGUUUUAUCCCGAAUUUCACCUGCACGGAUUGCUUAUGCAUCGCUUAGUGGACUUUUGGUUUCAAAUAGCAUGUCUUUUACCCGUUAAAUAACCUUUUUUUUACCCAUUGUUCUGGAUUGUUGCAUAAGUGUCAAAUUUCGCCUGAAAUGCUCACAUAUUCUUCUAUGAGAUUACGUGUAUCACUACUGCGUUACCUUCCUUCGACACCUGAAGCUGGAGUUUGACGUUUCAUUUCGUUCAGACCAUGGAAUAGUUGCUGCGAUUAAACUUAUGUCUCUAAGAAAAUAAAGAAGGAAACAUCACUUUUUGUCUCUGUGCUCUUUGAUUUCUGCAUUUUCUAAUCCAUGUUAUAGAACUGACUGUUGAUGAUACCAAACAUUUUGUUAAAAGAAAACCAAAGUAUUCAAUUCCCAUACAUUUAACUCUUCCUGGUUAAAAUGUAACUUCCUCUAUUGAUGUCCAUAAAUUUCCUCGAAAAAGCUUGCGAAUUGCAAAAGUUUCCACCAGUCGUCUUAAAAUGGCACUCUAAACCGUCUGCUAUGAUACUUUUGAUAAGCACAGUUAUACUGCCAGGAAGGGCAAGUAGGUAUGCAUCAUGGACCAUGAAAAUGCCAAUUUCCAGAAAUCAAUUACAGCUUUGACGAGUUGCAAACUUCUUGGACUAUGAAAAUGCCAGUUUCUAGCAAUGAAAUGAUAGCUUUCACGAUCUGCAACUUCUUAUUGAUUAAUGAAUACUGAAAAGUACGUAUCAGCCCAAUCUUGCCUCUCUUCGUAGUACCUGGAAAAGAUUUAACAGUCAACCAUAAGUGACAGAACUUUAACAGCGCUAGCCAUAUAACAAACAGUGGACAAAACUUUAACAAAGCUAGUCAUUUUCUUUUCUUUAGCAUGUGAUAUUUCUUCAUGUUUUGCACUUUUGUUUAAGCUUGACAGUGAAAACAUUUUUCAACCUAGAAGAUUCUGCAAGGCAAAACUUUCUUCAUUUUAGUUUCUUCAUUUCAGCAAAAUUAACUUUUUGUUUGGACUGCCAUUUUAAGAGUUUUUCACUGUUAUUUCAUUAAUCUGAAUGUAAGCUUGAGAAUUGAGAUAGGAACAAGUUAAACAAAUGUUAAAACUGGCUUGAAGUGGGCAUUAUUUCUUGGAAUCUGUUUUAUUACUUUUGUACCUUAUUUUUAGAAAUGUCAUUCUAAAUAUCUAUUUUGGCUAAUCAGAAUCUGUAUUGGUUAUUAAAUGUGUUUUGAUUAAGGAAUGUACAGCUCUCCAUUCAACUCAUUUCAAGGUUCAUCAUCAAGUCCUGUGAUGGAGCAAAAUAAUGAAGUGUGAACAAUUGAACUACAACGAAAAAAGAGCUGAUGAGAUGAGUGAAAAAGAGAUAGAAAUGAUAAAAGAUGAGGGCAAUGAAGAACGACAGCAAGAGAUGGAGAUGAAGGAGCUGGUCCUUUUGAGAAAAAACAAAGGAAGAAGAAAUCUAGCAUAUGGGAUGAAAUGACAACAAUAGUGCUAGAUAAUGGGACGGUCAAAGUGAAAUGUAACAAUUGCAAGGAACUUUUUGUCAAGAGUGCAACCGAAGCCAUAUCUCAGCACAAGAGACACUUGAAUUCUUGCCUACAAAGAAAGAUAGCCAUUGGAAAGCAAAGCAAACAAAAGCAACAAGUGUUGUCAUUCAUCGAAGGCCAAAGUAAUGGUAUCACUUCCAUCACAAAUUUCUUGUAUGAUCAUGCCAAGGUAAGAGAGCUUGCAUCACACAUGAGUACCCCUUUUCUAUAAUAGAUCAUGUAGUUUUCAACAAAUUCAUGAAAGCGGCUUCUCCAUUUUAUAAUUGUUAAGAAAGAUUGCAUUAGUACUUAUAAAUUGAAAAAAGGAACCUGAAAUCAUUGUUGAAAGGUGCUGGUAGGAUUAGUAUUACCACAGAUUUGUGGACAUCUGGUCAAAAAAAUUCAAUAUAUGGUUGUGACUGGUCAUUUUGUUGAUUUUGAUUGGGUGCUACAAAAACGUGUUGAAUUUUUUAAUGUUCCUCCUCCUCAUGCUGGAGUUAUUAUAGCUGAUACUCUAAGUAAGUGCUUUAUUGAUUGAGGGAUUGAGAAUAAGGUUUCUAACAUAACUGUUGAUAAUGCUUCAUACAAUGAUGUGUGCAUUAGGAGACUUAGAGAGGAUUUUUCUCUAAAAAAGAGAUUAAGUAUUGGAGGAAAAAUUUUCAUGUUAGAUGUUGUGCACAUAUACUUAAUCUCUUAGUGCAAGAUGGUCUUGGUCAACUUGGUGGUGUGAUUGAUGUUGUUAGAGAAGGGAUAAAGUACUUGAACAAUUCUGAAUCUAGGCUUCUUGAAUUUGCCAAAAUUAAAAAACAGCUUCAAUUGCCCUCUAGAAAGCUAAUUUUGGACUGUCCAACAAGAUGGAAUAGCACCUAUUUGAUGUUAGCUUCAGGUUUAGAGUUCAAGGAUGUUUUUUCAGAUAUGCAGACAUUGACCCUGGAUUUCACUAUGUUUUUACUGAUUUUGAGUGGAUGAAAGUGAAAGAAGUGUGCAAAUUUCUAGGAAUAUUUUAUGAAAUCACUGAUAUGAUUUCCGGGUCCGAGUAUCCAACGGCUAACAUUUUCUUGUGGAGCUCUAUAGGAUUAAAGAGCUUUUAAAUGAAAAAGCUCUUGACCCUUUUUAGCAUCUUCGGGUUAUGGCUGGAAGUAUGUCUGCUAAAUUUGAUAAGUAUUGGGGGAAAGUAAUGUACUGCUAUCUUUGGGUGCAAUUUUGGAUCCGAGAUACAAAAUAUUUCUUAUUAAUCAUACUUUUCCGGUGAUUUAUGGUGAGGAUGCAGCUCCUAGAUUCGUGGCUGAAAUUAGAGACACUCUUUAUGAGCUUUACAAUGAAUAUGUUGAUUGUCACAUAGUUUCCCAUUCUGAACAAUAACAGAGGCAGGUUGUAAAAGGGAGACAAAAUGAAGGUUCUAGUUCUUCUAGUAAGAAACAGAAAAUGACUGGACCUGCCGUUUUAACUAGUAAAGAAAAGUUGCACAUGCAUGUGAGUGAAAUUAACAGGGCUCCACCACAAAAAUCAGAUUUAGAUGUUUAUUUAGAGGAAAGUAGGUAUUGUGACGCCCCCACUUCUCCUUAAGGUGAACCAAAGAGUAUCCACGGGACGCCUGCCCAACUCUUACCAGGACUGGUACAAUUCCCGUUCAACCUUAUUACAAUACUAGCUAUCACGACAAGAUGAAGUAAAAAAGAUAAAGUCGCUUCUAUAAAUAAUAUUCAAACUUACACCACGAGUUCCAAAAUACAUCAAAUUUCCAAAAUAUACAACUGCCAAAAGUCUAGUCGAUUACAUUUGGAACCCUAAUACAAAAGUACAACAAAAGGAUUUCUCCGAGUUUCACUCCAUAUCUAUGCCUGUUAAGGAAAAUAAAUCUACGGGGUGAUCAAUUGCUCGUGAGGCCAAAAAACACACAUACAAGCACGUUGUCCAAUUAACAAGAAAACGAUAAUAUUCGAGUAAUUAACAAUUCAAGCGGAAUGUAAACAGAAACAAUUCAAGGAUAUGGGAGCUCUCAGGAGCUAUUGUCCACUGGCACGAUCAAGAACCUCCACGAGUUGACACUCCGUCAAUCGGGUAGGUCAUAUCCGUAGAAGCUUCACUUACGCGUUCCUCGUCCACCAUACAUACCGCACCGGGCCCGAACAUCAUUUAUAAGGUGAUACUCCACGAGUAUGUCAAGCGAGAUCUUUCAAAUAGAUCAAACUUAUCAUGUUAUUCUCAUGACUCAUCGAGAUUCCCGACCAAACCCAUGCCGGCUCGAGUUCCAAGGUCGACCUAUGAGUUUGGGCCCCCAUGUAACAUUUGUGAGUGGAAGAGAUUCACUCCAACGAUGUAUGCAGCCAUAGCAUACUAUUUCAUGUCAUUCAAGCAUUCGAUACAUUCAAUCAUUCAUUUCAUCUCAUUCAAGUCAUUCAUGAUCCAUUCAUUUCAUUUCAAUUAAUUCAAUCAUGAGUCAUUCAUUUCAAAUGAGAACGAGUGCGGUAAAAUACACACUCGACUCCAUUUUCAAAAUCUCCAAUCAUUAAUAACAGUUAAGCAUGUAUCAAGUUCCCAUACACUUGACACUCACCAAGUAAUUCAAGAAGUAAAGCACAAGCGGUUGUUUAGGCGUCUCCUGUGAGAUCCUCUUGAAGGUCCUCUUGAGUGCCUGAGUAAUAAUAAUGAACUAUUACACACUAUCGUUUAAAACCCCUACUUAUCGAGAAAGAUUGCACUCGUGUACAAUUUAAGAAGAUAUUAUGAGAAUGAGCCUUAAUUACUCGUAAAUCGAGACUCAAAAGUGGGGUUUUAAUAAUACAAGGAAAUUCGAUUUUCAUCUUUGAAAUCAAAUGUAAAACGAUCAAGCAAUAUCGAGGAAAAAUGGUGAGUACUAAAAACUCAAUUUUCUUUAAGUUCGGAAAUUUCAGAUUUGAUAAGCAAUUUUUGAAAAACCGUAUCUCAUUCUCUGUAGGUCCAAAAUUAGAAAAAUUGGUACCGUUGGAAACUACUUCCAAAGUACUAAAAGUUCUUAGAAGACAUUUUUCCAUGAUUCCAAAUAGAUGACAUUCAAAAUUCGGUUCAAAGUUGCUGUUUUGGGCUACCAAGACAAUUUCGGGGUUGGUUUUUGGCCAACUUUGGAAAUUCGGCAAAAUUCACAAAAUGUGAACUAGCCUCUGCAAUUUGGAAUCAAUUAUAGUUACAAACAAAGUUUAAAACACAACAAACAGAACAAGAAUGGAGUUUUGAGUGCCAAGAUAUAGCAGCUCAAAUUUGCUGAAAUUUUCUCACUGAAUAAGGAUUUUCCAGAUUUGAAACAUGAAAUUUGGGAUUUCAGUUGAGCAUCGAAAUGGACUUGGAAUGGCACCAAAUUUGGUAGUAUUACCCUACCAUAGAAGGGCUAUUCCUCUGUCAAAUUUCAUGCAAAAAUUCAUAUGGAAGGUCAGUUAACAAAGCCGCUAAAGUUCCAAGAAUUUCCAAGGCAAAUCUGCCUUGUACUUCCGUUUUACUUUUUCAAGCAUUUGGCCAAUGAAAUCUUCUCAAACAUGGUUCAUUUAUGAAGACAAGAUCUAAGAAACAUCCAAAAUGUGUUUGGUAGGUGAUUAAUACCAAGAGUUCCAAAAUAACGACUCCCAAUUCGAGUUAAGGCAUUCAACUAGCCAAGAUUAGGGUUUCCUUUCACUGACACAGGUCUGGAAUUUGGCCACAACUCACUCAAUUCAACUUGGAAUUAGACAUGAUCAGUGGCGUUGGAAACUAAAUUCAUAGGGCUAUAAUUUCUCAGAAAAAAUCAUUUUGAAAUUCUGUCCAUAACUAGUUCAUAUUCUAGCAACAAGUUGCAGCACACAACAGGUUUUCUAACACAGACGAGAAACAGGGCAGGUGACUUUGAAAGGCUGGUACGGUUCACUCAAGUGGAAUCAGGGGAUGCAUUUUAUACUGUUAGAAAACUGGAAGUAUCUAGUUUCUAAUUCCUCAAAUGGCACUCGAUUUUGAUGUCGGAGAAAGAGUUAUUGUCGUUUGAAAUUCGCUGCCAGAGCAACUCUGGACAUGUUUUCCAACCAUGAAGAAAUUUCGAAAUCCAAACAUUUACCCAACCAAAUCAAGUGAUUUUUGGUGGAAACUUUUCACACAACCUAUAAAACAUAUAUACACCGAAAUCAAGUCAAUUAGAUCACAAAAAAUUGCACCAAGAGGUGCGGCAAUGACAGGGCAGAUCUGGCCCUUCUUCCAUUUCAACUUCCUUUGAGUUUCUUUCCACUCUUUCAACUUAAAUCCACUAGAUUAACACUUAAUCAACAUAAAUAACACUCAAAAUCAUCAAAUCAGAUGAUCAAGUCCAUUGUGGGAUUUCAUAGAGUCUACUCACAUGAUUUUCAACAAUCCAAAGCUACCCACAUGAAGCUACAAGCUUCUAAGUGAAAUCUAACUUACAAAAGCUAAGAUUUAAAGGGUGGAUGAUCAUUACCUCUUAGAUGUUGCUAGAGCAGAAAUUUCGGUCCUUAGAGCUCCAAGAAAACCGUGAGAAUGAAGCUCUUCUCCUAGCUGAAGAUGAUCUCCAAGUUAUUUGCAAGGUGUGGUAUGAAUUUGAGAGGAUUUGGUGCAAGAUUGAGAGACGAAAUGGUGAAGAAACUUGGUCUUCUUCUCCUUGUUGUUGCACGGCUGCUUGAGGGAGAGAAAGAGAGAGUUGUGGCUGAUGGAAAGCUUCUCUUGGAAGCUUAAGAGUUUGUGGCCAAAAUUACUCCAAAAGUCAACUAAGAAUAGUGCAUGUACACGCGCGUUUCGUGCUCGUUUCCUCUUGGAUUUGUUUCACUUGUGCACUAAACCUCUAAUGCACUUCCAUUCAUACUAUUAUUAUUCACUUUUAAUAGUCUAAAAAUAAAGGUCUAAAGUCCCUCAAUUAAUCGCGCGCGCGAAAACACGUACUUCCGUUUUGUGCGCGAUAGAGUAAAAUUUCUAAGAAAUUCUUACAAUGAUAUUAUAACUGACUAGUACUUGAGUACUUAAACAUAAAAAUACCUAUUUUGAAACUAAUGUAUGAGUCUUCAAUCUCCAAACUCACUGUACCCUCAAAUCGAUUAUUGUCUCCAAACGCACAUUCACUAUUCUCACUAAACGAGUUUCUAAAAAUUAAAUUUUUGCAACAAGUCAUUUUAAAUAUAUAUAUAAGUCAUAAUUCCAUGUAAUUGAGUCUAAAAAGGUUGGAAUAAAAUAUUCGGAGCAAACAGACAAUUAAAUAUUUAAAUAAGCUAGUAAUAGAAAUUUAAAAUAAGUAAAUUUGCGGGUCCUUACAGGUAUGCUUGUGAUGCAAAUGCAAAUUUGGAUGUUUUGGGUUGGUAGAAAUAGGAAAGAUUGAGAUUUCCUAUCUUGUCGAGGAUGGCUGCCGAUAUACUCUCCGUUCCUGUUACAACUGUGGCUUCAGAAUCUACCUUCAGCGCCGGAGGUAGAGUAAUUGAUGAUCGACGAGCUUCUAUGUCAAUUGAGACGGUGCAAAUAUUGCUUUGCGGCAACGAUUGGAUCCGCAGUCUUCAUGGCCUAAAGAAUAAGUCUCGCGUUAAGUAAUUGAUUAGAUGUUUUUGUUGUUGUUACAGUUUCUUUAUAUCUGAUUUUAAAGAAUUUUAUAACUUUCAUACUUUUGUUUUGUAGGAAUCACUUGAUGCGACCGAAUCAAUCACAUUUGAGGAAGUUAAACUUCCCGAAUCAUUCACAACCUGAUUUGGUGGCUGUUGAUGUUGCUUGGUGCAAACUGAUUCAUUCACAUGUUGAUUUCGUUGAAGACCUAAAGAAUAAGUCUCGCGUUAAGUAAUUGAUUAGAUGUUUUUGUUGUUGUUACAGUUUCUUUAUUUUAAAGAAUUUUAUAACUUUCAUACUUUUGUUUUGUAGGAAUCACUUGAUGCGACCGAAUCAAUCACAUUUGAGGAAGUUAAACUUUCCGAAUCAUUCACAACCUGAUUUGGUGGCUGUUGAUGUUGCUUGGUGCAAACUGAUUCAUUCACAUGUUGAUUUCGUUCAAAAGCUGCAUCGUUCACAAGUGUUUUCACCCAAGAAAGUUAUUUUUAACUCUUGGUCUAGAGUGUGGACAUUUUAGAAACUGCUUAAAACGUAUUGAUGGCUGAUCUUUAAUUGUUUGGACUCUUUUAUGUAAUUUUUCAUUUUGUAAUCUGAUCUGGUCUGCUGCCGAGUUUGGACAUUUUAUUCCUCCAUUUGAUAGUUUGAGCUGCAAUUUUAACUUCUUUUUUGCUACUCGUGCUUAUGAUGCUUCUGUUUUGCGUUGUCGAAUUGAGUGGAUGAUAUAUUAGGGAAUGUGUUGUUCUUUUUUGUCAAACUAAAUAUGAGUGUAGAAGAAGCUGAUAUGCUAUCUUACGUAAACGACUUAUGAAGCUCGAAUUACUAAUCGAGCGAGCUCGAACUGCUCGAUUAGAUGUUCGAGUCGAGCUCGAUUGUCGUGUGCUCGAGCUCGACUCGGCUAGUUUAACAGCAAGGUAACAUGCAUCAAAGCAGGCUUAUUCUCUUAGUACUUUUUUUUUUCUUUUUAUAAAACACAGGUGCAUUAACGCACGACAGAAGCACCCUAUCAAUCUAAGAUCCCAGCUUGCUUGUAGCUUUCGAUAGAGUCAACAAGAGUUUCUUCCACUGGCCUAUACCUCCAGCCCAGCCUCUCCAAUUUUUCUGAGCUAAUAUUCCAUCGGCUUUGAUCCUUCACCUCUAUAAGUCUGCGAAGAAAUGAGUUAUAUCAAAAAAUAUGCAGACAACAUAAAUGGUUCUUGUAGAGACUCGUAGAUGCCACACUUUUGGAAAUGGAAAUCAUGACGGACAUGAACAAACAAGAAAAUCAGGACAAACGGGGUGUCUGAAAAAUGAGACAAUUAAUUUCAAAGAUGGUAAUCCACCUCUUAGGGUACUUGUAGUUGGCAUAGUUUUUCCUCAGAGUUUCCACCAUAUCUUUUGUCGUGGUGACGUGAGGUGAACAUAUGUACCGGCCUUCAGCUUCAGGUCUCCCGUAAACCAAAAGCAGUGCCUCGGCCACAUCACGCACAUCUACUGUGUUGUAGAAUUUGUUUUCUGUUUCUUCACAUCCGUCUGUGCAGCCAAGGAGUGAAACAAAAGAGCAGUUUAAUCUCAAAAAAGGAGAUGUUAUCUGUGCUAAUCUCUGAGUUCUUUACUGCAUAUAUGAAACCUACAAUCCCUUUGACAAAUAGUACAGCAAUAAAUUCAUGGGACUUUUGAAUUGCAAAGGACCUACAGGUCACAAUGUUAACCUUUUAUAUCUUCAACAAUGCUCCAAAGCAAAUCAAGCAAACAGUUGAAAGAUGCAACCUCUUCAGAUGUUAUGCCUAUUGUCUGUCUCAUCUUCCAUUAGGUCAAACUCACACAAUUUUCACAUCAAUAAAAUUUGAAUCGCUUGUGCAUGUGUCUGGAAAGAUUACAUUAGCACAAUUUAGUAUUUUUGGCAGCACUGCUCGUUUAAAUUUCCCUGCCAUCAAGCAGAAAAUUUAAUUCCAUUCCAACAGUAAAAGCCAAACACCACAAUCUUAGUUUUUUUUAGAUAACUUUGCAAGUUUUUAGAGCAUUGCCAAAAUCAUAAAACUAUCAGAAUGGCAGAUAGCUUACAGGUUUAGAAUCUGAAAACCUCAGCUGGCUUGAAGAUUAAAUAAAAAUGCCAAAAGACGGCAAAGCAGUUAUCUCCAUGAAUGUAGUUUCAUUCCUAGAAGGUCAACCGCAACCAGAUAGACGGAUUUUGUGAAAUUUUAUUGGCAUCAAUUCAUUGUGUAUCAUGUAAAUAACACUGGAAGCCAGAAGCAUAAAAAUGAUGGGUUACUUGGAAAAUUAGCUGAUCAACCACAUGAAGAAAUUCAAUUGUUUGACCUUUCAAGUACAAAAAAAGGAAAAAAUUGCUAAGCUUUAGAGGUCAUCUGAGUUCUAGAGUGACAUCCAUGCUCACUUAGGCACAAACCAAUAUCAAGGAGAAAACUGUAUCAUUUACGACCACUUCCAUGCAGAAGGUGAAAGAAAGAAAAAUAAAAUAUAACAUAACGGAAUAAGUUCUCCAAUUGACUACAAAGCACUAAUAAAUCACCUUUCAACAGCUUUAUAAGAGCCAGACUGCUAGCAUUCACAUCAUGCUGAAGCAUGGGGCCGAGAACAAAGGAUGGGCAUACAGUUAAAACAUCAAGGCCAGUUUCUUUUGCAUAUUGUAAUGCCUCACUUUCAGCAACCGUCUUGGAGUAACAAUACCAGUUCUGGAGCAAUAUUAGUACUAGAUGGUCAGCCAGAAACAGAUAGUAGUUGCAAAAAUCUGAUUUCUCAGCAAUCUUAGAAACAGUAUGAAUAAGACAGUGAAUUUUCUGCACAAUUACAACACCAAGGUGCAACUGCAAAAAGUCAAAUUAUGUUGAUGCAUACAUUUGUUGCCUUGCAGUAUUCGCCGUCUGACCAACACUUCUCAUCUAUGAUUUCACCUUCAGGCAGAUUAGGACUCAUUACAACAGCUGCAGUAGAGGAAACAACUACAACGCGCUUGACAUUUGCUUCAGAACAAGCCUUCAGUACAUUAAGGGUACCCUUUACAGCUGGCUCAACAAGUUCAACCUGCAACAAAUCAUCAUGUUGGCAGAGGUACUAGCACUCAACUCUUCAUGCUGAACUGCUUGUUUUUGCGUAAAAUAUAUCCAGAUAGACAGCUAAGUAGUGUCAGUUAACCUGACAUCUUUAGAGUGAAUGAGUACAUAGUUAAAAGACUCAUGACUGCUUAUGCCUGUGAUUUAACUUGGUUACCAGCAUAGGUUAUUAUUAUAUGCAUUUAUUCACUCAUUUCAACAUUUGAAAAAUCCUUCCACGAAAUGAUAGAAAGACAAAGAGCCCCAGUGACUUCAUAAGUUUGUACAAACGCUUUAACAAGGUUCUAUUUUAAACGAUACCCAACUUUAGCUCAUGUUUGGCAAAACGCAAUAAAAUAUUAUCUGUUAUGACAAAAGCUGUCUCAUAAACAAAAGAUAUGUUAAAAAUGUUAUUCUGGGGAAACCAAAAGGAAGAAAUAUCAUAGCAAUUGAAACGAUUGAAAAUGGUCUUGCCUCAGGAUUGGGAACAGAGCCUGAAGGAACAGGACUAGCUACAUGAAAUACGCCAUCACAACCCCUGAUGGCUGCAGAAAUGGAGUUGUAAUCCAGCAAAUCAGCCUUAAAGAGUUUCAAAUUCUCAGCUGCUUUGUCAAGUUUCUUCAGAUGAACAUAUUUCUCAUCGUCUACAAAACAUACACAGCAAUGCCCACAUCAUCAAGUAACGAAGCACACAAUUCACAGCAGGUGCUUUUAUAUAUUUCUUCAAUUAAACAUAUUUCUCACCCUUCACAAAACAUUUACAGCAAUUCCCACUACAUCAAAUAGGAAACAGCCAAUUGACAGCAGGCAAAAAAUCAAUUGCGGUAUUAAAGGGAAUGAAACAAUCAUACAAUACCCAAAACAAAAACAAAAAAAAAACGAGUAGUAAAUCAGGAAGGAAGGGUUAUGAGGAUGAAAUACGUACUGGGAUUUCUGAGGGUGGCAUGAACAGUAUAAUGGCGGGAAAGGAGUAGCUUGACUACCCAAGAUGCCAGGUAUCCCCCUGCUCCUGUAACACACACUGUCCUGUCCUUCUUAGCCUCCCACGCUGCCAUGUCUGAUUGCUUACCAGUAGCAGUAGCGGGAUUAGUAUUUUAGCACCAAAUUCACUAUAGACUGAUCAAGAAGGUGGGUGAAGUUCUAUUCUUUUCUUUUUUAUGAAUAUUAAUUCUUUUUUGGUUGGACAAGGCAGAGAUUUCGUCGAUUCUUAAAGAGGAGGACUGAAGAAGAGGGCGGUUGGAAGAGGAGGAGGAGGCGGAGGUGGUGGUGUUGGAAUUUUGAAUAGACGAGUCCUGUAUGUAUGAGCUAGCUGAUUCCAGCAGCCUCUGUCAAUACUAGGAGUAAUCAGCAGCUGGCAGGCUUGGGGCUUAUAUAUAGCAGCAGACCAAUGGUCCUGUUGCGAUUUGCACGGCUCAUGGAAGACGUAUGGUUUCAACGCAGGGUUGGGCUGGGUGGGUGGGGAAACGGUACUAAUGAUAAAUGUAUGUAUAAUGAAAUUUGAGAUAUUCUAGCAAUCUGUUAGUAAAAUUUAUUUUAUAAAAAAAAAAGGAGUAAAGGAGCAUAAUAUUAUUAAGUUAUAGUAAAACUUGAUGCACAUAUCAAUAAAACAAGAUAUUCUGUGCAUUUGAAUACAAUAGUAUAAUAUGAUUUUACCAUUGUCGGAUGUUUAACAAAUUUAUUUAUUAAUGGAUAUUAAAGUGUUACAUUUUAUCUCAUAUUUUCCCAAUUUAUGACUCAGAUUUUAAAUUGAUUAACUCAUUAGAGAAUAAAAAACUCAUCCCGUUGCUAAAUUGGACAAGUGACAAAAACUCAUGUCCAUAAUGGGAUUUUGCUUCUGACUCAAAUCCUAUAAUGCGAACCAAACCCCAAAUCACUCCAUUAUAACGGAAACACAAACUAAACUAUUUAAUAUUCAAAUCAAGUUCCGCUCAAUAACAGUUUGUUCGAAUUUGAUUCGCAAACUAAUCUAAUCAAGUUAGAAUAACAUUUUAUUCAAAUCAAGUUCCGCUCAAUAACAGUUUGUUCGAAUUUGAUUCGCAAACUAAUCUAAUCAAGUUAGAAUAACAUUUUAUGUUUGAAAAAAUUUUAACUGCAGCUCAAGCUUAGCUCAAUAAUCAUAAAAUUGGAUUUUAUAGAUAAAAAUUACUCGAACUCGACUCAAUAAAAAUUCUUUUGAACGUGACUUAGUAAAUAAAAAAGCCAAUCUUGAAUACUAUUUCAAAAUUCUUUAAAAUAAAUAACAAGAUACUUGGUUUGAUUAGACACAUUCACACCCCUGUUUUUCAUAUGCUCGAUAACAUAUAUUUUUGCCAUUGAAUUUUGGGACAUGUUUAUCAUUUUUUAAAAUCUUUUUUUUUAUUUCUGGCUUUUAUAGGAAAAAAAAAACUAAAGGAUGUGUUCGGAUAGGAGACCGAUAAACUUUUCUCUCCCCCUCGCGCCUAAUUGCAGGUUAAAAGCAGUGUUUUGAAAACCGGACCGGACGGCCGGUUCGACCGGUUGGACCGCGAACCGGCCAUGAUUCCGGUCCGAUUCUAUGCUAUAGUUGACCAGGUUAGAAAAAGCCGGUUAAACCGUGAAAACCGCCGGACCGGAUUGAACCGGCGGUUUUCGGUUUUCGAGAUUUCCCUUUUUUUUUUUUUUUUUUUUUUUUUUACGUUUUGCAAAAUGCAGCUAUCAAGAUUCGAACUCAAGACUUUUGUAAUAGAAGACCAAUGUAGUAACCAUAGUAACCAUUGCACCAUCACAUCUUAUUAGUUUUUUUUGAUAACUUGUUUAUAUAAAACAAAAACUCAUAUUUCUUUUUGUCAUUUUUUUUACAAAAUCUAAUCCUCUCAUAGCUCUUUCUUUUUAAUCUUCAACACACACACACACACACUCUCUCCUCUUUUUUUUGUCACUCUCUUUUUAAUCAAACCACUUUAUUUUUAAUUUAUUGAUGUUUUCUUCCAUCUUUUAAUUUUAUUUUUGUCCAUUAAAUUAAAAAAGGUUAAAAAAGAAUUAUUUUUCUUUAACCCAAAUUAUUUAAUGCCACAACCACUCACUUUUAUCUCAUUUUUUAUUUCUUAUCAAGUUUGCAUUUCUAUUUUCGAUUCUCUUGACUUCUUUCGAGCUCCAAAAUUCCUUUUUUAAAUUGCAAUUUCUAAUCCCAAAACGUAAAUUAAAAUUUAAGUUCACAAAAUCUAAAUUCUCAUAGACAUGAAUUUUGUAUAAUUUUAAAAUAUUAUGAUAUUUUUGGGUUAGAUCUAAGAUUUUUUUGGUAGAUAUAAUUGAAAUUGAAAUGAAAUUUAUUUGUUUUAACUUAUAAUUUAAAAUUUUUAUUUUUAAAAAAUCAAGUUAUUCAAAAAUAGUAAACUUUUCAUCAUAUAAUGUAUUAAAUUAGUCCAUUACAUGUCUUAUUUUGUGCAUAAAUAUUUACAUAAAUUAUUUUUAAAAAAAUUCAUUGAACCGAGGUUGAACCGGUCCGACCGGUUAAAUCUCGACCUUUCACGUCACCGGUUCAAUUAACGGUCGAUUUUUAAAACAUUGGUUAAAAGGAAUAUCCAGUUCUUAGAUAACUUUUCUAGCACAACUCUAGUUGUCAGAAAACUGGUCUACUUUGACUGUGGGUUUUCCUUUAGUCAGGCCAUUUUGUCAUUAGUGAUGAUUGCUUCUUCUAAACCUUAGCUAACUGCACACGCCAUGCGCAUGAAACUUCUUCUAAACCUUAGCUAACUGCACACGCCAUGCGCAUGAAAAUCCAAACUUCAAAUAAAAUAAUUUGAACUCGUCAACUUGCAAAAUAAGAUAAUUUGGGUUUCGUCUGAUAUGAGUAGUAAGGGAAAAUUUAAUUACUAUAUUUAUGAUUCUUGACUAAUGUGAUUGCUCAUCUAUCACCACGCAUCAGUUUAAUACCUUAUCUUCAUUUAAAUGUGACGAUUGUAGAAUUGAUGGCUGAAACUGAAAGGAAACUGAAAAAGAAAUGUCAUGUGAGUGCAUAUGCAUGGUUAAAACAAUACUCCCACAAAUUAUAACCAAUUCGAUCCCUUGUUUUUAAGGUUUUGAUCGUUUUGGUUCCUUGGUAUCAUGACAAGCCAAUUUUGCCUCUUAAAUUUAAAAAUAUGGUUAAGGAGAUCCUUUUGAUGGAAAUUUGAGUUGCUAAUGAAGUGAAGAGACCAUUUAGUGCCUUUCGUGUCACAUCCGUCUCAACACUAUAUUAAAGUUUCAAAAAAUCUCAAAUAAGUCAUAAAACUCAUAAAACAAACCCCAAAACUCUUUAUCGUGAAGAAAAUAAAUUUUUAUAACUUUAAAAUAAAUCAAACACAAAACCUUAAACAUAAUUAUGGAAUUUGUGCCAUUUUCGAGUUGAAAUAUCAUGAAAAGGAGUACCAAAAGGUGAAAGAAAAAUGCAUAAACUUAUGUUUGACAUAGUAUUAAAAACUUUUAUUUCAUUAUAUUGAAGAGUUUUGGGUGAGUUUAGGCUUUUAGGAUUUUAUUUGAAUGCUUGGUGUUUUCUGCGAGAUGGCACGAAGUACCCUCUAAGGUCUCUUAACUCCAUUAACAACUCUAAAUUAGCCUUGACCAAAUUCUUCAAAUUUAAGAAAAAUUGGUUCGCCAUAAUACAAAGGGACUAUUUUGUUAAUACAUUGGAGAUAAGAAACCAGAUUAAUUAAUUUUUGUUGUUUGCGUAACUCAAGGGAUUUCUCCGUUAGCUUCCCACAAUUUUGCUACAUUAGUCUCUUUUGAUGGAGAUAGAGCACCAACUCACAGUUGUAUUAGAACUUCACUUACGCUAUAAUCGUUAGGAUUUUCUUAUAUUCAUCCGACUACUCAAUAAGUAUCCUAUUUUAUAAUAACUAUCCUACACCUCUUCAAAGCCUGAUAAGAUGAAGAAAAUCUCUUUACUAGCAUCUUAAUGCCUUAUAUCCAGUAUUGAGGGAAAAAAUUUAAUCACAUUACAGUCUGAGAAUUUGAAUCCAGCAAUUUCACGGUCUGAUGUAGUCACCCCAAGUAGGUUCUCCAGUAAAACAGGGUAGUGAGGCAAAAUGUACAUCAAAUAGGUCAAUUGUCGAGCCCCUCGGGGUUCGGUUCCGUGGUUGUAGCCCCAGUUGGGGGAGAGCCACGUCCAGGGAUCGAGUCCCCGUUCUACCGUGGCUGGUGAUGCUUGAGGCGGGCCGCUCCCAGCCCGCAGUGGAUUAGUUGGGCCGUACGGUAACCAGUCAUGGGUCCAGAUACCCACUGUGAUGAAAAAAAAAAAAUAGGCCAAUUGUCGAUCUUUGAUUAUGUCUACACUUUCAAAAGAUAGGCUUAAUCAUAUUAGUGGAAAUAACUCAUAGUUCAUCAUAUAUUAAUUUGCUAUUCAAUUUAGUUUGAAUACAUGAUCAAUGUUAUUGUAUGCCAAAAAAGAUUGAGGAUACUUUUGACCUAGUUCUUUGCACUAACUUGAAAUCUUCCAAUUGUUCUUUCUUUGAUGCACUUGCAAAAUCUCCUGCAAAAGUAAAAUAACUCAGUUGGUGAAUUUUGGCUAACUGAGAGGCCCAUCUUCUUUUUACUUCUUUAGCACAAGCGAAGAAUGAAUUUAUGCAUAAUAACCGUGUGAUUCUAAUGAGAUAUGAUUUUUUUGGUUUUGCAUGCUGGUUAAACAAUUGUUCAAGCUCUUAUCUUGGUUUUUGAUACUUCACCGGUAUGUGGAUGUUGCUGCUAAAGAAAUUUACAUUUGUCAUUAGAAGAAUUUUCUAUUUUAUGACUGGCAAGUGAUUUGGUAUCUUAGCAGUUCAUCGAUUUUGGUGCUUUGUUUACAAUUUAAUUGGCUUCAAUGGUCCAUACAUAUAGGAACUUGGAAUUUACCCUUUUAUUUCCUUUUGCAUGAGCAAAGAUUAGUAAUUUUUAAUCAUAAUUUUCGAUUCCUCUAUUCUGGCCAUAGUGAAGAAAUCUACCUUUUUGUACUUGUGUAUAUGCACACCAAACAUCAUUGGGCUGUCUACUUUUGACAUUAUUCUUGAAUUACUCAGUUUAGAAUGUGUAUUAGCUGCUAGCUGCAUCAUCGUUGGCAAUUACUAAACAGAAAAUAUGCAUGCCAUUACUAUUUUCACUGAAAUUAGCAUCUAACUUAUAAUGAUCUAAUUAAAGGUUAACCACAUUGGUUUUGACUAGAACUAAGAGAUCACUAGCCCUCUUAUUUUUGGAUUUGCAUUAAUCCAGUAUCAUCAAACUUCUUCAAAUGGGCUCUUUAGCUACUAACCCCUUCAAAAAUAAUUUAGGCUUACGGUUCUGUUGAUGUCGCAAUUGCAGGAGGUUCAGAAGAUAACGAAAGGCUCAUCUAAGAUUUCUUAAGGUGUUUGGCUUAUAUUGCUAGAUUUACUUAAUCUAUUUUCAUUCUUCUCCGAUGUCAUUAUUGUUAAAGUUCAAUUCAUAAGUUGGUUGUGUUAGAAAAUUGGCUUAAUUUCUUUUUAGAUAGGUUUUUGUUUUGUGCAAAAGUAACUAGUUUCCUAAUUGGUUUUAGUUACUCGGAAUAGUAGCCAAGAAAUUUCUUAUUUUGUUUAGAAUUAGAAGUUAUUUCUUAUUUUCUACAAGUCUAGGAAUUAGAAUUAAUUUCCUGUUGUUAUUUGGAUUUUUUGACCAAAUAAUAUUUUUAUAAAUAGGUGGGUUGGCAUACUAUAAAAGAGACACAUAAGGGCACACAAGGACGACAUGUAACCUUAUACAUGGGUGGUGAGAGAGAGUUCUUAGGAGAUGAGAAAUGGUAUACAAAGGUUGGACUUGAGUUCGAGUUGUAUUCUUGUAUAAGGUUUUUCUCUCAUAAUAAAUAACAAGUUUCUCUCCGUGGACGUAGGUUCAAUGGAGUCAAACUACGUUAAAUAUUGUGUGUUGUUUAUCUUUUAUACUUGUGGCUUGUUUCUCAUUAAAUUAUUGUGUACUUGAUAUCUUAAUAGUUAUUUAUUCUGCAUUUAGUUCCUAACAAAUGGUAUCAGAACUUGAUUGCGAGAUUGGGCUGCUCACAAGCACUUGGAUCCCAACAAACUGAAUAGUUGGAUCAAGAGUUUGGUUGUUCAAGGAUGGAUCCUAGUUAGCUAUUGAGAUCAAGUAGGUUGGUGACUGUUACCAAUUGAACAAUUUAAUGGGCGGUAUCCUUUUUCAAGAGUUUGGCAAAAAAGCAUUGACGGUGAAUGAUGAAAAGUCGAAAAGCAUGGAGAUACUUGACGGUGAAUCUAGGCAGAUGAUUCAAGAGUCAAGGAAAAGGUGGAAUCCAAUAUCGAUUUUGGACGUGAAUCGGUGGAGACUUUCUCACAACUUCAACGGUUGAUACUUCAUCUCGGUGAUUUUUAGAUUUCGCUUAUGUUUUUUGAGUGGUACGGCACCUGACCCAAAAAAAUAAAGAGAUUUAAUUUCUAUGCGCUAGAAGACUCUGACAGUUACGAGUCUUUUGUUUCAGGUGAAUUUUUGGAAACCACACGUGGCGAGAUAGUCUUGAGGAAGGGAAGAAGUAUGAUGAUUUUAUCACUUGGUUGCCUCAAUGAUUAAGGUUAGAGCUCAUAGAAGGAGAUUUUGGGUUGCAAGUGGUGGUGAGAAGAAAUCCUGUAAAGAAAAAUGGUGAAUUGAGGCAUCUUCUCACGAAUCAACUGGAGGUUGUACUAGGUGUAAAUACACAUAUUCAUUUGGCAAUUAAAUUAAUUUGGUAUCAGAACUGUAUUGAUUCGGGUGUGUAGUUCGGUACCAUAUUAUUUGGUAGUUGAAAGUAAAUAAUUGUUAAAAGAAAUUUUCGCCAAGAUAGAGAUUUGUUAGGAAAUUGAUUUAAUUUCUUUUCAGACAGGUUUUUGUUUUGUGUAGGGAUUUAGUUUUACUUGAAAUAGUAGCCAAGGAAUUUCCUAUUUUGUUUAGGAUUAAAAAUUAUUUCCUAUUCUAUACAAGUCUAGAAAUUAGAAUUGGUUUCCUAUUAUUAUUUAAUUUUUUGGCCAAAUAAUAUUCUUUAUAAAUAGGUGGGUUGGCAUACUACAAAGAGACACACAAAAGCACACAAGAGACGACAUGUAGCCUUAUAUAUGGGUGGUGAGAGAGGAUUUUUAGGAGAUGAGAGAUGGUAUACAAAGGUUGAAUUGGGGUUCAAGUUGUGUUCUUGUAUAGAAUUUUUCUCUUAUAAUAAAGAACGAGUUUCUCUCUGUGGAUGUAGGUUCAAUGGUGGAGCCGAACCACAUUAGAAAAUAGUGUGUCAUUUAUUUUUCAUGUUUGUGGCUUGUUUCUCAUUAAAUUGUAGCGUACUUGAUAUCUCAAUAGUUGUUUAUUCCAUGUUUGGAUCCUAACAGAUUGCUAAACCAAGAUUGAUGUAAUUGCGUCCUAUAAGAGAGUUUGCAAUUCAAUUGAUUAAGGGAAGAACAGAGAAAAUCCCUGAAAAUGGGAAUUAAAGGAAACAAAGGAAACCCUAAAACUAGUUUCCAAGAACAAUUCUGUCGAAGACAGAAAACAAAGAAAAUAGUAUCAAAGGCUAUAUCGUUAUUUAGGAAACAAGAAGCACUUGAAGGUGAAUGUUGCAGAAAGUAGAAGAUCCCACUACAAUUUACUAAUUCAAGGAGCUGUAAUUAAGAAAGAAAGAAGACAACUCAGAGAAUUAGGGAUUGUUAUUAAUUGAUGAAUGAGUAGGAAGAAUGUAGAUGAAGAUGAUAAUCAAUUACAAGUAAUGGAAAUCGGAAAUCCUAGAACUGCCUUCAACUUACCACCCUCCUCUCUUUUAUUCGGCUACUACACUUGUCCAAGUCAGCUAAUUCAUUACAACCAACUGACAUACAAGAAUUAUAAGGAUUUAUUCAUUAAGUCCCUAUCAUACUCGCUUUAUUACAAAAAAAAAAAAAACCCUAUCAAUAAAACUAAGGUAACAAAUACUUCCCCCUCAGAGAAUCCUUGUCCUCAAGGAUUAAAUUCAGGAAAUUGUUGUUUAAGGUCAAACCAGAAUUCCCAGAUAGCAUCUUCAAGAAAAGAAUUGCUUCACUAUGCCAAAACUUUUGUAGCAAGAGAGUUACCACAUUUCACCAAUUUCUGAUCAAGUAUGGCUAUAGGCUCCAUUAAUAAUUAUCCCUGUGUAUUGAUUGUGUAUUGAUUGCAAAAGGAAUGUGUGAGGUAACUAGUGAGUGCCCACUUUCUUCUUUAGAAGAGAUACAUAAAAAAUAGAGUGUAUUUUUGCCAUAUUAGGCAGCUAAAGCUGAUAUGCAACAGGGUGUACUCUUUUGAUCACUUGGAAAGGUCCAAAAAACUUAGAAGCUAACUUCUGACAAGAGUGUACCUUCAAAGAGUGUUGCCUCUACAGUUGUAGUUUCACAUAUACCCAAUCUCUUGCCGAGUACUGUCUAUCAGACCUGUGUUGGUCAGCUUGUUGCUCCAUCCUAUUUUGUGCCUUAUGAAGGUUGUACUUUAAGUGAUGCAAAACUAUCUCCCUUGCUGCCAAGAUUCUAUCCACCACUUCCACUACUGAAUUCCCAAGUAGACAAGGCAUAUGCAGAGAUGGUGCAUGACCAUACACCACCUCAAAUUGGAUAACCUUAGUGGCAGCAUGAAAUUUGGUAUUGGACCAAUAUUCAGCCAAGGGUAACUAGAUAGACCACUGCUUUGGAAAAUCUCCACACAUGCACCUCAAAUAUUACUCCAAACACCUGUUUACCACCUCAGUUUGACCAUCUGACUGAGGGUGGUAGGUAGAAGAGGUAUUAAUCUGCACUUUUAGUAACUUAAAAAGUUCUUGCCAAAAAGUGCUAAUGAAGACCACAUCCUUGUCACUAACAAUGCUCUGAGACAAGCCGUGAAGUCUACAGAUCUGAUCCAGGAAUAUGUGCAAAUAUAAAUGCUGAAUAAGCAUGUGACAAUGCCAAGAAGUGUGCAUACUUACCUAACUUGUCAACCACCACCAAGAUGGCUUGUUUACCAUGUGCAUUAGGUAAACCUUCCAUAAAGUCCAUGGAAAUUCACUCCAAACCUUUUGAGGCACACGUAAAAGUCGUAAUAAACCCAAAUAAGCAGUAUUGUCAUAUUUGUUGCACUGACAGACAUCACAUGCAGCCACAUAGUUGACUAUGUCUUGAUACAUUCUUCUCUAAUAAACCACUGACUUCAACUUCUUUUAGGCAGCAUAAACUCCUGAAUGCCUCCAACAGCACUAGAAUGCCACAAGUGAAUUAUAUUAUUCUUGAAUUGGCAGUCAUUUUCUACCACUAGUCUCCCCAUUCUCCUUAACUGCUAGUUGCUCCAUGUGUAAUAAGGUGAGACCUUAGAAAGAUCAAAUUGUAAUUGAGUGAUGAAGUUCUAUAGCCUUAUAUCUAUUUGCCAUCCCUUUUUAAUCACUAUCAAAGAUCACUGUUAACAAUGAUGAUGGCAAGAGCUUCUCUUGGUUCUGCUAGUUUUCUAAAGAGAGUAUCUCUCACCAUAUUAUAUGCUUCUUUCCUGUAGUGAAGCUCAUAAUAAAAUCUUACUAGCUUAGUCAUCCAUUUCUGCUGCAUAAGAGUAGGGCUGUCAAUGGUCUGGGUCUAGACCCGGAUCCGGACCGGAUAAAUAUCCGGGUAUGGAUACUAAUUUACAACCGGAUCCGGAUAUAAAUGGAUUACUAUAUUUAAAAUAUAUAUUUAUUAAUAUAAUUUGAUUAGGAUGAUGUAUUUGAGUAUCAAUAUAAUUGGACCCGGAUCCUAAUCAAUAUAAUUUGAUUAGGAUGAUGUAUUUGAGUAAGGUUAAUUUGAUUUCUUUUCUUAUUUGAUUUUUUUUGUAUUAGUUAGAAAUUAGUUUAUAAAUAUAUGUUUUUUCUCAUUUUUGUUAGAAAUUAUAAAUUUUGUUAGUUUUUUUUCGGGUAGACCCGGAUCCGGAUCCGGACCCGUCGGAUCUGGAUCCGGAACAUAGAGUAAAGACUCAUCGGGUAAACGGGUCGGGUCCGGAUCCGAUAUAGUGUGCCGGGUCCGGGUCUGGAAUAAUGAAUUCCGGCCCGGACCCGCCCGUUGACAAGCCUACAUAAGAGUGUUCAAUCUUUGUUCCAUCAUAUAUUCAAUGCUCUAAUGGUCAUUUUUAAUGAUAACGUACCUUCCAGGUAGAUAAGGUCUCCACUUCUAUACAGCAGCAACUAUGGCCAAUAUUUGCACUUUUCCAAUAUACUAUCAUAUGCUAUUCCCCCACACACCUAAAUCUUAUAUUGUCCCCAAUGUAAAAUAAAGAAUAAAAGAAAAGUAAUGGGGAUAACGAAACUUCCUUGAUAACUGAGGGGGCCGUCGACAGCUACAGGUGAGGGGCGAAUGACUGUGGAGCUCGACGUAUGUUGAUGGUUGGUGGCGGUGGAGUUCGGAUGGAGAAGGAGGAAGAAGAAAGAAGAGAAGAAAAAGAAGAGAGAAAGAAAGAAAGAAAAAGAAAAGGAAAAAGAAAGGAAAAGGAAGAGAAAAGAAAAGGGAAAUACGAAUGGGAAUUGCUCCAAUCCGAGCUGGUUUUUUGUACUACUACUUUGCUUCUUGUACGAAGCUUGAAGAUGCAGCAAGCGCGGAAAUUUUUUUUUUUUACAUCUGAUUUUGAUUUUUUCUUUUUCUUUUUCCUUUUCUGUAUUUCCUUUUCUUUUCUUUCUAAUUUUUCUGCAAAAACAAUCAAAUAGAAAUCAAAUGAGAUGGAAUGAUUUUUUUUAAAAAAGGUAAAAAUAUAAAUAGAGAUAAAUAAAUAAUAAUAGUUAUUAACAAAUCAUAAAAUGAUUUAUGAAAUUUUUUUGGUGUCUACAUAUAUUACUAAUAAUUUUUAUAUUUAUAUAUUUUUCUAUUUAAUCUUACCUAUAAUUUUCUUAUUUUAUUUACUUUUCUAAUUAAUUUUAUAUUUUUAAAAAUAUAACAUCUAAAAAUAUAUAUUAACGAAGAGGACAUCCGUUAGACAGGUCCUAUUUUAUGUAGCAUAUAUGUCUCUACAUGAAAAAAACUUUUUUAAUAGGUAUCCCGUUUUUUGACAUGAAAAAUACCUUUUGACUACAUUCUGACUAGCGCCAAAAGCUAUCCACUUUUGACAUGCUGCCCAUGCAGGCCUAAUUUUUUUUAGUACUGAAUUUGUUUUGGAUACGUUAGUAUUUCUUGAAUUUUAGAAAAUGCUUCUCUUUAAUAAAUGUAAGUUCAUUUUAAUCUUGAUUCGCAAGCUUUUUCUUGAAAAUGGUUUGCCAUUUCUUAUUAGUUGUUACAGUAAAUUUAGCAUGCAUAUAUGCUUUUUGUCAAAAUUCAAUCAUUUCAAAAUCUAGAAGGGAACUUCUAAAAUACCUGCAUCCUCCUUUUUCUUUUUUUUUUUAUUCCCCCCCCCCCCCCGGCUUUGUAUUCAGAAUCAGAUUGUGUUCAAUUAGUUGGAAUUUGGCUUUGGAGUUAAAAGGGAUUUCCAUUUUUUCCUAGGUAUUCCACAGCUUGCAUACCAAAAGCACAGAGGCGGAAGAAAACCUAUGAUUAAAUCAUACAACAGGCUUGUAAGAAAAUGCCCACUCUGAAAAAAUGAAAAGUUGAAUUUCCUAUUUUCAAAUUUACAUGCAAAAAAUCAAAAUGACAUGCAAGAAAUAGUCUGCUAUUUCGCCAUGUUUCACAGUUUAUGAGAAAUAUAUUACAAAUAAAUCCACAUAAAUGGUGGGAAUAAUAACUCAAAUAUGGUGGGACAAAAAACAUACAGGGUGACCCCUGCCAGCUGAGAUAACUAGCUGGUUUAUUUAAUUUAAUACUUUGAAUACAAUAGUAAAUCAAUGCCAUAGCUCAGAUACUGACUAAAUUUUUCUCCCUGAAGAAUUCAACAGCAUCUUUUAGGCUGACCUCCAAAGGAGUGAAUUGAACUCCCAGCCUUUUUGCCUUCUCAUUGGAGGCUCUGUAGUUUGGGCUGAUAAGGUUGGUAUUGUUUGACAUUCUGCUGUAUGCGGGACAAUACACAAUUAUGGCAAACAUAAAUAAAGCUUAGGUAAUGAAAAUGCAAAUGUAAAUUCAAAUGCUUGAAAAUCUACUGGACAAUUGCCUCAUAUCUACUGUAAAUUGUGCCUUUUUACGAAGUUUCAAAAGACCUUUUAAAAGAUAACUUUAGUUGUGAUAUGAAUGAAAUUUAUUUUUUUCUAAAAAAAAGCCUAAAACGGAAUUUCUAUUUUGGAGACAAAGCCAAUUUGGUGAUAUAUCCUAGUCCAAAGAAGACCAUCUUCUAGAAAUCAACCUGAGAAAGAGCUCAUUUUUUAUGGAACAUGAGACCAAAAGAAAAAAAAAAAGAAGGCAGAAAAUUUAGGAUUUAGUGUCCUUUAAAAGAGAGUAUAAAAAUAUGUGAUACAUUUUGGACGUAUACAAGGCCAUCAGCAAAAGCCUGUAAAGACCUAAACAAGGAAAACAAGACUUACUUAUCAGGAAAUUGGUGAGUUGGGUAAUGCUCAUGCAAAAUCUUGAUGAUCUGAGAGGCAUUUGCACAUCUUUCAACCAGACAAUAUCUUCCACUUGCAGAAGGGGUUUCAAGGGCAAGAACAUGUGCAUAGGCAACAUCUCUAACAUCAACCCAGCUACAUGUUGCCUUAGGAAAUGGUUCAACCCCUGCAUUUGGCACCUAAGAUCUUUAAACACAUUUUUUUGCAGGCUCUUCAGCAAACAUAAGUGAAACCAUAUUUGGUUUGUUUGGAUCAGCAUGAUUUCAGAUAAAAUAAUUUGCUUCCUUCCAAAUUCCAAUCACCUUUUUAUCUCACAUACAGCACAUCACAAAAAGUGUUACAGUAAUUAUCUCAAAUAAAUCAUCCAAAUAAACUUCUAUCCAAACAAAAAUGUUGUUUGCCAUGAAAAGAGUCAAAUUUAGAGGCCAUGGCCUGCCUUCCAGAAGAAAUGUGUGGUAUGUACUACUUUGUUCUGUUUUAGUAUCAGCAAAGCCACAGAGGGGAGGGAGAUGUGAGGAAUGAACUAGUUGAGACAAUUCAGAUAAUUGGUGAAUAAUAAGAAAGAUUAAUCCCAACAAUCUACUAGUUAAUCUGUCCCUGGAAUUUCACAGAUUUAGAGUUAGGUUUCUCUUUCAAAGGAUAGUUUAUUUAUUUUCUUCCAAAAAGGAUCAAUUACUAGACAAAAGAAUAAACUACAGGCAUGAUAAUACUAGUUGUCUCGUACUUAAGAGUUAAAUGGUGAGAGUUGAAGAAACUUGUCCCUUCACUCUCAUCCAGAUAGAAAAACAGAAUUUAUUCCUGUUGUUUUGUUCAGAGAGUGAAAUAGUAAUCAAUUCCUGAAAUUUGUUUCUUGCCAUUGUUGUACAAAGUGGCUAUUUGGGUCGAAGGAGUCCUGCGAAUUGAAAGAAUAAUAAACAUGCUUUAGCAAGUCUGUACAACAUAAACAGUGACUACUCCUAACAAAUUUUUCCUCACAAUUACCACCCAAAAAUUUCUUUUCCUUCCUGUUAAUCACAUAGAACCUCAAUGUUGUUGAAAGGAAGAUGCACACAACGUGAAUUUCAGAUGAAAGAUUGUACUGCAAACCUUUAAAACAUCAUAAGCUGGUCAGAGUUUAUAGCUUGAUAUAUCAGUUCACAUUCUGACCUAUGUCUGUCAAUCAUGUGAUAGCCAGCAGUGCCUUGAAAUGUUAUUAGUCAUAAGUUUUUUGUUCUACUGUAACAAAGAAAGUUGUGGUGCAUAAUAAAGCUAUAAGUAACAUAGAUGGAAGAGUCAGUUAGACAAUGAUUACUAAGGUGAUUCAAUAAAUUUUGAAACAAACCCUUUAAUAGGUUGAGGAACAAAACAGCGCUCGAAUUAACAGAUGGCUGCAAGAGAGGACCAAUGACCAAUCCUGGAUGAAUUGUAAUCACGUCAAUGCCAUGCUCCUUUGCAAAUUUCCAUGCAGCAUUCUCGGCCAUGGUUUUUGAAAGUUCAUACCAAGACUAUCAACACCGAAAAAUCAGUAAAUGUUGGUAAGAUGGUAGCAGAAAGUAAUUAGAUUUGUAAACUUUAAGAAGUAACAUUAUAAAUUUCUACAAAUUUGACAAAACCAGCAACUUACAUCAGUUGAAACUAUUAUUGCUGUAGCUACAAAGCACAGAGUGAAAGCAUCCACAUUUCCCAGGACAAGCUAUGCUAUAAGUGAAUAAGUAGAUUUCUCAAGGAUCCUAGGAAUGGUGUAAACUUUCUAUAUUCAAGGAAUGAUGCAAAGCACCAGUGUCGACAUAUCCUGAUCAUCUGAUCUCUUAAUCCACAAGCUAACAGCAAAACUACAAGGGACCUUGACACUUUAACACAAUAGCCAUAUUCAUAAUAUUAUAGCAGAAGUUCCUUUCCAACUGACCGACCAAAUAUUGCUCAUCUAGGUGUGUAUUCUCAGACAAUAGUAUAGAAUUUGAUCAUGCAAGAGAUGCAUAAUUAAGUAGGAAAACUUUCAUAUUGCUCUUUCCCCGACUAUUCCACACUACAUUAUUAAUUUUUCAUUAAAGUUAAGUUGUUACUUAGAUAGAAGGAAAGAAAUGGACUGACCAUUCUGGUUACAAAAAUAUCCUUUUUUUGCCUAUUAAAGUACCACCAAGUCAUGAAGAUCCUAACUUAAUUAUCUCCACAGCUGGGCUAACUCCUCAUAUGUGUUCCAACAACAAGUUAAAACUAAAGAAUUCCAGCAUUCCAUAUUAGAUUUUACUGGAAGAAGACAGAUAAUAUAUGUACCUUUUGCUCCUCACAGUAUGAUGGAUCGGAAAACCAACUUUCAUCAACUACCACAUCCUCCUUUAAUUCUCUGUUUUUUGAAACUGCAACCAUAGAGGAUGUUAUAACUACUCUUUUGACAGAAGAAGAAUUUGCACAUGACCGCAGCACAUUCAGUGUUCCGCUUACUGCAGGUUCCAGUAGUUCUGCCUAUGAAAUCAAACCAAGUAAAAAAGGAAGUCAUUACCAGUCAUAGGUAAGACUAUGCUUUUAACCUGCAAAAAACUUAUCAUUCUGGUAUUAUGUUUGAGAAUUUCACCACAAAUGCUGUAAACCUACAGCUUUAGUUACUUAGCUAAAGGAUGCAUAUUGUUGUCUUAUCUCCUCUUGCUGCUAAAAUAAGUUCUCAGGUCCUUUAUUGUUGUUUUUUCCCAAAUUUUUUCAGCUUUCACUGGGUGACAGGAACUUAAGACCAAUAGAGGAACAACUGAAAUAAGUCUCAGAUGUGGUCACCAAUUAAACCGUUUGCUACCAAAUAUCAACCGAUGAAAUUCUGUUCUGGCUUGAACAGGACAGACAGAAAAUAUAAAAGGUGUAGCUCCCAUGAAUCCUGCGAACAGAUUUUAGCGUGAACACAUAAUGCAUGUUGCAAUUUCUUUUAGUGUCUGUGAGUCAACCUUGUUCAUUGAAAUGACUAAAAUCAAAGUUCUACAAAGUUACUUAAAAAAAAUCCAUAAACACAAUUUGAGAAACAGACAAGGAUAGGUGUACUGCAUAAAAUUAAGGCACAAUCAUUAAUAGAAGUUAAUCAACUUACAAAUGAAGAUACAUAUAAUUUGCAGAUGCUUGAACAUAUAUUGUAGUUUCUAUAAGCUUCUUAUUCAUUCUGGUAUGGGCACGCAAAAGCCAUUGGCUCUACACUGGCUGAAUAAUUAGUUGGUCAAAGCAGGGAUUCAUUUGCUCCAGGACAAGCUUAUAGCUUGCUCUAUAACCUUACCCUGACUGACUUACCCAGGAAAAUAGUUAGUCGGACCCAAUCUACUGCCCAAUUGUGGACCAUUUGCUAUGUUUAUGGCUCUUAAUGUUUUUAUUUCACAACAUUACACCCUUUGAAUUGUUUCGCUGAAGUACCAAUUUCCAGAUCAUUUCAUAGAAACAUCAUGUAUACUGAUUAAAAAGAGACUAAAGCACAUAACACACGACAGUCUUUUUGUGAAUGACCUGCUGGAACAGAUUAGUUUUGUAUGUACCAAAUGUAAAGAAAUAUUCUUCAGGUGUUUGACCUGAUUGCUACAUUAAUCUCCUCCCUUUGGUUAAUAAAAGAAAAAGUAGAGCCAUAGAAUUGGAAACAUUUGAAUCUAACUCUCUUUUUUUUUUUGCCUUUACAGUUAUAACCUUGUCAUAAAUCACAUAUAGAGGAGUAGACUAUCACCCAAAAAAGCCAGUAAAAAUGCAACAGAGGAAGAUACUAAAAGAAGUCGUACAAUUAUAAAUCAGAAAAUAUGCUACGAUUUCAAACUUCACUUGAUAAAUAGCAGAUUUUGUAGACAGUAGAGAAUUUUCAAUCUUGUAAAGCAAAUGUACCUCUGGAUUGCUAAAUGAAAGUUUGAUUGGAGAUGCAGUAUGGAAAACCCCUUCACAUCCCUCGACUAUUGCAUCAAACGAUCCCUCUUCCAGUAAGUUUGCCGAGUACAACUGAAGCCUUUCCUUAGCUCCAUCAAGUGAUGUCAAAUGUUGUGUCCUUUCCGGAUCAUCUGUGUCAUGAUUGUAUCAGUAGAAUGUUCAGACAGCUAUAAUCAAAACCUUGCCGCCUUGGUAAAGUGUACUAUGUUUUCACUAUGGUGAAACUCAAGAAGAAAUGGACAUAGAGUAAUAAUAAACGAAUCUCAAAGCAAUGAUAAAUUUGACUAGCUAAAGGCAAGCGGGGAAAAACGAAAAGAAAUUGACGGGCAACAUAAUAUGACCACAAUAAUAUCAUAGCCCUAUGAUUUCUGGUUUUGAGAUGCGUACAUUUGUAACUUUCUUGAUAACAAUUAAUUCUUGAGAUAAUUAUCAGAGGGACAAUUGUAUGCCAUCUACCACUAUUUUUAUAACAAACUCAGUCCUUCAGAAGAAGGAUAUAGAUUCGAUAGGCUAAAGAUUUUUUAUUAUAACUUGAUCGUUGUAUCUGGAGCAUGAAACAAUUAAGUUGGUCCACAUCAAAAAUAUAUAUAUAUUUUGCAUGUGAUUUUCUUUUGAGCAAACAGAACAUGGGGAGCAUUUAGCUGUUGCAAGAAUAUCAUCUGGAGCUACAAGACAAUUUCACACUGCAGAGUUGAAUAAAAAUAUUGGGCAAAUUACAUAUAAUCCUCCUGUGGCUUUGUCUGUUGCCACAUGACCCUUCUAACAUUUUAAAAUAUCCAAUUCACCCACUAUGAUUUUAUGUAAAGCGGAAACUUGAUGGAGAAUAGCCUAUAUAAUGUCGUUAAUUGAAAUACCAUUAGUACUUUUACUUAAAUGCUAAAUCAAUCGACGAUUUAAUUACCUUAUAUAAAAAGUAUAAGGGGAUUAUAUGGAUAAUAUAAAAAUCACAGGAGGGAUAAAGUGGACAAUUAUACAAACUAUAAGGGAAUUACAUUGAAAUUAAGACUUUAUCACACCCUUUUAGAGCGCGUUUGGUAUAAAUGCCGUAAUUAAUUGUGCAUUCCAUCAUUUUCCGCUUUACAUAUAACUAUAGGGAAUUAUGUGGCUAUUUUGAAAUUUUAGAGGGACCAUCUAGCAUUAUAUAAAAUCACCCUAAAAUAUAGUUAUAAGUAAUUUACCCUAAAAUGUUAGAUUCCAGGGGCAAUUAAACAACAAUCAGAACAGGGCAUCAAAAACUGCACAAGCCACUAAGAUAGUUGAUCAAGAACAAAAACUGGACUUACAGGCAUCUCGAACUGAACCUUUAACAGUAUAACCGCGCUCGAGCAGCAGCUUCACCAGCCAUGAAGCUAUGUAACCCGAAGCUCCGGUCACACACACCAUUUUCCCUUCUCCUGCUCCACUCAUUUUGUUAAUAUUUUUGUGUGUGAACCUGUCACCUGUUUGCCUUACUUCUGGACUUAAUGGAGGGAUGCAUAUAUGGUGUAUAUAUAGCUAUGGUGAAGAAGACGAAAGAUUGGAUAUGAGAUUACGUGGGAGACUAGGGAGAUCCAUAUGUAUUCUUGCAAUUUGCAUGCAUCAUCGCUGACAUACGUAUGGUAUAAUCGCGUCACAUCCCAUUUUAUCAAGGUCAAUUGAUCAGUGUAAAAUAGAAAUGAACAAUAAAUACAAUGGUAAAUUACCUUCUACACCCUAUGGUUUGAUGUUUUAUCACACUCCCUAUGAUUUAAAAACCUAUAUUUGACCCUUUCAUAGUUUGGAUUAUUGUGUCACUUUAGAUUUUUCCGUUAAAACUAACGGUCAAUAGUAAAAAGUCAAAUUCAAACUACUAAAUUGAUAAAUUCACCAUUUCACUACUUUUUUUUUCUUGUUUUCCUUUUCUUUCUCUCCUUUUUUUUUUUUUGGAAAGAGAAGAGAUGACUUUGAAAACUUGUAUUUUGGCUUACAAAACCUUAAUUGUUUCCAAAUACAAAAGAGAUAGAAGGGAAAUAAAAAUAAAUCAACAAGAAACAAAAUAUGGAAGGUAAAGAUAUAACAAAUAAAUAAGAAACAAAAAAACACCAAAUCUUUUUUACUAUGAAUAUCAUUAUAGGUUUUUAAACCAAAUCUUUAAUAGUAUUUUCUAGUUCUUAUUUAUCUAUAUUUUAUUUCAAUUUCUUCUUUUUGAUGUUUGUAGGGGAAAAAAACAAGUAAUGAAGGGAUAAAUUUGUCAAUUUAUUAGUUUGACUUUUUAAUAUUAACUGUUAGUUUUAACAAAAAAAACUAACUAUUAGGGGGUUAUGUAUAGUUUUUAAACGAUAGGGGUUAUGUGAGAAAAUACCAAACUAUAGAGGUUAAAAGGCAAUUUAUCCUAAAUACAAAAUCAGGCGGUUGCAUAUGAAAAAAUACCAAGGUUCUUGACUUUGCUCAAUACAAUUCCAAGUCUAGAGACACAAUUUUUAAAUUCACUACCAGGAUAAACCAUUCUCCUUUUUUUUUUCGGGUUAAAAAAUACAAACUACUUGAACUAGAAACUAGUCCUGACAAAGUUUGUGGGUUUUUUGCAAGAGUUUUAGUUAAAUAUUGGUUACUUCGCCUAAUUUGCACCUAUUUUAUCACGUAAAUGCACACACACUUUUAAAAAAAUAAUGCAUGCACUUAUAUUAUUGCCUUUCGUACAUUUAAAUACUUUUUUCAAUUUAAUUUUACUUUUCUGGCAAAAUUAAAUCUGAAGCCCAUUUCAAGAAAUAUCCACCGAAUACCAGGUCAACAAAUCCCCUUCGUAAUAAAGAACGAAAAGAACCGCAGCGUUCUUAACACGCAGCGGUCUUUUUGCAUCUAAGAAAGCUUUUGAUUGGCUAGAAAUCCUUCUCUGAUUGAGAAAUGGGAAUUGACUUGAUGAUGGCAACUCCAUUUAGAAAACUGGUCCACACCCUUGAAUGUGGUUUAAAUUUAAUAACACCAUUUCAUCAUUUCUGACGACUGCUUCUUCUAUAUCGAUCCUAGCUCACUGCACACGCCAGUCGUGUGAAACUUGGCAAAAGAGUUACACCCGCCGUCCUAAAAUUGUUUGUCGCAUUUCGAAACCCAACUUUUUAAAAAUAGCAGCUUGAUGAUGAUAUUUGUAGAUUUGUCUCAAAAAUUGUCAUCAAAAAUUCAAAUUUUAAAUUGAAUUUAGUAUGAAAUAUAGAUAAAGUUAUUGGAAUAAUAUUGAAAAAAGAGAUUAAAAGUUAUUUUGAUUUUGAUAAGAUAAUAAAUAUUUUAGAACGUUUCAAAAUAAAAAAAAAAAUAUGACACUUUCAAUGAGACAAAAGAAUGGAGAGAAUAUAUAUAUAAGAUACUGAAAACUAGCGUCCAUCAGAAGCAGUCAAAUCAAAGCCAACAUAUUACUUGUAGUUUGGUUAUAACAAUAUCUCAGCUUGCUGGUAGCCCAAAAAUUUAGCAAAAUAAAUUAGGAAACCAAGUGCGAUAGAGCAUAUUUCACCCAAAUAUAUUAAAAGUGAAAAAGAUUUAUUUUUAUUUAGUCAAUGUGAUUUUUUGUGUCCGCAUGCCCAUAAAGCUCAAGGACCAAAAAGCCAAACAUACGAAGUGAAAAUGUGAAGAGCAAUAAUUUGAAUAUAAAAAAAAAAACGGGUAGAUGGAUAGAAAACCAUGUCGAAGGUCUCUUCUCUCUCUUUUUUUUUUUUUGGUUUGACCAUGCAUGGUGCAUAUGAUAUGAAGGAUAAUUGUAAAGCACACCAUAUACUGCCCAAGGAAAGUAGAUUACACAGUGGGAACCAAAAAUAGAAGAAAAUAAAGCCUCAUAUGAACCGAAUCUUUCCCCUUGCUUUUUUUCUGGGAAUUUAAAGGUAUAAUGCAAGAAAUAACUCCUGGUCAUGCAAAAUUGCCAACAAAAAUGCGUCUUUGGUUUUAAAUUCCUUAAUAACAUACUAUCCAGCAUACUAUUUAGCAUAAUAACAUACUAUCUCAGAUGCAUCCACUCAAAUAUCCUGGCCGAGAUGGUAUGAGGCCAAUUUUCUAUCAAAAAUAUAGGUCUGUAGCAGGUAAUGACGUUACCUCACUACAACAAAAAUGGCCUUUAGCGGCAUUUAAAGGUGUCAGUAUAGAAAAUCUAACCUGACACUUUAUCUAUCCUGACACCCAUGGCGAGUGUUGUCCCUUCCAAUGUGGGGAUAGCCUCAAAUCUUUAGCAGCAUUCAAAUGUGUCAGGCAAACCAUGCUGCUAUAUCUUUACCUCUGCCAACAAAUCUUUUUUUUGUGAUAAUCGAAAGUGUCUGUAUAGCGUUAGGACAUCAGUAGGGAAUCAGUAGGAUAUCAAAUUUAUGAAGACAUCUUGAGUUGUCUUAAUAUAUGGCUUUAAGGACACGUAGCCAUGUGAAUUUACAAUGUGUUGGACGACAUGCCCAUUUGUUGUUAGUGUUUUUCGAAGCUACAUAAUUUUAUCAACCCAUAUGACAAGGGUUUAUUUUACGUAUUUUUAGUGUGUUUUAUUAGUUAAUUUUGGUUUGAUUAUUUAGUAUUAUAACUAAAAUAACUAAGGUUUUGGUAAAAAACUACAUUUUAUGUUAAAAUGGCUAAACAUUGCAUUUUAUGGAUUUUUAUGGUAAAAACUUCAUAUUUUGUAGGUUUAAUGAUUCAAUCAUCAAAUGAAGUGCAUUGAGAAGAUAUUUGGAUGAUUGAAGAUGGAUUAAAGUGAGGAAAAUAAAAUAUGAAGUGUAAAAGGAAGAAAUGCAAUUUGAGGACAAAAAUCAAGAAAAGUCAGCUUUGACAACUCAGACAUAUUUUCGUAUUUUGACUAUAUCAGGAGCUACAAUGAUCGGAUCAAGGUGAUCUUGGUACCAUUUUGAAGUUAAGAGAUAUAUCUACAUUUGGUAUGAAGACAUCAAAGUCCAGUUCAGCCGUUUUCAUAGUCCAAAAGUUGAAAUACCGAAAUUCAACUCAGCUGUCCAAAGUGGAAAACAGAGUUCCGACCAGUGUUUAGUAUUUUGAUCAUAUCUCAGUCUACAAAGCUCCGAUUUGGAUGAUUCUUGAAGCAUUGGAAAGCUAACUCAAAGAUAUACAACUUUGAUGUUUUGCACAAAAGCCAGUUCGGCCUGCAUCAUGGAGAAAAUCGCAGUUGAAGUAAGGACAAAGUGAAAACGCGAGUGCACAAAACGCGAGUUGUAGACGCGUUUUGUAAAGGCGCGUUUUCUGGCCGAAAUUCUGCAAUUUGCUCAGUCAAUUCUCUUGUGUUCAUACCACUUUCCAGCUAUAAGUUGCAAGAGAAUUCGGUGCACAUGCUUCAGAAGACAAAAGGGCAGACAAGGUGGCUUAUUUUCAAGUCAAAAACAUUUGUUAUUGACUAUCCUAACAAAGUUGAGAUUUGGGAAUCAAAACAUUUGUUAUUUUACUUGUAAAUUUUCUCCAUUUGCUGCCAUUAAGGUUUCCUUUGUUCUUUCACAAUAUUUAGUAGAAAUUAUUCCUUCUUUAAUACAACUUGAAUCAGCUCCACUAUCUAUUAAAGCUACAUAUAUUUCUUUGAAAUCUUCUACUGUAAUAGUUACUAAAGCAUACCAUUUUUGAAAUAUCAUUUUUUCUAUGGUAUUUAAAUAUUGAAUUUCAUCUGUUGGUCUUUCUGAUAUACUUAUUUCUUCUGUUUUAGAAUUGGAAGUUGAUGGUUGAUUUUCUAGUAAUGUUAUUUUUGCUUCUAUUUCUAAAUCUUUUGUUUUUAAUUCUAUGAUUUCUCUUUGUAAUUGUUUUACUUGUAUUUUAAGAUCAUUAAUUUCUGUUUGAAGAUCUUUAGUGGUUUCUUUUUUCAUUAUAUUUAUGUUUAGAUAUUUAUCUAUUAAUUUAGAAAUACUAAAAGGUUCUAUUAUUUUUGGCAUUUUGUCUUCUUGUAUAAUUAGACUUUUUAAUCUUUCUAAAUACUCUUUUUUAGCUACUGGAUCAUCAAUUUUUUCUAUUAUAUCUAAUAAAAAUUCUUUAUCUUCUUUUUUGGUUAUAACAUUUAUAUAUUUUGAAGUGUUAGAACAAUUACAAUUUUCUUCACUUUCUGUACUAGAUAUAUCAUUAUAAUAAUCAUCUUCAGAAUUUUGAUCUUUUUCAUUUAUUAAUUUAUUUUUAAUUUCUUCUUCUUUUGCACAAAUCUCUGUAAUUUUUUCUUUUAAUUUACAUUUGUUUGCUUUAUGUCCUAUUUUUUCACAUUUAUAACAAACAAUUUUUCUUUUAAUAAAUUUUCUCUUCUUUUCUGGUUUAUCUUCUUUAGAUCUUUUAUACUUUAUUUUCUUAUUAUAUUUUUUAACUUUUUUGUUAUAUGCAGAUGGUGAUUUAAUUCUUUAGUAGCAAAUUCUAAAGCUCUAUUAAUUGGUUUUAUUGUUCCUUGAUAUAUAUCAUGUCCUAAAAAUCUUAUUUUUGUUUGGAAUAAUUUCAUUUUUGGUGCUGAAACAACUAAUCCAUUUUUCUUAACUACUUUUAAAAAUAUAUUUAAAUGUUUGAAAUGCUGUUCUAUUGAUUCAGAAAAUAUUAAUACAUCAUCAAUAUAAACUAUGCUAAAUGAACUAUAAGGAUUGAAAAUAUCAUUCAUUAUAUUUUGAAAUUCUGAUGGUGCAUUUUUUAAUCCGAAUGGCAUUACGUUCCAUUCAUAAUGACCAAAAGGUGUUGUGAAUGCUGUUUUAUAUCUAUCUUUUGGUGUUAUUAAUAUUUGCCAAUAUCCUGAUUUUAGUUGUUUCAGCACCAAAAAUGAAAUUAUUUCAAACAAAAAUAAGAUUUUUAGGACAUGAUAUAUAUCAAGGAACAAUAAAACCAAUUAAUAGAGCUGUAGAAUUUGCUACUAAAUUUCCAGAUGAAAUAAAAGAUAAAAAUCAAUUACAAAGGUUUUUAGGAUGUUUAAAUUAUAUAGCAGAUUUCUUUCCUAAAUUAAGACAAGAAUGCUCUAUAUUAUUUAAUAGAUUAAAAAAGAACCAUUUCCACCAGUGAUUGAACCAGAUUGGGAAUUCUCUACUGCAACUUUUUUGAAUGUGAAGAACCAUGAAUGAUUGAAUGGUCUAUACAAAAAAAGCAAAAGUCUAAUUAUACAAGAAGACAAAAUGCCAAAAAUAAUAGAACCUUUUAGUAUUUCUAAAUUAAUAGAUAAAUAUCUAAACAUAAAUAUAAUGAAAAAGAAACCACUAAAGAUCUUCAAACAGAAAUUAAUGAUCUUAAAAUACAAGUAAAACAAUUACAAAGAGAAUCAUAAAAUUAAAAACAAAAGAUUUAGAAAUAGAAGCAAAAAUAACAUUACUAGAAAAUCAACCCUCAACUUCCAAUUCUAAAAACAGAAGAAAUAAGUAUAUCAGAAAGACCAACAGAUGAAAUUCAAUAUUUAAAUACCAUAGAAAAAAUGAUAUUUCAAAAAUGGUAUGCUCUAGUAACUAUUACAGUAGAAGAUUCAAAGAAACAUAUGUAGCUUUAAUAGAUAGUGGAGCUGAUUCAAGUUGUAUUAAAGAAGGAAUAAUUCCUACUAAAUAUUGUGAAAGAACAAAGGAACCUUAAUGGCAGCAAAUGGAGAAAAUUUACAAUUAAAAUAUAAAUUUACAAAAGGAUCAAUAUGUAACAAUGAAUAUUGUAUUAGACAUAAUUUCAUAAUUGUAAAAAAUAUAAAUCAUGAUAUAAUAUUAGGAACACCUUUUUUAAUUCAAAUUUACCCAUUUUCAGUUAGUCAUGAAGGAAUUUCAAUAAAUAUAAUGGGAAAAACUGUUAUCUUUAGAUUUCUAACUCCAGUAAAACAAAGAGAAUUACAGACAUUACAAACAUCCUCUAUUUACAAAACAAUAAAUAGUAUUACUAAAGUACAACAACAAAUAAAUUAUAUAAAAGAAAAAAUCUUAUUUAAAAAUUGAAGAACAAUUAAAAGAAAGUAAAAUGCAAAAAGAAUUUCAGAAUUAGAAGAAUUAUUACAAAAAGAAAUUUGUGCAGAUAUUCCUAAUGCUUUUUGGAUAGAAAACAACAUAUGAUUGAAUUACCUUACGAAACAGGUUUUAAUGAGAAAAACAUUCCUACUAAAGCAAGACCAAUACAAAUAAUUCUAAUCUAUUAGAAUUUUGUAAAAAGGAAAUAAAAACAUUAAUAGACAAAAAAUUAAUAACACCUUCAAAAUCACCUUGGAGUUGUGCUGCAUUCUAUGUAAUGAAUCAAGCUGAAAAAGAAAGAGGAGUUCCAAGAUUAGUUAUAAAUUAUAAACCAUUAAAUAAAGUAUUACAAUGGAUUAGUGAAUAAUACAAUAAAUUUAUAAAUUUAGAAUUAAUAGAGGAUACAAUAAAUUAAAGUAACCAUUUUUAUAAAUUUAAUAGAGCUCAAAUGCAAAUAAUACAAUAAAUUUAGAAGACAUUAAAAAAGUUUAUCAACAAAAUAAUUAUACAAAUCAAAUCCUUCAUACAAUUUCUCAACAUAUGGAAGUAUUAAACACAAAAAUAGAUACUAUAAAGAAACCAGAAUUAAAAUUCCCUAAUAAUAUUUCAGCACCUCAUUUUCAACCUAGAAGUUUGACAAGAGAAAAAGAACAAGAUUUAGAUUCAAAAUCAGAAGACAAAGCAUCGGCGAAUUAGUGAGAAAAAGAGAACAAAACACUCUCAUGUAAAAAUCCUUAGACAAAUCUCUCAAUCCCUCUUUCCAACUACUCUUGUAUUCAAUUACUUUUGUUUCCUUCCUUCUCCAAAUAUAAUAAAGAUCAAGGAUUCAACCAUUCAUCAAGCUUCUGUUAUCAAAGGCCACUCUAAAUUUUCAGUAAGUCCAAUUUUUAUACUAAAUUUUCUAUGAACAUUUCAAUAGAAAGUAGCCUGGGUAGAAGUGGUAUCAGAGCCACUUAUCACAUUAUCUUUACAGUGUUAUUAAGGAAAGUAGAUUACACAGUGGGAACCAAAAAUAGAAGAAAAUAAAGCCUCAUAUGAACCGAAUCUUUCCCCUUGCUUUUUUUUCUUGGAAUUUAAAGGUAUAAUGCAAGAAAUAACUCCUGGUCAUGCAAAAUUGCCAACAAAAAUGCGUCUUUGGUUUUUAAUUCCUUAAUAACAUACUAUCCAGCAUACUAUUUAGCAUAAUAACAUACUAUCUCAGAUGCAUCCACUUAAAUAUCCUGGCCGAGAUGGUAUGAGGCCAAUUUUCUAUCAAAAAUAUAGGUCUGUAGCAGGUAAUGACGUUACCUCACUACAACAAAAAUGGCCUUUAGCGGCAUUUAAAGGUGUCAGUAUAGAAAAUCUAACCUGACACUUUAUCUAUCCUGACACCCAUGGCGAGUGUUGUCCCUUCCAAUGUGGGGAUAGCCUCAAAUCUUUAGCAGCAUUCAAAUGUGUCAGGCAAACCAUGCUGCUAUAUCUUUACCUCUGCCAACAAAUCCUUUUUUUGUGAUAAUCGAAAAUGUAUGUAUAGUGUUAGGACAUCAGUAGGGAAUCGGUAGGAUAUCAAAUUUAUGAAGGCAUCUUGAGUUGUCUUAAUAUAUGGUUUUAAGGACACGUAGCCAUGUGAAUUUACAAUGUGUUGGACGACAUGCCCAUUUGUUGUUAGUGUUUUUCGAAGCUAAGCUAUGCUGACACUUUUAAUUGCCAGGAGAAUUUUCCCUGGUUUUUUUUUAUAUGGAAGCAACCUGCAAUUAGUCCUCCUUGCUGUACAUUCCAUCAAUCAGAAUCCCAAGGGACUUGUAAAAUUAUCCCAAAGAGCAGAAUGCAUAUGGCAAUGUAAAGAAGAAGUCGAUACUCAAAUAUAAUUCAUUGAAUUAAAAGUCGAUAACAAGUACAAACAUAGCAAAUACUAAAACGCAAACAAGUGCUAAAAGCAAGUACUAAAAUAUCAAACCAGUACCGAAAGAUUCUCAUUUACAAUAACUUAAAAGCUCUAUCGGAAGCACAAAAUAAAAGACUCCCAUCCCUAAUAAGUUGAAAGAAGUAGAAGUAGCUUCCAAACUUUCCAUUUUGUUGAGAGUCCUCAGGCAUAACCACGAAGUCCCCAUCAUUCUUCAGCUGGUUCCACCUGUGCACAAAGACCAAGGGGAUCAUUAGAUCAUCAUAACUAAAACUAAAAUUCCAGAAAAUCCGCAAUGUAUUUAAGUGCAUAUCUCACCAAAUGACAAGGCCAAGCAACUGGUGCACCAAGUGCAUCUUGAAUCGUUUGUUGUAAACCAUAUGGUCUAAUCAAUUGCUCACGUGGAGUCAUUGCAACUUGUAUCUGUAUUUCACACCAGUUUGGCCCAAGAGCUUGUCCCCCGACCUCAUCCAAUGGAUUCAGACUCCGUAAAUAUCCCUUUGCCACGAUUUUUGUUGGGUCAAACAAACUUUUUAGUGAAACCAUAUUCCCUACCUAGUAAACAUCCAACAAGUACAAGAAUCAAACUCAUGCCAAAUUCCAGAUUACAAAUGCAAAAGUUUAGAAGUUGUAAAUACUUACUCAAAUAGGUCGCGUGGCUCGCGAUGGAGCAUGGCUUGACACAUUGUUAGAUGAUGAUGAAGGAUGUCUCGGGCUGUCAAUUGGAGAGCCCCUUCCAUGUUGAACUAAAAUCAUUUUCUUCAAGCUGGCUAUUUCAUCAUCUUGUCGCUGAAGCCUUUCCUCCAAACGGACUAAUGUUGACUGUUGUUGAACACUUAUACGGUAGCAUGUGUUACGACUAGGAAUGUCUUCCCAUAAGUCCGUUGGAUUCACACCGUCACUAAGCAAGCGAACAUGACCAUAUUUGUCUUGCCCAACCACCUGGGCAAAUAUAUCAUCACGACCAACUGGAUCUUGCGAAUCCGAUGGAAGCUGAUUUUUCAGCUCAGUCAUUUUUUCCUACAUAAUAAAGGAAAACACUUGUUAUUGCAAAAGACUGUCUGAAAACAUCCAUGGUAGAAUUGAUAGGCUUGUGUUCUCGGAUCCUUACCAAAUUCUCAGCAACUAUGGUACUUGAUGGAGUUUGUUGACCUUGGUCGAUCAAUCCUUGGUUUUGAUGAUUAACAAACCAAAAUGUAGAUUUGGGCUAAUGUUUUUAUGUGAGCAAUUUGUUAGAACAGAUUCUUGUGGCACAAAAGAAGAAGCAAAAACAGGGCACUCAUGUGAGACGUCCGAAAGGAAGCUAUCGGACGUCCGAAAGGAUGAAGAACAUCAGGAAGGAUAUUCUGUCGGACGCUCGUGAGAAAGCAUCGGACGUCCGGAUGGAUCGGACACACUCUUCGGACGCACAUCGAUCGUGUCGGACGUCCUAAAAAUUUCACGAAGAUUUGAUAACUCUCUGGACGACGUUCGGACGCAGGGUUCGGACGUCCGACAGGUGGUUUGGACGCAGGGUUCGGACGUCCGACAGGUGGUUCGAACGUCCGACAGGCCAACGGCUAGUUUUGACAGCAUUUAAUAUUUGACCGUUGGAGAGCCUUUUGGAGCCAUUUCUCACAUUCUAUAAACACCCCAAAGCACAAGAAGACACGGGACUUUUGCCAACACAAUAUACAAGCUUACAAGUGAGAUUUUUGAGUAGAAAGAUUCUUUGUUGGUUGUAUAAGGGGUUGGGGAAGUUGGGUUGUGAGGUUGCUCAAGUGAAGGUUAUUCUCUAGGAGGAGUAAAACCUUGGUGAAGGUGAACCUAUCACUUGAAGUGGUAAAACCUUGGUGAAGGUUGCCUCAUUUGUAUAAAAUAGUUCUUAAUUGGGUGAGUGAUCUUUCAAGUGUAGGUUGUUGAGGGUUAACUAGAAUUGUUGUAAAACUCCUUGGCUCAACCAAAGUGUGUUUGGCGUGAGGAAGGAGUGAGCCUUCACUUGUACAUCUUGGUUAGCAUCGCCAUCAAUUGAAGAGGCUAUUGGUUUGAUAUUUGGUUUGCAUUUCUUAUCCUUUCUCUUUAAUUAAGUUUUCUUUAUUGUGCUUAAAUUUGAUAUAUCUUUGUGCAUCAUUGUGAAUUUGUUUGUACUCAUUAGGUUGCACCGAGCACUUACAAUUGGUAUCAGAGCUUGGUCUCCUUGAGACUAAGCUCAAUCGGCUUGGAGUAAAGAUCAUGGCAACCAUAAAAGUUUCCUUUUUAGAAGGGCAAUCUAUUGAUAGACCACCUAUGUUUAAUGGUUCUCAUUUUAGCAUGUGGAAACAAAGAAUGAUGAUUUUCUUACAAUCCAUUUAUAUUGAAUUAUGGUAUGUGGUAGAAGAUGGUCCUUAUGAAGCUAGAAUAGUUGACUCUACCAUCAAUUUGAGUAGAUUAAAGACUAGACAAGAAUUGAAUGAAAAAGACAAGAGAUACCUUUCUUUGAAUGCCAAGGCCAUGUGUAUAUUGUACAAUGCAUUAGAUGUAAAUGAAUCUAGUAGGAUUAAAGGUUGUAAAUCAGCUAAAGAUAUUUGGGAUAAAUUGUGUAUUUCAUGAAGGUAACCAAGAUAUUAAAGAACAAAAGAAAUCUUUGCUUGUUUCUCAAUAUGAAUUUUUCAAAAUGCAUCCUCUUGAAAAUGUUGAUAAGAUGUGUAGUAGAUUUUGUGACAUUAUUCAAGAUCUUAAAUUGCUUGGAAGAGAAUAUUCUUUGGGUGAGAAAAAUAGAAAGAUUUUGAAUGCCUUGCCAAAAGAAUGGGAAAACAAAAUAAAUGCUAUAGAAGAGGCAAAGGAUUUAAAUUCUAUGUCCAUUGAAUCUCUUGUGAAUUCCCUAACUUCUUAUGAAUUAAAGCUGCAAUUCAAAGUGCAAGAGAAAGAAAAUGCAAGAAUGUAUAAGAGAGGCAUAGCUUUUAAAGCAUCUCAAGUGGGGGAUAACCCAUCUUUCAUGGGUAAUGAAAACAUGGAAGUGGACAAUGAUAUAACUCCUCACAUCAAAAGUUUCAAGAAGAUCUUCAACAAGAGAAGUUCAAGAGGAGAUUGCAAAAUUACAUGGGAUGAAUACAAUUCAAAAAGAGAAAAAGAAGAGUUGGCACAAAUGGCACUAAUGGCCUUUGGAGAAGAUGAGGUAAAUUCUUAUCACUCUUCUUGUGAUGAAGAUAAUGAAGAUGAUGAUGUGAAAAUUCUUAUGAUUAAAAUGCAUAAAAGUUUGAGAAAAUCUUAUGCUAAAAAUAAAGAUUUGAAAACAAAAAUAAAUGAUUUGUUGGAAGAAAACUCCAAACUUUUUCAGGAAAACAAAUGUUUGAGAAUGGAAAAUGAUGAUUUAAAAAAUCAAAAAAAUGUUUUUGAUUGCAAAAAUAAUUUGAAAAGGAAGUUGGAAGAGAAAACAAAGUUUUAUGGAAAAAUGUUGGAUGAACAAAAUUUGUUAAAGAAAAGAAUUAAUGACUUGAACGAGUUUCUCCAAAAUGAAAAACAAAAGUUUUCUCAAACAAAAGAAAGCAAAUCUUUUCAAGGCACAAAUACGUUUGCUAUGAUAAGAAGUAAGAAAAUUAGUUGCAUUAAAUCCACUUAUGUGCAAAAUACUUCUAUCAUGUGUCACUUUUGUUGUCAAUUUGGACAUAUGCAAAAUGAUUGCUAUGUAAAGAAAAAUAUGAGAAAAGGUAUGAAAUCCAUGUGGAUUGCUAGAUCAUGUUGUACUAACUCCCAAGAACCCUAUAAAAACUUACAAUUGGUAUCAUGAAAGUUUUGUCAUUCUAUAUGGUCUUGAUUUGGAAAAUAAAGGGGGAGUUUACUUUUUGAUUGAUGUCAAAAGAGGGAGUAGGAUUUAUUGAAAUUUCUUUGUAUGUUGGCAUUUUCUAAGGGAGAGUUUUAUUUGAACUUAUUUGAUCAAAGAAAUCUUCAUUUUGUUUGUCAUCAUCAAAAAGGGGGAGAUUUUUGACCUUGGUCGAUCAAUCCUUGGUUUUGAUGAUUAACAAACCAAAAUGUAGAUUUGGGCUAAUGUUUUUAUGUGAGCAAUUUGUUAGAACAGAUUCUUGUGGCACAAAAGAAGAAGCAAAAACAGGGCACUCAUGUGGGACGUCCGAAAGGAAGCUAUCGGACGUCCGAAAGGAUGAAGAACAUCAGGAAGGAUAUUCUGUCGGACGCUCGUGAGGAAGCAUCGGACGUCCGGAUGGAUCGGACACACUCUUCGGACGCACAUCGAUCGUGUCGGACGUCCUAAAAAUUCCACGAAGAUUUGAUAACUCUCUGGACGACGUUCGGACGCAGGGUUCGGACGUCCGACAGGUGGUUUGGACGCAGGGUUCGGACGUCCGACAGGUGGUUCGAACGUCCGACAGGCCAACGGCUAGUUUUGACAGCAUUUAAUAUUUGACCGUUGGAGAGUCUUUUGGAGCUAUUUCUCACCUUCUAUAAACACCCAAAGCACAAGAAGACACGGGACUUUUGCCAACACAAUAUACAAGCUUACAAGUGAGAUUUUUGAGUAGAAAGAUUCUUUGUUGGUUGUAUAAGGGGUUGGGGAAGUUGGGUUGUGAGGUUGCUCAAGUGAAGGUUAUUCUCUAGGAGGAGUAAAACCUUGGUGAAGGUGAACCUAUCACUUGAAGUGGUAAAACCUUGGUGAAGGUUGCCUCAUUUGUAUAAAAUAGUUCUUAAUUGGGUGAGUGAUCUUUCAAGUGUAGGUUGUUGAGGGUUAACUAGAAUUGUUGUAAAACUCCUUGGCUCAACCAAAGUGUGUUUGGGGUGAGGAAGGAGUGAGCCUUCACUUGUACAUCUUGGUUAGCAUCGCCAUCAAUUGAAGAGGCUAUUGGUUUGAUAGUUGGUUUGCAUUUCUUAUCCUUUCUCUUUAAUUAAGUUUUCUUUAUUGUGCUUAAAUUUGAUAUAUCUUUGUGCAUCAUUGUGAAUUUAUUUGUACUCAUUGGGUUGCACCGGGCACUUACAGAGUUCCAUCGGCAUGGGUAUAAAACUUAUUGAACAUUUCUACUCUAGUAGGAGGUCUUCCCAACUGUUUGGCCUAUAAGAAAUUGAAUCGUUUUAAUUAUAGUUUUAGCAUUUAGCAUAUAAUUAAAAAACAAGCUAACAUAAUGAAACAUGUACGAGCAAAAAAAAUUAGCAACUAAAAAGUGGAUGAGGUAUCACCAAGUGGUUCCGAAGAUGAGCAAAUGACUUUUUUCCGGUUGUGUGGUUCAUCUUCUUCUCCCCUCUAGCUUUCUUGUUCCUCUCACUUAGUUUCUAAAUUUCAAAAUCAAAAGCAAGAUUACAGCAUUGAAUGAACACAACUUUAUGAAGAAUGUUGUAGCUGAUUUGUACCUUUGCUUCUUCACUUUUCCAAUAAGCCCAAAGUUUGAUCCAUUGCUCUUCCCGUACCCUUAUGUCCUUUUGAAACCGAGCUUCAGCAUUUGGCACGGCAGAAUCAAAAUAGUUAGCCUUUAAAUCUGCCUUCCAGCUUCUCCAUUUUUUGCCAAUAGAUCUUAAGGUCCAAGCUUCCAGUCCCAUAGGCAAAGCAAACCUUUCCUGAAACGUAGUUAGCAACAAGAAAAUCAACACAACUUCACAGUAAUUUUUGUACAAAGCAUACAUAAUACAAAAGCUGCCAUUACCUUUAUCACUUCUAACAUGUCCAUUUUAAGUUUCCUUGGCAUCUUAAGCCAUGUUUCAACAUCUAUUGGACAAUACAUACCAUUCCUAGCCAAACUGCCCAAGAAUUCAGAGAAAGAGUUUUUCUCACUUAUUGGGAUCCCAUUGUCAUCGAGUUUAAUCUCAAUCCGUGGAAGUUCCUUAGGCCGACCCCAAAUUUCUUUCAUAAAUAUAGGGCCUCGGGUUUUAUGAUUUACUUCACUUGAAUCAUUUGUAGUUUCUUUUCCUGUUUAAAAUAAGAAAAAGGUGCAAGUUAUGAACAUAACAAAAUGCACUUCUGGAAUUGGUUCAAAACAGUUAGUAAUACCUGCAUUGUCCGAGUUGCAUGACAUGAAGGUGGUGUCACUGGAAUGUGGACCUCGAGAAUCCUGAUUUGGACUUUCUUCGGUUGCUUCAUGCCUUGUUCCAAGUGGAGAUUGUUGAAUUGGAGAGUUCUGGCACUGCUCAUGCGACUUGGAACCUCCAUCAGCUUGUUGAGUAACUUGGUCACCUGAUUCAUGCAUUAUUCCCAAUGUAGAAUUCUGAAUUGCAGAUUGAGGUGCCCGAGCAGCUUCUCCUUGCACUUGUUCAAUUACAUUUUCAUGGCUUGUUCCAAGUGGAGGCUGCUGCCUUGUUUCAUAACAUGAGGGAGGUUGCUCAAUUGGUUCAUCUCUCAAUCCAUUUGCAGCGCGCUUACAUUUUCGACCUCUACGGGCCAUACCUGCAUAAUAUUUGAGUGAAGAAAGGGACAAAUGUAAAUGUUUAAAAUUUAUUGAAGCACACUCUCUACCUAUAGUUUCUUUAACUUACAAAUGCUAUUAUAAAGAAGUACUACUUGAACAAUAAACUGGCAUGACAAGUAACAAAUGGCAUUCUGCAAGAAUAAACCAGGGGAAGACUAUGGAGCUGUCAACAGAACAGAGAAACAAAUGGAGAAUAUAUGAUUCAAUGCAGCAACUAAUUGGAAAUGAAAUGAAAGCUACAUGCUUAAGUGACUGCAAGAAUAUACAUGGGAAAUGCUUUGAUCUACAUCCUUUCAGCAUGAAAGAUAUGCAGAAUUUACUACCGCUAGACACGAAACUUUUUCCAUAUUGUUCUGAGAAUGAUGCCUAUGAUCAAAAGUUGGUAUGCUUAUGCUCAAUGAGGGUGUAAGUAGAAGAGUCCACGUAAUUUUAACUUCAGUAAUGGAGCAAACUAAUAAAUGAUUGUCUUGAAUUAACGAAAUAUACUUGGCCAUGUGAUAACCAAAAAUUGCAGAGGAUAAUGUAUUCUACCAACAAAUACAAGUCUUGGUUUUGUAUGUUUAGGGUGGCAAUCGGGUCGGUUAUGAAGCUCUACUGAAUACUUUUAUUUCCAGAUUCUGACAUGGUUCUGCAUUUAUCAAGAACUUGUCUCAUCUAAACAAGAGCUCAAGCUUUACGUAGCAUUGACGAUUCCAAACCAAAUUACUUCUCUUUUUGCCAGAGCCACAUCCACAGUUAUGGGUUGACACUUAACAGUAAAUGCACAAACACUUUUCCAAUACAAUUGUAGCAGUACAAACAAUACAGUUGUAGAACAGGAAGGAGACGAAGAGCAUCACGGUGAAAGACUGAAAACGAGAACCCAUCACCAAAAAUAGAUGGUUGAAAUUGUACAUUCAGUUCACAGUAGCAGUCUCCAUUCGACCAGGCUCACCUAGAAAUGUGCUUCUCAGAAAUGUGCUUUUCACACCGCCACCACCCCAAAAGCUUUUCACACCACCACCACCCCCCAAAGCAAACAUUCUACCUAGAAAUGUGCUUCUCAGAAACGGAGAAGGUGCUUGUCAGAGAUGGGAAUCGAAUAGCCUAAAAACUAAAUCUACCAAGCAAUGCAAGAACAUGUCUACCAUGCAAUGCAGAAUUAGACACAAAAUACUGAAAUUACCUCAAACUAUGGCUUGAAUCCCUAAUUUCUCGGUUUCCCAAGCUUUGAAGCCCUAAUUCUGAUUUCUUCCCACCAAGCCAACACAACAGCCGAAUUAGGGAUUUGCCUGGUGCGAGCUCAACCAAGUUACCCAAAAGGGUGCGAGUUCAUGGACGGCAAUUGACUCAAAUUGGUUGUGCGAGCUUGAAAGAGAGAGAGAGGACAAAGGCAGAGGACAACGAGAGAGGGAGAAGAUGUCUGAAAUAAAGGCAGUACUAAUGACGCCAAAGUAAAUUAGUCAAGCCUCUUGAAUUUUUCAAUUUGCCGCGCUACUAAUGACAAUUUUUGUGUGUUUGGGCAAAAUUUUGUUAAAGCUAGAUAACAACUAAAAAUUUGGUUAAAGCUAUAUACAAUAUAAUAUAACAACUAAAAAUAUAAAGGCUAAAAAUCUUGUUAAAGCUAUAUAACAACUAAAAAUAUAACAAAUAAAAAUUUUGCAAGAGCUAUAUACAAUAUAAUAUAACAAUCAAAAAUUUUGUUACAGCUAUAUAACAACUAAAAAUAUAACAAAUAAAAAUUUUGUUAAAGCUAUAUACAAUGUAAUAUAAUAACUAAAAAUAUAAAAAUAAUUAAAAAUUUUGAGAAGCUAACAAAAAACAUUCUUUUAAUCAAAAUGUUUUUUACUCAAUUUAUUUUAUGCUGCGAGCAAUUAUGUACGGCUUGUAGUCUAACAAGCCAUUGGAAGGAUCGAAUUAGUUUAUGAAACAAGAAAAUUAACUUGUGAAUGCAUGAACUUUCCAUUGAUAAACAUUGGGAUUAGAAUUGAUUGAACAUAAACAAUGAAUAUAUAUAUAUAUAUAUAUAUAUAUUCAAUGUUUUCAAUUCCAAAGCAAUUGCCAUUGAACUUUGUGUUAAUUAGAAACUUACUAUCACUUACAAGAUCUUACUAUUGAACUUUUCAAUGAUUAACCUUAGGCUUACACUUACAACGCAUUAAUUGAACAUAAACAUAUAUAUAUAUAUAUAUAUAUAUAUAUAUAUAUAUAUAUAUAUAUAGGGUAAAAAAAAAAAAGGCCCCCUGUGUAGUUAACCUAAUACACAGAAAAGCUCCCCAUGGUUUCAAAAUAUACAACACGAUCCCUCAUGCUUUGAACUAAAUUGUAAAGGUGACGGAAUCCGUUAAACUUAACGGAAAUGGACGAAAUGACCAAAAUGCACUGAUAUAAUUAAGCAAAAGACAGCUCAAAAAAAUCAUUUGUUUCAUUCUCUAAGUAGAGAGAAUUGAGGGUUAAGGGGUAGAAUAUGCAUAUUUGAUAAAAAAUAGGCAUAAAAAUUUUUUUUAGGUUCCAAUAAGUCAUUUCCGUUAAGUUUAACGGAUUCCGUCACCUUUAUAAUUUAGUUCAAAACAUGAGGUGUCGUAUUGUAUAUUUUGAAACCAUAGGGGAUUUUUCUGUGUAUUAGGCUUACCACAGGGGGUUUUUUGUUUUUUACCCAUAUAUAUAUAUAUAUAUAUAUUCAUUGUUAAAAAUUCCAAAGCAAUUGCCACUGAACUUUGUGUUAAUUAGAAACUUACUAUCACUUACAAGAUCUUACUAUUGAACUUUUCAAUGAUUAACCUCAGGCUUACACUUACAACGCAUUAAUUGAACAUAAACAUAUAUAUAUAUAUAUAUAUAUUCAAUGUUUUCAAUUCCAAAGCAAUUGCCAUUGAACUUUGUGUUAAUUAGAAGCUUACUAUCACUUACAAGAUCUUAAUAUUGAACUUUUCAAUGAUUAACCUUAGGCUUACACUUACAACGCAUUGAUUGAAGGAUAAUCUAAAAUUGCGACUAAACCGAUUAAAUUCGAUCAAAGAUCAGUUGGACUAGAAAGCUCUAUCGGAAUUAACUUUUUGUAUUGUUAUUGGUUUAAAAAAUAAUUUUUUCAUGGUAUUAAAAAAUUAUUUAAGAAAUUUAUAGAUUAAAGUUUCAAAAUAUUUCUAUUAAAAAAUUAGACCUCGGUUAUUGGGAAAAAGAAUUGGCCAUAAAAUAAUGAUUCACAAAUGUAAUAUUACAGCUUACAAUUAAUGGAAUUGCUUAUAAAAUAAUGACAAGUAUUUAUCCAGCCCAUUGGGCUCUUAAAAUAAGUAAUGGGUUCCUUGGAAAGUUGGAUAGUUUUAUGUUUGGUCUGAAAUGAUUUGCACAUUCCGUACGUUGCCAAUUGUUCUCCCCAAAUCAUAGCCUCGGUUGCCAAUUGUUCUCAUGCUAUUAAAAGAAAAAUCAUUCCAAUACCAUUUUUAUGAAUAAGACUGACGAUUACUAACCAAGACUAGAAAUCCAAAAACUGGACCAUGGGAGUAUCAAUGAAGAAAGGCCUUAAAGAGGCAAAUUAAUACACAAGUUUUAACUAAUAGCACCAACUCUUUUAUCACAUCUGUCAGAAGGCUUAACAUGACAUCGAGAGCACUAAACUCAAAAAAAAAAAAAUGCAAAACCCAUCGACAAAAGGAAAUAAAGCCUAGGCCUCGCAAUUGAAACAGAGAAGAAUAAGGCCAGUAAGCUUUAAAGCUAUAAAAGAUUCUAAAUCAGAUUAUAUUGGGACAAAUCAACUUCAAUCCCAAGUCCAUUCUCACGAACCCAACUAAUUUCCUCAUUUUCAUUCUCAACAACAGGAUUGCCAACAUCACUUUGCAAAUAUGUCUCAACAUCCAUGGUUGUGCCCAUGUUAUAUCCAGCUCUUGCAGUGGUAGAGAUAACCACUUGCCAAUCCUUAUCAGUUGGAUCUUCCACAUAAAAAACCUGUGAUGCUUGUGAAGCAAGUAUAAAUGGCUCAACAUGAGGCCUCACGUUUGCAAAAUUGACUAAAGUAAACCCAUCAGCAUCUUGUUUCAUUCUCGAACCAUUUGAUAUCCAAUCACAUUCGAAUAACACCACCCGCGACCUCCGUAAAUUAAUUCAAUCAUAUUUUUCAAGAUGCCGAAGUAAACUAGUUCACUCAAAACUGGAUUUUGAUCCCUUAUACUUGCAAAACUGGAUGUUGUUGCAUUGACUGUAACACCACUAUUCUGCGUUUUUCUUUUCUUCUCAACUUCUUUGGUGUGAAACCGAAAUCCAUUAACAACAUACCUGCCAUGUUGGAUUCCAACAACAUCUGGACCUUUAGCAAGGAACCUCAACUCUCUCAACACCGAAACAUUUUGAGGAAGUUCUAACUUGUCAAUCUGUAAAAAAAAAAAAAAAAAAAAGAUGAAACUAUAUUUGAAGUCCUACAAUUCAAAUUGUACUUAAUAUUCAGAAUUUUACUUACAUGUUCAGCAAACCAACAUGCAAAAUUUUCACUGUGCAAGCGCUCUUUUAGAUGCUGUGGAACUUGAGGAUGUCCUUCUUCUAUCAAUCUACGAUGCUGCCUAGAAGUACAUGAGUCAAAAUUGUAAUCAUACAUUGAAUUCUACAAUAAAAUUUUAAUGCAUCAAGUUGUAGUUGAACUUACUCUAUGUAAGGUGUGACAGCAUCACAGUUAAAUAAAAUAUACUGAUGUGCUUUACUCAAGAUAUGAGCAUCAAAGACUGUUGGCUUGCCCCUCCCCAAAGGAUGUCCUGAUUCAGAGAAUAUAUCUAAACCAUCUUCAAUUUCCUUAUGUACUUCUUCAUUUCUGCUUGGACGAUUGAAUUUUGUCUCAACAUAGUCCGCAAGAUACAAUGAGCAAAAGUUAAUGCAUUCUUCUGCCAAGUAGCCUUGAGCAAUCGAACCUUCAGGCCUACUUUUAUUUCGAACAUAAGAUUUUAAUGUUCCUAAGUACCUAAAUUAUCAUCAUUCCAAACUCUCUAAUUAGUUCCACAAAUCAAAGAAAGCAAAAAAGGAAUAAACAUUUAAGGCAUAAUGAGAAUUACAAGCAGUACCUCUCUACAGGAUACAUCCAACGAUAAUACACCGGCCCACCUAAUUUCACUUCAAUUGCCAAAUGAACAACUAAAUGCACCAUGACAUCGAAGAAGGUUGGUGGGAAGCAUUUCUCAAGAUCGCAGAGUAUGACGGCAAUUUCACUUUCCAAACGAACCACAUCUUGAGGACAAAUAACUUUAGAACAAAGCUGCCUGAAGUAUCUACUCAAUCGAAUCAAAGGAUAGCGCACUGAUUUUGGUAAAGUCUUUCUCAAAGCUAUAGGCAUCAAUUGCUGCAUUAGGAUAUGAUUAUCAUGACUUUUAAGCCCUGAAAUUCUUGGUGGUUUUACUCGAACGCAUCUUGAGACGUUAGCUGCAUAACCAUCUGGAACUUUCACCUUUUUUAGCACAUUGCAAAACAUAGUUUUCUGUUUUUUAUCCAUUGCAAAGGAAGAUGGAGGUAAGUACACCUUUCCAGGUUCUGUCUCAAUGGGAUGCAGCUCUUUUCUUAGUCCCAUUUCUCUCAAAUCACGGCGGGAAUUAUAAUGGUCCUUUGUUUUAUCCUCGGUGUCCAGCAAUGUCCCCCAAAUGUUUUCACAAACAUUUUUCUCAAUGUGCAUGAAGUCAAGAUUGUGUCUUAAGACAUUAUCUUUCCAAUAUGGCAAGUCAAAGAAAAUACUCCUCUUUUUCCAAUUGAAAGGCAGCUUCGGAUUACCUUUCACAAGUUUUCCAAAUUUAAUUUGCAAGUCUCCCAAUUCACUCACAAUCAUAUCCCCGGUUUGCAAAGGUGGUCGCUUUCCAUGUUCUUCGGUGCCAUCAAAGAAUUGGGCUUGCUUUCUAAAUUUAUGCUUACUAUCUAAGAAUCUCCGAUGACCAUGUAGCAAUAUUUGAAACUAUGAGUCAACCGUCGUGCAUGAGUGAACUUGUGACAAACAGGACAAGCAUAUUCACCUUUAGUGCUCCACCCAGAUAACAUUGCAUAUCCAGGGAAAUCACUAAUGGUCCACAACAGAGCCGCAUGCAGUUGAAAAUUUUCUUUUUGGGAUGCAUCAUAAGUUUGAAUGCCAAAAUCCCACAAUUCGGUCAGUUCUUUAACUAGAGGCUGUAGAUAAACAUCAAUAUUAUUCCUAGGAGAGGAUGGUCCGGGUAUUAACAAAGACAACAUGAAGUACGGUUGCUUCAUACACAUCCACAGAGGUAAGUUAUAUGGUAUUAAAACUACAGGCCAAGUACUGUGUGUAGAACUCAUGUUGUUGAAUGGAUUAAACCCGUCAGAUGCCAACCCCAAUCUAACAUUUCGACAAUCCUUAGCAAAUUCUGGAUGUAGAUGGUCAAAAGUUUGCCAAGCUGGAGAAUCAGCUGGAUGUCUCAUACAACCAUCUUUUGUACGUUUUCCUCAUGCCAUCUCAUUUGAGAUGCAAUUUUAGAAGACAUAAAUAGUCUUUGUAAUCUAGGUUUUAAGGGAAAAUGCCACAACACUUUUUGAGGAAUUUUCCUUUUUUCCCCAGUUGGAUCAUUUUCUGAAGCAACCCACCUAAGCUCGUUACAUGUUUCGCAUGAAGUUCUUUUUUCAGCACUACCCCUAUAAAGAGAACAAUCAUUAGGACAUGCAUCGAUCUUUUCAUAACCCAGCCCCAAUGUAUUCAUCAAUUUCUCAGCCUCAUAGUAAGAAGACGGCAAAUUAGUCAUGGCCUCCGGAAAUGCUUCUCUCAACAGCUCAACAAGCAUAUUAAAAAUCUUGUUACUCAUCUUACCCAGGCAUUUUAGGUGAAGCAAACGAAUAAUGAAAGACAAUUUCGAGAAAUUUUUGCAACCAUUGUACAAAUCCUGUUGAGAAUCAUCAAUCAAUUUGUAAAAUUUUUCAGCCUCUGAAACAGGAAUGUCCCCUUCUCUAUUCAAUUCAUUUGUUCCAUGUGGUAUCCCAAAUACAUCAUGGACCAAGUCUUGCAUGUCAUUAGUCCCAUUUGAAACCCAAUUGAUGUAUUUUCAGAAUUAGAUGUGGCUUCAUUGUAGUUUGAAAGUUCUCCAUGUGCUAUCCAAUUAUUAUAACCCUUGAUAAAUCCUACCACUUUCAAAUGAUCAUAUGCUUCCAUUUUUGUCACACAAACACCCAUGCCGCAAUCUUUGCAAGGACACAAAAUCUUUCCGUCACAACUUGAUCUAGAAAAUGCGAAGUUUAGAAACAUUUGAAGUCCUGUCUCGUACUUUUCACUUGUUCUUGGAAAAUCCAUCCAUCUUUUAUCCAUACUUUUAAUAUAAAUAAAUGUCCUCCAACGAGCUUCCAAUAGCCUACUUUUUAAACUCAGGUCGUGGCUUACAAGUCCCUAAUUUCAAGUUCAAGAAUUUCUCACAAAAAGGAAUUUAUCAAGCAGCCAGCAAAUAAAGGAAAUCAACAAAAUGCAAAAUUUCUCAACAAUCUAUAAAAACAGAAUUUGCAAGUAAGCGGAUAGAAAUUUUAUUUACCUAAUAACAGAAAAAAACCCUUCGUACCAACUCCUGCGCUCACGUCUUCGCAAAAUUCCUAAGUUCAAUCUGAAAUGUCAAUGGUUAAACAAACACAUGAGCAUGAAAACUAAAGGUGAAAUUCAAGAAUUUUACUAAAUUUUCAUCAAAGUAUACAUACAUCUUUGGUGUGUAGUGAUUAAUUUUAUAAGUCAUCUCUUUAGAAAGGCAUGCAAUUGACGGCAUAGGUAAUUGGAAAAAGAAUGACAGAAAAGUCCCCUAGCUUCUAAUCAUGCCUAUGAAGAUCCUUAUGAACAUGUCAAAAUACUUUGACCCAACUACAUCAAUGUCUCUGUCUUAUUAAUCUAAAAGUCCCCUUUUUUGGGCUCAAAAUUUGCACUAUAAUAGACUGAUCAAGUGCAGAAGACACUUAGUACAAGCGUUAUACUAUAUAUUUCAAGCAACUCACGUACUGAUUAGACAUACAAUUUAAAACAGAAAAAUGAUGUAAAGAUGCAAGUACUACAUAGAAUUUAACAUAGAAAAAAGCAAUAGUGAUAUAAGUGAUACCAUUGGGUGAAAUAUGCACUUAGCCGGAGGACCACCUUUGUGGCAAAAGCCAAAAGGCAGCAAAGGUUACCAUUGUUAUGCAAAUUUUGUGCCUCACAUUGGCGGUCCAUUAUCUGCAUCUUAAUUGUCUUUGGGCUUAUAUAGUCACGGUUUCCCAAUUCUGUCACCAGAAUAAUUUCCUGCUAGGCAUAUAUAGACCAUGGUCCUUGUUUCAUUUAUUUAUAUCGAACUUGUUGCUGAGUGUUCAUGAUUACGAUAAGCAAUGCAAUUUGGUUGAAGCUCUCUAUUCACAGUUUUGCUUAACCGUCCCCAUCCCCAAACAGAACUAGCUGCCUAAACAAACUUCAAUUACAGCUAGGUUUCAUAGAAAAAAAUGAAAAACAGGGGGAAUUGACUUUUUAUCGAACAGGUUUUGGGCAACAUACUAAUCACCCGUGGACACUUUAUUAGCUAGCCUAUGUACAAUUAUGGCAUGACGAUAGAACAAAUGUAACAUGGACAUAAAGAUCGAUCUCCUCAAAAAAUACGCAAUCCAAUUGAACAAAUUUCCUCAAGUUUUCAUCUCCAUUGCAGCUAAAGAAAAAGCAUCCAACACCGAGUUGCUAUUAAUGCUACAAUUAGAUAGAUAUCAUAUUUAAAUCUUUCAACAAUCUUAAAUGAGGACAAUAUAACUCAACUAGCGACAGCUCAGGCCAAGAAUCUUUACUUCUCAGAAAAAAAUUUCCAAGUUGCAGGUAAUUUCUUGACAACGAAAUCAAACAUAAGAGCUUCAUUGUGUUUACCACUUCGAUUUUGGAACAACAUUUGCGCGCCUGAAGUAUCUUCCAGCUUUCCCAAUGUACAGCUCCGAUCUUCUAAUUUUACUCCCUGCCUGCCCUUCCAGAUGUCUUAGCCGAAGGAUUUAAAGUUGAGGUUAGAAAAGAUGAAGAUGGUUGUUUGCGGAGACAGCUUGACCAACAUUCUGGAUUGGCUGAGAUAGAUUGUAUGCGGAGAGGUGAGAGAGAUGAGAAGAAGAAAAUUUUCACCAAGUCCUUUUGCCGGCAAAAUGAAACUUCAGAGUACUUUACCAAGUGUCUGGAGCCAAAUUAAAACGAUGUCAUUUUCUGUCUUUUUUUUUCUCACAUUUUCCCAAGUGUCAUGAUAGGUAGUCUAAAGACACAUUAUUAUUUUAUAUCAUGAUAAAAUAAAAAAAUUAUAGUACAGAUUAUUGAGUUGGUUAAUAAGUGUCAUGAUACGUUUGGUAUAACGACACAAACCAACAAGUGUCCUUAUAAACAUGUCAGAAAAGGCCAUUUUUGUUGUAGUGCCUGUUGCGUUUUGAAUUUCUUAAAUAAAGGUCUUCUCUUACCCCCAAGCUAAAUUUCACACACGUUGCUCUUAUUCCUAAAUAUUUAGAGCCCAAGCAAGCAAAUAUCUCAAUUCCGUCCACUAAGUUUAUGUAAUGUAGUGUACAAAUUAGCGUCUAAAGCCAUCUCUAAUCGAGUCCGUGUUCUUUUACCGAAUAUUAUUUCUGAUCUCAAUCGGCUUUUAUUCCUGGCCAAUUAAUCACCAGUAAUGUCCUUGUUGCUUAUGAAGUCCAUCAUCUUAAAUGUAAAAAUGCAGGCAAGGAGGAACUCAGGUCGAUUAAAAUGGAUACGAGCAAAGCGUAUGAUCGAGUUGAGUGAUAUUUCUCUUAAAAAUAUUACUAGCUUUAGGUUUCAAUUCUAAAUUUAUUUUCUUAAUUUUCAAAAGUAUUUCAACAGUUUCUUAUUCUUUUUUGCUCAUCGGUUUGGGAUUUGGCCACUUAAAACCUAGUUGGGGUAUUAGACAAGGAGACCCACUUUCCGCAUAUCUAUUUAUAUUGUGUGCAGAAGCUUUUUACAUUUUAUCUCAGAAGCUAGUCUUUGUGGAAAGUUGGGAGGCAUUGCUGUUGCGCCUGGUGCUUCAUCCAUUUCUCAUUUGUUUUUUGCCAGAUGAUACUCUUUUAUUUGGAAAGCUACAGGGGAGGAGGCUUCAAAUUUUAUGCAGGUUAUCAAUCUUUAUGAAGGUGCAUCAGGCCAGCCGAUUAAUGUGGAGAAGUCAGUGGUGGUAUUUAGCAAGAAUACUCCAGAAGCUGAUUAAUUGGCAAUUGAAUGUUCUCUUCGAAUGCCGCCUGUGGAAUCACAUGAAAAGCACCUCUGGGGUUGCCUACUAUCGUUGAGAGAUCUAAAGGUGAGGUCUUUAAUUCUAUCAAACAAAGGGUUUUUAAACGGAUUAAUGGAGCAGCAGUUAUCUCGAGCAGGAGAAGAAAUUUUAUUGAAUGUCCCUUGUAAAGUUAAGCAUUAUCUCUGGAGAAUUUGCUGUGAUUUCUUGCCUACUAAAGUAAAUCUGCUCCGGAGAAGAGCUUCAGUGGAGCUCAACUGUCUGUCUUGUGGUUUUGAUAUUGAGGAUCUUAUUCAUGCAAUUUCUUUCUGGGCGUUAAGCUGCCUUAAAGGGCAAGUACGUAAGUGGCAGCAAUCAAUUCCCAAAGAGUGGGCUCUGGAGUUGUUAGUUACGUUGAAAAAUCGUGAAGCAGAGUUGUUUGAGAUGUUAUGUUGGGCUAUUUGGCUUGGGAGGAACCAAAAGCUGCAUGAAGAUAAACGAGUGGACCCUUUUGAGUUUAGUUAGCUUUGCUUCGGUGCGCUCCAAUAAUUCCAAGAAGCUAAUGUUACUCAGAAAUGUCCAGGCGAUGGCAAGUUAAAGUUUAAUUUUGACGGUGUGGUGUUUAAGGAAACUCAAUCUAUUGGUUUAGAUGACGGUGCGGUGUUGAUUUAUCUAGUUUAGACCCUCCAAUUUUUGACAUUACGAGGGACUUAACUAGUUUAGAGAUGUCUAGUAUUUCAGGAAUGAGUAGGAAUCAUAAUAAAAUCACUCAUAUAUUAGCUAAGAUCGCAGAAUUCAUAUGUGAUCAUGUCUUUUGGUGGAGAGAUCUCCAGAGUUUGUUGUGCCAUUUCUAAUGGCGGAUUUGUUAGAAAGUUAAUGAAAGUUCAAUACAGGUUAUGUUGAGUAAGACGUUGGAUUGAAAAUUCAAGAUUUUGAACUGAAAUUUCAAGAUUUUGAGAUGAAAAUAAAAGAUCACGCUAAACUUAAUGGAUUCAAAUCUUAAUAUGUGCAAAUGCGUUUGAUAACCAAAAUUGGACAUCUGAAUUAAUUAAGUGCUACUGAAUUUUCUAAACGAAAUUUGUUCUAAAAAAUAAGUGAUAAACUAUGCAUUUAUUACUGAAUGUGAUAUACACUUAAAUAUACUUGAUUUAAUACUUAACAAUCUAAUAAAUUAAUGGACUCAGAUUUUAGAUUUCAAUUUUAUCAAAGUAACCUAAAAAUAUAGACUAUAGAUAAAAUAACUGCAGAUAAUGAUUUAUGUUGAGUAAGCUUUCAAAGCUACGUUUCCCAAAACAAACUUUAGAUAAUCAUUCUCUAAUUUUUGCUUUCACUCUAGAAGAUGCGUACAAUAAUGGGUGUAUACAAAAAUGGAAGUUAAAUUGAUAACACUAAGCUCGCCAAUUCUCAUAAAAAAAAUGAUGACAUUGCCUGCAUUAAUUCUAGUAACGGACUGAAGACAAUAAUUAAUAGGUGACUAUAUGGUGCCUAAGGCACACAAUAAAAUGUGGACUUGGUACCAUUAUUUAUUUUUGUGAAAGGAUAAACCUAUUUUGUAAGGUGUCGCAAUUCAUCAUCAUGAAAUGAGUGGUAAUUUUAAAGCAUUAAUAGUGAAUUCACCUUCAUUUUUAACGUUCAUAUCGCAAAGCCUAUUAAAAAAUUUCCACCAGCACAAAUUCCACUUUUAAUAGGUUCGAAAAUUCACUCACAAAUUUAUCCACAAAUCCCAUUAACAAAAAAAAAAAAAAAAAAUGCAGAAAGUUAUCAACGGAACUUCUAUAGUGCGUUGAUGCGACACGUGUUGGUUGGAGAUUACUAGAUGGGAGUGGGGUUAAUCAAAGGUGGUAUUUUAGUAUUAAGCCCAAAAACCACCGGUAACAAUGGUAUUGACCCAAUUUCAGAGGAAUUGACCCACAUAAACUGUGAAAGAUUAUUUUCUCUGUCAUUUAAGGCAAUUUCUGAACAAGAUUUAGGCGUAUAAUAAAGAAAUUAUCAACCCCAACCCCCAAUAUUAUGCUAAUAUGCAAUUGGAAAAAAUUAAAUGAAUAUUUACUUGAAGUUAAGAAGUGGAUACCAAUCGGUAGAAAGUGUUUAUAACAUACUCCGAAAUGCCAAAGGACUUCCCAAAAAGUGGGAAGCAGGACAACAUCUGAAAUAUAGUCCAAGUUUGAAGUGCUUUAUGUCAAACAUAUUUCAAUAUAGAAAAAAAAAAAUUACUGGUUAGCAUAUGUUUGUGCGCAGUAUUUGUUGAUUGGGAGACGGUUCUAAGGAGGCGGUUUUGCAACAAAUAAGUAAACGGGAUGUCGAUUACUUGGAGUUGUAUCUUAUGCUGGAAAAAUAAUUAGACAUGUCAGUUAAGUAAUAUUUCAAUUUAAAUAAAGUUAGUUAGGAACUAGAACUCGUAACAUGGUUGGAUAUGGUUAGUGAAUAGGAUAUGAAUGUUGGGGGAUAGAAUACAACUAGAAUUACUAAGACAAAUUAAGCGUGACACUUUGAAUUCAAAUUUUACUAACAUUGCAUAAUAACACCUUUGACUGAUAAUUUUUUUUGAUACGGAAACUGGAAAAAUUUUAUUAAGAAGAGGAUAGAUCCGUAUUAAUUGCGAAAGAAAGAAAAAAUGGUGGAGAAAAUCUCCAACUAUAAAUACCUGAAAUAGAACUAGCAUUACUAUCUAAGAAAUGAGCAGGCACAAUUAGAUUCCUAGGAAUCCAAUCAGCCUCCCAAGUAAUGAAAUUCUGUAAACUAACAAAGAUAUCAUCUAACAGCACUCCAUAAGCUGAAUCAUCGGAUUCCAUAUUUUUAAGCAUGUUGAUGAUCUUCAAAGAGUCACCCUCUAAAACAAUCUUAGAACCUUCAACUGAAGUAACGAGGAAAUUGCAGAUAUUGCAGCAUAAGUUUCAGUUACUUCAGGAGAAAAGAUACCUAAGAUUUUGUGAAAAAUACUAGCAACAAAUUUGCCCCAUUCAUUCCUCACAACAAUUCCAACUCUAAAGUUGUCGUCUUCAUAGAAUAUUGCACCAUCGAAGUUUGCACUGCACCAUCGAAGUUUGCCUUUAGAAAUCUUGCAGAGGGCUUUAUCCAAUGAAGUUGAGCAGUGGAAGAGCAUAUUGGAAUGUUUGGAAAUGUGUUUAUUUCAUGGUAUUUCUAUAAGAAAUUGAUAGAGAGGGAGAGACCAAACUGAAGGAUCACGAUAGAACCAUCAAAUAAUGCAUCAUUUCGGUUAAACCGUAGAUUCCAAAGAAUUAUGGCUACCAAUUCCAUGUCCUGCUUUUUCAAAAGAUGAAGGCCAGACAACCGAGACGAAACUUGAUCGGUAGAGUCUAAUCUUAUCUUUAGUGUAAGAAAGCUAAGGGCCCAAGGUUGAAUUGCUACUGGACAGCACAAGAAAAGAUGAUUAACAUCAUCAAUAGGGGCCUUACAUAAAGAACAAGUAGGAUCAAAAUAGACUCCGCGACUAUUCAACUUGGAAGUUAUAGGUAGAAUGUCUUUGCAAAUUCACCACAAGAAUAUUUUAACUUUACUUGGUAUGUUGAGUUUCCACAAGCAGGGCCAAAUAUCAUCCAUAGAACCAUUACUACAUGAAGCUACAUCUUGUCAAUUUGUAGAUUAUAUUUUGAUAAGAUGAUAGGCAAUUUUCACUGUGAAGGAGCCAUUUUUAGAAUAGUGCCAAAUGAGCUUAUCUUGAUUUCGUCUAUCACCCAAUGGAAUACUCAUAAUCAACUCAAUCACAUCUAAGGAUAGCAACGGGGGCAGUGCCCGGGGGGCUAUGGGGCAGAGGUGGGGGGGGCGGGGGAAUUUUUCCCCCAUUUAGAAACGGGGCAGGGGCCCACCCAUUUGGAAAAAAAGAGAGAUAUAUAUAUGUACAUAAUUAUAUAUAUAAUAUAUUAUCAAUUAUACAUGUCUAUUAAUAAAAAUUAUUAAUUAUUUAUACUAAAUUUAUUAAUACAUUUAUAUUAAAUUCCUAACUACACUUAAUACAAUAACACUUUUUUUCUAAAAAAAACACAAUAAUAAUUUAGUGAUUGUAUUUGUAUCAAAAGUAAAAACAAUUAUUUUAGUUAUAUUUGUUUUAUCAUAUUAGAUCGUAUUCAAAUAACUUUUGUUUAAUUAUUUUUAUGAGUUUCAAUUGUGAAGUUAUAAUGAAUAAUAAUUUGGUGAUGUGAUUGAUAUUUUAGUACUUGAUUACUUGCUCAAAUUUAAUUAUAAUAAAAUUAUAUAAUAAUUUUUUUAACCGCGGGGGAAGCGGGGCGGGCGGAGGACGGGACGGGACGGGGGAAUUAAUAGGCAACGGGGGGGGGAGGGGCCACCCUAAUCACAUCCUGCCAAAAAAGCUCUUGAAGCAAAUCAUAUUUCCAUUUCCUGCUAUUUUCAUCAAUUAAACAAUCUAUAGUGGAGAUUUCUAGUAGCACAUCAAAACGAGAUAUAAUUUUGAAAUUAGAAAGACGUGGAAUCCACCUCUUUCCAAAUUUUGAUAUGAUUCCCGUGUCCAUCUCACCAUCUACUACCAAAAACACCUUUGAUUGAUAAUUAAAUAGUUAAAAAAAUAUAUCUACUUAAUUUGUUUACUCAAUAGUUAUGUGAACUAAAACAUAAAAAAGAAGGUCAAUUAUUAUAUUAGUGUUAUAUUUGUAAUAUUAGUUCCCUAUAUAGUAGGUUGCCGAGUUGGGCAUAUUUAUAUUCUACCAAGUAAAUGCCCUAUCUUUUCGAAACGUGGCAAAAAAAAUUGUGUUUGUUUUUUUGGUAGAUUUCAUUCUUUUUCUUUUUUGGUAACAAUUAAUUUACUAUUCAUUUUCACUUCAUUAUUUAUAGUAAAUUUCAAUCAAUUAUCAAUUACUUACCUUAUAUGCAUUUCUAUUAAUUAUACCUUUAUUUUUUUAAUCAACUUAUAGCUUUCCUUUUUAAUUAGGCACUCGUUAAUAUAUGUCUUAGGUGUUAAAUUUUUAGAAAUAUAAGAUGAAUUAGGGAGCAUAUAAAUGUAAGGGAAUUAAUUAGAAAAAUAUAUAAAUAAAAGAAAAAGUAGUAAUGUUGCGUAUAUAUAUGGCAGGUUAGGUGGAAUGCAGGUGUGUUAACGAUUACCCAUAGGGCACCCAUUAGAAAUACUCAUCAAAAUUUGGAUUAAUUUUUUUCCUUUCAUUGCAAUCAUUACUACCAUUUUUCCUAUCAUUUAUUACUAUACCUUCAUGUUUCUAAAUACCAAUAAAUGUAUUACUCUCUUACUUUUUAUUUGAUUGUGCUAAUUAUAGCUUUCCUUUUACUUAAUCAAUUAGUCAAUCGAUCAAUCAACCCAUGAUUUUAAUUCUCUUUUCAAUCGCACGAUCUUUCUUUUAUCCAUCAUUAGGGAGAUUUACAAUUUAGUCACAUAUUUGUUAUGUGUACAAUAAUUAUGCAAUCAUAAGCACAAACUAAUGCAAUUCUAAUAAUUUUGCAUAUAUGCAUUCAUAUUGUAUUGCAACACCUUUAAUAAUUCAUUAUAUGGUUACAAAAGCCAAAAAAAAUCUAGUAUUACCUAGACCUUAGAUAGUCCCCAAUGUAUACACUGAUACUGUAUAAAAUGAUUUUAAACCCGUUAAUAUAUAUACUGAUUGCAUAUGAAGAUUCAUCCCUAAUUUAGACCUCUUAGAUAGUUUGCAUGCAUUAUAUUCCCUUUUUUAAUUUCUUAUUUAGUUUACCUUAUUACCAUUUAUGAUUUUUUUUUAAUUUAAGCAACAUCUUCCAAUAUUUUAUCACCAUUUUAAGUUAGUUCAUUUUUAGGAGAUAGUAGUAUAAGUGUGGUAGUUUGUCCAAAUAACUUUGAAUAUGCAUAUACAACCCAAAAAUAAAAUGAUAGUUGUUUAUAUUCUUAUCACUCAACGAUGAUAGUGUUAUGUAAUUUAAAUGAUUGAGAUCUAUUGCCAUCCAAAUAUAAAUUUAAUAUGAGGGUAUGAUAACUAAAAAUGACUAUAGAAUCUCCCUAAAUACUAAAUAAUGCGAAUAGAGAUAUUCCCUCAAAAACUUGUAAAGUACUUAAUGUGUAUACGGGUAAAUUCUUGCAAUAGUGAAAGGAAAAUAUCUUACUAGCCUUGAAAUUUUGGCCCGUGUAUUGACUUUUGUUAGCUAAAUUAAACUAUCUUGGAGUGAAGACAUAAAAUCUGCGGCAAAUUUGAGAGAGUUGUGAACAUAGCUUAUCUAGCGUACACAUUUUUUCCGAGUUUGAAUUCUCUCACUUACACGACAAAAAGAAAAAACUAUCGUACAUUUAACUUCCAACUAACAAUGAUGUAUAGGUAAUAAAUUAUAUGCAUGGGAUAUUCCAUAAAUAAAUGAAAUAUAUUUACACGACAAAGAGUAAAUUCUUAAAUUAAGAAGAAAUAAUAUUAUAGUAGCUGUCAAUUUGUUUAUAUGACUUUUUGGUUUGUCUUUACUCAUGACAACCAAUUAUGUUAUUUUGAUGUAAAAAUAUCCAAAAACGGUUGAAUACAAUGUGGGACAUUAUUAUUAUUACUCGGAUACCUCAAUAUUUAUAAAAUUGAUUAAAUUGGAAUCCAUUUGGAUUUAACAGUAUUUUGAAAAAACUAUUUUUGUUGUUCAAGUCUAUAGUAAUAAACUUUAAAAAUAACCUCAAAAAUAAUUUAAAAAUACAACAUAUCUCAAAUACAUUAAAAAAUAAUUAAAAAAUUUCCCUAAUUCUUCUUCCCCACACUACCCACUACAACCACCACCACUACCCAUCACUGUCCACUACCACCACCAUCACCCCACACCCAUGACCCGUCUUCCUCUCUCCUCUCUCUCUUUCUCCUCUCUCUCUCCUCCCUCCUUCCUCCUUUUCUUAUUCUCCUUCUCCUUUCUCCUUCCUCCUCUGCCUUGUCUUUCCUCCCUUCUCCCUUCCUUUCCCCACCCCCUAAUCCCCCCUUCCCUCUACUGACUGUGGCCUUCUUGGUCUUGACCAGAAAGGUUGCAGCCAGAAGCCGCGACUAGUGGCUUCUGGUUGCAACCAAGGUCACAGAUGGAGUCGCGGUUACCAUCCACGAUUGGGAGAGGUUUGAGGGUCAAACGAGAGGGAGGGGAGAGAAGGAGAAGAAAGAGGAGGGAGAAGGAAGAGGAAGGGAGAAAGAGAGGGAAAACAGAGGGAGAGACAAGAGAGGAGAGGGGGUAACGGCGUGAGUGGUGGUGGUGGCUGGCGUAAAAUUUUUUAAAAAUACCCCAAAAAAGUUGUAAAUUAUAAAAAUAUCCCAAAAAUGUAUUUUAAAAAGCCCUAAAAAUACCUUUAAAAAACCCCCCAAAAACAUCUAUAGUACAAGUUAUUUAUAUAUAUAGUUACCGUAAAGUUUUUAAAAGAUACCCUAAAAACAGUUAGUCCAAAUGGAGUCUUGAGUUUUGAGGUUAAGGUUCAAUGAUUGACCACAAUUUAGGUCAAAGUAAAACUUGGCCGAAAGUUUAGUGGGUAAAAUAUAAUUUUAAAAAUUAAUCAUCUUCCCUGAUCCUCACAGUUGCAAUGGUGAACUGUCAGCCCCUUAGGACGUGUUCCAGACGGAAACGCGCAACCGUGGUAGAUUUCGGUCACUCAUGGUCAACUUGGAAGGCUGAAGGUGAACUGGUUGGGAAAAACUUGGACACAUGUUUGAUGAUGUAUUCCAUGCCUAUGUAUGGGUUUGGAAAAGUUUCAGGGCUAGGAAAUGUCUCUAAAUUAGGGGAAAUGAGGGGUGGCUUUACUAGCGGUCCGAAAUUUUUAGCUAGGACUACUAUAGAGAGAGAUAACUAUAACUAAGCCAAGUCAAUGCCAAGGGCUGGGGGCUAAGGCUUUAUGGGUUAUUUGGAUGGUUCCAAGCAUUUGGGCUGUGUGCCUAAGUUGCUAAGUGUUGGGCCAAGUUGGGCACGGAACUAAGCAAAUGGCAAGAAGCUGGGUGUGCGAAACUGUGUGACCAUUGCCUGUGCGCUCCAAAGACGAACGUUGGGACUGUCUGGCAGUUGCUAGUCGUUUGCUGGAGUUGCGGACGAUUAUCAGUCAACUCAGACACGUUCUUAUCGGUUUCCUGACUUCAUGUACAUUCGGGUCGGACCAACGGUUGGGUCUUGUCAACUAUAACAAUGCAUAUAAAUAAAUGGCUAGGUAGGGACUAAAGGCAGAUAGUGAGAAACACCCUUAGAUGUUCUGCAGCUAAAUGUUUGUAGAAUUGUCCUUGUAAUCUCUAUAGUGAAAUACAAGGUUGGCCGUUUGUUGUAACUUGUGCGUGUGUUCCUUUGUUUUUGCCUAAGUAUUCUAUGUUGAAUACUUGUAUGCAAGUGUCAGUGUAAGGGCUGACUGGAAGCGCGGCUUAUCAAUGCCAUUACAUGCUUGUUAGGCUAGUGAGCGUAAACACCUCGUAAUAGUUUGGUAUCAAAGCACGGCUUUGAUCUAUUAGACUGUGCUUCUGUUAUGUGUUUUGUUGGUUAAUGAUGGUUGGACACAGGAAUUCUGUUGCAAUGCUUGGAAUGGUUGCAAUGUUAGGAACUUGCAUUCGAGGACUUGAUGCAGUGUCUAGGAGAUGGCCUAGAAGGCUUCAAUGUCAUAGAAGUUCUAUUGCAGACUAGAGAGAUGAUCAACACCCUGACUGCACAGAUGGACCAGGCAGACAGUUUCUUCUGUUGGGGAUGUUGAGAUGCUAAGGAAUGAAAUGAUUGCUCCCAUGCAAAGAUCGUGGCUUUACAAUCGAAGAUCAAUGUGUUAAAAAAGGCAGUCGGCUCUUGUAACACACAGACCUUUCAAAAAUCUUCGAAGAGGAAAGUGAAAGUCCUAGAUCCGAAACCAUACCAAGGUAGUAGGAGUUCGAAGUAUUUGGAAAACUUUUUGUGGGAUUGUCGAGUAGUACUUCAAGGCUAUUGACAUUCCUGAAGUAGAGAAGGUGUCAAUUGCAUCAAUGUGUCUUAGUGGUGAUGUAAAGUUAUGGUGGAGAACAGUGCAAUCAGACCUACCAAACCCAAGAUCGGUACUUGAGAAGUACUGAAGGAGGAAUUGAAGAAGCAAUUCCUUUCCACGAAUGUUUAAUGAAAAGUUAGAGGUGUAUUGUGAAACUUAAAGGAGAAUAAGAAAGUACAGAGUACGUUACAGAGUUCCAAGCCUUGAUGUUAGAUGUAAGGGAAAUGUCUGAGGAAGACAGACUCUACAUCUUCAUCCAUGGACUUCAACCGUGGGUACAGAUGGAGUUGCGGUGAUAAAAUGUUCAGACCGUGUCUCAAGCACUUGCUACUGUCGAGAAGUUGAUAGACUUCAAGUCCAUAGGAUCCAAAAGUGAAAAAAAAAGAAGGGCAAGGAUAAGGCUAAGGGCUCGAAAGGUGGUCAAUUCUCAAAAAGAAUAAAAAGAAGCAGACAGUAACAACGACCGAAACUAGCGGUGCUUCCUCUUCUAAGAAGAAGCAAACAUCCAACCCUAAAAAGGAUGGCUGCUAUACCUGUGGAAGACCACACUUAACCUGCAAUUGCCUCAAUAAGAAGGACCAGAACGUUAGUGCCUUAGUGGCAGAAGACAAUAGUGACCAGUUGGAGGUCCAGGAUGCACGGGUCAACCCCAUGUAAUUCUUGAACGCCAUCACCGAUACUAAUGUCUGUACUCUUUACAAUGGUUUGAUGUAUGUGCAGGUUACAUUGAAUGGUAACCAUAUAUUGACGAUGGUUGAAACGGGAGCAUCAUAUAGUUCUAUGAUGGAAAAAGUAAUGAGUCGGUUCCGGUUACAGUUGAAAGACUUGGGUUUCAAAAUUGAAGGCUGUAAACUCUGAAACCAAACCAGUGCUAGGCAUGGCGACCGUAGAUUAGAGUUGGAGCCAUGGAAGGGUUGGUGCAAUUUCAUGGCAAGUCAAAUGGAUGAUUUUGACUUGAUUCUAGACAAAGAUUUCAUAGUUGCAAAUAGGAUCUAUCCAAUUCCGCACUUGGAUGGCGUCAUGGUGAAUGAUGGCUAGAGUCCAGGCUUUGUUCUUGUAGUAAAGUUGCAGAAACAAAAGAACAAUCAACAAAAGAACAUGGUAUCAACGAUAGAGAUUGAGUCAUAUCUUCUGAGGCGGUGAAGUUGUGUAUAUUGCUGCAUUGGUGGAAACCAAACCUAACAUGUACCAGAAGUACCUAACGCCAUGGCCCACGUUCUAGAGAAGUUUACAAAUAUCAUGCCUACAAAGUUUUCGAGAUAGCUUCCUCCAUCCUGUGCCGUGGAACACAAGAUCGAGUAGGUUCCAAGAGCCCAACCACCUGCCCAAACUCCUUAUCGCAUGUCCCCGAUAAAGUUGGCUGAGAAAGAUAUAGUACGCAUGAGAAAGAAAUGACAGUUGUUGUACAUUGUCUCAAGAUAUGGAAGCACUAUCUAUUAGAAACCAAGUUUGUGGUGGUGACUAAUAACAUGGACAAUACUUACUUCAAGACACAGAGAGAGUUGACCCCGAAGCAAGCUCGUUGACAAGAGUUUCUGGCUGAAUUUGACUUUGACUGGAUUCAUAAGUUAGGAAGGGAGAAUGCAGUGGUCGACAUACUUAGUAGAAAGUAUGUCGAAGAAUACAUUGUUGUGCUUAGCACUGUUGAGACGGACUUCAGGGACAAGAUCAAGUGGGAGUCCCCGAGUGACCCAAUUUAUCAAAACUUGGUGUUCGUGAAGUCAAAGUUCGUCGUUAUUGGCUGGAGGAUGACUUACUAUUUUGCCAAUAGUGGUCAAGCAUAUGUUCCAGCAGGAGGGGACUUAGGCGACAGUUACUACGAGAAACUCACAAUGCUUCUUGGAUUGGUCAUUCUGAAGUUGAACGAAUGCGGGCAUUAUUGUCGCGUAGCUUCUAUUGGCCAAAGAUGGAAGAGGAUAUUUUAAGAGGUUGUGUGGGUUUUGGUUAAUGGUGGAUAGCCCCGUAUCCCAUAUGGCUUCCCCGUAUCCCGUUGGCUUCCUGUGUUUUAUCCCGAAUUUCACCUGCACGGAUUGCUUAUGCAUCGCUUAGUGGACUUUUGGUUUCAAAUAGCAUGUCUUUUACCCGUUAAAUAACCUUUUUUUUACCCAUUGUUCUGGAUUAUUGCAUAAGUGUCAAAUUUCGCCUGAAAUGCUCACAUAUUCUUCUAUGAGAUUACGUGUAUCACUACUGCGUUACCUUCCUUCGACACCUGAAGCUGGAGUUUGACGUUUCAUUUCGUUCAGACCAUGGAAUAGUUGCUGCGAUUAAACUUAUGUCUCUAAGAAAAUAAAGAAGGAAACAUCACUUUUUGUCUCUGUGCUCUUUGAUUUCUGCAUUUUCUAAUCCAUGUUAUAGAACUGACUGUUGAUGAUACCAAACAUUUUGUUAAAAGAAAACCAAAGUAUUCAAUUCCCAUACAUUUAACUCUUCCUGGUUAAAAUGUAACUUCCUCUAUUGAUGUCCAUAAAUUUCCUCGAAAAAGCUUGCGAACUGCAAAAGUUUCCACCAGUCGUCUUAAAAUGGCACUCUAAACCGUCUGCUAUGAUACUUUUGAUAAGCACAGUUAUACUGCCAGGAAGGGCAAGUAGGUAUGCAUCAUGGACCAUGAAAAUGCCAAUUUCCAGAAAUCAAUUACAGCUUUGACGAGUUGCAAACUUCUUGGACUAUGAAAAUGCCAGUUUCUAGCAAUGAAAUGAUAGCUUUCACGAUCUGCAACUUCUUAUUGAUUAAUGAAUACUGAAAAGUACGUAUCAGCCCAAUCUUGCCUCUCUUCAUAGUACCUGGAAAAGAUUUAACAGUCAACCAUAAGUGACAGAACUUUAACAGCGCUAGCCAUAUAACAAACAGUGGACAAAACUUUAACAAAGCUAGUCAUUUUCUUUUCUUUAGCAUGUGAUAUUUCUUCAUGUUUUGCACUUUUGUUUAAGCUUGACAGUGAAAACAUUUUUCAACCUAGAAAAUUCUGCAAGGCAAAACUUUCUUCAUUUUAGUUUCUUCAUUUCAGCAAAAUUAACUUUUUGUUUGGACUUCCAUUUUAAGAGUUUUUCACUGUUAUUUCAUUAAUCUGAAUGUAAGCUUGAGAAUUGAGAUAGGAACAAGUUAAAGAAAUGUUAAAACUGGCUUGAAGUGGGCAUUAUUUCUUGGAAUCUGUUUUAUUACUUUUGUACCUUAUUUCUUAGAAAUGUCAUUCUAAAUAUCUAUUUUGGCUAAUCAGAAUCUGUAUUGGUUAUUAAAUGUGUUUUGAUUAAGGAAUGUACAGCUCUCCAUUCAACUCAUUUCAAGGUUCAUCAUCAAGUCCUGUGAUGGAGCAAAAUAAUGAAGACGUGAACAAUUGAACUACAACGAAAAAAGAGCUGAUGAGAUGAGUGAAAAAGAGAUAGAAAUGAUAAAAAAUGAGGGCAAUGAAGAACGACAGCAAGAGAUGGAGAUGAAGGAGCUGGUCCUUUUGAGAAAAAACAAAGGAAGAAGAAAUCUAGCAUAUGGGAUGAAAUGACAACAAUAGUGCUAGAUAAUGGGACGGUCAAAGUGAAAUGUAACAAUUGCAAGGAACUUUUUGUCAAGAGUGCAACCGAAGCCAUAUCUCAGCACAAGAGACACUUGAAUUCUUGCCUACAAAGAAAGAUAGCCAUUGGAAAGCAAAGCAAACAAAAGCAACAAGUGUUGUCAUUCAUCGAAGGCCAAAGUAAUGGUAUCACUUCCAUCACAAAUUUCUUGUAUGAUCAUGCCAAGGUAAGAGAGCUUGCAUCACACAUGAGUACCCCUUUUCUAUAAUAGAUCAUGUAGUUUUCAACAAAUUCAUGAAAGCGGCUUCUCCAUUUUAUAAUUGUUAAGAAAAAUUGCAUUAGUACUUAUAAAAUUGAAAAAAGGAACCUGAAAUCAUUGUUGAAAGGUGCUGGUAGGAUUAGUAUUACCACAGAUUUGUGGACAUCUGGUCAAAAAAAUUCAAUAUAUGGUUGUGACUGGUCAUUUUGUUGAUUUUGAUUGGGUGCUACAAAAACGUGUUGAAUUUUUAUAAUGUUCCUCCUCCUCAUACUGGAGUUAUUAUAGCUGAUACUCUAAGUAAGUGCUUUAUUGAUUGGGGGAUUGAGAAUAAGGUUUCUAACAUAACUGUUGAUAAUGCUUCAUACAAUGAUGUGUGCAUUAGGAGACUUAGAGAGGAUUUUUCUCUAAAAAAGAGAUUAAGUAUUGGAGGAAAAAUUUUCAUGUUAGAUGUUGUGCACAUAUACUUAAUCUCUUAGUGCAAGAUGGUCUUGGUCAACUUGGUGGUGUGAUUGAUGUUGUUAGAGAAGGGAUAAAGUACUUGAACAAUUCUGAAUCUAGGCUUCUUGAAUUUGCCAAAAUUAAAAAACAGCUUCAAUUGCCCUCUAGAAAGCUAAUUUUGGACUGUCCAACAAGAUGGAAUAGCACCUAUUUGAUGUUAGCUUCAGGUUUAGAGUUCAAGGAUGUUUUUUCGAGAUAUGCAGACAUUGACCCUGGAUUUCACUAUGUUUUUACUGAUUUUGAGUGGAUGAAAGUGAAAGAAGUGUGCAAAUUUCUAGGAAUAUUUUAUGAAAUCACUGAUAUGAUUUCCGGGUCCGAGUAUCCAACGGCUAACAUUUUCUUGUGGAGCUCUAUAGGAUUAAAGAGCUUUUAAAUGAAAAAGCUCUUGACCCUUUUUAGCAUCUUUGGGUUAUGGCUGGAAGUAUGUCUGCUAAAUUUGAUAAGUAUUGGGGGGAAAGUAAUGUACUGCUAUCUUUGGGUGCAAUUUUGGAUCCGAGAUACAAAAUAUUUCUUAUUAAUCAUACUUUUCCGGUGAUUUAUGGUGAGGAUGCAGCUCCUAGAUUCGUGGCUGAAAUUAGAGACACUCUUUAUGAGCUUUACAAUGAAUAUGUUGAUUGUCACAUAGUUUCCCAUUCUGAACAAUAACAGAGGCAGGUUGUAAAAGGGAGACAAAAUGAAGGUUCUAGUUCUUCUAGUAAGAAACAGAAAAUGACUGGACCUGCCGUUUUAACUAGUAAAGAAAAGUUGCACAUGCAUGUGAGUGAAAUUAACAGGGCUCCACCACAAAAAUCAGAUUUAGAUGUUUAUUUAGAGGAAAGUAGGUAUUGUGACGCCCCCACUUCUCCUUAAGGUGAACCAAAGAGUAUCCACGGGACGCCUGCCCAACUCUUACCAGGACUGGGUACAAUUUCCGUUCAACCUUAUUACAAUACUAGCUAUCACGACAAGAUGAAGUAAAAAAGAUAAAGUCGCUUCUAUAAAUAAUAUUCAAACUUACACCACGAGUUCCAAAAUACAUCAAAUUUCCAAAAUAUACAACUGCCAAAAGUCUAGUCGAUUACAUUUGGAACCCUAAUACAAAAGUACAACAAAAGGAUUUCUCCGAGUUUCACUCCAUAUCUAUGCCUGUUAAGGAAAAUAAAUCUACGGGGUGAUCAAUUGCUCGUGAGGCCAAAAAACACACAUACAAGCACGUUGUCCAAUUAACAAGAAAACGAUAAUAUUCGAGUAAUUAACAAUUCAAGCGGAAUGUAAACAGAAACAAUUCAAGGAUAUGGGAGCUCUCAGGAGCUAUUGUCCACUGGCACGAUCAAGAACCUCCACGAGUUGACACUCCGUCAAUCGGGUAGGUCAUAAUCCGUAGAAGCUUCACUUACGCGUUCCUCGUCCACCAUACAUACCGCACCGGGCCCGAACAUCAUUUAUAAGGUGAUACUCCACGAGUAUGUCAAGCGAGAUCUUUCAAAUAGAUCAAACUUAUCAUGUUAUUCUCAUGACUCAUCGAGAUUCCCGACCAAACCCAUGCCGGCUCGAGUUCCAAGGUCGACCUAUGAGUUUGGGCCCCCAUGUAACAUUUGUGAGUGGAAGAGAUUCACUCCAACGAUGUAUGCAGCCAUAGCAUACUAUUUCAUGUCAUUCAAGCAUUCGAUACAUUCAAUCAUUCAUUUCAUCUCAUUCAAGUCAUUCAUGAUCCAUUCAUUUCAUUUCAAUUAAUUCAAUCAUGAGUCAUUCAUUUCAAAUGAGAACGAGUGCGGUAAAAUACACACUCGACUCCAUUUUCAAAAUCUCCAAUCAUUAAUAACAGUUAAGCAUGUAUCAAGUUCCCAUACACUUGACACUCACCAAGUAAUUCAAGAAGUAAAGCACAAGCGGUUGUUUAGGCGUCUCCUGUGAGAUCCUCUUGAAGGUCCUCUUGAGUGCCUGAGUAAUAAUAAUGAACUAUUACACACUAUCGUUUAAAACCCCUACUUAUCGAGAAAGAUUGCACUCGUGUACAAUUUAAGAAGAUAUUAUGAGAAUGAGCCUUAAUUACUCGUAAAUCGAGACUCAAAAGUGGGGUUUUAAUAAUACAAGGAAAUUCGAUUUUCAUCUUUGAAAUCAAAUGUAAAACGAUCAAGCAAUAUCGAGGAAAAAUGGUGAGUACUAAAAACUCAAUUUUCUUUAAGUUCGGAAAUUUCAGAUUUGAUAAGCAAUUUUUGAAAAACCGUAUCUCAUUCUCUGUAGGUCCAAAAUUAGAAAAAUUGGUACCGUUGGAAACUACUUCCAAAGUACUAAAAGUUCUUAGAAGACAUUUUUCCAUGAUUCCAAAUAGAUGACAUUCAAAAUUCGGUUCAAAGUUGCUGUUUUGGGCUACCAAGACAAUUUCGGGGUUGGUUUUUGGCCAACUUUGGAAAUUCGGCAAAAUUCACAAAAUGUGAACUAGCCUCUGCAAUUUGGAAAUAAAUUAUAGUUACAAACAAAGUUUAAAACACAACAAACAGAACAAGAAUUGGAGUUUUGAGUGCCAAGAUAUAGCAGCUCAAAUUUGCUGAAAUUUUCUCACUGAAUAAGGAUUUUCCAGAUUUGAAACAUGAAAUUUGGGAUUUCAGUUGAGCAUCGAAAUGGACUUGGAAUGGCACCAAAUUUGGUAGUAUUACCCUACCAUAGAAGGGCUAUUCCUCUGUCAAAUUUCAUGCAAAAAUUCAUAUGGAAGGUCAGUUAACAAAGCCGCUAAAGUUCCAAGAAUUUCCAAGGCAAAUCUGCCUUGUACUUCCGUUUUACUUUUUCAAGCAUUUGGCCAAUGAAAUCUUCUCAAACAUGGUUCAUUUAUGAAGACAAGAUCUAAGAAACAUCCAAAAUGUGUUUGGUAGGUGAUUAAUACCAAGAGUUCCAAAAUAACGACUCCCAAUUCGAGUUAAGGCAUUCAACUAGCCAAGAUUAGGGUUUCCUUUCACUGACACAGGUCUGGAAUUUGGCCACAACUCACUCAAUUCAACUUGGAAUUAGACAUGAUCAGUGGCGUUGGAAACUAAAUUCAUAGGGCUAUAAUUUCUCAGAAAAAAUCAUUUUGAAAUUCUGUCCAUAACUAGUUCAUAUUCUAGCAACAAGUUGCAGCACACAACAGGUUUUCUAACACAGACGAGAAACAGGGCAGGUGACUUUGAAAGGCUGGUACGGUUCACUCAAGUGGAAUCAGGGGAUGCAUUUUAUACUGUUAGAAAACUGGAAGUAUCUAGUUUCUAAUUCCUCAAAUGGCACUCGAUUUUGAUGUCGGAGCAAAGAGUUAUUGUCGUUUGAAAUUCGCUGCCAGAGCAACUCUGGACAUGUUUUCCAACCAUGAAGAAAUUUCGAAAUCCAAACAUUUACCCAACCAAAUCAAGUGAUUUUUGGUGGAAACUUUUCACACAACCUAUAAAACAUAUAUACACCGAAAUCAAGUCAAUUAGAUCACAAAAAAUUGCACCAAGAGGUGCGGCAAUGACAGGGCAGAUCUGGCCCUUCUUCCAUUUCAACUUCCUUUGAGUUUCUUUCCACUCUUUCAACUUAAAUCCACUAGAUUAACACUUAAUCAACAUAAAUAACACUCAAAAUCAUCAAAUCAGAUGAUCAAGUCCAUUGUGGGAUUUCAUAGAGUCUACUCACAUGAUUUUCAACAAUCCAAAGCUACCCACAUGAAGCUACAAGCUUCUAAGUGAAAUCUAACUUACAAAAGCUAAGAUUUAAAGGGUGGAUGAUCAUUACCUCUUAGAUGUUGCUAGAGCAGAAAUUUCGGUCCUUAGAGCUCCAAGAAAACCGUGAGAAUGAAGCUCUUCUCCUAGCUGAAGAUGAUCUCCAAGUUAUUUGCAAGGUGUGGUAUGAAUUUGAGAGGAUUUGGUGCAAGAUUGAGAGACGAAAUGGUGAAGAAACUUGGUCUUCUUCUCCUUGGUGUUGCACGGCUGCUUGAGGGAGAGAAAGAGAGAGUUGUGGCUGAUGGAAAGCUUCUCUUGGAAGCUUAAGAGUUUGUGGCCAAAAUUACUCCAAAAGUCAACUAAGAAUAGUGCAUGUACACGCGCGUUUCGUGCUCGUUUCCUUUUGGAUUUGUUUCACUUGUGCACUAAACCUCUAAUGCACUUCCAUUCAUACUAUUAUUAUUCACUUUUAAUAGUCUAAAAAUAAAGGUCUAAAGUCCCUCAAUUAAUCGCGCGCGCGAAAACGCGUACUUCCGAUUUGUGCGCGAUAGAGUAAAAUUUCUAAGAAAUUCUUACAAUGAUAUUAUAACUGACUAGUACUUGAGUACUUAAACAUAAAAAUACCUAUUUUGAAACUAAUGUAUGAGUCUUCAAUCUCCAAACUCACUGUAUUCUCAAAUCGAUUAUUGUCUCCAAACGCGCAUUCACUAUUCUCACUAAACGAGUUUCUAAAAAUUAAAUUUUUGCAACAAGUCAUUUUAAAUAUAUAUAUAAGUCAUAAUUCCAUGUAAUUGAGUCUAAAAAGGUUGGAAUAAAAUAUUCGGAGCAAACAGACAAUUAAAUAUUUAAAUAAGCUAGUAAUAGAAAUUUAAAAUAAGUAAAUUUGCGGGUCCUUACAGGUAUGCUUGUGAUGCAAAUGCAAAUUUGGAUGUUUUGGGUUGGUAGAAAUAGGAAAGAUUGAGAUUUCCUAUCUUGUCGAGGAUGGCUGCCGAUAUACUCUCCGUUCCUGUUACAACUGUGGCUUCAGAAUCUACCUUCAGCGCCGGAGGUAGAGUAAUUGAUGAUCGACGAGCUUCUAUGUCAAUUGAGACGGUGCAAAUAUUGCUUUGCGGCAACGAUUGGAUCCGCAGUCUUCAUGGCCUAAAGAAUAAGUCUCGCGUUAAGUAAUUGAUUAGAUGUUUUUGUUGUUGUUACAGUUUCUUUAUAUCUGAUUUUAAAGAAUUUUAUAACUUUCAUACUUUUGUUUUGUAGGAAUCACUUGAUGCGACCGAAUCAAUCACAUUUGAGGAAGUUAAACUUCCCGAAUCAUUCACAACCUGAUUUGGUGGCUGUUGAUGUUGCUUGGUGCAAACUGAUUCAUUCACAUGUUGAUUUCGUUGAAGACCUAAAGAAUAAGUCUCGCGUUAAGUAAUUGAUUAGAUGUUUUUGUUGUUGUUACAGUUUCUUUAUUUUAAAGAAUUUUAUAACUUUCAUACUUUUGUUUUGUAGGAAUCACUUGAUGCGACCGAAUCAAUCACAUUUGAGGAAGUUAAACUUUCCGAAUCAUUCACAACCUGAUUUGGUGGCUGUUGAUGUUGCUUGGUGCAAACUGAUUCAUUCACAUGUUGAUUUUGUUCAAAAGCUGCAUCGUUCACAACUUGUUUUCACCCAAGAAAGUUAUUUUUAACUCUUGGUCUAGAGUGUGGACAUUUUAGAAACUGCUUAAAACGUAUUGAUGGCUGAUCUUUAAUUGUUUGGACUCUUUUAUGUAAUUUUUCAUUUUGUAAUCUGAUCUGGUCUGCUGCCGAGUUUGGACAUUUUAUUCCUCCAUUUGAUAGUUUGAGCUGCAAUUUUAACUUCUUUUUUGCUACUCGUGCUUAUGAUGCUUCUGUUUUGCGUUGUCGAAUUGAGUGGAUGAUAUAUUAGGGAAUGUGUUGUUCUUUUUUUGUCAAACUAAAUAUGAGUGUAGAAGAAGCUGAUAUGCUAUCUUACGUAAACGACUUAUGAAGCUCGAAUUACUAAUCGAGCGAGCUCGAACUUGCUCGAUUAGAUGUUCGAGUCGAGCUCGAUUGUCGUGUGCUCGAGCUCGACUCGGCUAGUUUAACAGCCAAGGUAACAUGCAUCAAAGCAGGCUUAUUCUCUUAGUACUUUUUUUUUUUUUCUUUUUAUAAAACACAGGUGCAUUAACGCACGACAGAAGCACCCUAUCAAUCUAAGAUCCCAGCUUGCUUGUAGCUUUCGAUAGAGUCAACAAGAGUUUCUUCCACUGGCCUAUACCUCCAGCCCAGCCUCUCCAAUUUUUCUGAGCUAAUAUUCCAUCGGCUUUGAUCCUUCACCUCUAUAAGUCUGCGAAGAAAUGAGUUAUAUCAAGAAAAUAUGCAGACAACAUAAAUGGUUCUUGUAGAGACUCGUAGAUGCCACACUUUUGGAAAUGGAAAUCAUGACGGACAUGAACAAACAAGAAAAUCAGGACAAACGGGGUGUCUGAAAAAUGAGACAAUUAAUUUCAAAGAUGGUAAUCCACCUCUUAGGGUACUUGUAGUUGGCAUAGUUUUUCCUCAGAGUUUCCACCAUAUCUUUUGUCGUGGUGACGUGAGGUGAACAUAUGUACCGGCCUUCAGCUUCAGGUCUCCCGUAAACCAAAAGCAGUGCCUCGGCCACAUCACGCACAUCUACUGUGUUGUAGAAUUUGUUUUCGGUUUCUUCACAUCCGUCUGUGCAGCCAAGGAGUGAAACAAAAGAGCAGUUUAAUCUCAAAAAAGGAGAUGUUAUCUGUGCUAAUCUCUGAGUUCUUUACUGCAUAUAUGAAACCUACAAUCCCUUUGACAAAUAGUACAGCAAUAAAUUCAUGGGACUUUUGAAUUGCAAAGGACCUACAGGUCACAAUGUUAACCUUUUAUAUCUUCAACAAUGCUCCAAAGCAAAUCAAGCAAACAGUUGAAAGAUGCAACCUCUUCAGAUGUUAUGCCUAUUGUCUGUCUCAUCUUCCAUUAGGUCAAACUCACACAAUUUUCACAUCAAUAAAAUUUGAAUCGCUUGUGCAUGUGUCUGGAAAGAUUACAUUAGCACAAUUUAGUAUUUUUGGCAGCACUGCUCGUUUAAAUUUCCCUGCCAUCAAGCAGAAAAUUUAAUUCCAUUCCAACAGUAAAAGCCAAACACCACAAUCUUAGUUUUUUUUAGAUAACUUUGCAAGUUUUUAGAGCAUUGCCAAAAUCAUAAAACUAUCAGAAUGGCAGAUAGCUUACAGGUUUAGAAUCUGAAAACCUCAGCUGGCUUGAAGAUUAAAUAAAAAUGCCAAAAGACGGCAAAGCAGUUAUCUCCAUGAAUGUAGUUUCAUUCCUAGAAGGUCAACCGCAACCAGAUAGACGGAUUUUGUGAAAUUUUAUUGGCAUCAAUUCAUUGUGUAUCAUGUAAAUAACACUGGAAGCCAGAAGCAUAAAAAUGAUGGGUUACUUGGAAAAUUAGCUGAUCAACCACAUGAAGAAAUUCAAUUGUUUGACCUUUCAAGUACAAAAAAAGGAAAAAAUUGCUAAGCUUUAGAGGUCAUCUGAGUUCUAGAGUGACAUCCAUGCUCACUUAGGCACAAACCAAUAUCAAGGAGAAAACUGUAUCAUUUACGACCACUUCCAUGCAGAAGGUGAAAGAAAGAAAAAUAAAAUAUAACAUAACGGAAUAAGUUCUCCAAUUGACUACAAAGCACUAAUAAAUCACCUUUCAACAGCUUUAUAAGAGCCAGACUGCUAGCAUUCACAUCAUGCUGAAGCAUGGGGCCGAGAACAAAGGAUGGGCAUACAGUUAAAACAUCAAGGCCAGUUUCUUUUGCAUAUUGUAAUGCCUCACUUUCAGCAACCGUCUUGGAGUAACAAUACCAGUUCUGGAGCAAUAUUAGUACUAGAUGGUCAGCCAGAAACAGAUAGUAGUUGCAAAAAUCUGAUUUCUCAGCAAUCUUAGAAACAGUACGAAUAAGACAGUGAAUUUUCUGCACAAUUACAACACCAAGGUGCAACUGCAAAAAGUCAAAUUAUGUUGAUGCAUACAUUUGUUGCCUUGCAGUAUUCGCCGUCUGACCAACACUUCUCAUCUAUGAUUUCACCUUCAGGCAGAUUAGGACUCAUUACAACAGCUGCAGUAGAGGAAACAACUACAACGCGCUUGACAUUUGCUUCAGAACAAGCCUUCAGUACAUUAAGGGUACCCUUUACAGCUGGCUCAACAAGUUCAACCUGCAACAAAUCAUCAUGUUGGCAGAGGUACUAGCACUCAACUCUUCAUGCUGAACUGCUUGUUUUUGCGUAAAAUAUAUCCAGAUAGACAGCUAAGUAGUGUCAGUUAACCUGACAUCUUUAGAGUGAAUGAGUACAUAGUUAAAAGACUCAUGACUGCUUAUGCCUGUGAUUUAACUUGGUUACCAGCAUAGGUUAUUAUUAUAUGCAUUUAUUCACUCAUUUCAACAUUUGAAAAAUCCUUCCACGAAAUGAUAGAAAGACAAAGAGCCCCAGUGACUUCAUAAGUUUGUACAAACGCUUUAACAAGGUUCUAUUUUAAACGAUACCCAACUUUAGCUCAUGUUUGGCAAAACGCAAUAAAAUAUUAUCUGUUAUGACAAAAGCUGUCUCAUAAACAAAAGAUAUGUUAAAAAUGUUAUUCUGGGGAAACCAAAAGGAAGAAAUAUCAUAGCAAUUGAAACGAUUGAAAAUGGUCUUGCCUCAGGAUUGGGAACAGAGCCUGAAGGAACAGGACUAGCUACAUGAAAUACGCCAUCACAACCCCUGAUGGCUGCAGAAAUGGAGUUGUAAUCCAGCAAAUCAGCCUUAAAGAGUUUCAAAUUCUCAGCUGCUUUGUCAAGUUUCUUCAGAUGAACAUAUUUCUCAUCGUCUACAAAACAUACACAGCAAUGCCCACAUCAUCAAGUAACGAAGCACACAAUUCACAGCAGGUGCUUUUAUAUAUUUCUUCAAUUAAACAUAUUUCUCACCCUUCACAAAACAUUUACAGCAAUUCCCACUACAUCAAAUAGGAAACAGCCAAUUGACAGCAGGCAAAAAAUCAAUUGCGGUAUUAAAGGGAAUGAAACAAUCAUACAAUACCCAAAACAAAAACAAAACAAAAAAACGAGUAGUAAAUCAGGAAGGAAGGGUUAUGAGGAUGAAAUACGUACUGGGAUUUCUGAGGGUGGCAUGAACACUAUAAUGGCGGGAAAGGAGUAGCUUGACUACCCAAGAUGCCAGGUAUCCCCCUGCUCCUGUAACACACACUGUCCUGUCCUUCUUAGCCUCCCACGCUGCCAUGUCUGAUUGCUUACCAGUAGCAGUAGCGGGAUUAGUAUUUUAGCACCAAAUUCACUAUAGACUGAUCAAGAAGGUGGGUGAAGUUCUAUUCUUUUCUUUUUUAUGAAUAUUAAUUCUUUUUUGGUUGGACAAGGCAGAGAUUUCGUCGAUUCUUAAAGAGGAGGACUGAAGAAGAGGGCGGUUGGAAGAGGAGGAGGAGGCGGAGGUGGUGGUGUUGGAAUUUUGAAUAGACGAGUCCUGUAUGUAUGAGCUAGCUGAUUCCAGCAGCCUCUGUCAAUACUAGGAGUAAUCAGCAGCUGGCAGGCUUGGGGGCUUAUAUAUAGCAGCAGACCAAUGGUCCUGUUGCGAUUUGCACGGCUCAUGGAAGACGUAUGGUUUCAACGCAGGGUUGGGCUGGGUUGGGUGGGGAAACGGUACUAAUGAUAAAUGUAUGUAUAAUGAAAUUUGAGAUAUUUCUAGCAAUCUGUUAGUAAAAUUUAUUUUUAUAAAAAAAAAGGAGUAAAGGAGCAUAAUAUUAUUAAGUUAUAGUAAAACUUGAUGCACAUAUCAAUAAAACAAGAUAUUCUGUGCAUUUGAAUACAAUAGUAUAAUAUGAUUUUACCAUUGUCGGAUGUUUAACAAAUUUAUUUAUUAAUGGAUAUUAAAGUGUUACAUUUUAUCUCAUAUUUUCCCAAUUUAUGACUCAGAUUUUAAAUUGAUUAACUCAUUAGAGAAUAAAAAACUCAUCCCGUUGCUAAAUUGGACAAGUGACAAAAACUCAUGUCCAUAAUGGGAUUUUGCUUCUGACUCAAAUCCUAUAAUGCGAACCAAACCCCAAAUCACUCCAUUAUAACGGAAACACAAACUAAACUAUUUAAUAUUCAAAUCAAGUUCCGCUCAAUAACAGUUUGUUCGAAUUUGAUUCGCAAACUAAUCUAAUCAAGUUAGAAUAACAUUUUAUUCAAAUCAAGUUCCGCUCAAUAACAGUUUGUUCGAAUUUGAUUCGCAAACUAAUCUAAUCAAGUUAGAAUAACAUUUUAUGUUUGAAAAAAAUUUUAACUGCAGCUCAAGCUUAGCUCAAUAAUCAUAAAAUUGGAUUUUAUAGAUAAAAAUUACUCGAACUCGACUCAAUAAAAAUUCUUUUGAACGUGACUUAGUAAAUAAAAAAGCCAAUCUUGAAUACUAUUUCAAAAUUCUUUAAAAUAAAUAACAAGAUAUUUGGUUUGAUUAGACACAUUCACACCCCUGUUUUUCAUAUGCUCGAUAACAUAUAUUUUUGCCAUUGAAUUUUGGGACAUGUUUAUCAUUUUUUAAAAUCUUUUUUUUUUAUUUCUGGCUUUUAUAGGAAAAAAAAAACUAAAGGAUGUGUUCGGAUAGGAGACCGAUAAACUUUUCUCUCCCCCUCGCGCCUAAUUGCAGGUUAAAAGCAGUGUUUUGAAAACCGGACCGGACGGCCGGUUCGACCGGUUGGACCGCCAACCGGCCAUGAUUCCGGUCCGAUUCUAUGCUAUAGUUGACCAGGUUAGAAAACCGGUUAAACCGUGAAAACCGCCGGACCGGAUUGAACCGGCGGUUCUCGGUUUUCGAGAUUUCCCUUUUUUUUCUUUUUUUUUCUUUUUUUUACGUUUUGCAAAAUGCAGUUAUCAAGAUUCGAACUCAAGACUUUUGUAAUAGAAGACCAAUGUAGUAACCAUAGUAACCAUUGCACCAUCACAUCUUAUUAGUUUUUUUUGAUAACUUGUUUAUAUAAAACAAAAACUCAUAUUUCUUUUUGUCAUUUUUUUUAUAAAAUCUAAUCCUCUCAUAGCUCUUUCUUUUUAAUCUUCAACACACACACACACACACUCUCUCCUCUUUUUUUUGUCACUCUCUUUUUAAUCAAACCACUUUAUUUUUAAUUUAUUGAUGUUUUCUUCCAUCUUUUAAUUUUAUUUUUGUCCAUUAAAUUGAAAAAGGUUAAAAAAGAAUUAUUUUUCUUUAACCCAAAUUAUUUAAUGCCACAACCACUCACUUUUAUCUCAUUUUUUAUUUCUUAUCAAGUUUGCAUUUCUAUUUUCGAUUCUCUUGACUUCUUUCGAGCUCCAAAAUUCCUUUUUUAAAUUGCAAUUUCUAAUCCCAAAACGUAAAUUAAAAUUUAAGUUCACAAAAUCUAAAUUCUCAUAGACAUGAAUUUUGUAUAAUUUUAAAAUAUUAUGAUAUUUUUGGGUUAGAUCUAAGAUUUUUUUGGUAGAUAUAAUUGAAAUUGAAAUGAAAUUUAUUUGUUUUAACUUAUAAUUUAAAAUUUUUAUUUUUAAAAAAUCAAGUUAUUCAAAAAUAGUAAACUUUUCAUCAUAUAAUGUAUUAAAUUAGUCCAUUACAUGUCUUAUUUUGUGCAUAAAUAUUUACAUAAAUUAUUUUUUAAAAACUUCAUUGAACCGAGGUUGAACCGGUCCGACCGGUUAAAUCUCGACCCUUUCACGUCACCGGUUCAAUUAACGGUCCGAUUUUUAAAACAUUGGUUAAAAGGAAUAUCCAGUUCUUAGAUAACUUUUCUAGGCACAACUCUAGUUGUCAGAAAACUGGUCUACUUUGACUGUGGGUUUUCCUUUAGUCAGGCCAUUUUGUCAUUAGUGAUGAUUGCUUCUUCUAAACCUUAGCUAACUGCACACGCCAUGCGCAUGAAACUUCUUCUAAACCUUAGCUAACUGCACACGCCAUGCGCAUGAAAAUCCAAACUUCAAAUAAAAUAAUUUGAACUCGUCAACUUGCAAAAUAAGAUAAUUUGGGUUUCGUCUGAUAUGAGUAGUAAGGGAAAAUUUAAUUACUAUAUUUAUGAUUCUUGACUAAUGUGAUUGCUCAUCUAUCACCACGCAUCAGUUUAAUACCUUAUCUUCAUUUAAAUGUGACGAUUGUAGAAUUGAUGGCUGAAACUGAAAGGAAACUGAAAAAGAAAUGUCAUGUGAGUGCAUAUGCAUGGUUAAAACAAUACUCCCACAAAUUAUAACCAAUUCGAUCCCUUGUUUUUAAGGUUUUGAUCGUUUUGGUUCCUUGGUAUCAUGACAAGCCAAUUUUGCCUCUUAAAUUUAAAAAUAUGGUUAAGGAGAUCCUUUUGAUGGAAAUUUGAGUUGCUAAUGAAGUGAAGAGACCAUUUAGUGCCUUUCGUGUCACAUCCGUCUCAACACUAUAUUAAAGUUUCAAAAAAUCUCAAAUAAGUCAUAAAACUCAUAAAACAAACCCCAAAACUCUUUAUCGUGAAGAAAAUAAAUUUUUAUAACUUUAAAAUAAAUCAAACACAAUACCUUAAACAUAAUUAUGGAAUUUGUGCCAUUUUCGAGUUGAAAUAUCAUGAAAAGGAGUACCAAAAGGUGAAAGAAAAAUGCAUAAACUUAUGUUUGACAUAGUAUUAAAAACUUUUAUUUCAUUAUAUUGAAGAGUUUUGGGUGAGUUUAGGCUUUUAGGAUUUUAUUUGAAUGCUUGGUGUUUUCUGCGAGAUGGCACGAAGUACCCUCUAAGGUCUCUUAACUCCAUUAACAACUCUAAAUUAGCCUUGACCAAAUUCUUCAAAUUUAAGAAAAAUUGGUUCGCCAUAAUACAAAGGGACUAUUUUGUUAAUACAUUGGAGAUAAGAAACCAGAUUAAUUAAUUUUUGUUGUUUGCGUAACUCAAGGGAUUUCUCCGUUAGCUUCCCACAAUUUUGCUACAUUAGUCUCUUUUGAUGGAGAUAGAGCACCAACUCACAGUUGUAUUAGAACUUCACUUACGCUAUAAUCGUUAGGAUUUUCUUAUAUUCAUCCGACUACUCAAUAAGUAUCCUAUUUUAUAAUAACUAUCCUACACCUCUUCAAAGCCUGAUAAGAUGAAGAAAAUCUCUUUACUAGCAUCUUAAUGCCUUAUAUCCAGUAUUGAGGGAAAAAAUUUAAUCACAUUACAGUCUGAGAAUUUGAAUCCAGCAAUUUCACGGUCUGAUGUAGUCACCCCAAGUAGGUUCUCCAGUAAAACAGGGUAGUGAGGCAAAAUGUACAUCAAAUAGGUCAAUUGUCGAGCCCCUCGGGGUUCGGUUCCGUGGUUGUAGCCCCAGUUGGGGGAGAGCCACGUCCAGGGAUCGAGUCCCCGUUCUACCGUGGCUGGUGAUGCUUGAGGUGGGCCGCUCCCAGCCCGCAGUGGAAUUAGUUGGGCCGUACGGUAACCAGUACAUGGGUCCAGAUACCCACUGUGAUGAAAAAAAAAAAAUAGGCCAAUUGUCGAUCUUUGAUUAUGUCUACACUUUCAAAAGAUAGGCUUAAUCAUAUUAGUGGAAAUAACUCAUAGUUCAUCAUAUAUUAAUUUGCUAUUCAAUUUAGUUUGAAUACAUGAUCAAUGUUAUUGUAUGCCAAAAAAGAUUGAGGAUACUUUUGACCUAGUUCUUUGCACUAACUUGAAAUCUUCCAAUUGUUCUUUCUUUGAUGCACUUGCAAAAUCUCCUGCAAAAGUAAAAUAACUCAGUUGGUGAAUUUUGGCUAACUGAGAGGCCCCAUCUUCUUUUUACUUCUUUAGCACAAGCGAAGAAUGAAUUUAUGCAUAAUAACCGUGUGAUUCUAAUGAGAUAUGAUUUUUUUGGUUUUGCAUGCUGGUUAAACAAUUGUUCAAGCUCUUAUCUUGGUUUUUGAUACUUCACCGGUAUGUGGAUGUUGCUGCUAAAGAAAUUUACAUUUGUCAUUAGAAGAAUUUUCUAUUUUAUGACUGGCAAGUGAUUUGGUAUCUUAGCAGUUCAUCGAUUUUGGUGCUUUGUUUACAAUUUAAUUGGCUUCAAUGGUCCAUACAUAUAGGAACUUGGAAUUUACCCUUUUAUUUCCUUUUGCAUGAGCAAAGAUUAGUAAUUUUUAAUCAUAAUUUUCGAUUCCUCUAUUCUGGCCAUAGUGAAGAAAUCUACCUUUUUGUACUUGUGUAUAUGCACACCAAACAUCAUUGGGCUGUCUACUUUUGACAUUAUUCUUGAAUUACUCAGUUUAGAAUGUGUAUUAGCUGCUGGAAGUAAAUGCAUCAUCGUUGGCAAUUACUAAACAGAAAAUAUGCAUGCCAUUACUAUUUUCACUGAAAUUAGCAUCUAACUUAUAAUGAUCUAAUUAAAGGUUAACCACAUUGGUUUUGACUAGAACUAAGAGAUCACUAGCCCUCUUAUUUUUGGAUUUGCAUUAAUCCAGUAUCAUCAAACUUCUUCAAAUGGGCUCUUUAGCUACUAACCCCUUCAAAAAUAAUUUAGGCUUACGGUUCUGUUGAUGUCGCAAUUGCAGGAGGUUCAGAAGAUAACGAAAGGCUCAUCUAAGAUUUCUUAAGGUGUUUGGCUUAUAUUGCUAGAUUUACUUAAUCUAUUUUCAUUCUUCUCCGAUGUCAUUAUUGUUAAAGUUCAAUUCAUAAGUUGGUUGUGUUAGAAAAUUGGCUUAAUUUCUUUUUAGAUAGGUUUUUGUUUUGUGCAAAAGUAACUAGUUUCCUAAUUGGUUUUAGUUACUCGGAAUAGUAGCCAAGAAAUUUCUUAUUUUGUUUAGAAUUAGAAGUUAUUUCUUAUUUUCUACAAGUCUAGGAAUUAGAAUUAAUUUCCUGUUGUUAUUUGGAUUUUUUGACCAAAUAAUAUUUUUAUAAAUAGGUGGGUUGGCAUACUAUAAAAGAGACACAUAAGGGCACACAAGGACGACAUGUAACCUUAUACAUGGGUGGUGAGAGAGAGUUCUUAGGAGAUGAGAAAUGGUAUACAAAGGUUGGACUUGAGUUCGAGUUGUAUUCUUGUAUAAGGUUUUUCUCUCAUAAUAAAUAACAAGUUUCUCUCCGUGGACGUAGGUUCAAUGGAGUCAAACUACGUUAAAUAUUGUGUGUUGUUUAUCUUUUAUACUUGUGGCUUGUUUCUCAUUAAAUUAUUGUGUACUUGAUAUCUUAAUAGUUAUUUAUUCUGCAUUUAGUUCCUAACAAAUGGUAUCAGAACUUGAUUGCGAGAUUGGGCUGCUCACAAGCACUUGGAUCCCAACAAACUGAAUAGUUGGAUCAAGAGUUUGGUUGUUCAAGGAUGGAUCCUAGUUAGCUAUUGAGAUCAAGUAGGUUGGUGACUGUUACCAAUUGAACAAUUUAAUGGGCGGUAUCCUUUUUUCAAGAGUUUGGCAAAAAAGCAUUGACGGUGAAUGAUGAAAAGUCGAAAAGCAUGGAGAUACUUGACGGUGAAUCUAGGCAGAUGAUUCAAGAGUCAAGGAAAAGGUGGAAUCCAAUAUCGAUUUUGGACGUGAAUCGGUGGAGACUUUCUCACAACUUCAACGGUUGAUACUUCAUCUCGGUGAUUUUUAGAUUUCGCUUAUGUUUUUUGAGUGGUACGGCACCUGACCCAAAAAAAUAAAGAGAUUUAAUUUCUAUGCGCUAGAAGACUCUGACAGUUACGAGUCUUUUGUUUCAGGUGAAUUUUUGGAAACCACACGUGGCGAGAUAGUCUUGAGGAAGGGAAGAAGUAUGAUGAUUUUAUCACUUGGUUGCCUCAAUGAUUAAGGUUAGAGCUCAUAGAAGGAGAUUUUGGGUUGCAAGUGGUGGUGAGAAGAAAUCCUGUAAAGAAAAAUGGUGAAUUGAGGCAUCUUCUCACGAAUCAACUGGAGGUUGUACUAGGUGUAAAUACACAUAUUCAUUUGGCAAUUAAAUUAAUUUGGUAUCAGAACUGUAUUGAUUCGGGUGUGUAGUUCGGUACCAUAUUAUUUGGUAGUUGAAAGUAAAUAAUUGUUAAAAGAAAUUUUCGCCAAGAUAGAGAUUUGUUAGGAAAUUGAUUUAAUUUCUUUUCAGACAGGUUUUUGUUUUGUGUAGGGAUUUAGUUACUUGAAAUAGUAGCCAAGGAAUUUCCUAUUUUGUUUAGGAUUAAAAAUUAUUUCCUAUUCUAUACAAGUCUAGAAAUUAGAAUUGGUUUCCUAUUAUUAUUUAAUUUUUUGGCCAAAUAAUAUUCUUUAUAAAUAGGUGGGUUGGCAUACUACAAAGAGACACACAAAAGCACACAAGAGACGACAUGUAGCCUUAUAUAUGGGUGGUGAGAGAGGAUUUUUAGGAGAUGAGAGAUGGUAUACAAAGGUUGAAUUGGGGUUCAAGUUGUGUUCUUGUAUAGAAUUUUUCUCUUAUAAUAAAGAACGAGUUUCUCUCUGUGGAUGUAGGUUCAAUGGUGGAGCCGAACCACAUUAGAAAAUAGUGUGUCAUUUAUUUUUCAUGUUUGUGGCUUGUUUCUCAUUAAAUUGUAGCGUACUUGAUAUCUCAAUAGUUGUUUAUUCCAUGUUUGGAUCCUAACAGAUUGCUAAACCAAGAUUGAUGUAAUUGCGUCCUAUAAGAGAGUUUGCAAUUCAAUUGAUUAAGGGAAGAACAGAGAAAAUCCCUGAAAAUGGGAAUUAAAGGAAACAAAGGAAACCCUAAAACUAGUUUCCAAGAACAAUUCUGUCGAAGACAGAAAACAAAGAAAAUAGUAUCAAAGGCUAUAUCGUUAUUUAGGAAACAAGAAGCACUUGAAGGUGAAUGUUGCAGAAAGUAGAAGAUCCCACUACAAUUUACUAAUUCAAGGAGCUGUAAUUAAGAAAGAAAGAAGACAACUCAGAGAAUUAGGGAUUGUUAUUAAUUGAUGAAUGAGUAGGAAGAAUGUAGAUGAAGAUGAUAAUCAAUUACAAGUAAUGGAAAUCGGAAAUCCUAGAACUGCCUUCAACUUACCACCCUCCUCUCUUUUAUUCGGCUACUACACUUGUCCAAGUCAGCUAAUUCAUUACAACCAACUGACAUACAAGAAUUAUAAGGAUUUAUUCAUUAAGUCCCUAUCAUACUCGCUUUAUUACAAAAAAAAAAAAACCCUAUCAAUAAAACUAAGGUAACAAAUACUUCCCCCUCAGAGAAUCCUUGUCCUCAAGGAUUAAAUUCAGGAAAUUGUUGUUUAAGGUCAAACCAGAAUUCCCAGAUAGCAUCUUCAAGAAAAGAAUUGCUUCACUAUGCCAAAACUUUUGUAGCAAGAGAGUUACCACAUUUCACCAAUUUCUGAUCAAGUAUGGCUAUAGGCUCCAUUAAUAAUUAUCCCUGUGUAUUGAUUGUGUAUUGAUUGCAAAAGGAAUGUGUGAGGUAACUAGUGAGUGCCCACUUUCUUCUUUAGAAGAGAUACAUAAAAAAUAGAGUGUAUUUUUGCCAUAUUAGGCAGCUAAAGCUGAUAUGCAACAGGGUGUACUCUUUUGAUCACUUGGAAAGGUCCAAAAAACUUAGAAGCUAACUUCUGACAAGAGUGUACCUUCAAAGAGUGUUGCCUCUACAGUUGUAGUUUCACAUAUACCCAAUCUCUUGCCGAGUACUGUCUAUCAGACCUGUGUUGGUCAGCUUGUUGCUCCAUCCUAUUUUGUGCCUUAUGAAGGUUGUACUUUAAGUGAUGCAAAACUAUCUCCCUUGCUGCCAAGAUUCUAUCCACCACUUCCACUACUGAAUUCCCAAGUAGACAAGGCAUAUGCAGAGAUGGUGCAUGACCAUACACCACCUCAAAUUGGAUAACCUUAGUGGCAGCAUGAAAUUUGGUAUUGGACCAAUAUUCAGCCAAGGGUAACUAGAUAGACCACUGCUUUGGAAAAUCUCCACACAUGCACCUCAAAUAUUACUCCAAACACCUGUUUACCACCUCAGUUUGACCAUCUGACUGAGGGUGGUAGGUAGAAGAGGUAUUAAUCUGCACUUUUAGUAACUUAAAAAGUUCUUGCCAAAAAGUGCUAAUGAAGACCACAUCCUUGUCACUAACAAUGCUCUGAGACAAGCCGUGAAGUCUACAGAUCUGAUCCAGGAAUAUGUGCAAAUAUAAAUGCUGAAUAAGCAUGUGACAAUGCCAAGAAGUGUGCAUACUUACCUAACUUGUCAACCACCACCAAGAUGGCUUGUUUACCAUGUGCAUUAGGUAAACCUUCCAUAAAGUCCAUGGAAAUUCACUCCAAACCUUUUGAGGCACACGUAAAAGUCGUAAUAAACCCAAAUAAGCAGUAUUGUCAUAUUUGUUGCACUGACAGACAUCACAUGCAGCCACAUAGUUGACUAUGUCUUGAUACAUUCUUCUCUAAUAAACCACUGACUUCAACUUCUUUUAGGCAGCAUAAACUCCUGAAUGCCUCCAACAGCACUAGAAUGCCACAAGUGAAUUAUAUUAUUCUUGAAUUGGCAGUCAUUUUCUACCACUAGUCUCCCCAUUCUCCUUAACUGCUAGUUGCUCCAUGUGUAAUAAGGUGAGACCUUAGAAAGAUCAAAUUGUAAUUGAGUGAUGAAGUUCUAUAGCCUUAUAUCUAUUUGCCAUCCCUUUUUAAUCACUAUCAAAGAUCACUGUUAACAAUGAUGAUGGCAAGAGCUUCUCUUGGUUCUGCUAGUUUUCUAAAGAGAGUAUCUCUCACCAUAUUAUAUGCUUCUUUCCUGUAGUGAAGCUCAUAAUAAAAUCUUACUAGCUUAGUCAUCCAUUUCUGCUGCAUAAGAGUAGGGCUGUCAAUGGUCUGGGUCUAGACCCGGACCCGGACCGGAUCCGUCAAAUUUAUCCGGGUAUGGGUAGGGAUUUAAUUCCGUUACCCGGACCCGGAUCCGGAUAUAAAUGGAUUACUAAUUUAAAAUAUAUAUAUUUAUUAAUAUAAUUUGAUUAGGAUGAUGUAUUUGAGUGAUCAAUAUAAUUGGACCCGGAUCCUAAUCAAUAUAAUUUGAUUAGGAUGAUGUAUUUGAGUAAGGUUAAUUUGAUUUCUUUUCUUAUUUGAUUUUUUUUGUAUUAGUUAGAAAUUAGUUUAUAAAUAUAUGUUUUUUCUCAUUUUUGUUAGAAAUUAUAAAUUUUGUUAGUUUUUUUUCGGGUAGACCCGGAUCCGGAUCCGAGACCCGUCGGAUCUGGAUCCGGAACAUAGAGUAAAGACCCAUCGGGUAAACGGGUCGGGUCCGGAUCCGAUAUAGUGUGCCGGGUCCGGGUCUGGAAUAAUGAAUUCCGGCCCGGACCCGGCCCGUUGACAAGCCUACAUAAGAGUGUUCAAUCUUUGUUCCAUCAUAUAUUCAAUGCUCUAAUGGUCAUUUUUAAUGAUAACGUACCUUCCAGGUAGAUAAGGUCUCCACUUCUAUACAGCAGCAACUAUGGCCAAUAUUUGCACUUUUCCAAUAUACUAUCAUAUGCUAUUCCCCCACACACCUAAAUCUUAUAUUGUCCCCAAUGUAAAAUAAAGAAUAAAAGAAAAGUAAUGGGGAUAACGAAACUUCCUUGAUAACUGAGGGGGCCGUCGACAGCUACAGGUGAGGGGCGAAUGACUGUGGAGCUCGACGUAUGUUGAUGGUUGGUGGCGGUGGAGUUCGGAUGGAGAAGGAUGGAAGAAAGAAAGAAAGAAGAAAGAAAAAGAAGAGAGAAAGAAAGAAAGAAAAAGAAAAGGAAAAAGAAAGGAAAAGGAAGAGAAAAGAAAAGGGAAAUACGAAUGGGAAUUGCUCCAAUCCGAGCUGGUUUUUUGUACUACUACUUUGCUUCUUGUACGAAGCUUGAAGAUGCAGCAAGCGCGGAAAUUUUUUUUUUUUUACAUCUGAUUUUGAUUUUUUUCUUUUUCUUUUUCCUUUUCUGUAUUUCCUUUUCUUUUCUUUCUAAUUUUUCUGCAAAAACAAUCAAAUAGAAAUCAAAUGAGAUGGAAUGAUUUUUUUUUAAAAAGGUAAAAAUAUAAAUAGAGAUAAAUAAAUAAUAAUAGUUAUUAACAAAUCAUAAAAUGAUUUAUGAAAUUUUUUUGGUGUCUACAUAUAUACACAUACUAAUAAUUUUUAUAUUUAUAUAUUUUUCCUAUUUAAUCUUACCUAUAAUUCUUUCUUAUUUUAUUUACUUUUUCUAAUUAAUUUUAUAUUUUUAAAAAUAUAACAUCUAAAAAUAUAUAUUAACGAAGAGGACAUCCGUUAGACAGGUCCUAUUUUAUGUAGCAUAUAUGUCUCUACAUGAAAAAAACUUUUUUAAUAGGUAUCCCGUUUUUUGACAUGAAAAAUACCUUUUGACUACAUUCUGACUAGCGCCAAAAGCUAUCCACUUUUGACAUGCUGCCCAUGCAGGCCUAAUUUUUUUUAGUACUGAAUUUGUUUUGGAUACGUUAGUAUUUCUUGAAUUUUAGAAAAUGCUUCUCUUUAAUAAAUGUAAGUUCAUUUUAAUCUUGAUUCGCAAGCUUUUUCUUGAAAAUGGUUUGCCAUUUCUUAUUAGUUGUUACAGUAAAUUUAGCAUGCAUAUAUGCUUUUUGUCAAAAUUCAAUCAUUUCAAAAUCUAGAAGGGAACUUCUAAAAUACCUGCAUCCUCCUUUUUCUUUUUUCUUUUUUAUUUUUCCCCCUCUUGGCUUUGUAUUCAGAAUCAGAUUGUGUUCAAUUAGUUGGAAUUUGGCUUUGGAGUUAAAAGGGAUUUCCAUUUUUUCCUAGGUAUUCCACAGCUUGCAUACCAAAAGCACAGAGGCGGAAGAAAACCUAUGAUUAAAUCAUACAACAGGCUUGUAAGAAAAUGCCCACUUUGAAAAAAUGAAAAGUUGAAUUUCCUAUUUUCAAAUUUACAUGCAAAAAAUGAAAAAUGACAUGCAAGAAAUAGUCUACUAUUUCGCCAUGUUUCAUAGUUUAUGAGAAAUAUAUUACAAAUAAAUCCACAUAAAUGGUGGGAAUAAUAACUCAAAUAUGGUGGGACAAAUAAACAUACAGGGUGACCCCUGCCAGCUGAGAUAACUAGCUGGUUUAUUUAAUUUAAUAGUUUGAAUACAAUAGUAAAUCAAUGCCAUAGCUCAGAUACUGACUAAAUUUUUCUCCCUGAAGAAUUCAACAGCAUCUUUUAGGCUGACCUCCAAAGGAGUGAAUUGAACUCCCAACCUUUUUGCCUUCUCAUUGGAGGCUCUGUAGUUUGGGCUGAUAAGGUUGGUAUUGUUUGACAUUCUGCUGUAUGCGGGACAAUACACAAUUAUGGCAAACAUAAAUAAAGCUUAGGUAAUGAAAAUGCAAAUGUAAAUUCAAAUGCUUGAAAAUCUACUGGACAAUUGCCUCAUAUCUACUGUAAAUUGUGCCUUUUUUACGAAGUUUCAAAAGACCUUUUAAAAGAUAACUUUAGUUGUGAUAUGAAUGAAAUUUAUUUUUCUCUAAAAAAAAGCCUAAAACGGAAUUUCUAUUUUGGAGACAAAGCCAAUUUGGUGAUAUAUCCUAGUCCAAAGAAGACCAUCUUCUAGAAAUCAACCUGAGAAAGAGCUCAUUUUUUAUGGAACAUGAGACCAAAAGAAAAAAAAAAAGAAGGCAGAAAAUUUAGGAUUUAGUGUCCUUUAAAAGAGAGUAUAAAAAUAUGUGAUACAUUUUGGACGUAUACAAGGCCAUCAGCAAAAGCCUGCAAAGACCUAAACAAGGAAAACAAGACUUACUUAUCAGGAAAUUGGUGAGUUGGGUAAUGCUCAUGCAAAAUCUUGAUGAUCUGAGAGGCAUUUGCACAUCUUUCAACCAGACAAUAUCUUCCACUUGCAGAAGGGGUUUCAAGGGCAAGAACAUGUGCAUUGGCAACAUCUCUAACAUCAACCCAGCUACAUGUUGCCUUAGGAAAUGGUUCAACCCCUGCAUUUGGCACCUAAGAUCUUUAAACACAUUUUUUUGCAGGCUCUUCAGCAAACAUAAGUGAAACCAAUUUGGUUUGUUUGGAUUGGCAUGAUUUCAGAUAAAAUAAUUUGCUUCACAAAUUCCAAUCACCUUUUUAUCUCACAUACAGCACAUCACAAAAAGUGUUACAGUAAUUAUCUCAAAUAAAUCAUCUAAAUAAACUUCUAUCCAAACAAAAUGUUGUUUGCCAUGAAAAGAGUCAAAUUUAGAGGCCAUGGCCUGCCUUCCAGAAGAAAUGUGUGGUAUGUACUACUUUGUUCUGUUUUAGUAUCAGCAAAGCCACAGAGGGGAGGGAGAUGUGAGGAAUGAACUAGUUGAGACAAUUCAGAUAAUUGGUGAAUAAUAAUAAAGAUUAAUCCCGACAAUCUUCUAGUUAAUCUGUCCCUGGAAUUUCUCAGAUUUAGAGUUAGGUUUCUCUUUCAAAGGAUAGUUUAUUUAUUUUCUUCCAAAAAGGAUCAAUUACUAGACAAAAGAAUAAACUACAGGCAUGAUAAUACUAGUUGUCUCGUACUUAAGAGUGUUAAAUGGUGAGAGCUGAAGAAACUUGUCCCUUCACUCUCAUCCAGAUAGAAAAACAGAAUUUAUUCCUGUUGUUUUGUUCCAGAGAGUGAAACAGUAAUCAAUUCCUGAAAUUUGUUUCUUGCCAUUGUUGUACAAAGUGGCUAUUUGGGUCGAAGGAGUCAUGGCGAAUUGAAAGAAUAAUAAACAAGCUUUAGCAAGUAAAGUUUGUACAACAUAAACAGUGACUACUCCUAACAAAUUUUUCCUCACAAUUACCACCCAAAAAUUUCUUUUCCUUCCUGUUAAUCACAUAGAACCUCAAUGUUGUUGAAAGGAAGAUGCACACAACGUGAAUUUCAGAUGAAAGAUUGUACUGCAAACCUUUAAAACAUCAUAAGCUGGUCAGAGUUUAUAGCUUGAUAUAUCAGUUCACAUUCUGACCUAUGUCUGUCAAUCAUGUGAUAAGCCAGCAGUGCCUUGAAAUGUUAUUAGUCAUAAGUUUUUUGUUCUACUGUAACAAAGAAAGUUGUGGUGCAUAAUAAAGCUAUAAGUAACAUAGAUGGAAGAGUCAGUUAGACAAUGAUUACUAAGGUGAUUCAAUAAAUUUUGAAACAAACCCUUUAAUAGGUUGAGGAACAAAACAGCGCUCGAAUUAACAGAUGGCUGCAAGAGAGGACCAAUGACCAAUCCUGGAUGAAUUGUAAUCACGUCAAUGCCAUGCUCCUUUGCAAAUUUCCAUGCAGCAUUCUCGGCCAUGGUUUUUGAAAGUUCAUACCAAGACUAUCAACACCGAAAAAUCAGUAAAUGUUGGUAAGAUGGUAGCAGAAAGUAAUUAGAUUUGUAAACUUUAAGAAGUAACAUUAUAAAUUUCUACAAAUUUGACAAAACCAGCAACUUACAUCAGUUGAAACUAUUAUUGCUGUAGCUACAAAGCACAGAGUGAAAGCAUCCACAUUUCCCAGGACAAGCUAUGCUAUAAGUGAAUAAGUAGAUUUCUCAAGGAUCCUAGGAAUGGUGUAAACUUUCUAUAUUCAAGGAAUGAUGCAAAGCACCAGUGUCGACAUAUCCUGAUCAUCUGAUCUCUUAAUCCACAAGCUAACAGCAAAACUACAAGGGACCUUGACACUUUAACACAAAUAGCCAUAUUCAUAAUAUUAUAGCAGAAGUUCCUUUCCAACUGACCGACCAAAUAUUGCUCAUCUAGGUGUGUAUUCUCAGACAAUAGUAUAGAAUUUGAUCAUGCAAGAGAUGCAUAAUUAAGUAGGAAAACUUUCAUAUUGCUCUUUCCCCGACUAUUCCACACUACAUUAUUAAUUUUUCAUUAAAGUUAAGUUGUUACUUAGAUAGAAGGAAAGAAAUGGACUGACCAUUCUGGUUACAAAAAUAUCCUUUUUUUUGCCUAUUAAAGUACCACCAAGUCAUGAAGAUCCUAACUUAAUUAUCUCCACAGCUGGGCUAACUCCUCAUAUGUGUUCCAACAACAAGUUAAAACUAAAGAAUUCCAGCAUUCCAUAUUAGAUUUUACUGGAAGAAGACAGAUAAUAUAUGUACCUUUUGCUCCUCACAGUAUGAUGGAUCGGAAAACCAACUUUCAUCAACUACCACAUCCUCCUUUAAUUCUCUGUUUUUUGAAACUGCAACCAUAGAGGAUGUUAUAACUACUCUUUUGACAGAAGAAGAAUUUGCACAUGACCGCAGCACAUUCAGUGUUCCGCUUACUGCAGGUUCCAGUAGUUCUGCCUAUGAAAUCAAACCAAGUAAAAAAGGAAGUCAUUACCAGUCAUAGGUAAGACUAUGCUUUUAACCUGCAAAAAACUUAUCAUUCUGGUAUUAUGUUUGAGAAUUUCACCACAAAUGCUGUAAACCUACAGCUUUAGUUACUUAGCUAAAGGAUGCAUAUUGUUGUCUUAUCUCCUCUUGCUGCUAAAAUAAGUUCUCAGGUCCUUUAUUGUUGUUUUUUCCCAAAUUUUUUCAGCUUUCACUGGGUGACAGGAACUUAAGACCAAUAGAGGAACAACUGAAAUAAGUCUCAGAUGUGGUCACCAAUUAAACCGUUUGCUACCAAAUAUCAACCGAUGAAAUUCUGUUCUGGCUUGAACAGGACAGACAGAAAAUAUAAAAGGUGUAGCUCCCAUGAAUCCUGCGAACAGAUUUUAGCGUGAACACAUAAUGCAUGUUGCAAUUUCUUUUAGUGUCUGUGAGUCAACCUUGUUCAUUGAAAUGACUAAAAUCAAAGUUCUACAAAGUUACUUAAAAAAAAUCCAUAAACACAAUUUGAGAAACAGACAAGGAUAGGUGUACUGCAUAAAAUUAAGGCACAAUCAUUAAUAGAAGUUAAUCAACUUACAAAUGAAGAUACAUAUAAUUUGCAGAUGCUUGAACAUAUAUUGUAGUUUCUAUAAGCUUCUUAUUCAUUCUGGUAUGGGCACGCAAAAGCCAUUGGCUCUACACUGGCUGAAUAAUUAGUUGGUCAAAGCAGGGAUUCAUUUGCUCCAGGACAAGCUUAUAGCUUGCUCUAUAACCUUACCCUGACUGACUUACCCAGGAAAAUAGUUAGUCGGACCCAAUCUACUGCCCAAUUGUGGACCAUUUGCUAUGUUUAUGGCUCUUAAUGUUUUUAUUUCACAACAUUACACCCUUUGAAUUGUUUCGCUGAAGUACCAAUUUCCAGAUCAUUUCAUAGAAACAUCAUGUAUACUGAUUAAAAAGAGACUAAAGCACAUAACACACGACAGUCUUUUUGUGAAUGACCUGCUGGAACAGAUUAGUUUUGUAUGUACCAAAUGUAAAGAAAUAUUCUUCAGGUGUUUGACCUGAUUGCUACAUUAAUCUCCUCCCUUUGGUUAAUAAAAGAAAAAGUAGAGCCAUAGAAUUGGAAACAUUUGAAUCUAACUCUCUUUUUUUUUUUGCCUUUACAGUUAUAACCUUGUCAUAAAUCACAUAUAGAGGAGUAGACUAUCACCCAAAAAAGCCAGUAAAAAUGCAACAGAGGAAGAUACUAAAAGAAGUCGUACAAUUAUAAAUCAGAAAAUAUGCUACGAUUCUCAAACUUCACUUGAUAAAUAGCAGAUUUUGCAGACAGUAGAGAAUUUUCAAUCUUGUAAAGCAAAUGUACCUCUGGAUUGCUAAAUGAAAGUUUGAUUGGAGAUGCAGUAUGGAAAACCCCUUCACAUCCCUCGACUAUUGCAUCAAACGAUCCCUCUUCCAGUAAGUUUGCCGAGUACAACUGAAGCCUUUCCUUAGCUCCAUCAAGUGAUGUCAAAUGUUGUGUCCUUUCCGGAUCAUCUGUGUCAUGAUUGUAUCAGUAGAAUGUUCAGACAGCUAUAAUCAAAACCUUGCCGCCUUGGUAAAGUGUACUAUGUUUUCACUAUGGUGAAACUCAAGAAGAAAUGGACAUAGAGUAAUAAUAAACGAAUCUCAAAGCAAUGAUAAAUUUGACUAGCUAAAGGCAAGCGGGGAAAAACGAAAAGAAAUUGACGGGCAACAUAAUAUGACCACAAUAAUAUCAUAGCCCUAUGAUUUCUGGUUUUGAGAUGCGUACAUUUGUAACUUUCUUGAUAACAAUUAAUUCUUGAGAUAAUUAUCAGAGGGACAAUUGUAUGCCAUCUACCACUAUUUUUAUAACAAACUCAGUCCUUCAGAAGAAGGAUAUAGAUUCGAUAGGCUAAAGAUUUUUUAUUAUAACUUGAUCGUUGUAUCUGGAGCAUGAAACAAUUAAGUUGGUCCACAUCAAAAAUAUAUAUAUAUUUUUUGCAUGUGAUUUUCUUUUGAGCAAACAGAACAUGGGGAGCAUUUAGCUGUUGCAAGAAUAUCAUCUGGAGCUACAAGACAAUUUCACACUGCAGAGUUGAAUAAAAAUAUUGGGCAAAUUACAUAUAAUCCUCCUGUGGCUUUGUCUGUUGCCACAUGACCCUUCUAACAUUUUAAAAUAUCCAAUUCACCCACUAUGAUUUUAUGUAAAGCGGAAACUUGAUGGAGAAUAGCCUAUAUAAUGUCGUUAAUUGAAAUACCAUUAGUACUUUUACUUAAAUGCUAAAUCAAUCGACGAUUUAAUUACCUUAUAUAAAAGUAUAAGGGGAUUAUAUGGAUAAAUAUAAAAAUCACAGGAGGGAUAAAGUGGACAAUUAUAUAUAAGAGAAUUACAUUGAAAUUAAGACUUUAUCACACACGCUUUUAGAGCGCGUUUGGUAUAAAUGCCGUAACUAAUUGUGCAUUCCAUCAUUUUCCGCUUUACAUAUAACUAUGGGGGGUAUGUGGCUAUUUUGAAAUCUUAGGGGACCAUCUAGCAUUAUAUAAAAUCACCCUAAAAUAUAGUUAUAAGUAAUUUACCCUAAAAUGUUAGAUUCCAGGAGCAAUUAAACAACAAUCAGAACAGGGCAUCAAAAACUGCACAAGCCACUAAGAUAGUUGAUCAAGAACAAAAACUGGACUUACAGGCAUCUCGAACUGAACCUUUAACAGUAUAACCGCGCUCGAGCAGCAGCUUCACCAGCCAUGAAGCUAUGUAACCCGAAGCUCCGGUCACACACACCAUUUUCCCUUCUCCUGCUCCACUCAUUUUGUUAAUAUUUUUGUGUGUGAACCUGUCACCUGUUUGCCUUACUUCUGGACUUAAUGGAGGGAGGCAUAUAUGGUGUAUAUAUAGCUAUGGUGAAGAAGACGAAAGAUUGGAUAUGAGAUUACUGGGAGACUGGGGAGAUCCAUAUGUAUUCUUGCAAUUUGCAUGCAUCAUCGCUGACAUACGUAUGGUAUAAUCGCGUCACAUCCCAUUUUAUCAAGGUCAAUUGAUCAGUGUAAAAUAGAAAUGAACAAUAAAUACAAUGGUAAAUUACCUUCUACACCCUAUGGUUUGAUGUUUUAUCACAUAACUCCCUAUAAUUUAAAAACCUAUAUAUGACCCUUUCGUAGUUUGGGUUAUUGUGUCACUUUAGCUUGUUCUGUUAAAACUAACGGUCAAUAGUAAAAAGUCAAAUUCAAACUACUAAAUUGACAAAUUCACCAUUUCACUACUUUUUUUUUCUUGUUUUCCUUUUCUUUCUUUCCUUUUUUUUUCUUGGAAAGAGAAGAGAUGACUUUGAAAACUUGUAUUUUGGCUUACAAAACCUUAAUUGUUUCCAAAUACAAAAGAGACAGAAGGGAAAUAAAAAUAAAUCAACAAGAAACAAAAAAUAUGGAAGGUAAAGAUAUAACAAAUAAAUAAGAAACAAAAAAACACCAAAUCUUUUUUACUAUGAAUAUCAUUAUAGGUUUUUAAACCAAAUCUUUAAUAGUAUUUUCUAGUUCUUAUUUAUCUAUUUUUUAUUCCAAUUUCUUCUUUUUGAUGUUUGGAGGAAAAAAAAAAACAAGUAAUGAAGGGAUAAAUUUGUCAAUUUAUUAGUUUGACUUUUUAAUAUUAACUGUUAGUUUUGACGAAAAAACUAAUAAUGACACAUUAACUCAAAUCAUGAGGGGGUUAUAUAUAGUUUUUAAACUAUGGGGGUUAUGUGAGAAAAUACCAAACUAUAGAGGUUAAAAUGCAAUUUAGCCUAAAUCCAAAAUUUGGCGGUUGCAUAUGAAAAAAUAACAAGGUUCUUGACUUUGCUCAAUACAAUUCCAAGUCUAGAGACACAAUUUUUAAAUUCACUACCAGGAUAAACCAUUCUCCUUUUUUUUUUCCAUUUUUUCGGGUUAAAAAGUACAAACUACUUGAACUAGAAACUAGUCCUGACAAAGUUUGUGGGUUUUUUGCAAGAGUUUUAGUUAAAUAUUGGUUACUUCGCCUAAUUUGCACCUAUUUUAUCAUGUAAAUGCAUGCACACUUUUAAAAAAUAAUGCAUGCACUUAUAUUAUUGCCUUUCUUACAUUUAAAUACUUUUUUCAAUUUAAUUUUACUUUUCUGGCAAAACUAAAUCUGAAGCCCAUUUCAAGAAAUAUCCACCGAAUACCAGGUCAACAAACCCCCUUCGUAAUAAAGAACGAAAAGAACCGCAGCGUUCUUAACACGCAGCGGUCUUUUUGCAUCUAAGAAAGCUUUUGAUUGGCUAGAAAUCCUUCUCUGAUUGAGAAAUGGGAAUUGACUUGAUGAUGGCAACUCCAUUUAGAAAACUGGUCCACACCCUUGAAUGUGGUUUAAAUUUAAUAACACCAUUUCAUCAUUUCUGACGACUGCUUCUUCUAUAUCCUAGCUCACUGCACACGCCAGUCGUGUGAAACUUGGCAAAAGAGUUGCACCCUCCGUCCUAAAAUUGUCUGUCGCAUUUCGAGAUCCAACUUUUUAAAAAUAGCAUGAUGAUGAUAUUUGUAGAUUUGUUUUAAAAAUUGUCAUCAAAAAUUCAAAUUUUAAAUUGAAUUUAGUAUGAAAUAUAGAUAAAGAUUGGAAUAACAUUGAAAAAAAGAGAUGAAAAGUUAUUUUGAUUUUGAUAAGAUGAUAAAUAUUUUAGAACGUUUCAAAAUAAAAAAAAUAUAUGACAUUUUCAAUGAAACAAAAGGAUGGAGAGAAUAUAUAUAAGAUACUGAAAACUAGCAUCCAUCAGAAGCAGUCAAAUCAAAGCCAACAUAUUACUUGUAGUUUGGUUAUAACAAUAUCUCAGCUUGCUGGUAGCCCAAAAAUUUAGCAAAAUAAAUUAGGAAACCAAGUGCGAUAGAGCAUAUUUCACCCAAAUAUAUUAAAAGUGAAAAAGAUUUAUUUUUAUUUAGUCAAUGUGAUUUUUUGUGUCCGCAUGCCCAUAAAGCUCAAGGACCAAAAAGCCAAACAUACGAAGUGAAAAUGUGAAGAGCAAUAAUUUGAAUAUAAAAAAAAAAACGGGUAGAUGGAUAGAAAACCAUGUCGAAGGUCUCUUCUCUCUCUUUUUUUUUUUUUUGGUUUGACCAUGCAUGGUGCAUAUGAUAUGAAGGAUAAUUGUAAAGCACCAUAUACUGCCCAAGGAAAGUAGAUUACACAGUGGGAACCAAAAAUAGAAGAAAAUAAAGCCUCAUAUGAACCGAAUCUUUCCCCUUGCUUUUUUUCUGGGAAUUUAAAGGUAUAAUGCAAGAAAUAACUCCUGGUCAUGCAAAAUUGCCAACAAAAAUGCGUCUUUGGUUUUAAAUUCCUUAAUAACAUACUAUCCAGCAUACUAUUUAGCAUAAUAACAUACUAUCUCAGAUGCAUCCACUCAAAUAUCCUGGCCGAGAUGGUAUGAGGCCAAUUUUCUAUCAAAAAUAUAGGUCUGUAGCAGGUAAUGACGUUACCUCACUACAACAAAAAUGGCCUUUAGCGGCAUUUAAAGGUGUCAGUAUAGAAAAUCUAACCUGACACUUUAUCUAUCCUGACACCCAUGGCGAGUGUUGUCCCUUCCAAUGUGGGGAUAGCCUCAAAUCUUUAGCAGCAUUCAAAUGUGUCAGGCAAACCAUGCUGCUAUAUCUUUACCUCUGCCAACAAAUCUUUUUUUUGUGAUAAUCGAAAGUGUCUGUAUAGCGUUAGGACAUCAGUAGGGAAUCAGUAGGAUAUCAAAUUUAUGAAGACAUCUUGAGUUGUCUUAAUAUAUGGCUUUAAGGACACGUAGCCAUGUGAAUUUACAAUGUGUUGGACGACAUGCCCAUUUGUUGUUAGUGUUUUUCGAAGCUACAUAAUUUUAUCAACCCAUAUGACAAGGGUUUAUUUUACGUAUUUUUAGUGUGUUUUAUUAGUUAAUUUUGGUUUGAUUAUUUAGUAUUAUAACUAAAAUAACUAAGGUUUUGGUAAAAAACUACAUUUUAUGUUAAAAUGGCUAAACAUUGCAUUUUAUGGAUUUUUAUGGUAAAAACUUCAUAUUUUGUAGGUUUAAUGAUUCAAUCAUCAAAUGAAGUGCAUUGAGAAGAUAUUUGGAUGAUUGAAGAUGGAUUAAAGUGAGGAAAAUAAAAUAUGAAGUGUAAAAGGAAGAAAUGCAAUUUGAGGACAAAAAUCAAGAAAAGUCAGCUUUGACAACUCAGACAUAUUUUCGUAUUUUGACUAUAUCAGGAGCUACAAUGAUCGGAUCAAGGUGAUCUUGGUACCAUUUUGAAGUUAAGAGAUAUAUCUACAUUUGGUAUGAAGACAUCAAAGUCCAGUUCAGCCGUUUUCAUAGUCCAAAAGUUGAAAUACCGAAAUUCAACUCAGCUGUCCAAAGUGGAAAACAGAGUUCCGACCAGUGUUUAGUAUUUUGAUCAUAUCUCAGUCUACAAAGCUCCGAUUUGGAUGAUUCUUGAAGCAUUGGAAAGCUAACUCAAAGAUAUACAACUUUGAUGUUUUGCACAAAAGCCAGUUCGGCCUGCAUCAUGGAGAAAAUCGCAGUUGAAGUAAGGACAAAGUGAAAACGCGAGUGCACAAAACGCGAGUUGUAGACGCGUUUUGUAAAGGCGCGUUUUCUGGCCGAAAUUCUGCAAUUUGCUCAGUCAAUUCUCUUGUGUUCAUACCACUUUCCAGCUAUAAGUUGCAAGAGAAUUCGGUGCACAUGCUUCAGAAGACAAAAGGGCAGACAAGGUGGCUUAUUUUCAAGUCAAAAACAUUUGUUAUUGACUAUCCUAACAAAGUUGAGAUUUGGGAAUCAAAACAUUUGUUAUUUUACUUGUAAAUUUUCUCCAUUUGCUGCCAUUAAGGUUUCCUUUGUUCUUUCACAAUAUUUAGUAGAAAUUAUUCCUUCUUUAAUACAACUUGAAUCAGCUCCACUAUCUAUUAAAGCUACAUAUAUUUCUUUGAAAUCUUCUACUGUAAUAGUUACUAAAGCAUACCAUUUUUGAAAUAUCAUUUUUUCUAUGGUAUUUAAAUAUUGAAUUUCAUCUGUUGGUCUUUCUGAUAUACUUAUUUCUUCUGUUUUAGAAUUGGAAGUUGAUGGUUGAUUUUCUAGUAAUGUUAUUUUUGCUUCUAUUUCUAAAUCUUUUGUUUUUAAUUCUAUGAUUUCUCUUUGUAAUUGUUUUACUUGUAUUUUAAGAUCAUUAAUUUCUGUUUGAAGAUCUUUAGUGGUUUCUUUUUUCAUUAUAUUUAUGUUUAGAUAUUUAUCUAUUAAUUUAGAAAUACUAAAAGGUUCUAUUAUUUUUGGCAUUUUGUCUUCUUGUAUAAUUAGACUUUUUAAUCUUUCUAAAUACUCUUUUUUAGCUACUGGAUCAUCAAUUUUUUCUAUUAUAUCUAAUAAAAAUUCUUUAUCUUCUUUUUUGGUUAUAACAUUUAUAUAUUUUGAAGUGUUAGAACAAUUACAAUUUUCUUCACUUUCUGUACUAGAUAUAUCAUUAUAAUAAUCAUCUUCAGAAUUUUGAUCUUUUUCAUUUAUUAAUAAAUUAAUUAAUUUAUUUUUAAUUUCUUCUUCUUUUGCACAAAUCUCUGUAAUUUUUUCUUUUAAUUUACAUUUGUUUGCUUUAUGUCCUAUUUUUUCACAUUUAUAACAAACAAUUUUUCUUUUAAUAAAUUUUCUCUUCUUUUCUGGUUUAUCUUCUUUAGAUCUUUUAUACUUUAUUUUCUUAUUAUAUUUUUUAACUUUUUUGUUAUAUGCAGAUGGUGAUUUAAUUCUUUAGUAGCAAAUUCUAAAGCUCUAUUAAUUGGUUUUAUUGUUCCUUGAUAUAUAUCAUGUCCUAAAAAUCUUAUUUUUGUUUGGAAUAAUUUCAUUUUUGGUGCUGAAACAACUAAUCCAUUUUUCUUAACUACUUUUAAAAAUAUAUUUAAAUGUUUGAAAUGCUGUUCUAUUGAUUCAGAAAAUAUUAAUACAUCAUCAAUAUAAACUAUGCUAAAUGAACUAUAAGGAUUGAAAAUAUCAUUCAUUAUAUUUUGAAAUUCUGAUGGUGCAUUUUUUAAUCCGAAUGGCAUUACGUUCCAUUCAUAAUGACCAAAAGGUGUUGUGAAUGCUGUUUUAUAUCUAUCUUUUGGUGUUAUUAAUAUUUGCCAAUAUCCUGAUUUUAGUUGUUUCAGCACCAAAAAUGAAAUUAUUUCAAACAAAAAUAAGAUUUUUAGGACAUGAUAUAUAUCAAGGAACAAUAAAACCAAUUAAUAGAGCUGUAGAAUUUGCUACUAAAUUUCCAGAUGAAAUAAAAGAUAAAAAUCAAUUACAAAGGUUUUUAGGAUGUUUAAAUUAUAUAGCAGAUUUCUUUCCUAAAUUAAGACAAGAAUGCUCUAUAUUAUUUAAUAGAUUAAAAAAGAACCAUUUCCACCAGUGAUUGAACCAGAUUGGGAAUUCUCUACUGCAACUUUUUUGAAUGUGAAGAACCAUGAAUGAUUGAAUGGUCUAUACAAAAAAAGCAAAAGUCUAAUUAUACAAGAAGACAAAAUGCCAAAAAUAAUAGAACCUUUUAGUAUUUCUAAAUUAAUAGAUAAAUAUCUAAACAUAAAUAUAAUGAAAAAAGAAACCACUAAAGAUCUUCAAACAGAAAUUAAUGAUCUUAAAAUACAAGUAAAACAAUUACAAAGAGAAAUCAUAAAAUUAAAAACAAAAGAUUUAGAAAUAGAAGCAAAAAUAACAUUACUAGAAAAUCAACCCUCAACUUCCAAUUCUAAAACAGAAGAAAUAAGUAUAUCAGAAAGACCAACAGAUGAAAUUCAAUAUUUAAAUACCAUAGAAAAAAUGAUAUUUCAAAAAUGGUAUGCUCUAGUAACUAUUACAGUAGAAGAUUUCAAAGAAACAUAUGUAGCUUUAAUAGAUAGUGGAGCUGAUUCAAGUUGUAUUAAAGAAGGAAUAAUUCCUACUAAAUAUUGUGAAAGAACAAAGGAAACCUUAAUGGCAGCAAAUGGAGAAAAUUUACAAUUAAAAUAUAAAUUUACAAAAGGAUCAAUAUGUAACAAUGAAUAUUGUAUUAGACAUAAUUUCAUAAUUGUAAAAAAUAUAAAUCAUGAUAUAAUAUUAGGAACACCUUUUUUAAUUCAAAUUUACCCAUUUUCAGUUAGUCAUGAAGGAAUUUCAAUAAAUAUAAUGGGAAAAACUGUUAUCUUUAGAUUUCUAACUCCAGUAAAACAAAGAGAAUUACAGACAUUACAAACAUCCUCUAUUUACAAAACAAUAAAUAGUAUUACUAAAGUACAACAACAAAUAAAUUAUAUAAAAGAAGAAAAAUCUUAUUUAAAAAUUGAAGAACAAUUAAAAGAAAGUAAAAUGCAAAAAAGAAUUUCAGAAUUAGAAGAAUUAUUACAAAAAGAAAUUUGUGCAGAUAUUCCUAAUGCUUUUUGGGAUAGAAAACAACAUAUGAUUGAAUUACCUUACGAAACAGGUUUUAAUGAGAAAAACAUUCCUACUAAAGCAAGACCAAUACAAAUAAUUCUAAUCUAUUAGAAUUUUGUAAAAAGGAAAUAAAAACAUUAAUAGACAAAAAAUUAAUAACACCUUCAAAAUCACCUUGGAGUUGUGCUGCAUUCUAUGUAAUGAAUCAAGCUGAAAAAGAAAGAGGAGUUCCAAGAUUAGUUAUAAAUUAUAAACCAUUAAAUAAAGUAUUACAAUGGAUUAGUGAAUAAUACAAUAAAUUUAUAAAUUUAGAAUUAAUAGAGGAUACAAUAAAUUAAAGUAACCAUUUUUAUAAAUUUAAUAGAGCUCAAAUGCAAAUAAUACAAUAAAUUUAGAAGACAUUAAAAAAGUUUAUCAACAAAAUAAUUAUACAAAUCAAAUCCUUCAUACAAUUUCUCAACAUAUGGAAGUAUUAAACACAAAAAUAGAUACUAUAAAGAAACCAGAAUUAAAAUUCCCUAAUAAUAUUUCAGCACCUCAUUUUCAACCUAGAAGUUUGACAAGAGAAAAAGAACAAGAUUUAGAUUCAAAAUCAGAAGACAAAGCAUCGGCGAAUUAGUGAGAAAAAGAGAACAAAACACUCUCAUGUAAAAAUCCUUAGACAAAUCUCUCAAUCCCUCUUUCCAACUACUCUUGUAUUCAAUUACUUUUGUUUCCUUCCUUCUCCAAAUAUAAUAAAGAUCAAGGAUUCAACCAUUCAUCAAGCUUCUGUUAUCAAAGGCCACUCUAAAUUUUCAGUAAGUCCAAUUUUUAUACUAAAUUUUCUAUGAACAUUUCAAUAGAAAGUAGCCUGGGUAGAAGUGGUAUCAGAGCCACUUAUCACAUUAUCUUUACAGUGUUAUUAAGGAAAGUAGAUUACACAGUGGGAACCAAAAAUAGAAGAAAAUAAAGCCUCAUAUGAACCGAAUCUUUCCCCUUGCUUUUUUUUCUUGGAAUUUAAAGGUAUAAUGCAAGAAAUAACUCCUGGUCAUGCAAAAUUGCCAACAAAAAUGCGUCUUUGGUUUUUAAUUCCUUAAUAACAUACUAUCCAGCAUACUAUUUAGCAUAAUAACAUACUAUCUCAGAUGCAUCCACUUAAAUAUCCUGGCCGAGAUGGUAUGAGGCCAAUUUUCUAUCAAAAAUAUAGGUCUGUAGCAGGUAAUGACGUUACCUCACUACAACAAAAAUGGCCUUUAGCGGCAUUUAAAGGUGUCAGUAUAGAAAAUCUAACCUGACACUUUAUCUAUCCUGACACCCAUGGCGAGUGUUGUCCCUUCCAAUGUGGGGAUAGCCUCAAAUCUUUAGCAGCAUUCAAAUGUGUCAGGCAAACCAUGCUGCUAUAUCUUUACCUCUGCCAACAAAUCCUUUUUUUGUGAUAAUCGAAAAUGUAUGUAUAGUGUUAGGACAUCAGUAGGGAAUCGGUAGGAUAUCAAAUUUAUGAAGGCAUCUUGAGUUGUCUUAAUAUAUGGUUUUAAGGACACGUAGCCAUGUGAAUUUACAAUGUGUUGGACGACAUGCCCAUUUGUUGUUAGUGUUUUUCGAAGCUAAGCUAUGCUGACACUUUUAAUUGCCAGGAGAAUUUUCCCUGGUUUUUUUUUAUAUGGAAGCAACCUGCAAUUAGUCCUCCUUGCUGUACAUUCCAUCAAUCAGAAUCCCAAGGGACUUGUAAAAUUAUCCCAAAGAGCAGAAUGCAUAUGGCAAUGUAAAAGAAGAAGUCGAUACUCAAAUAUAAUUCAUUGAAUUAAAAGUCGAUAACAAGUACAAACAUAGCAAAUACUAAAACGCAAACAAGUGCUAAAAGCAAGUACUAAAAUAUCAAACCAGUACCGAAAGAUUCUCAUUUACAAUAACUUAAAAGCUCUAUCGGAAGCACAAAAUAAAAGACUCCCAUCCCUAAUAAGUUGAAAGAAGUAGAAGUAGCUUCCAAACUUUCCAUUUUGUUGAGAGUCCUCAGGCAUAACCACGAAGUCCCCAUCAUUCUUCAGCUGGUUCCACCUGUGCACAAAGACCAAGGGGAUCAUUAGAUCAUCAUAACUAAAACUAAAAUUCCAGAAAAUCCGCAAUGUAUUUAAGUGCAUAUCUCACCAAAUGACAAGGCCAAGCAACUGGUGCACCAAGUGCAUCUUGAAUCGUUUGUUGUAAACCAUAUGGUCUAAUCAAUUGCUCACGUGGAGUCAUUGCAACUUGUAUCUGUAUUUCACACCAGUUUGGCCCAAGAGCUUGUCCCCCGACCUCAUCCAAAGGAUUCAGACUCCGUAAAUAUCCCUUUGCCACGAUUUUUGUUGGGUCAAACAAACUUUUUAGUGAAACCAUAUUCCCUACCUAGUAAACAUCCAACAAGUACAAGAAUCAAACUCAUGCCAAAUUCCAGAUUACAAAUGCAAAAGUUUAGAAGUUGUAAAUACUUACUCAAAUAGGUCGCGUGGCUCGCGAUGGAGCAUGGCUUGACACAUUGUUAGAUGAUGAUGAAGGAUGUCUCGGGCUGUCAAUUGGAGAACCCCUUCCAUGUUGAACUAAAACCAUUUUCUUCAAGCUGGCUAUUUCAUCAUCUUGUCGCUGAAGCCUUUCCUCCAAACGGACUAAUGUUGACUGUUGUUGAACACUUAUACGGUAGCAUGUGUUACGACUAGGAAUGUCUUCCCAUAAGUCCGUUGGAUUCACACCGUCACUAAGCAAGCGAACAUGACCAUGUUUGUCUUGCCCAACCACCUGGGCAAAUAUAUCAUCACGACCAACUGGAUCUUGCGAAUCCGAUGGAAGCUGAUUUUUCAGCUCAGUCAUUUUUUCCUACAUAAUAAAGGAAAACACUUGUUAUUGCAAAAGACUGUCUGAAAACAUCCAUGGUAGAAUUGAUAGGCUUGUGUUCUCGGAUCCUUACCAAAUUCUCAGCAACUAUGGUACUUGAUGGAGUUUGUUGACCUUGGUCGAUCAAUCCUUGGUUUUGAUGAUUAACAAACCAAAAUGUAGAUUUGGGCUAAUGUUUUUAUGUGAGCAAUUUGUUAGAACAGAUUCUUGUGGCACAAAAGAAGAAGCAAAAACAGGGCACUCAUGUGAGACGUCCGAAAGGAAGCUAUCGGACGUCCGAAAGGAUGAAGAACAUCAGGAAGGAUAUUCUGUCGGACGCUCGUGAGAAAGCAUCGGACGUCCGGAUGGAUCGGACACACUCUUCGGACGCACAUCGAUCGUGUCGGACGUCCUAAAAAUUUCACGAAGAUUUGAUAACUCUCUGGACGACGUUCGGACGCAGGGUUCGGACGUCCGACAGGUGGUUUGGACGCAGGGUUCGGACGUCCGACAGGUGGUUCGAACGUCCGACAGGCCAACGGCUAGUUUUGACAGCAUUUAAUAUUUGACCGUUGGAGAGCCUUUUGGAGCCAUUUCUCACAUUCUAUAAACACCCCAAAGCACAAGAAGACACGGGACUUUUGCCAACACAAUAUACAAGCUUACAAGUGAGAUUUUUGAGUAGAAAGAUUCUUUGUUGGUUGUAUAAGGGGUUGGGGAAGUUGGGUUGUGAGGUUGCUCAAGUGAAGGUUAUUCUCUAGGAGGAGUAAAACCUGGUGAAGGUGAACCUAUUCACUUGAAGUGGUAAAACCUUGGUGAAGGGUUGCCUCAUUUGUAUAAAAUAGUUCUUAAUUGGUGAGUGGGGAUCUUUCAAGUGUAGGUUGUUGAGGGUUAACUAGAAUUGUUGUAAAACUCUUGGCUCAACCAAAGUGUGUUUUGGCGUGAGGAAGGGAGGUGAGCCUUCACUUGUACAUCUUGGUUAGCAUCGCCAUCAUUGAAGAGGCUAUUGGUUUGAUAUUUGGUUUGCAUUUCUUAUCCUUUCUCUUUAAUUUAAGUUUUCCUUUAUUGUGCUUAAAUUUGAUAUAUCUUUGUGCAUCAUUGUGAAAUUUGUUUGUACUCAUUAGGUUGCACCGGGCACUUACAAUUGGUAUCAGAGCUUGGUCUCUUUUGAGAGCUUAAUCCGGCUUGGAGUAAAGAUCAAUGGCAACCAUAAAAGUUUCCUUUUUUAGAAGGGCAAUCUAUUGAAGACCACUAUGUUUAAUGGUUCUCAUUUUAGCAUGUGGAAACAAAGAAUGAUGAUUUUCUUACAAUCCAUUUAUAUUGAAUUUGGUAUGUGGUAGAAGAUGGUCCUUUAUGAAGCUAGAAUAGUUGACUCUACCAUCAAUUUGAGUAGAUUAAAGACUAGACAAGAAUUGAAUGGAAAAGACAAGAGAUACCUUUCUUUGAAUGCCAAGGCCAUGUGUAUAUUGUACAAUGCAUUAGAUGUAAAUGAAUCUAGUAGGAUUAAAGGUUGUAAAUCAGCUAAAGAUAUUUGGGAUAAAUUGUGUAAUUUCAUGAAGGUAACCAAGAUAUUAAAGAACAAAAGAAAUCUUUGCUUGUUUCUCAAUAUGAAUUUUUCAAAAUGAUCCUCUGAAAAUGUUGAUAAGAUGUUAGUAGAUUUGUGACAUUAUUAAGAUCUUAAAUUGCUUGCUAGAGAAUAUUCUUUGGUGAGAAAAUAGAAGAUUUUGAAUGCUUGCCAAAAGAAUGGGAAAACAAAAUAAAUGCUAUAGAAGAGCAAAGGAUUUAAAUUCUAUGUCCAUUGAAUCUCUUGUGAAUUCCCUAACUUCUUAUGAAUUAAAGCUGCAAUUCAAAGUGCAAGAGAAAGAAAAUGCAAGAAUGUUAUAAGAGAGGCAUAGCUUUUAAAGCAUCUCAAGUGGGGGAUAACCCAUCUUUCAUGGGUAAUGAAAACAUGGAAGUGGACAAUGAUAUAACUCCUCACAUCAAAAGUUUCAAGAAGAUCUUCAACAAGAGAAGUUCAAGAGGAGAUUGCAAAAUUACAUGGGAUGAAUACUAAUUCAAAAAGAGAAAAAGAAGAGUUGGCACAAAUGGCACUAAUGGCCUUUGGAGAAGAUGAGGUAAAUUCUUAUCACUCUUCUUGUGAUGAAGAUAAUGAAGAUGAUGAUGUGAAAAUUCUUAUGAUUAAAAUGCAUAAAAGUUUGAGAAAAUCUUAUGCUAAAAAUAAAGAUUUGAAAACAAAAAUAAAUGAUUUGUUGGAAGAAAACUCCAAACUUUUUCAGGAAAACAAAUGUUUGAGAAUGGAAAAUGAUGAUUUAAAAAAUCAAAAAAAUGUUUUUGAUUGCAAAAAUAAUUUGAAAAGGAAGUUGGAAGAGAAAACAAAGUUUUAUGGAAAAAUGUUGGAUGAACAAAAUUUGUUAAAGAAAAGAAUUAAUGACUUGAACGAGUUUCUCCAAAAUGAAAAACAAAAGUUUUCUCAAACAAAAGAAAGCAAAUCUUUUCAAGGCACAAAUACGUUUGCUAUGAUAAGAAGUAAGAAAAUUAGUUGCAUUAAAUCCACUUAUGUGCAAAAUACUUCUAUCAUGUGUCACUUUUGUUGUCAAUUUGGACAUAUGCAAAAUGAUUGCUAUGUAAAGAAAAAUAUGAGAAAAGGUAUGAAAUCCAUGUGGAUUGCUAGAUCAUGUUGUACUAACUCCCAAGAACCCUAUAAAAACUUACAAUUGGUAUCAUGAAAGUUUUGUCAUUCUAUAUGGUCUUGAUUUGGAAAAUAAAGGGGGAGUUUACUUUUUGAUUGAUGUCAAAAGAGGGAGUAGGAUUUAUUGAAAUUUCUUUGUAUGUUGGCAUUUUCUAAGGGAGAGUUUUAUUUGAACUUAUUUGAUCAAAGAAAUCUUCAUUUUGUUUGUCAUCAUCAAAAAGGGGGAGAUUUUUGACCUUGGUCGAUCAAUCCUUGGUUUUGAUGAUUAACAAACCAAAAUGUAGAUUUGGGCUAAUGUUUUUAUGUGAGCAAUUUGUUAGAACAGAUUCUUGUGGCACAAAAGAAGAAGCAAAAACAGGGCACUCAUGUGGGACGUCCGAAAGGAAGCUAUCGGACGUCCGAAAGGAUGAAGAACAUCAGGAAGGAUAUUCUGUCGGACGCUCGUGAGGAAGCAUCGGACGUCUGGAUGGAUCGGACACACUCUUCGGACGCACAUCGAUCGUGUCGGACGUCCUAAAAAUUCCACGAAGAUUUGAUAACUCUCUGGACGAUGUUCGGACGCAGGGUUCGGACGUCCGACAGGUGGUUUGGACGCAGGGUUCGGACGUCCGACAGGUGGUUCGAACGUCGACAGGCCAACGGCUAGUUUUGACAGCAUUUAAUAUUUGACCGUUGGAGAGUCUUUUGGAGCUAUUUCUCACCUUCUAUAAACACCCCAAAGCACAAGAAGACACGGGACUUUUUGCCAACACAAAUAUACAAGCUUACAAGUGAGAUUUUUGAGUAGAAAGAUUCUUUGUUGGUUGUAUAAGGGGUUGGGAAGUUGGGUUGUGAGGUUGCUCAAGUGAAGGUUAUUCUCUAGGAGGAGUAAAACCUUGGUGAAGGUGAACGCUAUCACUUGAAGUGGUAAAACCUUGGUGAAGGUUGCCUCAUUUGUAUAAAAUAGUUCUUAAUUGGGUGAGUGAUCUUUCAAGUGUAGGUUGUUGAGGGUUAACUAGAAUUGUUGUAAAACUCCUUGGCUCAACCAAAGUGUGUUUGGGGUGAGGAAGGAGUGAGCCUUCAGCUUGUACAUUCUGGUUAGCAUCGCCAUCAAUUGAAGAGGCUAUUGGUUGAUAGUUGGUUUGCAUUUCUUAUCCUUUCUCUUUAAUUAAGUUUUCUUUAUUGUGCUUAAAUUUGAUAUAUCUUUGUGCAUCAUUGUGAAUUUAUUUGUACUCAUUGGGUUGCACCGGGCACUUACAGAGUUCCAUCGGCAUGGGUAUAAAACUUAUUGAACAUUUCUACUCUAGUAGGAGGUCUUCCCAACUGUUUGGCCUAUAAGAAAUUGAAUCGUUUUAAUUAUAGUUUUAGCAUUUAGCAUAUAAUUAAAAAACAAGCUAACAUAAUGAAACAUGUACGAGCAAAAAAAAUUAGCAACUAAAAAGUGGAUGAGGUAUCACCAAGUGGUUCCGAAGAUGAGCAAAUUACUUUUUUCUGGUUGUGUGGUUCAUCUUCUUCUCCCCUCUAGCUUUCUUGUUCCUCUCACUUAGUUUCUAAAUUUCAAAAUGAAAAGCAAGAUUACAGCAUUGAAUGAACACAACUUUAUGAAGAAUGUUGUAGCUGAUUUGUACCUUUGCUUCUUCACUUUUCCAAUAAGCCCAAAGUUUGAUCCAUUGCUCUUCCCGUACCCUUAUGUCCUUUUGAAACCGAGCUUCAGCAUUUGGCACGGCAGAAUCAAAAUAGUUAGCCUUUAAAUCUGCCUUCCAGCUUCUCCAUUUUUUGCCAAUAGAUCUUAAGGUCCAAGCUUCCAGUCCCAUAGGCAAAGCAAACCUUUCCUGAAACGUAGUUAGCAACAAGAAAAUCAACACAACUUCACAGUAAUUUUUGUACAAAGCAUACAUAAUACAAAAGCUGCCAUUACCUUUAUCACUUCUAACAUGUCCAUUUUAAGUUUCCUUGGCAUCUUAAGCCAUGUUUCAACAUCUAUUGGACAAUACAUACCAUUCCUAGCCAAACUGCCCAAGAAUUCAGAGAAAGAGUUUUUCUCACUUAUUGGGAUCCCAUUGUCAUCGAGUUUAAUCUCAAUCCGUGGAAGUUCCUUAGGCCGACCCCAAAUUUCUUUCAUAAAUAUAGGGCCUCGGGUUUUAUGAUUUACUUCACUUGAAUCAUUUGUAGUUUCUUUUCCUGUUUAAAAUAAGAAAAAGGUGCAAGUUAUGAACAUAACAAAAUGCACUUCUGGAAUUGGUUCAAAACAGUUAGUAAUACCUGCAUUGUCCGAGUUGCAUGACAUGAAGGUGGUGUCACUGGAAUGUGGACCUCGAGAAUCCUGAUUUGGACUUUCUUCGGUUGCUUCAUGCCUUGUUCCAAGUGGAGAUUGUUGAAUUGGAGAGUUCUGGCACUGCUCAUGCGACUUGGAACCUCCAUCAGCUUGUUGAGUAACUUGGUCACCUGAUUCAUGCAUUAUUCCCAAUGUAGAAUUCUGAAUUGCAGAUUGAGGUGCCCGAGCAGCUUCUCCUUGCACUUGUUCAAUUACAUUUUCAUGGCUUGUUCCAAGUGGAGGCUGCUGCCUUGUUUCAUAACAUGAGGGAGGUUGCUCAAUUGGUUCAUCUCUCAAUCCAUUUGCAGCGCGCUUACAUUUUCGACCUCUACGGGCCAUACCUGCAUAAUAUUUGAGUGAAGAAAGGGACAAAUGUAAAUGUUUAAAAUUUAUUGAAGCACACUCUCUACCUAUAGUUUCUUUAACUUACAAAUGCUAUUAUAAAGAAGUACUACUUGAACAAUAAACUGGCAUGACAAGUAACAAAUGGCAUUCUGCAAGAAUAAACCAGGGGAAGACUAUGGAGCUGUCAACAGAACAGAGAAACAAAUGGAGAAUAUAUGAUUCAAUGCAGCAACUAAUUGGAAAUGAAAUGAAAGCUACAUGCUUAAGUGACUGCAAGAAUAUACAUGGGAAAUGCUUUGAUCUACAUCCUUUCAGCAUGAAAGAUAUGCAGAAUUUACUACCGCUAGACACGAAACUUUUUCCAUAUUGUUUUGAGAAUGAUGCCUAUGAUCAAAAGUUGGUAUGCUUAUGCUCAAUGAGGGUGUAAGUAGAAGAGUCCACGUAAUUUUAACUUCAGUAAUGGAGCAAACUAAUAAAUGAUUGUCUUGAAUUAACGAAAUAUACUUGGCCAUGUGAUAACCAAAAAUUGCAGAGGAUAAUGUAUUCUACCAACAAAUACAAGUCUUGGUUUUGUAUGUUUAGGGUGGCAAUCGGGUCGGUUAUGAAGCUCUACUGAAUACUUUUAUUUCCAGAUUCUGACAUGGUUCUGCAUUUAUCAAGAACUUGUCUCAUCUAAACAAGAGCUCAAGCUUUACGUAGCAUUGACGAUUCCAAACCAAAUUACUUCUCUUUUUGCCAGAGCCACAUCCACAGUUAUGGGUUGACACUUAACAGUAAAUGCACAAACACUUUGUCCAAUACAAUUGUAGCAGUACAAACAAUACAGUUGUAGAACAGGAAGGAGACGAAGAGCAUCACGGUGAAAGACUGAAAACGAGAACCCAUCACCAAAAAUAGAUGGUUGAAAUUGUACAUUCAGUUCACAGUAGCAGUCUCCAUUCGACCAGGCUCACCUAGAAAUGUGCUUCUCAGAAAUGUGCUUUUCACACCGCCACCACCCCAAAAGCUUUUCACACCACCACCACCCCCCAAAGCAAACAUUCUACCUAGAAAUGUGCUUCUCAGAAACGGAGAAGGUGCUUGUCAGAGAUGGGAAUCGAAUAGCCUAAAAACUAAAUCUACCAAGCAAUGCAAGAACAUGUCUACCAUGCAAUGCAGAAUUAGACACAAAAUACUGAAAUUACCUCAAACUAUGGCUUGAAUCCCUAAUUUCUCGGUUUCCCAAGCUUUGAAGCCCUAAUUUCUGAUUUCUUCCCACCAAGCCAACACAACAGCCGAAUUAGGGAUUUGCCUGGUGCGAGCUCAACCAAGUUACCCAAAAGGGUGCGAGUUCAUGGACGGCAAUUGACUCAAAUUGGUUGUGCGAGCUUGAAAGAGAGAGAGAGGACAAAGGCAGAGGACAACGAGAGAGGGAGAAGAUGUCUGAAAUAAAGGCGGUACUAAUGACGCCAAAGUAAAUUAGUCAAGCCUCUUGAAUUUUUCAAUUUGCCGCGCUACUAAUGACAAUUUUUGUGUGUUUGGGCAAAAUUUUGUUAAAGCUAGAUAACAACUAAAAAUUUGGUUAAAGCUAUAUACAAUAUAAUAUAACAACUAAAAAUAUAAAGGCUAAAAAUCUUGUUAAAGCUAUAUAACAACUAAAAAUAUAACAAAUAAAAAUUUUGCAAGAGCUAUAUACAAUAUAAUAUAACAAUCAAAAAUUUUGUUACAGCUAUAUAACAACUAAAAAUAUAACAAAUAAAAAUUUUGUUAAAGCUAUAUACAAUGUAAUAUAAUAACUAAAAAUAUAAAAAUAAUUAAAAAUUUUGAGAAGCUAACAAAAAACAUUCUUUUAAUCAAAAUGUUUUCGGUUACUCAAUUUAUUUUAUGCUGCGAGCAAUUAUGUACGGCUUGUAGUCUAACAAGCCAUUGGAAGGAUCGAAUUAGUUUAUGAAACAAGAAAAUUAACUUGUGAAUGCAUGAACUUUCCAUUGAUAAACAUUGGGAUUAGAAUUGACUGAACAUAAACAAUGAAUAUAUAUAUAUAUAUAUUCAAUGUUUUCAAUUCCAAAGCAAUUGCCAUUGAACUUUGUGUUAAUUAGAAACUUACUAUCACUUACAAGAUCUUACUAUUGAACUUUUCAAUGAUUAACCUUAGGCUUACACUUACAACGCAUUAAUUGAACAUAAACAUAUAUAUAUAUAUAUAUAUAUAUAUAUAUAUAUAGGGUAAAAAACAAAAAGGCCCCCUGUAGUUAACCUAAUACACAGAAAAGCUCCCCAUGGUUUCAAAAUAUACAACACGAUCCCUCAUGCUUUGAACUAAAUUGUAAAGGUGACGGAAUCCGUUAAACUUAACGGAAAUGGACGAAAUGACCAAAAUGCACUGAUAUAAUUAAGCAAAAGACAGCUCAAAAAAAUCAUUUGUUUCAUUCUCUAAGUAGAGAGAAUUGAGGGUUAAGGGGUAGAAUAUGCAUAUUUGAUAAAAAAUAGGCAUAAAAAUUUUUUUUUAGGUUCCAAUAAGUCAUUUCCGUUAAGUUUAACGGAUUCCGUCACCUUUAUAAUUUAGUUCAAAACAUGAGGUGUCGUAUUGUAUAUUUUGAAACCAUAGGGGAUUUUUCUGUGUAUUAGGCUUACCACAGGGGGUUUUUUUGUUUUUUACCCAUAUAUAUAUAUAUAUAUAUAUUCAUUGUUAAAAAUUCCAAAGCAAUUGCCACUGAACUUUGUGUUAAUUAGAAACUUACUAUCACUUACAAGAUCUUACUAUUGAACUUUUCAAUGAUUAACCUCAGGCUUACACUUACAACGCAUUAAUUGAACAUAAACAUAUAUAUAUAUAUAUAUAUUCAAUGUUUUCAAUUCCAAAGCAAUUGCCAUUGAACUUUGUGUUAAUUAGAAGCUUACUAUCACUUACAAGAUCUUAAUAUUGAACUUUUCAAUGAUUAACCUUAGGCUUACACUUACAACGCAUUGAUUGAAGGAUAAUCUAAAAUUGCGACUAAACCGAUUAAAUUCGAUCAAAGAUCAGUUGGACUAGAAAGCUCUAUCGGAAUUAACUUUUUGUAUUGUUAUUGGUUUAAAAAAUAAUUUUUUCAUGGUAUUAAAAAAUUAUUUAAGAAAUUUAUAGAUUAAAGUUUCAAAAUAUUUCUAUUGAUAAAAAAUUAGACCUUGGGUUAUUGGGAAAAAGAAUUGGCCAUAAUAUAAUGAUUCACAAAUGUAAUAUUACAGCUUACAAUUAAUGGAAUUGCUUAUAAAAUAAUGACCAGUAUUUAUGCAGCCCAUUGGGCUCUUAAAAUGAGUAAUGGGUUCCUUGGAAAGUUGGAUAGUUUUAUGUUUGGUCUGAAAUGAUUUGCACAUUCCGUACGUUGCCAAUUGUUCUCCCCAAACCAUAGAUGUCUGAGGAAGACAGACUCUACAUCUUCAUCCAUGGACUUCAACCGUGGGUACAGAUGGAGUUGCGGUGACAAAAUGUUCAGACCGUGUCUCAAGCACUUGCUACUGUCGAGAAGUUGAUAGACUUCAAGUCCAUAGGAUCCAAAAGUGAAAAAAAAAGAAGGGCAAGGCCUAGCAAUUGAAACAGAGAAGAAUAGGGCCAGCAAGCUUAGCAACUAUAAAAGAUACUAAAUCAGAUUAUAUUGGGACAAAUCAACUUCAAUCCCGAGUCCAUCCUCACGAACCCAACUAAUUUCCUCAUUUUCAUUCUCAACAACAGGAUUGCCAACAUCACUUUGCAAAUAUGUCUCAACAUCCAUGAUUGUUCCCAUGUUAUAUCCAGCUCUUGCAGUGGUAGAGAUAACAACUUGCCAAUCCUUAUCAGUUGGAUCUGCCACAUAAAAAACCUGUGAUGCUUGUGAAGCGAGUAUAAAUGGCUCAACAUGAGGCCUCACGUUUGCAAAAUUGACUAAAGUAAACCCAUCAGCAUCUUGUUUCAUUCUCGAACCAUUUGAUAUCCAAUCACAUUCGAAUAACACCACCCGAUGACCUCCGUAAAUUAAUUCAAUCAUAUUUUUCAAGACGCCGAAGUAAACUAGUUCACUCAAAACUGGAUUUUGAUCCCUUAUACUUGCAAAACUGGAUGUUGUUGCAUUGACUGUAACACCACUAUUCUGCGUUUUUCUUUUCUUCUCAACUUCUUUGGUGUGAAACCGAAAUCCAUUAACAACAUACCUGUCAUGUUGGAUUCCAACAACAUCUGGACCUUUAGCAAGGAACCUCAACUCUCUCAACACCGAAACAUUUUGAGGAAGUUCUAACUUGUCAAUCUGUAAAAAAUAAAUAAAUAAAUAAAUAAAUAAAAGAAGAUGAAACUAUAUUUGAAGUCCUACAAUUCAAAUUGUACUUAAUAUUCAGAAUUUUACUUACAUGUUCAGCAAACCAACACGCAAAAUUUUCGCAGUGCAAGCGCUCUUUUAGAUGCUGUGGAAUUUGAGGAUGUCCUUCUUCUAUCAAUCUACGAUGCUGCCUAGAAGUACAUGAGUCAAAAUUGUAAUCAUACAUUGAAUUCUACAAUAAAAUUUUAAUGCAUCAAGUUGUAGUUGAACUUACUCUAUGUAAGGUGUGACAGCAUCACAAUUAAAUAAAAUAUACUGAUGUGCUUUACUCAAGAUAUGAGCAUCAAAGACUGUUGGCUUGCCCCUCCCCAAAGGAUGUCCUGAUUCAGAGAAUAUAUCUAAACCAUCUUCAAUUUCCUUAUGUACUUCUUCAUUUCUGCUUGGACGAUUGAAUUUUGUCUCAACAUAGUCCGCAAGAUACAAUGAGCAAAAGUUAAUGCAUUCUUCUGCCAAGUAGCCUUGAGCAAUCGAACCUUCAGGCCUACUUUUAUUUCGAACAUAAGAUUUUAAUGUUCCUAAGUACCUAAAGUAUCAUCAUUCCAACCUCUCUAAUUACUUCCACAAAUCAAAGAAAGCAAAAAAGGAAUAAACAUUUAAGGCAUAAUGAGAAUUACAAGCAGUACCUCUGUAUAGGAUACAUCCAACGAUAAUACACCGGCCCACCUAAUUUCACUUCAGUUGCCAAAUGAACAACUAAAUGCACCAUGACAUCGAAGAAGGUUGGUGGGAAGCAUUUCUCAAGAUCGCAGAGUAUGACGGCAAUUUCACUUUCCAAACGAACCACAUCUUGAGGACAAAUAACUUUAGAACAAAGCUGCCUGAAGUAUCUACUCAAUCGAAUCAAAGGAUAGCGCACUGAUUUUGGCAAAGUCUUUCUCAAAGCUAUAGGCAUCAAUUGCUGCAUUAGGAUAUGAUUAUCAUGACUUUUAAGCCCUGAAAUUCUUGGUGGUUUUACUCGAACGCAUCUUGAGACAUUAGCUGCAUAACCAUCUGGAACUUUCACUUUUUUUAGCACAUUGCAAAACAUAGUUUUCUGUUUUUUAUCCAUUGCAAAGGAAGAUGGAGGUAAGUACACCUUUCCAGGUUCUGUCUCAAUGGGAUGCAGCUCUUUUCUUAUUCCCAUUUCUCUCAAAUCACGGCGGGAAUUAUAAUGGUCCUUUGCUUUAUCCUCAAUAUCCAGCAAUGUCCCCCAAAUAUUUUCACAAACAUUCUUCUCAAUGUGCAUGAAGUCAAGAUUGUGUCUUAAGACAUUAUCUUUCCAAUAUGGCAAGUCAAAGAAAAUACUCCUCUUUUUCCAAUUGAAAGGCAGCUUCGGAUUACCUUUCACAAGUUUUCCAAAUUUAAUUUGCAAGUCUCCCAAUUCACUCACAAUCAUAUCCCCGGUUUGCAAAGGUGGUCGCUUUCCAUGUUCUUCGGUGCCAUCAAAGAAUUGGGCUUGCUUUCUAAAUUUAUGCUUACUAUCUAAGAAUCUCCGAUGACCUAUGUAGCAAUAUUUGAAACUAUGAGUCAACCGUCGUGCAUGAGUGAACUUGUGACAAACAGGACAAGCAUAUUCACCUUUAGUGCUCCACCCAGAUAACAUUGCAUAUCCAGGGAAAUCACUAAUGGUCCACAACAGAGCCGCAUGCAGUUGAAAAUUUUCUUUUUGGGAUGCAUCAUAAGUUUGAAUGCCAAAAUCCCACAAUUCGGUCAGUUCUUUAACUAGAGGCUGUAGAUAAACAUCAAUAUUAUUCCUAGGAGAGGAUGGUCCGGGUAUUAACAAAGACAACAUGAAGUACGGUUGCUUCAUACACAUCCACAGAGGUAAGUUAUAUGGUAUUAAAACUACAGGCCAAGUACUGUGUGUAGAACUCAUGUUGUUGAAUGGAUUAAACCCGUCAGAUGCCAACCCCAAUCUAACAUUUCGACAAUCCUUAGCAAAUUCUGGAUGUAGAUGGUCAAAAGUUUGCCAAGCUGGAGAAUCAGCUGGAUGUCUCAUACAACCAUCUUUUGUACGUUUUGCCUCAUGCCAUCUCAUUUGAGAUGCAAUUUUAGAAGACAUAAAUAGUCUUUGUAAUCUAGGUUUUAAGGGAAAAUGCCGCAACACUUUUUGAGGAAUUUUCCUUUUUUCCCCAGUUGGAUCAUUUUCUGAAGCAACCCACCUAAGCUCGUUACAUGUUUCGCAUGAAGUUCUUUUUUCAGCACUACCCCUAUAAAGAGAACAAUCAUUAGGACAUGCAUCAAUCUUUUCAUAACCCAGCCCCAAUGUAUUCAUCAAUUUCUCAGCCUCAUAGUAAGAAGACGGCAAAUUAGUCAUGGCCUCCGGAAAUGCUUCUCUCAACAGCUCAACAAGCAUAUUAAAAAUCUUGUUACUCAUCUUACCCAGGCAUUUUAGGUGAAGCAAACGAAUAAUGAAAGACAAUUUCGAGAAAUUUUUGCAACCAUUGUACAAAUUCUGUUGAGAAUCAUCAAUCAAUUUGUAAAAUUUUUUCAGCCUCUGAAACAGGAAUGUCCCCUUCUCUAUUCAAUUCAUUUGUUCCAUGUGGUAUCCCAAAUACAUCAUGGACCAAGUCUUGCAUGUCAUUAGUCCCAUUUGAAAACCCAAUUGAUGUAUUUUCAGAAUUAGAUGUGGCUUCAUUGUAGUUUGAAAGUUCUCCAUGUGCUGUCCAAUUAUUAUAACCCUUGAUAAAUCCUACCACUUUCAAAUGAUCAUAUGCUUCCAUUUUUGUCACACAAACACCCAUGCCACAAUCUUUGCAAGGACACAAAAUCUUUCCGUCACAACUUGAUCUAGAAAAUGCGAAGUUUAGAAACAUUUGAAGUCCUGUCUCGUACUUUUCACUUGUUCUUGGAAAAUCCAUCCAUCUUUUAUCCAUACUUUUAAUAUAAAUAAAUGUCCUCCAACGAGCUUCCAAUAGCCUACUUUUUAAACUCAGGUCGUGGCUUACAAGUCCCUAAUUUCAAGUUCAAGAAUUUCUCAACAAAAAGGAAUUUAUCAAGCAGCCAGCAAAUAAAGGAAAUCAACAAAAUGCAAAAUUUCUCAACAAUCUAUAAAAACAGAAUUUGCAAGUAAGCGGAUAGAAAUUUUAUUUACCUAAUAACAGAAAAAAACCCUUCGUACCAACUCCUGCGCUCACGUCUUCGCAAAAUUCCUAAGUUCAAUCUGAAAUGUCAAUGGUUAAACAAACACAUGAGCAUGAAAACUAAAGGUGAAAUUCAAGAAUUUUACUAAAUUUUCAUCAAAGUAUACAUACAUCUUUGGUGUGUAGUGAUUAAUUUUAUAAGUCAUCUCUUUAGAAAGGCAUGCAAUUGACGGCAUAGGUAAUUGGAAAAAGAAUGACAGAAAAGUCCCCUAGCUUCUAAUCAUGCCUAUGAAGAUCCUUAUGAACAUGUCAAAAUACUUUGACCCAACUACAUCAAUGUCUCUGUCUUAUUAAUCUAAAAGUCCCCUUUUUUGGGCUCAAAAUUUGCACUAUAAUAGACUGAUCAAGUGCAGAAGACACUUAGUACAAGCGUUAUACUAUAUAUUUCAAGCAACUCACGUACUGAUUAGACAUACAAUUUAAAACAGAAAAAUGAUGUAAAGAUGCAAGUACUACAUAGAAUUUAACAUAGAAAAAAGCAAUAGUGAUAUAAGUGAUACCAUUGGGUGAAAUAUGCACUUAGCCGGAGGACCACCUUUGUGGCAAAAGCCAAAAGGCAGCAAAGGUUACCAUUGUUAUGCAAAUUUUGUGCCUCACAUUGGCGGUCCAUUAUCUGCAUCUUAAUUGUCUUUGGGCUUAUAUAGUCACGGUUUCCCAAUUCUGUCACCAGAAUAAUUUCCUGCUAGGCAUAUAUAGACCAUGGUCCUUGUUUCAUUUAUUUAUAUCGAACUUGUUGCUGAGUGUUCAUGAUUACGAUAAGCAAUGCAAUUUGGUUGAAGCUCUCUAUUCACAGUUUUGCUUAACCGUCCCCAUCCCCAAACAGAACUAGCUGCCUAAACAAACUUCAAUUACAGCUAGGUUUCAUAGAAAAAAAUGAAAAACAGGGGGAAUUGACUUUUUAUCGAACAGGUUUUGGGCAACAUACUAAUCACCCGUGGACACUUUAUUAGCUAGCCUAUGUACAAUUAUGGCAUGACGAUAGAACAAAUGUAACAUGGACAUAAAGAUCGAUCUCCUCAAAAAAUACGCAAUCCAAUUGAACAAAUUUCCUCAAGUUUUCAUCUCCAUUGCAGCUAAAGAAAAAGCAUCCAACACCGAGUUGCUAUUAAUGCUACAAUUAGAUAGAUAUCAUAUUUAAAUCUUUCAACAAUCUUAAAUGAGGACAAUAUAACUCAACUAGCGACAGCUCAGGCCAAGAAUCUUUACUUCUCAGAAAAAAAUUUCCAAGUUGCAGGUAAUUUCUUGACAACGAAAUCAAACAUAAGAGCUUCAUUGUGUUUACCACUUCGAUUUUGGAACAACAUUUGCGCGCCUGAAGUAUCUUCCAGCUUUCCCAAUGUACAGCUCCGAUCUUCUAAUUUUACUCCCUGCCUGCCCUUCCAGAUGUCUUAGCCGAAGGAUUUAAAGUUGAGGUUAGAAAAGAUGAAGAUGGUUGUUUGCGGAGACAGCUUGACCAACAUUCUGGAUUGGCUGAGAUAGAUUGUAUGCGGAGAGGUGAGAGAGAUGAGAAGAAGAAAAUUUUCACCAAGUCCUUUUGCCGGCAAAAUGAAACUUCAGAGUACUUUACCAAGUGUCUGGAGCCAAAUUAAAACGAUGUCAUUUUCUGUCUUUUUUUUUUCUCACAUUUUCCCAAGUGUCAUGAUAGGUAGUCUAAAGACACAUUAUUAUUUUAUAUCAUGAUAAAAUAAAAAAAUUAUAGUACAGAUUAUUGAGUUGGUUAAUAAGUGUCAUGAUACGUUUGGUAUAACGACACAAACCAACAAGUGUCCUUAUAAACAUGUCAGAAAAGGCCAUUUUUGUUGUAGUGCCUGUUGCGUUUUGAAUUUCUUAAAUAAAGGUCUUCUCUUACCCCCAAGCUAAAUUUCACACACGUUGCUCUUAUUCCUAAAUAUUUAGAGCCCAAGCAAGCAAAUAUCUCAAUUCCGUCCACUAAGUUUAUGUAAUGUAGUGUACAAAUUAGCGUCUAAAGCCAUCUCUAAUCGAGUCCGUGUUCUUUUACCGAAUAUUAUUUCUGAUCUCAAUCGGCUUUUAUUCCUGGCCAAUUAAUCACCAGUAAUGUCCUUGUUGCUUAUGAAGUCCAUCAUUAUCUUAAAUGUAAAAAUGCAGGCAAGGAGGAACUCAGGUCGAUUAAAAUGGAUACGAGCAAAGCGUAUGAUCGAGUUGAGUGGAUAUUUCUCUUAAAAAUAUUACUAGCUUUAGGUUUCAAUUCUAAAUUUAUUUUCUUAAUUUUCAAAAGUAUUUCAACAGUUUCUUAUUCUUUUUUGCUCAUCGGUUUGGGAUUUGGCCACUUAAAACCUAGUUGGGGUAUUAGACAAGGAGACCCACUUUCCGCAUAUCUAUUUAUAUUGUGUGCAGAAGCUUUUUACAUUUUAUCUCAGAAGCUAGUCUUUGUGGAAAGUUGGGAGGCAUUGCUGUUGCGCCUGGUGCUUCAUCCAUUUCUCAUUUGUUUUUUGCCAGAUGAUACUCUUUUAUUUGGAAAGCUACAGGGGAGGAGGCUUCAAAUUUUAUGCAGGUUAUCAAUCUUUAUGAAGGUGCAUCAGGCCAGCCGAUUAAUGUGGAGAAGUCAGUGGUGGUAUUUAGCAAGAAUACUCCAGAAGCUGAUUAAUUGGCAAUUGAAUGUUCUCUUCGAAUGCCGCCUGUGGAAUCACAUGAAAAGCACCUCUGGGGUUGCCUACUAUCGUUGAGAGAUCUAAAGGUGAGGUCUUUAAUUCUAUCAAACAAAGGGUUUUUAAACGGAUUAAUGGAGCAGCAGUUAUCUCGAGCAGGAGAAGAAAUUUUAUUGAAUGUCCCUUGUAAAGUUAAGCAUUAUCUCUGGAGAAUUUGCUGUGAUUUCUUGCCUACUAAAGUAAAUCUGCUCCGGAGAAGAGCUUCAGUGGAGCUCAACUGUCUGUCUUGUGGUUUUGAUAUUGAGGAUCUUAUUCAUGCAAUUUCUUUCUGGGCGUUAAGCUGCCUUAAAGGGCAAGUACGUAAGUGGCAGCAAUCAAUUCCCAAAGAGUGGGCUCUGGAGUUGUUAGUUACGUUGAAAAAUCGUGAAGCAGAGUUGUUUGAGAUGUUAUGUUGGGCUAUUUGGCUUGGGAGGAACCAAAAGCUGCAUGAAGAUAAACGAGUGGACCCUUUUGAGUUUAGUUAGCUUUGCUUCGGGUGCGCUCCAAUAAUUCCAAGAAGCUAAUGUUACUCAGAAAUGUCCAGGCGAUGGCAAGUUAAAGUUUAAUUUUGACGGUGUGGUGUUUAAGGAAACUCAAUCUAUUGGUUUAGAUGACGGUGCGGUGUUGAUUUAUCUAGUUUAGACCCUCCAAUUUUUGACAUUACGAGGGACUUAACUAGUUUAGAGAUGUCUAGUAUUUCAGGAAUGAGUAGGAAUCAUAAUAAAAUCACUCAUAUAUUAGCUAAGAUCGCAGAAUUCAUAUGUGAUCAUGUCUUUUGGUGGAGAGAUCCUCCAGAGUUUGUUGUGCCAUUUCUAAUGGCGGAUUUGUUAGAAAGUUAAUGAAAGUUCAAUACAGGUUAUGUUGAGUAAGACGUUGGAUUGAAAAUUCAAGAUUUUGAACUGAAAUUUCAAGAUUUUGAGAUGAAAAUAAAAGAUCACGCUAAACUUAAUGGAUUCAAAUCUUAAUAUGUGCAAAUGCGUUUGAUAACCAAAAUUGGACAUCUGAAUUAAUUAAGUGCUAGUGAAUUUUCUAAACGAAAUUUGUUCUAAAAAAUAAGUGAUAAACUAUGCAUUUAUUACUGAAUGUGAUAUACACUUAAAUAUACUUGAUUUAAUACUUAACAAUCUAAUAAAUUAAUGGACUCAGAUUUUAGAUUUCAAUUUUAUCAAAGUAACCUAAAAAUAUAGACUAUAGAUAAAAUAACUGCAGAUAAUGAUUUAUGUUGAGUAAGCUUUCAAAGCUACGUUUCCCAAAACAAACUUUAGAUAAUCAUUCUCUAAUUUUUGCUUUCACUCUAGAAGAUGCGUACAAUAAUGGGUGUAUACAAAAAUGGAAGUUAAAUUGAUAACACUAAGCUCGCCAAUUCUCAUAAAAAAAAUGAUGACAUUGCCUGCAUUAAUUCUAGUAACGGACUGAAGACAAUAAUUAAUAGGUGACUAUAUGGUGCCUAAGGCACACAAUAAAAUGUGGACUUGGUACCAUUAUUUAUUUUUGUGAAAGGAUAAACCUAUUUUGUAAGGUGUCGCAAUUCAUCAUCAUGAAAUGAGUGGUAAUUUUAAAGCAUUAAUAGUGAAUUCACCUUCAUUUUUAACGUUCAUAUCGCAAAGCCUAUUAAAAAAUUUCCACCAGCACAAAUUCCACUUUUAAUAGGUUCGAAAAUUCACUCACAAAUUUAUCCACAAAUCCCAUUAACAAAAAAAAAAAAAGAAAAUGCAGAAAGUUAUCAACGGAACUUCUAUAGUGCGUUGACGCGCGACACGUGUUGGUUGGAGAUUACUAGAUGGGAGUGGGGUUAAUCAAAGGUGGUAUUUUAGUAUUAAGCCCAAAAACCACCGGUAACAAUGGUAUUGACCCAAUUUCUAGAGGAAUUGACCCACAUAAACUGUGAAAGAUUAUUUUCUCUGUCAUUUAAGGCAAUUUCUGAACAAGAUUUAGGCGUAUAAUAAAGAAAUUAUCAACCCCAACCCCCAAUAUUAUGCUAAUAUGCAAUUGGAAAAAAUUAAAUGAAUAUUUACUUGAAGUUAAGAAGUGGAUACCAAUCGGUAGAAAGUGUUUAUAACAUACUCCGAAAUGCCAAAGGACUUCCCAAAAAGUGGGAAGCAGGACAACAUCUGAAAUAUAGUCCAAGUUUGAAGUGCUUUAUGUCAAACAUAUUUCAAUAUAGAAAAAAAAAAAAUUACUGGUUAGCAUAUGUUUGUGCGCAGUAUUUGUUGAUUGGGAGACGGUUCUAAGGAGGCGGUUUUGCAACAAAUAAGUAAACGGGAUGUCGAUUACUUGGAGUUGUAUCUUAUGCUGGAAAAAUAAUUAGACAUGUCAGUUAAGUAAUAUUUCAAUUUAAAUAAAGUUAGUUAGGAACUAGAACUCGUAACAUGGUUGGAUAUGGUUAGUGAAUAGGAUAUGAAUGUUGGGGGAUAGAAUACAACUAGAAUUACUAAGACAAAUUAAGCGUGACACUUUGAAUUCAAAUUUUACUAACAUUGCAUAAUAACACCUUUGACUGAUAAUUUUUUUUGAUACGGAAACUGGAAAAAUUUUAUUAAGAAGAGGAUAGAUCCGUAUUAAUUGCGAAAGAAAGAAAAAAUGGUGGAGAAAAUCUCCAACUAUAAAUACCUGAAAUAGAACUAGCAUUACUAUCUAAGAAAUGAGCAGGCACAAUUAGAUUCCUAGGAAUCCAAUCAGCCUCCCAAGUAAUGAAAUUCUGUAAACUAACAAAGAUAUCAUCUAACAGCACUCCAUAAGCUGAAUCAUCGGAUUCCAUAUUUUUAAGCAUGUUGAUGAUCUUCAAAGAGUCACCCUCUAAAACAAUCUUAGAACCUUCAACUGAAGUAACGAGGAAAUUGCAGAUAUUGCAGCAUAAGUUUCAGUUACUUCAGGAGAAAAGAUACCUAAGAUUUUGUGAAAAAUACUAGCAACAAAUUUGCCCCAUUCAUUCCUCACAACAAUUCCAACUCUAAAGUUGUCGUCUUCAUAGAAUAUUGCACCAUCGAAGUUUGCACUGCACCAUCGAAGUUUGCCUUUAGAAAUCUUGCAGAGGGCUUUAUCCAAUGAAGUUGAGCAGUGGAAGAGCAUAUUGGAAUGUUUGGAAAUGUGUUUAUUUCAUGGUAUUUCUAUAAGAAAUUGAUAGAGAGGGAGAGACCAAACUGAAAGGAUCACGAUAGAACCAUCAAAUAAUGCAUCAUUUCGGUUAAACCGUAGAUUCCAAAGAAUUAUGGCUACCAAUUCCAUGUCCUGCUUUUUCAAAAGAUGAAGGCCAGACAACCGAGACGAAACUUGAUCGGUAGAGUCUAAUCUUAUCUUUAGUGUAAGAAAGCUAAGGGCCCAAGGUUGAAUUGCUACUGGACAGCACAAGAAAAGAUGAUUAACAUCAUCAAUAGGGGCCUUACAUAAAGAACAAGUAGGAUCAAAAUAGACUCCGCGACUAUUCAACUUGGAAGUUAUAGGUAGAAUGUCUUUGCAAAUUCACCACAAGAAUAUUUUAACUUUACUUGGUAUGUUGAGUUUCCACAAGCAGGGCCAAAUAUCAUCCAUAGAACCAUUACUACAUGAAGCUACAUCUUGUCAAUUUGUAGAUUAUAUUUUGAUAAGAUGAUAGGCAAUUUUCAUUGUGAAGGAGCCAUUUUUAGAAUAGUGCCAAAUGAGCUUAUCUUGAUUUCGUCUAUCACCCAAUGGAAUACUCAUAAUCAACUCAAUCACAUCUAAGGAUAGCAACGGGGGCAGUGCCCGGGGGGGCUAUUGGGGCAGAGGUUGGGGCGGGGGUGGGGCUGGAGCGGGGGGAAUUUUUCCCCCCAUUUAGAAACGGGGCAGGGGGCCCACCCAUUUGGAAAAAAAAGAGAGAUAUAUAUAUGUACAUAAUUAUAUAUAUAAUAGUAUUAUCAAUUAUACAUGUCUAUUAAUAAAAAUUAUUAAUUAUUUAUACUAAAUUUAUUAAUACAUUUAUAUUAAAUUCCUAACUACACUUAAUACAAUAACACUUUUUUUCUAAAAAAAACACAAUAAUAAUUUAGUGAUUGUAUUUGUAUCAAAAGUAAAAACAAUUAUUUUAGUUAUAUUUGUUUUAUCAUAUUAGAUCGUAUUCAAAUAACUUUUGUUUAAUUAUUUUUAUGAGUUUCAAUUGUGAAGUUAUAAUGAAUAAUAAUUUGGUGAUAUGUUGAUAUUUUAGUACUUGAUUACUUGCUCAAAUUUAAUUAUAAUAAAAUUAUAUAAUAAUUUUUUUAACCCCGCGGGGGAAGCGGGGCGGGGGCGGAGGACGGGACGGGGACGGGGGGGAAUUAAUAGGCAACGGGGCGGGGGUGGGGGAGGGGCCACCCCUAAUCACAUCCUGCCAAAAAAGCUCUUGAAGCAAAUCAUAUUUCCAUUUCCUGCUAUUUUCAUCAAUUAAACAAUCUAUAGUGGACAUUUCUAGUAGCACAUCAAAACGAGAUAUAAUUUUGAAAUUAGAAAGACGUGGAAUCCACCUCUCUUUCCAAAUUUUGAUAUGAUUCCCGUGUCCAUCUCACCAUCUACUACCAAAAACACCUUUGAUUGAUAAUUAAAUAGUUAAAAAAAUAUAUCUACUUAAUUUGUUUACUCAAUAGUUAUGUGAACUAAAACAUAAAAAAGAAGGUCAAUUAUUAUAUUAGUGUUAUAUUUGUAAUAUUAGUUCCCUAUAUAGUAGGUUGCCGAGUUGGGCAUAUUUAUAUUCUACCAAGUAAAUGCCCUAUCUUUUCGAAACGUGGCAAAAAAAUUGUGUUUGUUUUUUUUGGUAGAUUUCAUUCUUUUUCUUUUUUGGUAACAAUUAAUUUACUAUUCAUUUUCACUUCAUUAUUUAUAGUAAAUUUCAAUCAAUUAUCAAUUACUUACCUUAUAUGCAUUUUUAUUAAUUAUACCUUUAUUUUUUUUAAUCAACUUAUAGCUUUCCUUUUUAAUUAGGCACUCGUUAAUAUAUGUCUUAGGUGUUAAAUUUUUAGAAAUAUAAGAUGAAUUAGGGAGAGCAUAUAAAUGUAAGGGAAUUAAUUAGAAAAAUAUAUAAAUAAAAGAAAAAGUAGUAAUAGUUGCGUAUAUAUAUGGCAGGUUAGGUGGAAUGCAGGUGUGUUAACGAUUACCCAUAGGGCACCCAUUAGAAAUACUCAUCAAAAUUUGGAUUAAUUUUUUUUCCUUUCAUUGCAAUCAUUACUACCAUUUUUCCUAUCAUUUAUUACUAUACCUUCAUGUUUCUAAAUACCAAUAAAUGUAUUACUCUCUUACUUUUUAUUUGAUUGUGCUAAUUAUAGCUUUCCUUUUACUUAAUCAAUUAGUCAAUCGAUCAAUCAACCAAUGAUUUUAAUUCUCUUUUCAAUCGCACGAUCUUUCUUUUAUCCAUCAUUAGGGAGAUUUACAAUUUAGUCACAUAUUUGUUAUGUGUACAAUAAUUAUGCAAUCAUAAGCACAAACUAAUGCAAUUCUAAUAAUUUUGCAUAUAUGCAUUCAUAUUGUAUUGCAACACCUUUAAUAAUUCAUUAUAUGGUUACAAAAGCCAAAAAAAAUCUAGUAUUACCUAGACCUUAGAUAGUCCCCAAUGUAUACACUGAUACUGUAUAAAAUGAUUUUAAACCCGUUAAUAUAUAUACUGAUUGCAUAUGAAGAUUCAUCCCUAAUUUAGACCUCUUAGAUAGUUUGCAUGCAUUAUAUUCCCUUUUUUUAAUUUCUUAUUUAGUUUACCUUAUUACCAUUUAUGAUUUUUUUUUAAUUUAAGCAACAUCUUCCAAUAUUUUAUCACCAUUUUAAGUUAGUUCAUUUUUAGGAGAUAGUAGUAUAAGUGUGGUAGUUUGUCCAAAUAACUUUGAAUAUGCAUAUACAACCCAAAAAUAAAAUGAUAGUUGUUUAUAUUCUUAUCACUCAACGAUGAUAGUGUUAUGUAAUUUAAAUGAUUGAGAUCUAUUGCCAUCCAAAUAUAAAUUUAAUAUGAGGGUAUGAUAACUAAAAAUGACUAUAGAAUCUCCCUAAAUACUAAAUAAUGCGAAUAGAGAUAUUCCCUCAAAAACUUGUAAAGUACUUAAUGUGUAUACGGGUAAAUUCUUGCAAUAGUGAAAGGAAAAUAUCUUACUAGCCUUGAAAUUUUGGCCCGUGUAUUGACUUUUGUUAGCUAAAUUAAACUAUCUUGGAGUGAAGACAUAAAAUCUGCGGCAAAAUUUGAGAGAGUUGUGAACAUAGCUUAUCUAGCGUACACAUUUUUUUCCGAGUUUGAAUUCUCUCACUUACACGACAAAAAGAAAAAACUAUCGUACAUUUAACUUCCAACUAACAAUGAUGUAUAGGUAAUAAAUUAUAUGCAUGGGAUAUUCUCAUAAAUAAAUGAAAUAUAUUUACACGACAAAGAGUAAAUUCUUAAAUUAAGAAGAAAUAAUAUUAUAGUAGCUGUCAAUUUGUUUAUAUGACUUUUUGGUUUGUCUUUACUCAUGACAACCAAUUAUGUUAUUUUGAUGUAAAAAUAUCCAAAAACGGUUGAAUACAAUGUGGGACAUUAUUAUUAUUACUCGGAUACCUCAAUAUUUAUAAAAUUGAUUAAAUUGGAAUCCAUCUGGAUUUAACAGUAUUUUGAAAAAACUAUUUUUGUUGUUCAAGUCUAUAGUAAUAAACUUUAAAAAUAACCUCAAAAAUAAUUUAAAAAAUACAACAUAUCUCAAAUACAUUAAAAAAUAAUUAAAAAAUUUCCCUAAUUCUUCUUCCCCACACUACCCACUACAACCACCACCACUACCCAUCACUGUCCACUACCACCACCAUCAUCCCCACACCCAUGACCCGUCUUCCUCUCUCCUCUCUCUCUUUCUCCUCUCUCUCUCCUCCCUCCUCCCUCCUUUCUCUUAUUCUCCUUCUCCUUUCUCCUUCCUCCUCUGCCUUGUCUUUCCUCCCUUCUCCCUUCUCUUUCCCCAUCCCCUAAUCCCCCCUUCCCUCUACUGACUGUGGCCUUCUUGGUCUUGACCAGAAAGGUUGCAGCCAGAAGCCGCGACUAGUGGCUUCUGGUUGCAACCAAGGUCACAGAUGGAGUCGCGGUUACCAUCCACGAUUGGGAGAGGUUUGAGGGUCAGAAACGAGAGGGACGGGGGAGAGAAGGAGAAGAAAGAGGAGGGAGAAGGAAGAGGAAGGAGAGAAAGAGAGGGAAAACAGAGGGAGAGACAAGAGAGGAGAAAGGGGGUAACGGCGUUGAGUGGUGGUGGUGGCUGGCGUAAAAUUUUUUAAAAAUACCCCAAAAAAGUUGUAAAUUAUAAAAAUAUCCCAAAAAUGUAUUUUAAAAAGCCCUAAAAAUACCUUUAAAAAAUCCCCCAAAAACAUCUAUAGUACAAGUUAUUUAUAUAUAUAGUUACCGUAAAGUUUUUAAAAGAUACCCUAAAAACAGUUAGUCCAAAUGGAGUCUUGAGUUUUGAGGUUAAGGUUCAAUGAUUGACCACAAUUUAGGUCAAAGUAAAACUUGGCCGAAAGUUUAGUGGGUAAAAUAUAAUUUUAAAAAUUAAUCAUCUUCCCUGAUCCUCACAGUUGCAAUGGUGAACUGUCAGCCCCUUAGGACGUGUUCCAGACGGAACACGCGCAACCGUGGUAGAUUUCGGUCACUCAUGGUCAACUUGGAAGGCUGAAGGUGAACUGGUUGGGAAAAACUUGGACACAUGUUUGAUGAUGUAUUCCAUGCCUAUGUAUGGGUUUGGAAAAGUUUCAGGGCUAGGAAAAUGUCUCUAAAUUAGUGGGGAAAUGAGGGGUGGCUUUACUAGCGGUCCGAAAUUUUUAGCUAGGACUACUAUAGAGAGAGAUAACUAUAACUAAGCCAAGUCAAUGCCAAGGGCUGGGGGCUAAGGCUUUAUGGGUUAUUUUGGAUGGUUCCAAGCAUUUGGAGCUGUGGUGCCUAAGUUGCUAAGUGUUGGGCCAAGUUGGGCACGGAACUAAGCAAAUGGCAAGAAGCUGGGUGUGCGAAACUGUGUGACCAUUGCAUGUGCGCUCCAAAGACGAACGUUGGGACUGUCUGGCAGUUGCUAGUCGUUUGCUGGAGUUGCGGACGAUUAUCAGUCAACUCAGACACGUUCUUAUCGGUUUCCUGACUUCAUGUACAUUCGGGUCGGACCAACGGUUGGGUCUUGUCAACUAUAACAAUGCAUAUAAAUAAAUGGCUAGGUAGGGAGUAAAGGCAGAUAGUGAGAAACACCCUUAGAUGUUCUGCAUGCUAAAUGUUUGUAGAAUUGUCCUUGUAAUCUCUAUAGUGAAAUACAAGGUUGGCCGUUUGAUUGUAACUUGUGCGUGUUGUUCCUUUGUUUUUGCCUAAGUAUUCUAUGUUGAAUACUUGUAUGCAAGUGUCAGUGUAAGGGCUGACUGGAAGCGCGGCUUAUCAAUGCCAUUACAUGCUUGUUAGGCUAGUGAGCGUAAACACCUCGUAAUAGUUUGGUAUCAAAGCACGGCUUUGAUCUAUUAGACUGUGCUUCUGUUAUGUGUUUUGUUGGUUAAUGAUGGUUGGACACAGGAAUUCUGUUGCAAUGCUUGGAAUGGUUGCAAUGUUAGGAACUUGCAUUCGAGGACUUGAUGCAGUGUCUAGGAGAUGGCCUAGAAGGCUUCAAUGUCAUAGAAGUUCUAUUGCAGACUAGAGAGAUGAUCAACACCCUGACUGCACAGAUGGACGAAACCAGGCAGACAGUUUCUUCUGUUGGGGAUGUUGAGAUGCUAAGGAAUGAAAUGAUUGCAUCCCAUGCAAAGAUCGUGGCUUUACAAUCGAAGAUCAAUGUGUUAAAAAAGGCAGUCGGCUCUUGUAACACACAGACCUUUCAAAAAUCUUCGAAGAGGAAAGUGAAAGUCCUAGAUCCGAAACCAUACCAAGGUAGUAGGAGUUCGAAGUAUUUGGAAAACUUUUUGUGGGAUUGUCGAGUAGUACUUCAAGGCUAUUGACAUUCCUGAAGUAGAGAAGGUGUCAAUUGCAUCAAUGUGUCUUAGUGGUGAUGUAAAGUUAUGGUGGAGAACAGUGCAAUCAGACCUACCAAACCCAAGAUCGGUACUUGAGAAGUACUGAAGGAGGAAUUGAAGAAGCAAUUCCUUUCCACGAAUGUUUAAUGAAAAGUUAGAGGUGUAUUGUGAAACUUAAAGGAGAAUAAGAAAGUACAGAGUACGUUACAGAGUUCCAAGCCUUGAUGUUAGAUGUAAGGGAAAUGUCUGAGGAAGACAGACUCUACAUCUUCAUCCAUGGACUUCAACCGUGGGUACAGAUGGAGUUGCGGUGAUAAAAUGUUCAGACCAUGUCUCAAGCACUUGAUACUGUCGAGAAGUUGAUAGACUUCAAGUCCAUAGGAUCCAAAAGUGAAAAAAAAAAAGAAGGGCAAGGAUAAGGCUAAGGGCUCGAAAGGUGGUCAAUUCUCAAAAAAGAAUAAAAAGAAGCAGACAGUAACAACGACCGAAACUAGCGGUGCUUCCUCUUCUAAGAAGAAGCAAACAUCCAACCCUAAAAAGGAUGGCUGCUAUACCUGUGGAAGACCACACUUAACCUGCAAUUGCCUCAAUAAGAAGGACCAGAACGUUAGUGCCUUAGUGGCAGAAGACAAUAGUGACCAGUUGGAGGUCCAGGAUGCACGGGUCAACCCCAUGUAAUUCUUGAACGCCAUCACCGAUACUAAUGUCUGUACUCUUUACAAUGGUUUGAUGUAUGUGCAGGUUACAUUGAAUGGUAACCAUAUAUUGACGAUGGUUGAAACGGGAGCAUCAUAUAGUUCUAUGAUGGAAAAAGUAAUGAGUCGGUUCCGGUUACAGUUGAAAGACUUGGGUUUCAAAAUUGAAGGCUGUAAACUCUGAAACCAAACCAGUGCUAGGCAUGGCGACCGUAGAUUUAGAGUUGGAGCCAUGGAAGGGUUGGUGCAAUUUCAUGGCAAGUCAAAUGGAUGAUUUUGACUUGAUUCUAGACAAAGAUUUCAUAGUUGCAAAUAGGAUCUAUCCAAUUCCGCACUUGGAUGGCGUCAUGGUGAAUGAUGGCUAGAGUCCAGGCUUUGUUCUUGUAGUAAAGUUGCAGAAACAAAAGAACAAUCAACAAAAGAACAUGGUAUCAACGAUAGAGAUUGAGUCAUAUCUUCUGAGGCGCGGUGAAGUUGUGUAUAUUGCUGCAUUGGUGGAAACCAAACCUAACAUGUACCAAGAAGUACCUAACGCCAUGGCCCACGUUCUAGAGAAGUUUACAAAUAUCAUGCCUACAAAGUUUUCGAGAUAGCUUCCUCCAUCCUGUGCCGUGGAACACAAGAUCGAGUAGGUUCCAAGAGCCCAACCACCUGCCCAAACUCCUUAUCGCAUGUCCCCGAUAAAGUUGGCUGAGAAAGAUAUAGUACGCAUGAGAAAGAAAUGACAGUUGUUGUACAUUGUCUCAAGAUAUGGAAGCACUAUCUAUUAGAAACCAAGUUUGUGGUGGUGACUAAUAACAUGGACAAUACUUACUUCAAGACACAGAGAGAGUUGACCCCGAAGCAAGCUCGUUGACAAGAGUUUCUGGCUGAAUUUGACUUUGACUGGAUUCAUAAGUUAGGAAGGGAGAAUGCAGUGGUCGACAUACUUAGUAGAAAGUAUGUCGAAGAAUACAUUGUUGUGCUUAGCACUGUUGAGACGGACUUCAGGGACAAGAUCAAGUGGGAGUCCCCGAGUGACCCAAUUUAUCAAAACUUGGUGUUCGUGAAGUCAAAGUUCGUCGUUAUUGGCUGGAGGAUGACUUACUAUUUUGCCAAUAGUGGUCAAGCAUAUGUUCCAGCAGGAGGGGGACUUAGGCGACAGUUACUACGAGAAACUCACAAUGCUUCUUGGAUUGGUCAUUCUGAAGUUGAACGAAUGCGGGCAUUAUUGUCGCGUAGCUUCUAUUGGCCAAAGAUGGAAGAGGAUAUUGAAGCAUACGUGAAAACUUAUCUUGUUUGUCAACAUGACAAGAUGAGAGGAAGAAGGAGCCAGGCUUGUUGCAGCCUUUGCCGAUCUCUGAUCGACCAUGGCAAUCAGUUUCUAUGGACUUCAUUUCGAGAUUCUCUAAGGUCGAUGGUAUGGCUUUUGUCUUUGUAAUUAUUGACAGAUUUUCUAAGUAUGCUGUGUUUGUUGGUGCACCAAAGGAGUGCUCGGUUGAUGUUGUCGUUGAGUUAUUUUUCAGACAUGUUAUGAUGUAUUUCAGAUUACCCAAAGAUAUCAUAAGUGACAGGGACAUGAGAUUCAUAGGUAGAUUUUGAACCGUGAUGUUCGGGUUGCUAGGUUUCGAACUGAAGUUCUCAACUGUCGCAUACUCUUAGACCGAUGGACAAACGGAGAGGAUCAAUAUCUUGCUAGAAGAAUACUUAAGGCAUUACGUGACGACAAGUUAGAAAAAUUGGCUGGAGUUGCUGGAUACUGCAUAGUUUUACUACAACCUGCACAAGUUAUUCGUAACUAAGUUGAGUCCAUUUGAGUUAAUGAACAGGCAACAACCUCUGACUUCACCUGAAGUUGCUCUUCAAGAGUUAGUUUGUUGAUGACACAACAACGCAUGAAGAAGUACGCAGACCAACAUAGAUCGGACUUAGAGUUCCAACUGACUCCCUAGAUUUGAAAAAAAGUAAAUAACAAGACAGUCCAUCGUGGGAUCAUCCAUGAGUACAAUAGACCAUUUGAGGUAAUCAAGAAGGUGGGUCAUAUAGCUUAUCGUUUGAAACCACUUGACAAACUCAAGAUCCACCUGACCUUCCAUGUGAGUUUUCUGAAACCCUUUUACCAAGACGAGAUGGAUGGAGGACGGAGGGAAGCAAAGUGUGCCUCGCCAGUGAUCCACAAGCAAUUCCAGAAUGAUGUGAAGGCUUUGCUGGAUUACAGAAUGAUGGGACAAAGAAAAAAGAAUAGAUGGACAAACUAUCUGAUCCAUUGGAACGGUGAAACAAAAUUAGAUGCUACUUGGGAACGAGAUGUUACCUAGUGACAGUUUCAAGAUAAGAUUGUUGAGUACUUGAAGAACGUGCGAAAGCAAACCAAGUUGACGAGGGCGUCAACCUCUUCAGGUGGGGUGGUUUAUCAGCCCCUUAGGGUGCGGUCCAAACGAAAAGUGCACGACCGUGGCAGAUUUCGGCCGAUCAUGGUCAAGUUGGAAGGCCGAAGAUAAACGGGUCGAGAAAAGUUUGGACACAUGUUUGAUGAUGUUUUUCAUGCCUAUGUAUGGGUUUGGGAAAGUUUCAGGGAUAGGAGAUGUCUCUAAGUUAGUGGGGGAAUGAGGGGUGUCUCUACUAACGGUCCGAAGUUUUUAGCCAGGAAUACUAUGUAGAGGAAUAACUGUGACUAAACCAAGUCAAGACCAAGGGCCGGGGGCCGGGGGCCAAGGGUGUGGUACGACUAGACUUUGUGGGUUAUUUCAGAUGGUUCCAAGCAUUUGGAACCGUGGUGUCUAAGUUGCUAGGUGUUGGAGCAAGUUGGGCACGAAACGUAGCAAAUGGUGGGAAGUUGGGCGCGCAAAAUCGUGCGACCGUUGCCUGUGCUUGCAAAGACGAACGUUGGGACUGUCUGACAGCUGCUAGCCGUUGUUGGAGUUGCGGAAGGUUACCAGCCAACUCAGACACGUUCUUAUCGAUUUCCUAACUCAUGUGCAUUUGGGUUGGACCAAUGGUUGGGUCUUGUCAACCGUAACAAUGCCUAUAAGUAAAUGGCUAGGCAGAGACUAAGGGCAGAUACUAAGAAACAUCCUUAGAUGUUCUGCACGCCAAGUGUUUGUAGAAUUGUCCUUGUAAUCUCUAUUGUGAAAUACAAGGUUGGCCGCUUGGCUUUAACUUGUGCGUGCUGUUCCUUUGUUUUGUCUGAGUGUUCUACGUUGAAUACUUGUGCACAAGUGUGAGUGUGAGGGCUGACUGGUAGUGCGACUUACCAGUGCCAUUACGUGCAUGUUUGGCUAGCAAGAGUAAACACCUCGUAACACGAACACUGGUCGCCCAUCUUCAACCACCAUCUAACACUUCUUUUCAAGAUCAAUUCUUGCCUAACACUCAUUUUAUUCGCUUGAGUCAUGAUUAUGGCAUCACUUUUCUUCAGUUUAAACCCUUUGACGAUACAAAAAUAAGGUCACAAUUGAAAUUCUGAUUCGAAAAUUUGAAACUUUCGGGAUUGCCUCCUGCUAUGGGCUUUUCUCAAACUCGAUCAUAUGCCCGAACAAAUUCAUCAACCAACACUCACUCUGCCCUUGGGGCACCCAAUUAACCCCUUUAAAACAAUUUUGAAGACACCCGAAACUAGGGUUGGGCAAAAAUACUUGUUAAUCCAAAAAUCUGACAUAUCCGAUUCGAUUCGAUUCAACAAAUAGGGUUCCGGUGUGUAUUAUUUGAUCGGGUCAAAAGAAAGUUGGAUAAUUACUUGUAUGCGGCGUUAGGUGGAGUCACCUGAUUAAGAAUCCGUGGGAACCCGACCCUUCCCACAUAUAUAUUUUUUAUUUUUACACACAUAUUACAAAAUAAUACUUUUGGAGCUAAAUAAGUAAUUUCAUUAAACAAAAUACAUUAUAAAUAUGAAAAAUAAAGUUUAUUUAUAAGAUUCAUUUAUAGAUGUCAUGAUUUCUUUUUUUUAAGGAAACAGUUUAAUUAAUAUAGAACAUAUAUUUGUAAAAAGGUACUAUUUAUUUGAAUUUUCAUUGAUUUUGAAUUCUUUUAAUUUUCUUUUCUCGUAUUCUCUUUGCAUGUUCAUUUUUUAUUGAGAAAAAAUCUUUAUUAAGUUUUAGAUGAAUAUUCAAAAUACAAAAUUAAAUUACUAUAAAUUAUUUUUUAAAACAAUUAAAUGAUAACCAGCGUGAUGCAAAUAUCUGUUAACUCAACCCUACUUUAAUGGAAACCCACUCAUAUACGGGAUGGUUAAAGGUCAAAAGAUAGCUGUCUUGCAAGGUACGGGUCUAGUCAGCCAAAUGAAGCAUAGAACGAGUACUACUUGACUUGUACCUACCCCUACCCAAAACAAAUCUUAAUAAUCAUAAAAUAGCAACCUGCACUUGCAAAAUCCAAUUUUCAAUUUUCUCCUCAGAAUUUAGCAUCAAAUUUUACAAAAAUUACACAAAAACAAUCCAAUCAACAAAUAAAUACUCAAGCAUUGAAUUGACAUUAUACUGUAUUUGUGCAGCACCGAAUUGACAUUAUCUGACUUGUAUGUAUGGCAAAAUAAAGGAACUAUGAAGAGGAUGGGAAGGAGGGAGAAGGAUGCUCAGAGUAAGGGAGGAGAUGAAUCGGAAAAUUUAGAUAUUUUUUCUUUUUAUUUUCUAUAUUUUCUAUUAACCGGAUUUAUAGGUAACUAGAGCUGUUAAUCGAACCGAAUAACUCGCGAGCCGAGCUCGACCCGGCUCGACAAGGGCUCGGCGCGGCUCGUUUACAGAGAGAAACAAUCCGAGCUCGAGCUCUACUCAGUAUUCGUUUAAUAUAUGCUCGGCUCGUUUAAGCUCAGUAGGCUCGAAGAGUAGGGGCAUUAACAUCAUUUUAUUGUGUAUGUGGUACUCUAACCUAAGUCAUUCUCCCGUUUGUAACCAUAAUUUUUCUUUCCUCUUUUGGUCUUACCUUCUCCCGUUCCACAGCCGUAGCCACAGUCGCACGCCCGCACCCUUCAUUUUUACCACCGUCACCGAGUCACCAUUCACCAAUUCAUCCAUCAUCUCACCUCCAUCAGGACCAUCACCUAUCCGUCCACUAUCUCACCGCCAGGCGCUAUCCCUAAUUUUUUCUUUCCUCUUUCGAUCUUUCCUUUUCCCGUUCCACAGCCGCAGCCGCACCCUUCAUUCUUACCACCGUCACUGACUCACCAAUCCAUUCAUCUCACCUCCAUCACCAAUCCGUCCACCAUCUCACUGCCAUCAUUCAAUCCACUUCUCGUGAAUCCGUGAGCAGCGCCAUACGGAGCCACCUUGAUAAAGCCAGGGGCCUCUACCAUAUCCCGAUUCCUUGCAUAAUCUGGUAACCAUUUCUUCUCAAUUUUUGCAAUUUAUUUUGGUUUUAAGAGGUUGUGUGGGUUUUGGUUAAUGGUGGAUAGCCCCGUAUCCCAUAUGGCUUCCCCGUAUCUCGUUGGCUUCCUGUGUUUUAUCCCGAAUUUCACCUGCACGGAUUGCUUAUGCAUCGCUUAGUCGAUUUUUGGUUUCAAAUAGCAUGUCUUUUACCCGUUAAAUAGCCUUUUUUUUUACCCAUUGUUCUGGAUUGUUGCAUAAGUGUCAAAUUUCGCCUGAAAUGCUCACAUAUUCUUCGAUGAGAUUACGUGUAUCACUACUGCGUUACCUUCCUUCGACACCUGAAGCUGGAGUUUGACGUUUCAUUUCGUUCAGACCAUGGAAUAGUUGCUGCGAUUAAACUUAUGUCUCUAAGAAAAUAAAGAAGGAAACAUCACUUUUUGUCUCUGUGCUCUUUGAUUUCUGCAUUUUCUAAUCCAUGUUAUAGAACUGACUGUUGAUGAUACCAAACAUUUUGUUAAAAGAAAGCCAAAGUAUUCAAUUCCCAUACAUUUAACUCUUCCUGGUUAAAAUGUAACUUCCUCUAUUGGUGUCCAUAAAUUUCCUCGAAAAAGCUUGCGAAUUGCAAAAGUUUCCACCAGUCGUCUUAAAAUGGCACUCUAAACCGUCUGCUAUGAUACUUCUGAUAAGCACAGUUAUACUGCCAGGAAGGGCAAGUAGGUAUGCAUCAUGGACCAUGAAAAUGCCAAUUUCCAGAAAUCAAUUACAGCUUUGACGAGUUGCAAACUUCUUGGACUAUGAAAAUGCCAGUUUCUAGCAAUGAAAUGAUAGCUUUCACGAUCUGCAACUUCUUAUUGAUUAAUGAAUACUGAAAAGUACGUAUCAGCCCAAUCUUGCCUCUCUUCGUAGUACCUGGAAAAGAUUUAACAGUCAACCAUAAGUGACAGAACUUUAACAGAGCUAGCCAUAUAACAAACAGUGGACAAAACUUUAACAAAGCUAGUCAUUUUCUUUUCUUUAGAAUGUGAUAUUUCUUCAUGUUUUGCACUUUUGUUUAAGCUUGACAGUGAAAACAUUUUUCAACCUAGAAAAUUCUGCAAGGCAAAACUUUCUUCAUUUUAGUUUCUUCAUUUCAGCAAAAUUAACUUUUUGUUUGGACUUCCAUUUUAAGAGUUUUUCACUGUUAUUUCAUUAAUCUGAAUGUAAGCUUGAGAAUUGAGAUAGGAACAAGUUAAAGAAAUGUUAAAACUGGCUUGAAGUGGGCAUUAUUUCUUGGAAUCUGUUUUAUUACUUUUGUACCUUAUUUCUUAGAAAUGUCAUUCUAAAUAUCUAUUUUGGCUAAUCAGAAUCUGUAUUGGUUAUUAAAUGUGUUUUGAUUAAGGAAUGUACAGCUCUCCAUUCAACUCAUUUCAAGGUUCAUCAUCAAGUCCUGUGAUGGAGCAAAAUAAUGAAGACGUGAACAAUUGAACUACAACGAAAAAAGAGCUGAUGAGAUGAGUGAAAAAGAGAUAGAAAUGAUAAAAAAUGAGGGCAAUGAAGAACGACAGCAAGAGAUGGAGAUGAAGGAGCUGGUCCUUUUGAGAAAAAACAUAGGAAGAAGAAAUCUAGCAUAUGGGAUGAAAUGACAACAAUAGUGCUAGAUAAUGGGAUGGUCAAAGUGAAAUGCAACAAUUGCAAGGAACUUUUUGUCAAGAGUGCAACCGAAGCCAUAUCUCAGCACAAGAGACACUUGAAUUCUUGCCUACAAAGAAAGAUAGCCAUUGGAAAGCAAAGCAAACAAAAGCAACAAGUGUUGUCAUUCAUCGAAGGCCAAAGUAAUGGUAUCACUUCCAUCACAAAUUUCUUGUAUGAUCAUGCCAAGGUAAGAGAGCUUGCAUCACACAUGAGUACCCCUUUUCUAUGAUAGAUCAUGUAGUUUUCAACAAAUUCAUGAAAGCGGCUUCUCCAUUUUAUAAUUGUUAAGAAAGAUUGCAUUAGUACUUAUACAAUUGAAAAAAGGAACCUGAAAUCAUUGUUGAAAGGUGCUGGUAGGAUUAGUAUUACCACAGAUUUGUGGACAUCUGGUCAAAAAAAUUCAAUAUAUGGUUGUGACUAAUCAUUUUGUUGAUUUUGAUUGGGUGCUACAAAAACGUGUGUUGAAUUUUUGCAAUGCUCCUCCUCCUCAUACUGGAGUUAUUAUAGCUGAUACUCUAAGUAAGUGCUUUAUUGAUUGGGGGAUUGAGAAUAAGGUUUCUAACAUAACUGUUGAUAAUGCUUCAUACAAUGAUGUGUGCAUUAGGAGACUUAGAGAGGAUUUUUCUCCAAAAAAGAGAUUAAGUAUUGGAGGAAAAAUUUUCAUGUUAGAUGUUGUGCACAUAUACUUAAUCUCUUAGUGCAAGAUGGUCUUGGUCAACUUGGUGGUGUGAUUGAUGUUGUUAGAGAAUGGAUAAAGUACUUGAACAAUUCUGAAUCUAGGCUUCUUGAAUUUGCCAAAAUUAAAAAACAGCUUCAAUUGCCCUCUAGAAAGCUAAUUUUGGACUGUCCAACAAGAUGGAAUAGCACCUAUUUGAUGUUAGCUUCAGGUUUAGAGUUCAAGGAUGUUUUUUCAAGAUAUGCAGACAUUGACCCCGGAUUUCACUAUGUUUUUACUGAUUUUGAGUGGAUGAAAGUGAAAGAAGUGUGCAAAUUUCUAGGAAUAUUUUAUGAAAUCACUGAUAUGAUUUCCGGGUCCGAGUAUCCAACGGCUAACAUUUUCUUGUGGAGCUCUAUAGGAUUAAAGAGCUUUUAAAUGAUAAAGCUCUUGACCCUUUUUAGCAUCUUCGGGUUAUGGCUGGAACUAAAUUUGAUAAGUAUUGGGGGGAAAGUAAUGUACUGCUAUCUUUGGGUGCAAUUUUGGAUCCGAGAUACAAAAUAUUUCUUAUUAAUCAUACUUUUCCGGUGAUUUAUGGUGAGGAUGCAGCUCCUAGAUUCGUGGCUGAAAUUAGAGACACUCUUUAUGAGCUUUACAAUGAAUAUGUUGAUUGUCACAUAGUUUCCCAUUCUGAACAAUAACAGAGGCAGGUUGUAAAAGGGAGACAAAAUGAAGGUUCUAGUUCUUCUAGUAAGAAACAGAAAAUGACUGGACCUGCCGUUUUAACUAGUAAAGAAAAGUUGCACAUGCAUGUGAGUGAAAUUAACAGGGCUCCACCACAAAAAUCAGAUUUAGAUGUUUAUUUAGAGGAAAGUAGGUAUUGUGACGCCCCCACUUCUCCUUAAGGUGAACCAAAGAGUAUCCACGGGACGCCUGCCCAACUCUUACCAGGACUCGGUACAAUUUCCGUUCAACCUUAUUACAAUACUAGCUAUCACGACAAGAUGAAGUAAAAAAGAUAAAGUCGCUUCUAUAAAUAAUAUUCAAACUUACACCACGAGUUCCAAAAUACAUCAAAUUUCCAAAAUAUACAACUGCCAAAAGUCUAGUCGAUUACAUUUGGAACCCUAAUACAAAAGUACAACAAAAGGAUUUCUCCGAGUUUCACUCCAUAUCUAUGCCUGUUAAGGAAAACAAAUCUACGGGGUGAUCAAUUGCUCGUGAGGCCAAAAAACACACAUACAAGCACGUUGUCCAAUUAACAAGAAAACGAUAAUAUUCGAGUAAUUAACAAUUCAAGCGGAAUGUAAACAGAAACAAUUCAAGGAUAUGGGAGCUCUCAGGAGCUAUUGUCCACUGGCACGAUCAAGAACCUCCACGAGUUGACACUCCGUCAAUCGGGUAGGUCAUAGUCCGUAGAAGCUUCACUUACGCGUUCCCCGUCCACCAUACAUACCGCACCGGGCCCGAACAUCAUUUACAAGGUGAUACUCCACGAGUAUGUCAAGCGAGAUCUUUCAAAUAGAUCAAACUUAUCAUGUUAUUCUCAUGACUCAUCGAGAUUCCCGACCAAACCCAUGCCGGCUCGAGUUCCAAGGUCGACCUAUGAGUUUGGACCCCCAUGUAACAUUUGUGAGUGGAAGAGAUUCACUCCAACGAUGUAUGCAGUCAUAGCAUACUAUUUCAUGUCAUUCAAGCAUUCGAUACAUUCAAUCAUUCAUUUCAUCCCAUUCAAGCCAUUCAUGAUCCAUUCAUUUCAUUUCAAUUAAUUCAAUCAUGAGUCAUUCAUUUCAAAUGAGAACGGGUGCGGUAAAAUACACACUCGACUCCAUUUUCAAAAUCUCCAAUCAUUAAUAACAGUUAAGCAUGUAUCAAGUUCCCAUACACUUGACACUCACCAAGUAAUUCAAGAAGUAAAGCACAAGCGGUUGUUUAGGCGUCUCCUGUGAGAUCCUCUUGAAGGUCCUCUUGAGUGCCUGAGUAAUAAUAAUGAACUAUUACACACUAUCAUUUAAAACCCCUACUUAUCGAGAAAGAUUGCACUCGUGUACAAUUUAAGAAGAUAUUAUGAGGAUGAGCCUUAAUUACUCGUAAAUCGAGGCUCAAAAGUGGGGUUUUAAUAAUACAAGGAAAUUCGAUUUUCAUCUUUGAAAUCAAAUGUAAAACGAUCAAGCAAUAUCGAGGGAAAAUGGUGAGUUCUAAAAACUCAAUUUUCUUUAAGUUCGGAAAUUUCAGAUUUGAUAAGCAAUUUUUGAAAAAUCGUAUCUCAUUCUCUAUAGGUCCAAAAUUGGAAAACUUGGUACCGUUGGAAACUACUUCCAAAGUACUAAAAGUUCUUAGAAGACAUUUUUCCAUGAUUCCAAAUGGAUGACAUUCAAAAUUCGGUUCAAAGUUGCUGUUUUGGGCUACCAAGACAAUUUCGGCAAAAUUCGGCAAAAUGUGAACUAGCCUCUGCAAUUUGGAAUUCAAUUAUAGUUACAAACAAAGUUUGAAACGCAAGAAACAGAACAAGAAUCGGAGUUUUGAGUGCCAAGAUAUAGCAGCUCAAAUUUGCUGAAAUUUUCUCACUAAAUAAGGAUUUUCCAGAUUUGAAACAUGAAAUUUGGGAUUUCAGUUGAGUAUCGAAAUGGACUUGGAAUGGCACCAAAUUUGGUAGUAUUACCCUACCAUAGAAGGGCUAUUCCUCUGUCAAAUUUCAUACAAAAAUUCUUAUGGAAGGUCAGUUAACAAAGCCGCUAAAGUUCCAAGAAUUUCCAAGGCAAAUCUGCCUUGUACUUCCGUUUUACUUUUUCAAGCAUUUGGCCAAUGAAAUCUUCUCAAACAUGGUUCAUUUAUAAAGACAAGAUCUAAGAAACAUCCAAAAUGUGUUUGGUAGGUGAUUAAUACCAAGAGUUCCAAAAUAAUGACUCCCAAUUCGAGUUAAGGCAUUCAACUAGCCAAGAUUAGGGUUUCCUUUCACUGACACAGGUCUGGAAUUUGGCCACAACUCACUCAAUUCAACUUGGAAUUAGACAUGAUCAGUGGCGUUGGAAACUAAAUUCAUAGGGCUAUAAUUUCUCAGAAAAAAUCAUUUUGAAAUUCUGUCCAUAACUAGUUCAUAUUCUAGCAACAAGUUGCAGCACACAACAGGUUUUCUAACACAGACGAGAAACAGGGCAGGUGACUUUGAAAGGCUGGUACGGUUCACUCAAGUGGAAUCAGGGGAUGCAUUUUAUACUGUUAGAAAACUGGAAGUAUCUAGUUUCUAAUUCCGCAAAUGGAACUCGAUUUUGAUGUCGGAGAAAGAGUUAUUGUCGUUUGAAAUUCGCUGCCAGAGCAACUCUGGACAUGUUUUCCAACCAUGAAGAAAUUUCGAAAUCCAAACAUUUACCCAACCAAAUCAAGUGAUUUUUGGUGGAAACUUUUCACACAACCUAUAAAACAUAUAUACACCGAAAUCAAGUCAAUUAGAUCACAAAAAAUUGCACCAAGAGGCGCGGCAAUGACAGGGCAGAUCUGGCCCUUCUUCCAUUUCAACUUCCUUUGAGUUUCUUUCCACUCUUUCAACUUAAAUCCACUAGAUUAACACUUAAUCAACAUAAAUAACACUCAAAAUCAUCAAAUCAGAUGAUCAAGUCCAUUGUGGGAUUUCAUAGAGCCUACUCACAUGAUUUUCAACAAUCCAAAGCUACCCACAUGAAGCUACAAGCUUCUAAGUGAAAUCUAACUUACAAAAGCUAAGAUUUAAAGGGUGGAUGAUCAUUACCUCUUAGAUGUUGCUAGAGCAGAAAUUUUGGUCCUUAGAGCUCCAAGAAAACCGUGAGAAUGAAGCUCUUCUCCUAGCUGAAGAUGAUCUCCAAGUUAUUUGCAAGGUGUGGUAUGAAUUUGAGAGGAUUUGGUGCAAGAUUGAGAGACGAAAUGGUGAAAAAACUUGGUCUUCUUCUCCUUGGUGUUGCACGGCUGCUUGAGGGAGAGAAAGAGAGAGUUGUGGCUGAUGGAAAGCUUCUCUUGGAAGCUUAAGAGUUUGUGGCCAAAAUUACUCCAAAAGUCAACUAAGAAUAGUGCAUGUACGCGCGCGUUUCGUGCUCGUUUCCUCUUGGAUUUGUUUCACUUGUGCACUAAACCUCUAAUGCACUUCCAUUCAUACUAUUAUUAUUCACUUUUAAUAGUCUAAAAAUAAAGGUCUAAAGUCCCUCAAUUAAUCGCGCGCGCGAAAACACGUACUUCCGUUUUGUGCGCGAUAGAGUAAAAUUUCUAAGAAAUUCUUACAAUGAUAUUAUAACUGACUAGUACUUGAGUACUUAAACAUAAAAAUACCUAUUUUGAAACUAAUGUAUGAGUCUUCAAUCUCCAAACUCACUGUACCCUCAAAUCGAUUAUUGUCUCCAAACGCACAUUCACUAUUCUCACUAAACGAGUUUCUAAAAAUUAAAUUUUUGCAACAAGUCAUUUUAAAUAUAUAUAUAAGUCAUAAUUCCAUGUAAUUGAGUCUAAAAAGGUUGGAAUAAAAUAUUCGGAGCAAACAGACAAUUAAAUAUUUAAAUAAGCUAGUAAUAGAAAUUUAAAAUAAGUAAAUUUGCGGGUCCUUACAGGUAUGCUUGUGAUGCAAAUGCAAAUUUGGAUGUUUUGGGUUGGUAGAAAUAGGAAAGAUUGAGAUUUCCUAUCUUGUCGAGGAUGGCUGCCGAUAUACUCUCCGUUCCUGUUACAACUGUGGCUUCAGAAUCUACCUUCAGCGCCGGAGGUAGAGUAAUUGAUGAUCGACGAGCUUCUAUGUCAAUUGAGACGGUGCAAAUAUUGCUUUGCGGCAACGAUUGGAUCCGCAGUCUUCAUGGCCUAAAGAAUAAGUCUCGCGUUAAGUAAUUGAUUAGAUGUUUUUGUUGUUGUUACAGUUUCUUUAUAUCUGAUUUUAAAGAAUUUUAUAACUUUCAUACUUUUGUUUUGUAGGAAUCACUUGAUGCGACCGAAUCAAUCACAUUUGAGGAAGUUAAACUUCCCGAAUCAUUCACAACCUGAUUUGGUGGCUGUUGAUGUUGCUUGGUGCAAACUGAUUCAUUCACAUGUUGAUUUCGUUGAAGACCUAAAGAAUAAGUCUCGCGUUAAGUAAUUGAUUAGAUGUUUUUGUUGUUGUUACAGUUUCUUUAUUUUAAAGAAUUUUAUAACUUUCAUACUUUUGUUUUGUAGGAAUCACUUGAUGCGACCGAAUCAAUCACAUUUGAGGAAGUUAAACUUUCCGAAUCAUUCACAACCUGAUUUGGUGGCUGUUGAUGUUGCUUGGUGCAAACUGAUUCAUUCACAUGUUGAUUUUGUUCAAAAGCUGCAUCGUUCACAACUUGUUUUCACCCAAGAAAGUUAUUUUUAACUCUUGGUCUAGAGUGUGGACAUUUUAGAAACUGCUUAAAACGUAUUGAUGGCUGAUCUUUAAUUGUUUGGACUCUUUUAUGUAAUUUUUCAUUUUGUAAUCUGAUCUGGUCUGCUGCCGAGUUUGGACAUUUUAUUCCUCCAUUUGAUAGUUUGAGCUGCAAUUUUAACUUCUUUUUUGCUACUCGUGCUUAUGAUGCUUCUGUUUUGCGUUGUCGAAUUGAGUGGAUGAUAUAUUAGGGAAUGUGUUGUUCUCUUUUUGUCAAACUAAAUAUGAGUGUAGAAGAAGCUGAUAUGCUAUCUUACGUAAACGACUUAUGAAGCUCGAAUUACUAAUCGAGCGAGCUCGAACUAGCUCGAUUAGAUGUUCGAGUCGAGCUCGAUUGUCGUGUGCUCGAGCUCGACUCGGCUAGUUUAACAGCUAAGGUAACAUGCAUCAAAGCAGGCUUAUUCUCUUAGUACUUUUUUUUUUUUUCUUUUUAUAAAACACAGGUGCAUUAACGCACGACAGAAGCACCCUAUCAAUCUAAGAUCCCAGCUUGCUUGUAGCUUUCGAUAGAGUCAACAAGAGUUUCUUCCACUGGCCUAUACCUCCAGCCCAGCCUCUCCAAUUUUUCUGAGCUAAUAUUCCAUCGGCUUUGAUCCUUCACCUCUAUAAGUCUGCGAAGAAAUGAGUUAUAUCAAAAAAAUAUGCAGACAACAUAAAUGGUUCUUGUAGAGACUCGUAGAUGCCACACUUUUGGAAAUGGAAAUCAUGACGGACAUGAACAAACAAGAAAAUCAGGACAAACGGGGUGUCUGAAAAAUGAGACAAUUAAUUUCAAAGAUGGUAAUCCACCUCUUAGGGUACUUGUAGUUGGCAUAGUUUUUCCUCAGAGUUUCCACCAUAUCUUUUGUCGUGGUGACGUGAGGUGAACAUAUGUACCGGCCUUCAGCUUCAGGUCUCCCGUAAACCAAAAGCAGUGCCUCGGCCACAUCACGCACAUCUACUGUGUUGUAGAAUUUGUUUUCUGUUUCUUCACAUCCGUCUGUGCAGCCAAGGAGUGAAACAAAAGAGCAGUUUAAUCUCAAAAAAGGAGAUGUUAUCUGUGCUAAUCUCUGAGUUCUUUACUGCAUAUAUGAAACCUACAAUCCCUUUGACAAAUAGUACAGCAAUAAAUUCAUGGGACUUUUGAAUUGCAAAGGACCUACAGGUCACAAUGUUAACCUUUUAUAUCUUCAACAAUGCUCCAAAGCAAAUCAAGCAAACAGUUGAAAGAUGCAACCUCUUCAGAUGUUAUGCCUAUUGUCUGUCUCAUCUUCCAUUAGGUCAAACUCACACAAUUUUCACAUCAAUAAAAUUUGAAUCGCUUGUGCAUGUGUCUGGAAAGAUUACAUUAGCACAAUUUAGUAUUUUUGGCAGCACUGCUCGUUUAAAUUUCCCUGCCAUCAAGCAGAAAAUUUAAUUCCAUUCCAACAGUAAAAGCCAAACACCACAAUCUUAGUUUUUUUUAGAUAACUUUGCAAGUUUUUAGAGCAUUGCCAAAAUCAUAAAACUAUCAGAAUGGCAGAUAGCUUACAGGUUUAGAAUCUGAAAACCUCAGCUGGCUUGAAGAUUAAAUAAAAAUGCCAAAAGACGGCAAAGCAGUUAUCUCCAUGAAUGUAGUUUCAUUCCUAGAAGGUCAACCGCAACCAGAUAGACGGAUUUUGUGAAAUUUUAUUGGCAUCAAUUCAUUGUGUAUCAUGUAAAUAACACUGGAAGCCAGAAGCAUAAAAAUGAUGGGUUACUUGGAAAAUUAGCUGAUCAACCACAUGAAGAAAUUCAAUUGUUUGACCUUUCAAGUACAAAAAAAGGAAAAAAUUGCUAAGCUUUAGAGGUCAUCUGAGUUCUAGAGUGACAUCCAUGCUCACUUAGGCACAAACCAAUAUCAAGGAGAAAACUGUAUCAUUUACGACCACUUCCAUGCAGAAGGUGAAAGAAAGAAAAAUAAAAUAUAACAUAACGGAAUAAGUUCUCCAAUUGACUACAAAGCACUAAUAAAUCACCUUUCAACAGCUUUAUAAGAGCCACACUGCUAGCAUUCACAUCAUGCUGAAGCAUGGGGCCGAGAACAAAGGAUGGGCAUACAGUUAAAACAUCAAGGCCAGUUUCUUUUGCAUAUUGUAAUGCCUCACUUUCAGCAACCGUCUUGGAGUAACAAUACCAGUUCUGGAGCAAUAUUAGUACUAGAUGGUCAGCCAGAAACAGAUAGUAGUUGCAAAAAUCUGAUUUCUCAGCAAUCUUAGAAACAGUAUGAAUAAGACAGUGAAUUUUCUGCACAAUUACAACACCAAGGUGCAACUGCAAAAAGUCAAAUUAUGUUGAUGCAUACAUUUGUUGCCUUGCAGUAUUCGCCGUCUGACCAACACUUCUCAUCUAUGAUUUCACCUUCAGGCAGAUUAGGACUCAUUACAACAGCUGCAGUAGAGGAAACAACUACAACGCGCUUGACAUUUGCUUCAGAACAAGCCUUCAGUACAUUAAGGGUACCCUUUACAGCUGGCUCAACAAGUUCAACCUGCAACAAAUCAUCAUGUUGGCAGAGGUACUAGCACUCAACUCUGCAUGCUAAACUGCUUGUUUUUGCGUAAAAUAUAUCCAGAUAGACAGCUAAGUAGUGUCAGUUAACCUGACAUCUUUAGAGUGAAUGAGUACAUAGUUAAAAGACUCAUGACUGCUUAUGCCUGUGAUUUAACUUGGUUACCAGCAUAGGUUAUUAUUAUAUGCAUUUAUUCACUCAUUUCAACAUUUGAAAAAUCCUUCCACGAAAUGAUAGAAAGACAAAGAGCCCCAGUGACUUCAUAAGUUUGUACAAACGCUUUAACAAGGUUCUAUUUUAAACGAUACCCAACUUUAGCUCAUGUUUGGCAAAACGCAAUAAAAUAUUAUCUGUUAUGACAAAAGCUGUCUCAUAAACAAAAGAUAUGUUAAAAAUGUUAUUCUGGGGAAACCAAAAGGAAGAAAUAUCAUAGCAAUUGAAACGAUUGAAAAUGGUCUUGCCUCAGGAUUGGGAACAGAGCCUGAAGGAACAGGACUAGCUACAUGAAAUACGCCAUCACAACCCCUGAUGGCUGCAGAAAUGGAGUUGUAAUCCAGCAAAUCAGCCUUAAAGAGUUUCAAAUUCUCAGCUGCUUUGUCAAGUUUCUUCAGAUGAACAUAUUUCUCAUCGUCUACAAAACAUACACAGCAAUGCCCACAUCAUCAAGUAACGAAGCACACAAUUCACAGCAGGUGCUUUUAUAUAUUUCUUCAAUUAAACAUAUUUCUCACCCUUCACAAAACAUUUACUGCAAUUCCCACUACAUCAAAUAGGAAACAGCCAAUUGACAGCAGGCAAAAAAUCAAUUGCGGUAUUAAAGGGAAUGAAACAAUCAUACAAUACCCAAAACAAAAACAAAAAAAAAAUGAGUAGUAAAUCAGGAAGGAAGGGUUAUGAGGAUGAAAUACGUACUGGGAUUUCUGAGGGUGGCAUGAACAGUAUAAUGGCGGGAAAGGAGUAGCUUGACUACCCAAGAUGCCAGGUAUCCCCCUGCUCCUGUAACACACACUGUCCUGUCCUUCUUAGCCUCCCACGCUGCCAUGUCUGAUUGCUUACCAGUAGCAGUAGCGGGAUUAGUAUUUUAGCACCAAAUUCACUAUAGACUGAUCAAGAAGGUGGGUGAAGUUCUAUUCUUUUCUUUUUUAUGAAUAUUAAUUCUUUUUUGGUUGGACAAGGCAGAGAUUUCGUCGAUUCUUAAAGAGGAGGACUGAAGAAGAGGGCGGUUGGAAGAGGAGGAGGAGGCGGAGGUGGUGGUGUUGGAAUUUUGAAUAGACGAGUCCUGUAUGUAUGAGCUAGCUGAUUCCAGCAGCCUCUGUCAAUACUAGGAGUAAUCAGCAGCUGGCAGGCUUGGGGGCUUAUAUAUAGCAGCAGACCAAUGGUCCUGUUGCGAUUUGCACGGCUCAUGGAAGACGUAUGGUUUCAACGCAGGGUUGGGCUGGGUUGGGUGGGGAAACGGUACUAAUGAUAAAUGUAUGUAUAAUGAAAUUUGAGAUAUUUCUAGCAAUCUGUUAGUAAAAUUUAUUUUUAUAAAAAAAAAGGAGUAAAGGAGCAUAAUAUUAUUAAGUUAUAGUAAAACUUGAUGCACAUAUCAAUAAAACAAGAUAUUCUGUGCAUUUGAAUACAAUAGUAUAAUAUGAUUUUACCAUUGUCGGAUGUUUAACAAAUUUAUUUAUUAAUGGAUAUUAAAGUGUUACAUUUUAUCUCAUAUUUUCCCAAUUUAUGACUCAGAUUUUAAAUUGAUUAACUCAUUAGAGAAUAAAAAACUCAUCCCGUUGCUAAAUUGGACAAGUGACAAAAACUCAUGUCCAUAAUGGGAUUUUACUUCUGACUCAAAUCCUAUAAUGCGAACCAAACCCCAAAUCACUCCAUUAUAACGGAAACACAAACUAAACUAUUUAAUAUUCAAAUCAAGUUCCGCUCAAUAACAGUUUGUUCGAAUUUGAUUCGCAAACUAAUCUAAUCAAGUUAGAAUAACAUUUUAUGUUUGAAAAAAUUUUUAACUGCAGCUCAAGCUUAGCUCAAUAAUCAUAAAAUUGGAUUUUAUAGAUAAAAAUUACUCGAACUCGACUCAAUAAAAAUUCUUUUGAACGUGACUUAGUAAAUAAAAAAGCCAAUCUUGAAUACUAUUUCAAAAUUCUUUAAAAUAAAUAACAAGAUACUUGGUUUGAUUAGACACAUUCACACCCCUGUUUUUCAUAUGCUCGAUAACAUAUAUUUUUGCCAUUGAAUUUUGGGACAUGUUUAUCAUUUUUUAAAAUCUUUUUUUUUUAUUUCUGGCUUUUAUAGGAAAAAAAAAACUAAAGGAUGUGUUCGGAUAGGAGACCGAUAAACUUUUCUCUCCCCCUCGCGCCUAAUUGCAGGUUAAAAGCAGUGUUUUGAAAACCGGACCGGACGGCCGGUUCGACCGGUUGGACCGCCAACCGGCCAUGAUUCCGGUCCGAUUCUAUGCUAUAGUUGACCAGGUUAGAAAACCGGUUAAACCGUGAAAACCGCCGGACCGGAUUGAACCGGCGGUUCUCGGUUUUCGAGAUUUCCCUUUUUUUUCUUUUUUUUUCUUUUUUUUACGUUUUGCAAAAUGCAGUUAUCAAGAUUCGAACUCAAGACUUUUGUAAUAGAAGACCAAUGUAGUAACCAUAGUAACCAUUGCACCAUCACAUCUUAUUAGUUUUUUUUGAUAACUUGUUUAUAUAAAACAAAAACUCAUAUUUCUUUUUGUCAUUUUUUUUACAAAAUCUAAUCCUCUCAUAGCUCUUUCUUUUUAAUCUUCAACACACACACACACACUCUCUCUCUCUCUCACUCUCUCCUCUUUUUUUUGUCACUCUCUUUUUAAUCAAACCACUUUAUUUUUAAUUUAUUGAUGUUUUCUUCCAUCUUUUAAUUUUAUUUUUGUCCAUUAAAUUGAAAAAGGUUAAAAAAGAAUUAUUUUUCUUUAACCCAAAUUAUUUAAUGCCACAACCACUCACUUUUAUCUCAUUUUUUAUUUCUUAUCAAGUUUGCAUUUCUAUUUUCGAUUCUCUUGACUUCUUUCGAACUCCAAAAUUCCUUUUUUAAAUUGCAAUUUCUAAAUCCCAAAACGUAAAUUAAAAUUUAAGUUCACAAAAUCUAAAUUCUCAUAGACAUGAAUUUUGUAUAAUUUUAAAAUAUUAUGAUAUUUUUGGGUUAGAUCUAAGAUUUUUUUGGUAGAUAUAAUUGAAAUUGAAAUGAAAUUUAUUUGUUUUAACUUAUAAUUUAAAAUUUUUAUUUUUAAAAAAUCAAGUUAUUCAAAAAUAGUAAACUUUUCAUCAUAUAAUGUAUUAAAUUAGUCCAUUACAUGUCUUAUUUUGUGCAUAAAUAUUUACAUAAAUUAUUUUUUAAAAAAUUCAUUGAACCGAGGUUGAACCGGUCCGACCGGUUAAAUCUCGACCCUUUCACGUCACCGGUUCAAUUAACGGUCCGGUUUUUAAAACAUUGGUUAAAAGGAAUAUCCAGUUCUUAGAUAACUUUUCUAGGCACAACUCUAGUUGUCAGAAAACUGGUCUACUUUGACUGUGGGUUUUCCUUUAGUCAGGCCAUUUUGUCAUUAGUGAUGAUUGCUUCUUCUAAACCUUGGCUAACUGCACACGCCAUGCGCAUGAAACUUCUUCUAAACCUUAGCUAACUGCACACGCCAUGCGCAUGAAAAUCCAAACUUCAAAUAAAAUAAUUUGAACUCGUCAACUUGCAAAAUAAGAUAAUUUGGGUUUCGUCUGAUAUGAGUAGUAAGGGAAAAUUUAAUUACUAUAUUUAUGAUUCUUGACUAAUGUGAUUGCUCAUCUAUCACCACGCAUCAGUUUAAUACCUUAUCUUCAUUUAAAUGUGACGAUUGUAGAAUUGAUGGCUGAAACUGAAAGGAAACUGAAAAAGAAAUGUCAUGUGAGUGCAUAUGCAUGGUUAAAACAAUACUCCCACAAAUUAUAACCAAUUCGAUCCCUUGUUUUUAAGGUUUUGAUCGUUUUGGUUCCUUGGUAUCAUGACAAGCCAAUUUUGCCUCUUAAAUUUAAAAAUAUGGUUAAGGAGAUCCUUUUGAUGGAAAUUUGAGUUGCUAAUGAAGUGAAGAGACCAUUUAGUGCCUUUCGUGUCACAUCCGUCUCAACACUAUAUUAAAGUUUCAAAAAAUCUCAAAUAAGUCAUAAAACUCAUAAAACAAACCCCAAAACUCUUUAUCGUGAAGAAAAUAAAUUUUUAUAACUUUAAAAUAAAUCAAACACAAUACCUUAAACAUAAUUAUGGAAUUUGUGCCAUUUUCGAGUUGAAAUAUCAUGAAAAGGAGUACCAAAAGGUGAAAGAAAAAUGCAUAAACUUAUGUUUGACAUAGUAUUAAAAACUUUUAUUUCAUUAUAUUGAAGAGUUUUGGGUGAGUUUAGGCUUUUAGGAUUUUAUUUGAAUGCUUGGUGUUUUCUGCGAGAUGGCACGAAGUACCCUCUAAGGUCUCUUAACUCCAUUAACAACUCUAAAUUAGCCUUGACCAAAUUCUUCAAAUUUAAGAAAAAUUGGUUCGCCAUAAUACAAAGGGACUAUUUUGUUAAUACAUUGGAGAUAAGAAACCAGAUUAAUUAAUUUUUGUUGUUUGCGUAACUCAAGGGAUUUCUCCGUUAGCUUCCCACAAUUUUGCUACAUUAGUCUCUUUUGAUGGAGAUAGAGCACCAACUCACAGUUGUAUUAGAACUUCACUUACGCUAUAAUCGUUAGGAUUUUCUUAUAUUCAUCCGACUACUCAAUAAGUAUCCUAUUUUAUAAUAACUAUCCUACACCUCUUCAAAGCCUGAUAAGAUGAAGAAAAUCUCUUUACUAGCAUCUUAAUGCCUUAUAUCCAGUAUUGAGGGAAAAAAUUUAAUCACAUUACAGUCUGAGAAUUUGAAUCCAGCAAUUUCACGGUCUGAUGUAGUCACCCCAAGUAGGUUCUCCAGUAAAACAGGGUAGUGAGGCAAAAUGUACAUCAAAUAGGUCAAUUGUUGAGCCCCUCGGGGUUCGGUUCCGUGGUUGUAGCCCCAGUUGGGGGAGAGCCACGUCCAGGGAUCGAGUCCCCGUUCUACCGUGGCUGGUGAUGCUUGAGGCGGGCCGCUCCCAGCCCGCAGUGGGAUUAGUUGGGCCGUACGGUAACCAGUCCAUGGGUCCAGAUACCCACUGUGAUGAAAAAAAAAAAAUAGGCCAAUUGUCGAUCUUUGAUUAUGUCUACACUUUCAAAAGAUAGGCUUAAUCAUAUUAGUGGAAAUAACUCAUAGUUCAUCAUAUAUUAAUUUGCUAUUCAAUUUAGUUUGAAUACAUGAUCAAUGUUAUUGUAUGCCAAAAAAGAUUGAGGAUACUUUUGACCUAGUUCUUUGCACUAACUUGAAAUCUUCCAAUUGUUCUUUCUUUGAUGCACUUGCAAAAUCUCCUGCAAAAGUAAAAUAACUCAGUUGGUGAAUUUUGGCUAACUGAGAGGCCCCAUCUUCUUUUUACUUCUUUAGCACAAGCGAAGAAUGAAUUUAUGCAUAAUAACCGUGUGAUUCUAAUGAGAUAUGAUUUUUUUGGUUUUGCAUGCUGGUUAAACAAUUGUUCAAGCUCUUAUCUUGGUUUUUGAUACUUCACCGGUAUGUGGAUGUUACUGCUAAAGAAAUUUACAUUUGUCAUUAGAAGAAUUUUCUAUUUUAUGACUGGCAAGUGAUUUGGUAUCUUAGCAGUUCAUCGAUUUUGGUGCUUUGUUUACAAUUUAAUUGGCUUCAAUGGUCCAUACAUAUAGGAACUUGGAAUUUACCCUUUUAUUUCCUUUUGCAUGAGCAAAGAUUAGUAAUUUUUAAUCAUAAUUUUCGAUUCCUCUAUUCUGGCCAUAGUGAAGAAAUCUACCUUUUUGUACUUGUGUAUAUGCACACCAAACAUCAUUGGGCUGUCUACUUUUGACAUUAUUCUUGAAUUACUCAGUUUAGAAUGUGUAUUAGCUGCUGGAAGCAAAUGCAUCAUCGUUGGCAAUUACCAAACAGAAAAUAUGCAUGCCAUUACUAUUUUCACUGAAAUUAGCAUCUAACUUAUAAUGAUCUAAUUAAAGGUUAACCACAUUGGUUUUGACUAGAACUAAGAGAUCACUAGCCCUCUUAUUUUUGGAUUUGCAUUAAUCCAGUAUCAUCAAACUUCUUCAAAUGGGCUCUUUAGCUACUAACCCCUUCAAAAAUAAUUUAGGCUUACGGUUCUGUUGAUGUCGCAAUUGCAGGAGGUUCAGAAGAUAACGAAAGGCUCAUCUAAGAUUUCUUAAGGUGUUUGGCUUAUAUUGCUAGAUUUACUUAAUCUAUUUUCAUUCUUCUCCGAUGUCAUUAUUGUUAAAGUUCAAUUCAUAAGUUGGUUGUGUUAGAAAAUUGGCUUAAUUUCUUUUUAGAUAGGUUUUUGUUUUGUGCAAAAGUAACUAGUUUCCUAAUUGGUUUUAGUUACUCGGAAUAGUAGCCAAGAAAUUUCUUAUUUUGUUUAGAAUUAGAAGUUAUUUCUUAUUUUCUACAAGUCUAGGAAUUAGAAUUAAUUUCCUGUUGUUAUUUGGAUUUUUUGACCAAAUAAUAUUUUUAUAAAUAGGUGGGUUGGCAUACUAUAAAAGAGACACAUAAGGGCACACAAGGACGACAUGUAACCUUAUACAUGGGUGGUGAGAGAGAGUUCUUAGGAGAUGAGAAAUGGUAUACAAAGGUUGGACUUGAGUUCGAGUUGUAUUCCUGUAUAAGGUUUUUCUCUCAUAAUAAAUAACAAGUUUCUCUCCGUGGACGUAGGUUCAAUGGAGUCAAACUACGUUAAAUAUUGUGUGUUGUUUAUUUUUUAUACUUGUGGCUUGUUUCUCAUUAAAUUAUUGUGUACUUGAUAUCUUAAUAGUUAUUUAUUCUGCAUUUAGUUCCUAACAAAUGGUAUCAGAACUUGAUUGCGAGAUUGGGCUGCUCACAAGCACUUGGAUCCCAACAAACUGAAUAGUUGGAUCAAGAGUUUGGUUGUUCAAGGAUGGAUCCUAGUUAGCUAUUGAGAUCAAGUAGGUUGGUGACUGUUACCAAUUGAACAAUUUAAUGGGCGGUAUCCUUAUUUCAAGAGUUUGGCAAAAAAGCAUUGACGGUGAAUGAUGAAAAGUCGAAAAGCAUGGAGAUACUUGACGGUGAAUCUAGGCAGAUGAUUCAAGAGUCAAGGAAAAUGUGGAAUCCAAUAUCGAUUUUGGACGUGAAUCGGUGGAGACUUUCUUACAACUUCAACGGUUGAUACUUCAUCUCGGUGAUUUUUAGAUUUCGCUUAUGUUUUUUGAGUGGUACGGCACGUGUCCCAAAAAAAUAAAGAGAUUUAAUUUCUAUGCGCUAGAAGACUCUGACAGUUACGAGUCUUUUGUUUCAGGUGAAUUUUUGGAAACCACACGUGGCGAGAUAGUCUUGAGGAAGGGAAGAAGUAUGAUGAUUUUAUCACUUGGUUGCCUCAAUGAUUAAGGUUAGAGCUCAUACAAGGAGAUUUUGGGUUGCAAGUGGUGGUGAGAAGAAAUCCUGUAAAGAAAAAUGGUGAAUUGAGGCAUCUUCUCACGAAUCAACUGGAGGUUGUACUAGGUGUAAAUACACAUAUUCAUUUGGCAAUUAAAUCAAUUUGGUAUCAGAACUGUAUUGAUUCGGGUGUGUAGUUCGGUACCAUAUUAUUUGGUAGUUGAAAGUAAAUAAUUGUUAAAAGAAAUUUUCGCCAAGAUAGAGAUUUGUUAGGAAAUUGAUUUAAUUUCUUUUCAGACAGGUUUUUGUUUUGUGUAGAAGUAACUAGUUUCCUAAUUGGUUUUAGUUACUUGAAAUAGUAGCCAAGGAAUUUCCUAUUUUGUUUAGGAUUAAAAAUUAUUUCCUAUUCUAUACAAGUCUAGAAAUUAGAAUUGGUUUCCUAUUAUUAUUUAAUUUUUUGGCCAAAUAAUAUUCUUUAUAAAUAGGUGGGUUGGCAUACUACAAAGAGACACACAAAAGCACACAAGAGACGACAUGUAGCCUUAUACAUGGGUGGUGAGAGAGGAUUUUUAGGAGAUGAGAGAUGGUAUACAAAGGUUGAAUUGGGGUUCAAGUUGUGUUCUUGUAUAGAAUUUUUCUCUUAUAAUAAAGAACGAGUUUCUCUCUGUAGAUGUAGGUUCAAUGGUGGAGCCGAACCAUAUUAAAAAAUAGUGUGUCAUUUAUCUUUCAUGUUUGUGGCUUGUUUCUCAUUAAAUUGUAGCGUACUUGAUAUCUCAAUAGUUGUUUAUUCCAUGUUUGGAUCCUAACAGACUGCUAAACCAAGAUUGAUGUAAUUGCGUCCUGUAAGAGAGUUUGCAAUUCAAUUGAUUAAGGGAAGAACAGAGAAAAUCCCUGAAAAUGGGAAUUAAAGGAAACAAAGGAAACCCUAAAACUAGUUUCCAAGAACAAUUCUGUCGAAGACAGAAAACAAAGAAAAUAGUAUCAAAGGCUAUAUCGUUAUUUAGGAAACAAGAAGCACUUGAAGGUGAAUGUUGCAGAAAGUAGAAGAUCCCACUACAAUUUACUAAUUCAAGGAGCUGUAAUUAAGAAAGAAAGAAGACAACUCAGAGAAUUAGGGAUUGUUAUUAAUUGAUGAAUGAGUAGGAAGAAUGUAGAUGAAGAUGAUAAUCAAUUACAAGUAAUGGAAAUCGGAAAUCCAAGAACUGCCUUCAACUUACCACCCUCCUCUCUUUUAUUCGGCUACUACACUUGUCCAAGUCAGCUAAUUCAUUACAACCAACCGACAUACAAGAAUUAUAAGGAUUUAUUCAUUAAGUCCCUAUCAUACUCGCUUUAUUACAAAAAAAAAAAAAAAAAAAAACCCUAUCAAUAAAACUAAGGUAACAAACAAUGUUUUCAGAACCGGACCGGACCGGCUGGUUCGACCGGUUGGACCGCGAACCGGCCAUGUCACCGGUCCGGUCUAAUGCUAAAGCCGGAAGUUCAUGGAGAACCGUUGAAACCCGGACGAACCGGACGAACCGUGCGAACCGUUAAGAACCGUGAACCGGCGGUUUUUUAAAUUCUUCAACAAAAUAUCAAGAAUGGUGUAGCUAAGAUUCGAACCUGGGUCUCCAAGUUUGGAUAUGACAAUCUCACCGCUAGACUGUAGUUAAAUUUGUUGAGAAUUCUACUUGACUAAAAAAUAUAUUAAAACAUCAAGUUCUUCUCUUAUUUUUUUUUCAAUUUUUUCUUCUUAACCAUUUUUAACCCAAAUAUCCACAACAAGAUUUUCUCAAGUCUUCACCAUUAUUAUCAGGUUAUUAUCUUUAGCAAAUUGUAAACAAGUUGAAAAUUUCAACUUUUCUUGUUUUCCAACAUCUUAGUAAGUUUAAUUUUUUUCUUUUCAAGGUUUUUUUUUCUAUAUUAUUAUCUUUAGUUGAUUUUUUGCAUUUUCUUCUUUUUCCCCUCAAUUUUCAUAUGUUUCCCUCAUUUUUGUUUUAUUUUUAUUCGAUUAAUUAAGGAUGAAAUUUUUGCAAAAGUAGUGCACAUUCGUGUAGGAAUUGGGUAGGAAUUACAAAUAAUAACAUUGGGCUGGUCAAAAAUAUGGUAGUUGGCACAUAAUCGAAGCUAUUGAUAAUUGAAUUUAAAAUAAUUAAUGGUAUAGGAUCAUUGAAUUUAAUAUAACAUGUUAAUUAGUAAUGUUUAGUAGCAAUUAAUUUUUUAUGUGUUUAACUGUAUAUUUGUUUUUCAAAAAUUUUUAGUUUUUUUUAGUUUGAGCAAUUAGAUUUAUAUUUUUAUAAUAAAAUUUUAACUUUUUCAUCUUAAGUUGAUGAAAUUGUGAAGGUGGUGUGGUUGCUUAUCAGGCCACUGAUAAAAGUUUGCUAUUCAAAUAGUUUGUCUUAACUUGAACUCUUUUAUGGAUUUUUUUAAGGGUUGUAAAAGAAUUUCAAUAUUUAAUUUAUUUAUUUUUUGUGUUUUUAUUUGUGAUAAUUGGUGAACAUUUGGAUUGUAUCUAUUUAUGUUUAUAAUGAAUUUAUGAAAACUUAUGGUGAAUUAUGAUAUUUUAAUUAUAUUUAUCAUUCCAUGUUUUAUGUAUAAUUUUUAGAAAAUUUAUUAUUAUCAUAACUUAAAUUAAGUUAUGUUGGUAAAGUUCAAGUGUAGAAUGAAACCUACUUAGUACUUAACAAAAAAAAAAAAAAAAAAAAAAAAACAGUGAACCUUUGAACCGGCCGGUUGGACCGGUCGGACCGGUCGAACCGCGAACCGGCCACCUCUCCGGUUCACUGACCGGUCCGAGUUUAAAAACAUUGGUAACAAAUACUUCCCCCUCAGAGAAUCCUUGUCCUCAAGGAUUAAAUUCAGGAAAUUGUUGUUUAAGGUCAAACCAGAAUUCCCAGAUAGCAUCUUCAAGAAAAGAAUUGCUUCACUAUGCCAAAACUUUUGUAGCAAGAGAGUUACCACAUUUCACCAAUUUCUGAUCAAGUAUGGCUAUAGGCUCCAUUAAUAAUUAUCCCUGUGUAUUGAUUGUGUAUUGAUUGCAAAAGGAAUGUGUGAGGUAACUAGUGAGUGCCCACUUUCUUCUUUAGAAGAGAUACAUAAAAAAUAGAGUGUAUUUUUGCCAUAUUAGGCAGCUAAAGCUGAUAUGCAACAGGGUGUACUCUUUUGAUCACUUGGAAAGGUCCAAAAAACUUAGAAGCUAACUUCUGACAAGAGUGUACCUUCAAAGAGUGUUGCCUCUACAGUUGUAGUUUCACAUAUACCCAAUCUCUUGCUGAGUACUGUCUAUCAGACCUGUGUUGGUCAGCUUGUUGCUCCAUCCUAUUUUGUGCCUUAUGAAGGUUGUACUUUAAGUGAUGCAAAACUAUCUCCCUUGCUGCCAAGAUUCUAUCCACCACUUCCACUACUGAAUUCCCAAGUAGACAAGGCAUAUGCAGAGAUGGUGCAUGACCAUACACCACCUCAAAUUGGAUAACCUUAGUGGCAGCAUGAAAUUUGGUAUUGUACCAAUAUUCAGCCAAGGGUAACUAGAUAGACCACUGCUUUGGAAAAUCUCCACACAUGCACCUCAAAUAUUACUCCAAACACCUGUUUACCACCUCAGUUUGACCAUCUGACUGAGGGUGGUAGGUAGAAGAGGUAUUAAUCUGCACUUUUAGUAACUUAAAAAGUUCUUGCCAAAAAGUGCUAAUGAAGACCACAUCCUUGUCACUAACAAUGCUCUGAGACAAGCCGUGAAGUCUACAGAUCUGAUCCAGGAAUAUGUGCAAAUAUAAAUGCUGAAUAAGCAUGUGACAAUGCCAAGAAGUGUGCAUACUUACCUAACUUGUCAACCACCACCAAGAUGGCUUGUUUACCAUGUGCAUUAGGUAAACCUUCCAUAAAGUCCAUGGAAAUUCACUCCAAACCUUUUGAGGCACACGUAAAAGUCGUAAUAAACCCAAAUCAGCAGUAUUGUCAUAUUUGUUGCACUGACAGACAUCACAUGCAGCCACAUAGUUGACUAUGUCUUGAUACAUUCUUCUCUAAUAAACCACUGACUUCAACUUCUUUUAGGCAGCAUAAACUCCUGAAUGCCUCCAACAGCACUAGAAUGCCACAAGUGAAUUAUAUUAUUCUUGAAUUGGCAGUCAUUUUCUACCACUAGUCUCCCCAUCCUCCUUAACUGCAAGUUGCUCCAUGUGUAAUAAGGUGAGACCUUAGAAAGAUCAAAUUGUAAUUGAGUGAUGAAGUUCUAUAGCCUUAUAUCUAUUUGCCAUCCCUUUUUAAUCACUAUCAAAGAUCACUGUUAACAAUGAUGAUGGCAAGAGCUUCUCUUGGUUCUGCUAGUUUUCUAAAGAGAGUAUCUCUCACCAUAUUAUAUGCUUCUUUCCUGUAGUGAAGCUCAUAAUAAAAUCUUACUAGCUUAGCCAUCCAUUUCUGCUGCAUAAGAGUAGGGCUGUCAAUGGUCCGGGUCUAGACCCGGACCCGAACCGGAUCCGUCAAAUUUAUUCGGGUAUGGGUAGGGAUUUAAUUCCGUUACCCGGACCCGGAUCCGGAUCCAUUUUGCCAAACAAAAAAACGGGUCGGAUACGAAAUAUAGUAUUCCGACCCGUAUUGGACCCGGAUCCGGAUAUAAAUGGAUUACUAAUUUAAAAUAUAUAUAUUUAUUAAUAUAAUUUGAUUAGGAUGAUGUAUUUGAGUAAUCAAUAUAAUUGGACCCGGAUCCUAAUCAAUAUAAUUUGAUUAGGAUGAUGUAUUUGAGUAAGGUUAAUUUGAUUUCUUUUCUUAUUUGAUUUUUUUUGUAUUAGUUAGAAAUUAGUUUAUAAAUAUAUGUUUUUUCUCAUUUUUGUUAGAAAUUAUAAAUUUUGUUAGUUUUUUUUCGGGUAGACCCGGAUCCGGAUCCGGGACCCGUCGGAUCUGGAUCCGGAACAUAGAGUAAAGACUCAUCGGGUAAACGAGUCGGGUCCGGAUCCGAUAUAGUGUGCCGGGUCCGGGUCUGGAAUAAUGAAUUCCGGCCCGGACCCAGCCCGUUGACAAGCCUACAUAAGAGUGUUCAAUCUUUGUUCCAUCAUAUAUUCAAUGCUCUAAUGGUCAUUUUUAAUGAUAACGUACCUUCCAGGUAGAUAAGGUCUCCACUUCUAUACAGCAGCAACUAUGGCCAAUAUUUGCACUUUUCCAAUAUACUAUCAUAUGCUAUUCCCCCACACACCUAAAUCUUACAUUGUCCCCAAUGUAAAAUAAAGAAUAAAAGAAAAUUAAUGGGGAUAACGAAACUUCCUUGAUAACUGAGGGGGCCGUCGACAGCUACAGGUGAGGGGCGAAUGACUGUGGAGCUCGACGUAUGUUGAUGGUUGGCGGCGGUGGAGUUCGGAUGGAAGAAAGAAAGAAAGAAGAAAGAAAAAGAAGAGAGAAAGAAAGAAAGAAAAAGAAAAGGAAAAAGAAAGGAAAAGGAAGAGAAAAGAAAAGGGAAAUACGAAUGGGAAUUGCUCCAAUCCGAGCUGGUUUUUUGUACUAUUACUUUGCUUCUUGUACGAAGCUUGAAGAUGCAGCAAGCGCGGAAAUUUUUUUUUUUUUACAUCUGAUUUUGAUUUUUUUCUUUUUCCUUUUCUGUAUUUCCUUUUCUUUUCUUUCUAAUUUUUCUGCAAAAACAAUCAAAUAGAAAUCAAAUGAGAUGGAAUGAUUUUUUUUAAAAAAAAGGUAAAAAUAUAAAUAGAGAUAAAUAAAUAAUAAAUAAAUAAUAAUAGUUAUUAACAAAUCAUAAAAUGAUUUAUGAAAUUUUUUUGGUGUCUACAUAUAUACACAUACUAAUAAUUUUUAUAUUUAUAUAUUUUUCUUAUUUAAUCUUACCUAUAAUUCUUUCUUAUUUUAUUUACUUUCUCUAAUUAAUUUUAUAUUUUUAAAAAUAUAACAUCUAAAAAUAUAUAUUAACGAAGAGGACAUCCGUUAGACAGGUCCUAUUUUAUGUAGCAUAUAUGUCUCUACAUGAAAAAAACUUUUUUAAUAGGUAUCCCGUUUUUUGACAUGAAAAAUACCUUUUGACUACAUUCUGACUAGCGCCAAAAGCUAUCCACUUUUGACAUGCUGCCCAUGGAGGCCUAAUUUUUUUUAGUACUGAAUUUGUUUUGGAUACGUUAGUAUUUCUUGAAUUUUAGAAAAUGCUUCUCUUUAAUAAAUGUAAGUUCAUUUUAAUCUUGAUUCGCAAGCUUUUUCUCGUAAAUGGUUUGCCAUUUCUUAUUAGUUGUUACAGUAAAUUUAACAUGCAUAUAUGCUUUUUGUCAAAAUUCAAUCAUUUCAAAAUCUAGAAGGGAACUUCUAAAAUACCUGCAUCCUCCUUUUUCUUUUUUCUUUUUUAUUUUUCCCCCUCUUGGCUUUGUAUUCAGAAUCAGAUUGUGUUCAAUUAGUUGGAAUUUGGCUUUGGAGUUAGAAGGGAUUUCCAUUUUUUCCUAGGUAUUCCACAGCUUGCAUACCAAAAGCACAGAGGCGGAAGAAAACCUAUGAUUAAAUCAUACAACAGGCUUGUAAGAAAAUGCCCACUUUGAAAAAAAUGAAAAGUUGAAUUUCCUAUUUUCAAAUUUACAUGCAAAAAAUGAAAAAUGACAUGCAAGAAAUAGUCUACUAUUUCGCAAUGUUUCAUAGUUAUGAGAAAUAUAUUACAAAUAAAUCCACAUAAAUGGUGGGAAUAAUAACUCAAAUAUGGUGGGACAAAUAAACAUACAGGGUGACCCCUGCCAGCUGAGAUAACUAGCUGGUUUAUUUAAUUUAAUAGUUUGAAUACAAUAGUAAAUCAAUGCCAUAGCUCAGAUACUGACUAAAUUUUUCUCCCUGAAGAAUUCAACAGCAUCUUUUAGGCUGACCUCCAAAGGAGUGAAUCCAACUCCCAACCUUUUUGCCUUCUCAUUGGAGGCUCUGUAGUUUGGGCUGAUAAGGUUGGUAUUGUUUGACAUUCUGCUGUAUGCGGGACAAUACACAAUUAUGGCAAACAUAAAUAAAGCUUAGGUAAUGAAAAUGCAAAUGUAAAUUCAAAUGCUUGAAAAUCUACUGGACAAUUGCCUCAUAUCUACUGUAAAUUGUGCCUUUUUUACGAAGUUUCAAAAGACCUUUUAAAAGAUAACUUUAGUUGUGAUAUGAAUGAAAUUUAUUUUUCUCUAAAAAAAAGCCUAAAACGGAAUUUCUAUUUUGGAGACAAAGCCAAUUUGGUGAUAUAUCCUAGUCCAAAGAAGACCAUCUUCUAGAAAUCAACCUGAGAAAGAGCUCAUUUUUUAUGGAACAUGAGACCAAAAGAAAAAAAAAAGAAGGCAGAAAAUUUAGGAUUUAGUGUCCUUUAAAAGAGAGUAUAAAAAUAUGUGAUACAUUUUGGACGUAUACAAGGCCAUCAGCAAAAGCCUGCAAAGACCUAAACAAGGAAAACAAGACUUACUUAUCAGGAAAUUGGUGAGUUGGGUAAUGCUCAUGCAAAAUCUUGAUGAUCUGAGAGGCAUUUGCACAUCUUUCAACCAGACAAUAUCUUCCACUUGCAGAAGGGGUUUCAAGGGCAAGAACAUGUGCAUAGGCAACAUCUCUAACAUCAACCCAGCUACAUGUUGCCUUAGGAAAUGGUUCAACCCCUGCAUUUGGCACCUAAGAUCUUUAAACACAUUUUUUUGCAGGCUCUUCAGCAACAUAAGUGAAACUGUGCAUACAAUUAAAUACAAUGUUGUUUGCCAUGAAAAGAGUCAAAUUUAGAGGCCUUCCAGAAGAAAUGUGUUGUAUGUACUACUUUGUUCUGUUUUAGUAUCAGCAAAGCCACAGAGGGGAGGGAGAUGUGAGGAAUGAACUAGUUGAGACAAUUCAGAUAAUUGGUGAAUAAUAAGAAAGAUUAAUCCCAACAAUCUACUAGCUAAUCUGUCCCUGGAAUUUCUCAGAUUUAGAGUUAGGUUUCUCUUUCAAAGGAUAGUUUAUUUAUUUAUGUGAGGAAUAAACAAGCUUUAGCAAGUCUGAACAACAUAAACAGUGACUACUCCUAACAAAUUUUUCCUCACAAUUACCACCCAAAAAUUUCUUUUCCUUCCUGUUAAUCACAUAGAACCUCAAUGUUGUUGAAAGGAAGAUGCACACAACGUGAAUUUCAGAUGAAAGAUUGUCCUGCAAACCUUUAAAACAUCAUAAGCUGGUCAGAGUUUAUAGCUUGAUAUAUCAGUUCACAUUCUGACCUAUGUCUGUCAAUCAUGUGAUUAGCCAGCAGUGCCUUGAAAUGUUAUUAGUCAUAAGUUUUUUGUUCUACUGUAACAAAGAAAGUUGUGGUGCAUAAUAAAGCUAUAACUAACAUAGAUGGAAGAGUCAGUUAGACAAUGAUUACUAAGGUGAUUCAAUAAAUUUUGAAACAAACCCUUUAAUAGGUUGAGGAACAAAACAGCGCUCGAAUUAACAGAUGGCUGCAAGAGAGGACCAAUGACCAAUCCUGGAUGAAUUGUAAUCACGUCAAUGCCAUGAUCCUUUGCAAAUUUCCAUGCAGCAUUCUCGGCCAUGGUUUUUGAAAGUUCAUACCAAGACUAUCAACACCAAAAAAUCAGUAAAUGUUGGUAAGAUGGUAGCAGAAAGUAAUUAGAUUUGUAAACUUUAAGAAGUAACAUUAUAAAUUUAUACAAAUUUGACAAAACCAGCAGCUAACAUCAGUUGGAACUAUUAUUGCUGUAGCUACAGACCACAGAGUGAAAGUAUCCUCAUUUCCUAGGACAAGCUAUGCUCUAAGUGAAUAAGUAGAUUUCUCAAGGAUCCUAGCAAUGGUGUAAACUUUUUAUAUUCAAGGAAUGAUGCAAAGCACCAGAGUGUCGACAUAUCCUGAUCAUCUGAUCUCUUAAUCCACAAGUUAACAGCAAAACUACAAGGGACCUUGACACUUGAACACAUAGAGCCAUAUUCAUGAUAUUAUAGCAGAAGUUCCUUUUCAACUGACCAACCAAAUAUUCUAGGUGUGUAUUCUCAGACAAUAGUAUAGAGUUUGAUAAUGCAAGAGAUGCAUAAUUGAGUAGGAAAACUUUCAUAUUGCUCUUUCCUCGACUAUUCCACACUACAUUAUUAAUUUUUCAUUAAAGUUAAGUUGUUACUUAGAUAGAAGGAAAGAAAGGGACUGACCAUUCUGGUCACAAAAAUAUCCUUCUUUUUGCCUAUUAAAGUACCACCAAGUCAUGAAGAUCCUAACUUAAUUAUCUCCACAGCUGGGCUAACUCCUCAUAUGUGUCCCAAUAACAAGUUAAAACUAAAGAAUUCCAGCAUUCCAUAUUAGAUUUUACUGGAAGAAGACAGAUAAUAUGUGUACCUUUUGCUCCUCACAGUAUGAUGGAUCGGAAAACCAACUUUCAUCAACUACCACAUCCUCCUUUAAUUCUCUGUUUUCUGAAACUGCAACCAUAGAGGAUGUUAUAACUACUCUUUUGACAGAAGAAGAAUUUGCACAUGACCGCAGCACAUUCAGUGUUCCACUUACUGCAGGUUCCAGUAGUUCUGCCUAUGAAAUCAAACCAAGUAAAAAAGGAAGUCAUUACCAGUCAUAGGUAAGACUAUGCUUUUAACCUGCAAAAAACUUAUCAUUCUGGUAUUAUGUUUGAGAAUUUCACCACAAAUGCUGUAAACCUACAGCUUUAGUUACUUAGCUAAAGGAUGCAUAUAGUUGUCUUAUCUCCUCUUGCUGCUAAAAUAAGUUCUCAGGUCCUUUAUUGUUGUUUUUUCCCAUAUUAGUUACUUAAGACCGAUAGAGGAACAACUGAAAUAAGUCUCAGAUGUGGUCACCAAUUAAACCGUUUGGUACCAAAUAUCAACCGAUGAAAUUCUGUUCUGGCUUGAACAGGACAGACAGAAAAUAUAAAAGGUGUAGCUCCCAUGAAUCCUGCGAACAGAUUUUAGCGUGAACACAUAAUGCAUGUUGCAAUUUCUUUUAGUGUCUAUGAGUCAACCUUGUUCAUUGAAAUGACUAAAAUCAAAGUUCUACAAAGUUACUUAAAUAAAAAUCCAUAAACACAAUUUGAGAAACAGACAAUGAUAAGUGUACUGCAUAAAAUUUUAAGGCACAAUCAUUAAUAGAAGUUAAUCAACUUACAAAUGAAGAUACAUAUAAUUUGCAGAUGCUUGAACAUAUAUUGUAGUUUCUAUAAGCUUCUUAUUCAUUCUGGUAUGGGCACGCAAAAGCUAUUGGCUCUACACUGGCUGAAUAAUUAGUUGGUCAAAGCAGGGAUUCAUUUGCUCCAGGACAAGCUUAUAGCUUGCUCUAUAACCUUACCCUGACUGACUUACCCAGGAAAAUAGUUAGUCGGACCCAAUCUACUGCCCAAUUGUGGACCAUUUGCUAUGUUUAUGGCUCUUAAUGUUUUUAUUUCACAACAUUACACCCUUUGAAUUGUUUCUCUGAAGUACCAAUUUCCAGAUCAUUUCAUAGAAACAUCAUGUAUACUGAUUAAAAAGAGACUAAAGCACAUAACACACGACAGUCUUUUUUGUGAAUGACCUGCAGGAACAGAUUAGUUUUGUAUGUACCAAAUGUAAAGAAAUAUUCUUCAGGUGUUUGACCUGAUUGCUACAUUAAUCUCCUCCCUUUGGUUAAUAAAAGAAAACGUAGAGCCAUAGAAUUGGAAACAUGGUUCGCCAUCGCGGGUCGCGGUCGCGUCACGGUCUCAGUUGUUCCACAUCCGUCGCGAUAUAUCGGUUGAAUAUCGGGUGAUACGAACAAUAUAACACAUUAAAGUUUUCAAAAAUUUUGAAAAAAUUACUAAAAUUAGAAAAUACUAAAAAAGACACAAUUUAAAAAAAUAUCGGAGUCGACUCCGAGUUGACUCGGAUAUAUCGGCCGAUAUCAUGCAUCACGAAUUCGAAUCGAUCAAUAUCGGCCGAGUCAGAGCGAGUCAUCGCGGAUAUGGUGAUAUCCGCGAUUCGGGGAUCGGUAUCGUAUCGGUCUCUUCUGUUCCAGAUACGACUCGGCCGAUACGUAUCGGUAUCGGCCGAUAUGGCGAACCAUGAUUGGAAACAUUUGAGUCUAACUCUUUUUUUUUUUGCCUUUACAGUUAUAACCUUGUCAUAAAUCACAUAUAGAGGAGUAGACUAUCACCCAAAAAAGCCAGUAAAAAUGCAACAGAGGAAGAUACUAAAAGAAGUCGCACAAUUAUAAAUCAGAAAGUAUGCUACGAUUUUCAAACUUCAAGAGAUAAAUAGCAGAUUUUGUAGACAGUAGAGAAUUUCCAAUCUUGUAAAGCAAAUGUACCUCUGGAUUGCUGAAUGAAAGUUUGAUUGGAGAUGCAGUAUGGAAAACCCCUUCACAUCCCUCGACUAUUGCAUCAAACGAUCCCUCUUCUAGUAAGUUUGCCGAGUACAACUGAAGCCUUUCCUUAGCUCCAUCAAGUGAUGUCAAAUGUUGUGUCCUUUCCGGAUCAUCUGUGUCAUGAUUGCAUCAGUAGAAUGUUCAGACAGCUAUAGUCAAAACCAUGCCGCCUUGGUAAAGUGUACUAUGUUUUCACUAUGGCGCAACUCAAGAAGCAAUGGACUUAGAGCAAUAAUAAACGAACCUCAAAGCAAUGAUAAAUUUGACUAGCUAAAGGCAAGCGGGGAAAAACGAAAAGAAAUUGACGGGCAACAUAAUAUGACCACAAUAAUAUCAUAGCCCUAUGAUUUCUGGUUUUAAGAUGUGUACAUUUGUAACUUUCUUGAUAACAAUUAAUUCUUGAGAUAAUUAUCAGAGGGACAAUUGUAUGCCAUCUACCACUAUUUUUAUAACAAACUCAGUCCUUCAGAAGAAGGAUAUAGAUUCGAUAGGCUAAAGAUUUUUUAGUGUAACUUGAUCGUUGUAUCUGGAGCAUGAAACAUUACUGUUAAGGUAUACAUUAUAUAGUUUCAGCUACUCAAAUAUCAAUUAGGUUGGUCCACAUCAAUUUUUUUUUUUUGCAUGUGAUUUUCUUUUGAGCAA
This 229364-nucleotide long non-coding RNA is filed under the name Coffea arabica (coffee). RNAcentral describes it as "long non-coding RNA (CARA_LNC001749)". Lineage: Eukaryota; Viridiplantae; Streptophyta; Magnoliopsida; Gentianales; Rubiaceae. The record is from RNAcentral.